UUUUUUUUUAUUUCUUUCUUUUUUAUAUAUAUUUAUUAACUUGUUUUAUUAUUAUUUUUCUAAAAUUUAGAUAAAUAUAAUAAAAGUUUUUUUUAUUUUUGGUAAAUUUACAUAAAUAUAAUAAAAGUAGCGUAUAACAAUUUAAGAAAAGUUUACACAAAAUCGUACAAGAGACAUUUCCCUGCAUGGUUUACGACCUGUCAUCCUUACUAUUCUUAAAGGCUUAUAAAGUGAAAGUUCUACCAACACGAGUUCUUUUAAGUCUUUCUUCACAUAACUUUCAUGUGAAGUGGUGUAUCCAUGAUUAACAACAUAAAUCAUAUGUAGGAGGGCACAAUUAACAAAAAAUAAUUGUAGUGAAUAUGUUUUGAAUCCAAGACCUUGAAAUUUCAAAGGGGGCACAAUCACUAUACCAAAGACAGAAUAUAAUAAAAAAAAACGCAUUUUUUAAGAUAUAUUGUAAUUUUGCACUUCAAAAUUAAUAUUAAAAUACAAAAAUCAGGAAUGUGAGGGAGACACAUGCCUCCCUGGCUCCUUAAUAGAUCCGUCCAUGUUCAUGUCCUCAGGAUCCCUCUCAUUCAGAUAUGGUACCGGUUCAUUCAUGUCUCCCUCCUAUUCUCGGGCGUUACAAGAUCGUUUAGACUGGGUACAAAUUUGUUUUUCAUGAGUGUAAUCGAUUAGUCGUAGAAAUAUUUUUGUUAUUUCACGUUGUGAGUUUUUUUCUUUUUCAAAAUUGUGUUAUACAGUGUAAAUAUUUUUGCACUUUAUUCUAUUUUUUUUAAAAAAAAUCCUUUAUUAAUUUUUAAUAGUUCUUAAUUCAUUUUUUCCUUCCUUCGUUAAUUUUUCAUAUUUAUAUGUUAUUAUAACCUUUCAAAUUUAAAUUGUGAAUAUAUUUAUUUAAAUAUUUUCUAAAUUUUAAACUAUAAAUUUCACAUUUGCAAAGUGCAUGUAUAUAUAUAUAUAUAUAUAUAUGUGUUAUUUUAAAUUUAAAUUUAUUAUUUUUAGUACCACCAUAAUUAUUUAGAAUUUUACAUUAUAUAAUUUCUUUUUACUAAGGUAAUCAUUUAUGUUAUCUUAAUAUUUUACGACUACAACAAUUAUCUAAUAAUAUAAUUGAGUUGAAUUUGAGUCAAAGACGAUAAAUGAAUUGAAUGAUAAAUAAUAUUUCAAAUCAAAUUUAAACAACAUAUAUGCUUAAUAAAAAUGAUUGUAUUGUAGUUAUUAAUUUUACACAGUAGUAUUUAUAUGUACUCGACGAUGUUAAUGUUUUAUAAUUAUUUUUCUAUAUUUUAAUGAAUUCUAUAUAUUUUAAUUUUUAUAUAAUUAAAUUAUCUUUAAACUAAAAAUUAAGCAAAAUAUUAAAGAAAACACACACAAAAAACAAAAAAACAAAAUAUAUUUUCAAAAGAAAUUUUUUUUGCUUCUUUUUCUAAAAAAGAGAGAACAGAAAUAAUUAUCAAAUGUAGUACCAUUUCUUAUUUUUUAAAAAAAAUAAAAAAAUAGAAAACGAAAACGUCGUCAAACGAGCUCGUAAGAAAACGUCGUCAAACGAGCUCGUAAGAAGAUUCUCAGUAAGUCAAUAAAAAAUCAACAUAAUUUUAAUUGUUGUGAGAGAGGAAGGAUAGUUUUAUUUAUUUUAUCCUUUUAAAAAAUGUAAUUAAGAGUAGAAAUGAAAAGAUGAAAUUAGAUAUUAAAAAAGAAAAAGUUGGGUUCUCGUGGUCGCCAUCAAUCAGUAGCCACAGUUGUUGUUCCCUCCGGAGAAAUUCAGCCAAUUCGAAAAUGGAGAUGACGACGCAUCACACAAACACAUAGUUCUCUCUUUCUUCCCUUCUUCUACCUUCCCCUCAUUCACUUUCUUCUUCUACGGUUAGGGUUUCCAAUCCCCUUUCUCUUUCCUUUCCAAUUUUUUGCAUCCUUCUUUUUUUUUCUUGGUUUCUCUUAAUUUUAUUCCUUUUUUUUUUCUUUUUUAAAUUUCUCCUUUGAAUUACUACAGGGGUUUGCUUGCACGCCAAUUUCAUCUUGAAGAUCGAUCGAAAACCCUUGUUUUUAAGGGUUAAAGGGGUAUGAUAAUUUCUUUUUUCCUCUUCUAUGCCUGUCUUGCAACGUUUCUACUGAUUGAAUAACUAGAUAUGUGUUGGUAUACAUGUUUGAAUAUGGAUGUUAUUUAUGAGCCUAGUGCUGGAAGUAUUGAUAUAUGUGUGUGUGUGUGUUAGGAUUGUUUCACUCUUGAAUUUUGAUUGUUUAAUGCGGACUCUGUGGGUUGUUGAUGGUAUACUGAUCGAGGCUCCGUUAGAGAUGAUUUGGGAAGUGUUUAAUUUUUCAUUGUAGAUUUGGAUUUUUUAAAUCAUAGUUGGUUGGUGUCAUUUUUCUGUUAUGAGUUUAUGUUUUUAUGAGUACAUGAGCCAUUUGAUUAUGGUUCAGUUGUGGAUUCAAGCAUCCUUUUGUUGUUAUUUUUAUAACCCACGACAUGUUUUGGGAUCGAAGGUUGAUUGGGAUGGAUAAUCUGUUGCUUUGGAGUUAAGAUUAAAUUUUUUUUAAAAAAAUUUCUGAUGAGUAUUGUAUGAAUUUUUUAUUUAACUCAAGAGUGUUCAAGAUAUGAAGACUGGGGAUUGGUGGCAUGAAACUAUAGGAGCAUUGUUGGAAUUUGUUUUUAUCUCUAUAGUUAUCAAUUAAAUUGAGGUCUUCUUGGUUUUUAGCUUUUGAUAGUUAUGCUGGUUUUCUCACAAUUCUUUACCAGUCUUCAUCUUUCCUAAUAAACACUUGAAUUUUUAGCCCAAAAAAAUAUAUUAUUUUUAUAGUUUUUAAAACGUGGCUUGGUGUUUGAAAACACUCCGAAAAAGUAGAUAACAAAACAAAGAAAUUGAUUGAUGGAAUUAGUGUUUUAAUGUUUAAUUUUCAAAAACCACAAACUCAAAACCAAACGAUGAUCAAAUGGCGCCUAAAUCUCUUGAUUCUUUUGGUCAUCUUUAGGUAUCUUGGUUUCUGCUGUUGAUGUUGGAAAGACAAUUCGUGGAUAAGAUGUGAAUCUCUUUCGAUACGAAGUUUUGUACCAAUCUUAGGACAACCUUUUAUGGCUACUUGUUCAUACUUUUCUUCUCUUCUAUUAUUUAUGAUUUAAACCUCGUUGCAAGUUUUAUUCUUCCUCAAAUUCCAAUUUAUAAUUUGUAUAGUUUCUCCAUUUUCCAGACUUGUAGUUAAUGGCAUCUGUGUGACCUAUGAAUGAGAUUAGCCUAAGAAUUAUUCUUUACCUUUCCAUACCCCUAAUUAAUUUAUAAUUUGUAUAGUUUCUCCAUUUUCCAGACUUGUAGUUAAUGGCAUCUGUGUGACCUAUGAAUGAGAUUAGCCUAAGAAUUAUUCUUUACCUUUCCAUACCCCUAAUUAAUUGCAUUACCGGUACCUCAAACAUGCAUAAAUAACAUUCUGUGUUCAUUGUCAUAUGUAUGGUAUAGAAUUUGAUAUCCUCGAGCUCGUACUAGUAAUAGCAGCUGUAUUUGAUAUCAAUCAUGGCAUCAUCCUGAUUCCUAGUACAGUCUACCUAUUGAAUGAAAUUAUGUGUAGUUUUAAGCAUGUGUAUCUGUCUGUUUCCCACCCAAAAGGAAAAGAAACAAAUUAAUGUAAAUGUGUUGCAGGAGAUUGAUAAGAUGGAACAUGACGAGGCAAGCUGUCAAGCUCCCCCUGAGGGUCCCUUUCUAUGCAUCAACAACUGUGGCUUCUUCGGAAGUGCAGCUACUAUGAAUAUGUGUUCUAAGUGCCACAAGGACUUGAUGUUGAAACAAGAACAGGCUAAACUGAGUGCUUCGACUCUUGGAAGUAUCAUGAAUGGAUCAUCUAGUUCUAACCAAAAUGAAACCUUUGCCACCGCUAGUGUGGAUGAGCCAGUUAGCUUGGUGGAGCCUAAGAUCACGUCAAUGCAGGCAUCCCCCAUGGUUGUUUCUGAUGAGAACAGUGGAGCGAAGCCAAAGAACAGGCCUGGACGUUGCAACAGUUGUAACAAGCGAGUUGGAUUAAUGGGAUUUGACUGUCGUUGUGGUAACAUCUUCUGCGCCGUUCAUCGUUACUCUGACAAACACAAUUGCCCCUUCGAUUACCGCACUUCUGCUCAGGAUGCAAUUGCUAAAGCCAACCCGAUUGUGAAGGCAGAGAAGCUUGAUAAGAUCUAAGUGCAAAUCAGGCUAAAGGUGGGUUCGAACCCUUAUAAUGUGUUGAUCAUUGUCAUCAUCAUCGCCUAGAUGAUUUCUGCUUUGCUGCAUGCAUAUCUUGUAACCUGUUGUGUAUUGUUAUAUUUGGAGGGGAGGGUAUGGCAAAAUCGUUGCAUCUUUGCAUCUUUGCAGUCUGAAAGAAAAUGUAGGAAGGCAGUAGGCCGGUUUCGUUAUUUUUCUUGUUCUUACAACGGUUUAAAGUUAUCAACAUUAGCGUGUUACGUUACUGUAUCGUCAUAAAGUGUCUUGAGGAAUACAUAUAUGAAUGCAUGCUGUCCUUGUUUGAUUUGUUUAUGAGCAUCAGUUGCACUCUAAAUUGUUAACUGAGUGUGAAUUUUCUUCUCGGACAUCUUUACAUGGUUGCCUCAAUCCGAAUCAAUAACAAAUAAAUUGGUGUGGUUAAUCAGAUUGAUUCAAAUGACGGUAGUAUUGUAAUGUAAUCACUAGUUCUUAAUCUUGGUACGUGAUAAUUUCUACUAAUGCUAUACUUAUAGCAGUAAUAAAAACCUGCUUUGGUAUUAAUGAUGAGAAGUUUGUGUGUAAUUUUACGUCUGUAUAUUUUAGAUAUCUUAGAAGAAAAAAAACAUCAUUCACCAAUUAAUUUGCUCAUUGGGAUGUAGAAAUGAAUGGAUUGAUUGAACUUCAUGUUGUUGCUUUGUUUUAUUUGAAAUUUUUAUAUAUCAAAAUAUUCAAAGCCUAUUUUAAUCCUUUUAAGAGUUUGCUGUUAUUAUUAUUAUUUUAUUAUAACACCCAAAAACCUUAUUUUUAUUUCUAAUAACAAAGUAUAACCAAAUUGAUCAAAACUCCAUUACAUAAAUUUUAUUAUAUUUUAUAAAUAGUUUUCUCAACAAUUUUUCAAAAAGUUUUUUUAUUAUUAUUAUUUUAUUUGAAAAAAAAGUAAAAACUUAAACUAAAAAAUUAAGGAGAAACAAGCAAAAAUUUCAAAUACAUCAAACUGAGAAUGAAAUCAGUAAUUAAACAGAAAAAUGUGGAAAUCAAUAGUUCUGUUAACUCCUUCCCUUCCGUCCCUUGAAUGCUAAAAUAGAAAAUUAGCAACACUAAAUAAAAAGGAAUACUAAUGCAAAUUGUGAAACACAACCAGAAUUCUUAAGAAUUUAUAAAAGGCUAACGUACAUUUACUUAUAAAGCAUGAAAGUUCUUUUAUCUUUUCUUUAAAAAAAAUGAAAACACAACAAAAUAGUUGCAAACCAUUUGAAACAAAUCAGUUAACUUCUUGUUUAAAAAUAUUCACCAAUUCAAAAAAAUCAGCAUGAAGUCAAUUUUGUUUGAAACAUCACUUUCAGCCAUUGCUCAAACUUUUGCAAUACUAAAAUAUGAACAAAAAUAGAACAGAUCUGAAGCUUUUUUCCUACAGAUGGAACGAAACAACAGCAGAAUAUCAUAGCUGAUGCUGCCAGAGAGCACAUGAAAAAAAAGUACAUAUUCUGUAAGCAUAUUUAUUAGAGGUUAUGAGGAAAAUCAAGGUCAUUUUACAAGCAAUCAACUAAAAGCUGGAAGAUGACAGGAAACAUCAAUAGUACAUGAUGCUCUAUAAUUAAAUCUCAUCUUAUCAAAACUUGGGACGAGUUCUAAUAUGAUGCUUUCUGCUUCUCCAUGAGAAUUAUUUUGGCAUAAAACACCUUGUCUCUGGAAAUAUUCUUAUCGAUCCCUUUGAACCGGUGCAUAACAGGGAGAGGAAGUAAAAGUUAGAUUGCGAAUCCACUUGAUUCUGCUUCAAGAUACUUACAAAUCCUCUCCAUCACUUCUCUACCUUUGGCACUGUUUUGGACAAACUUCUCGGCACACCGUUGCUCCACUUUUUCAGCCAUCGAUGCCAGUGCUGACAAUGGCUUGAUUUGAAUACUAGUCUCCUGUUUGCAAAUAGUCCAUCCGUUCGGAUUUUCUGGGUGAGGUUCGUACCUAAUUUUUUCAACCACUUCUAUGAAUUUCUGGAGACUAAUAUUCCGAGUGGUGAGUUGCAUUGAUUGUGACCGAGCAUCUACGACAGUAGAUUCAACACAAUGGCAAAUAUCCUGACCAACAAUUUUACGGACAAACCAUGGUCCAGGGGCAUGGAUGGUGAUAGCACGAGUUGUAUAUAGCUUCCCAGAUUCAGCAUCUACCUUUCUGUUCAAGGUAUCAACUUCAAGAAUAUGUGACAAUGUACGCUUGUUUUCAGGAUCGGCAAAUUUACGCCAAGAUGCACAAGUUACCCGUUCCCACGGGUGCUUGUAAGUGUACUCCUGAGAGUAUGCUUUAACCAUUACGCUGUUCUCAGACUGCCAAAAGCAAAGUUAACUAGUCUGCAUAUGAACAAACCGCUAAAUUAAAUGUACACCUACUAGUUCAGCAGAGAAGGAAUGGAAAAGGGAAAAUAAAAACAUCAAUGAAGAUAAUGAAUAUGUACCAGACGUUAAAAUCAGGACAGAAGAGAGCACAUACAAUGUAACAUUGAUAAAAAAAUAAUAAACCCUAUACAUCAUCUAAGACAGCAACAAGGAAAAACUAAAGAACUUGGGCAUCACCGGUGCAUAAGUCAAAUAAAUGGGAACAGUAAAAUUUUAUUUGAUCAAACCACCAAAAGUUAUUUAAAAUUCAUAAUAGUUCAUUCGCAGAAACAGAUUUUAUAGUCAAAUUGUAGUUUUCCCUGUAACUCAACACAUUUUCUGAAGGGAGGUGUUGGCGUGUUGCUUCUAAUAAUCAUUCGUGUAGUUCUGUUCUUUCACUAUUUGUCCAAUACAUUCAUUCAAGUGAUUCUCAUUUUUAGAGAAUAAAUAAAGUACCAAACUGAACAAUUGUUUCAGAUCAAUCCAAAUAAUGAUAUGGUACAAAAAAUGUUAUCCAUUCUUCGAACAGCAACAAAAAAAAAUCCACAGUAAAACAUGAAAAUAGUUUUGAAACCUAAGAUGCAAGGAACAUAGUUAACAAACUUGAAGAUUUUGUGAAUCUAACACCGUGCCACACUACUCAUGUUAUUUUCUCACUAAUAAACAUCAACAGUUGUUUGUAGGGACAUGUGAAAAUAUAACGCAACAAAUCAACUUGGCUUUGACUUUUAAGGGUAGUUUAACACAAGACAGUCUUCCAACUGCAUCUAGCCAUUAGAAGAGAGAAAACAUUGGUAAUAAAAACUGAAGUAGGAAAACGGGGAAAAAGAGAAAAGGGAAACAUAUCUUCACCAAUUUAACAACCGAAAGAGGAAGAGAAAAAAAAAGAAAAAGAAAAAGAGGACAUCACUUCUAGAUUUUGAGAAUCUAACACCAUGCCACACUGUUCAAAUUCCCAUUAUGUUAUUUCUCGCUAAUCAAUAUGGAUAGUUCUUUGUUAAAACUUGUGCAAAUAUACCAUAACAAAUCAACUUAACUUUGACUUUUAAGGGUAGUUUAACACAAAGACACUUUUGAAACAGCAUCUGGCCAUCACAAGUGAUAAAACUGUGAUAACAAAAACUGAAGUAGAAAAGGGGGGGGGGGGGGGGGGGGGGGGGGAACAGGUGUUUUCAACAAUUUAUCAAGCUCAAACCAAAUGGCAAAUACACUAAGUCAAAAAUUUGCAAGUAAAACUGUACAACAAACAGUGAUCCAUCAAAAGAAGUGGCAGUCAUCCAUAUAAUUCUUUUCAGUUUUUUUCACCCACUCUCAAUAACCACAAUUCCAUCCUUUGAAUUUGAAGAGAGGAAAUACAAAACUGGUCCAGUUUCCAGUUUCACAGGCAGCUAGCGCAGGUAGUUGAGAAUUCAAAUCAUUGCUGGGUGGGUGCAUAUGAGAAUCGCAAUCUCAACAGCAAUUACACAGAAAUCCAAAGAAAGCAGUAUAAAGGUAAGAAAACAAAAGCCCUAAAGAUGAGCUUAACAAAAUGGAAUCAAAACCCAUGUCACAGAAAGAGCUAAAGAGAUGAAAGAAAAAAAAAAGUUCACCUGAGAAAUUGAAGAUGAUGGGGUUCGUCAGCGGCAGGAGAAGGCAGUUCCAAUGGGUCAAGAUCUCAACCUUCAAAAUCAAAAUCAACAAAAAAGGAAAGAAAAUUUCUUGGUAAAUCAAAGGUUUGAGCAAGAAGAAAAUCAUAUUAAUUGGAGAGACUUCAAAUAAAGGGUUUAGUGUUUUUAUGACAAAAUUGUCUGUCACACCUCGUUCUGGUUUUUCCACACUAACCUAGAUUGAGGCAUGAAAGUACCAAUCAAAAACUGAAAACACAUUUUUUAUAAAAUUCAAGCCAUACAAAUUCUUAAAAUGAUGAAGAGUAAACACAUCAUUUAAGUAUUAAUUAAAACACGAAUAAAGAAGUUUAAGCAAAGGUAGUUUCAAAGCCAUAUCAUAAAAUAACACAUAUAUAGAUUCUACAUAGAAAGCUUGAAAAUGAACUACUAGCCAUCAAUAACGCAAUCCCCGGGAUAAUAAACUUUUCCAACUUCAGAUUGACUUGAAAACAAUGAUUGGGGUUACUAAGUAAACAUUACAUGGCAAGAUGACACAACAAUCUCCAAAACACUUCAUUAUGACAACUCAAGCUAUCGAUCUUUAAGUAUGGUGAACAAUGCUUUAGAAUUCUCCAAGUCUCCAAUCUUGUGGUAAUGUCAUGUCAAAACUAAAUGGAUAUUCACGAAACUUACCCAAAAUCUUAUCGAACACUUAUCAAAGUAGCCUUAAUUCCAAUGCACAGCACUCGAACAACCUUCUAAGUUCGAAAUCUAGCAUCCAAUACCAUAGAUUAUUCUACAUUAGUACCAAACUUAGAUGGGUGCUCGUCACCCGGCUUAGAAUCUUACCCAACGCGUGCCAAAACACUCAAUUUCGCAUUUCCUAACGGCUGGACAGCAGCUAAAAUCUCCCAAGAACCCAAAUGUAACAUCAAAAUGUAAUGGAUAUUGGAAAAUAAAAUCCGAAACUUAAUGGGUAGUCGAAAAUCUUCCAGAAAUCCAACUGAAACAAAUAAAUUUUACCCCAAAUCUUAGAUUCCGUGUGAGAUAGCCGGAAAAGAACGAGGCUACUGACGAUUCGGCUAGCGGGAUGACGGCGAAAGAUGGUUAGGUGUUGAACGGCUCGACUGACGACGAAAUCCGUGGAGGAAGUCGGAGAGAGCGACGCCGAUCAAGGCCGGUUGACCCUUGAAAUCGGCCUGAAGAGUUGCGGUGCAGCGUGGUGAUCGUCGUCCGGUGAGUCGAGCGGCGCAACGGAGGUCGGAUUUCGGUGGGCGGUUGAAGAACGAUAGAGAGGAAGUUGAGGUGAGAGAGUUUGGAGAGGGGAGCUGUUGCAUAGCACGAAGAAGACGAAGAAGAACUCUUCUUUCUCCGUAUUAUUAUUUCCCUUUCUUUUAUUUAAGAAUAAAUAAACAAUUAAAGGAAAAGACUAUAAUACCCCCUCCAAUCUUAAAACUAAACUUCUCUUUUGUCUUUUUCUUAAUUCUUUCUAACCUUUUAAUUGUAAUUUUGUCAAUUUUGAAACGUUAAAUAAAAAUUCAAAAAAAAGAUUGUAAAGUCACGUAACUUAUUAAAUUAAUUAACAAUAAAUAUCUAAAUUAUGUUCUCAUUCUACAGAUUUAAUUACGCUAUAUGAAUCUUACAUGUCAUUCUCUCACGUUUGUGAUAAAAGUCUAUGGUAACAGAUUUUACAAAUCAUUCUUCGUAUUAAUUUGAAAAUCACAAAAUAUUAUCGUCAAAAUUUAGGAUAAAAAACUUACUUUCGUUGACGUUUCUGAAUUUACAAACCACCGAAUUUAGGACACCACUUGGAUGAAAUUGGUUUGUUGGGAAGAGCAAAAUACUUUUUUUCUUAAUUGAAAACGGUCUUAUUCGUGAUAUUUAUAACUUUAUUUCCUUUUUGGAAUAGGAAAAAGAGUUGGUGAUAAGAGUGUGAUUCUAUUAAUUUAAAAAACAUUAAAUUAAUAGAUAUUUCAAAUCUACUAAUCUAUUAACCACUAAUCAAUCGGUUAAUAAUUAAUUAAAUCAUAUUUCAUUUAAAUCUUAUUUAAAUGAAUAUAUGCAUGAUAUCUUAUAGAUUUAUAUUAAUAUAAUUAAUUAAAUCAUAUUUAAUUAAUAUUUAAUUUAAAUCCUAAUAUCUUACAGAUUUAUAUUAAUUUAAUUAAAUAAAAGUAAAUUAUUAAUUAAUUCUCCAAUUAAAUUAAUUGCUAAAUUAAAUAUCUUAUAUUAAAAUAAAUUUGAAUCAUAUUCAAAUAUAUGUUUUUCUCAUAACCAAUAAUUUAAAUUUAAAUCCAGUUCACAUUAAAUUAAUAUUUAAACUCAUUCAAAUAUUUUAUCUCUCAUAAAUUAAUUUUGAAUCAUAUCCAAAAUUAAAUUUAUAUAAUAAAGUUUGAUAAACUUUAUAUUAAUAAUGUAUCACUAUACAUUAAACUAAUUCUCAAAGUAAAUUUGAACAUUUCAAAUUGCAACCAAUAUAAAUAAAUCUCAUUACUCUUUACGAGCUAAGAGGGGGCCUAAUGGACAUACAGAUCAGAAGCUACAACGAUAUAAGACUAAUUGGCUAAACUCAUUAAUCAAUAUUCGUUAACUGUGUGUACACUUCAUUAAAGACUCACAGUUGAACUUUUCUCACUAUAGAUAUAUUUAUGUGUCCAUGGAUAUAGACCAAUGACAGUAAGUUAGUCCAUUUACGAGUGUUCGUAACACCAGUUGGGUCAAUUUGCCAUUUUAUCUAUGGGUUACGUUUAAUCUUUAAAUACUAGUGCUUCUCUAAUGAACAAUCUGUUUAUGAUCCUACCAAUAAACAAAAACCUUCCUCGUGCCAUAAAGAGGGUAAGGGCUCUUUGUUCAAGUCUUGAAAACACUAUUUAUGGGGAAACUCAUCUAUUUACCCUAAAGUAGGGAAUGAGUGAAUUUCAUCUUGUGUAUUUAUGUUUCCAUCUCCCCACUUAGUCUUGUCCUCAAAAUGAUAAGCUUAUUGAGUUGGUAAUUUGGUCAUUCUCACUCAUACAAAUCAAAGGACAAUCCCUUGCGAACAAGAGUUCAUAAUACACUCAGGAUUAAGACUAAGUUAUUUAGGUCAUCCUAGUGAAAUAAAAAUCUAACUAGUUAACAGAGUUACAUCUAGUGGUUACUAUUUCGCGGUUCAGUCUUAUUUCAUAGGAUACCUUCACUCGCCUGUCAACUACAUGAACGCGUUGGAUCAUUGUGUUUGUAUCAAAUACAAAGUGAGUCAUAUCCAUAGUGUUACCAGGAUAAGGUAUCCAACAUUAUCCCUAUAAUAUAGAUCAUUUAAGUUGAUCUCGAACAUUGAUUCUUGUAUGUAUCUACAUACUGUUCAAGACUCAUUAAACGACUUAGGAUGUUAGUUUAUUGGAUUUAGGUUAUUAAGACAAAACUAAUAAUUUAAUCAAUAACAAUUAUUAAAAUAAUAACAUUUUAUUAACAACGGUCAAUGGAUUAUAUUUACAAUCUAUAUGUUUUAGAACAUAAAUCCUAACAGUCACACCAUUGAAGUAUCAAGUCACAAAAACCAAAAUAGAGGAAUGAGGCACCAAAGGUCACUAGUUAGCAAAAUUAAUAAAGAUUUUCAUAUUGGAGUAUUGUUGGUUAAGGUAAGUAUACACAAUAGUUAUUGGAGUAAUAUCAGAAAUAGCUUAUUUAAAAAAAUUUAUUCAAUAAAUAGUGAGCAAAUGAUUUUUGUGCUUGACGGAUGCAUAUUAAUUGUUACUCAUGGAAAUUGUUUUGCCCUUGUUUUAUCACGUGAAGAUUAAGGGAUGAUUGUAGAAUUUAUUUUUACUGGUUUUUAACACGUGCGAUGCACGCGAUAUUUAUGUUUCAUUUUUAUUUCAUUGAAUAACUUGAUUUUUUUCUUCGCAACAAGUUUUUUUUGUUAAGUAUCUCCAUUUUCAAUUGAUUAAUUUUUCUCCCAAUUGUUGUUUAAGAUUAAACUCUCAUAAACAGUUCUUAAAAUGCUAUAUGAUUGUUAGACAAUUCUACUUUGUAACUGUUAGAAAAAUAAAUUUAGUUUUCCAUACUAAAUUACGUAAACUUUUAGAGAAGAAAGUUGAUGAAUGAAUAAAAGGUACAAAUUAAGAGAAUAUGACAAACUAACUCAAAGUUUUUUUUCUUCUUAUAUACGUACAUAUUUAUAUAUUCUUAAGGAUAUCAAUUGAUGAGAUUUUUUUUUAUAAAAAUACAUCAACUUCAUAAAUCACAUACUAUCAAUUAAGGAUAUAUUUUUCUAAUUUCUAUUGUUGUUUGUAUUGGUAUUUGGAUAUGCUUUCAUUUUUAUCGAUCUUUAUGGAUUUCUUGGAUCAAAGCCAACAACUUCUCGAUUUGAUUAACCUAACCCCUAGGUGGGUAGAUUGAUUGAACAAUUGAUGACUAAUGAAGAUGUUCUAAAGUGCAUAUUUUAUGUAUAAAUUGUAUUUCGAUGAAAUGUAUAAAAAUUUCAAAAGAUAUAUUUUUAAAAUAAACACAUCCAUAAAAGCAUGAAAAACCAAAAAAGAAAAAAGAUUAGAAAGAACAUGAACAACCCACGAAAACAUGCAAUGAAAUUGAGAUAUUUCUUCUUAUUUGAAAUGCUAUUCAAAUUGUGUGCAAAUUGAUAUAGAAAAAGAGCUUUUAUAAGCAUCCAUAUUUUAAAAUUCCUAAAAGUUCAUUCAUUGUAUUUUGUAUAAAAUUUAAUAAUUAAAUGAAUUAUUAAUUAUUUUCCGAUGAACUUUUUGACUUCCUUAACUAUGAAAGUGUUACUUAGUCACAACUUUUUGAGAAUUUCUAAAGCCUUAUUCAUUGUAUUUUAUGUAAGAAUUAGUAAUUAAAUAGAUUAUUAAUUAUUUUCAUUCAUAAGAGGAACUUAUUUACUUAUUUAACUCUGAAAGUGUUCCUUAGUUAUAACUUUUAAUUUUCUUCUGCCGUUAAAAGUUGGAAAGAUUUUUGAUUUUAUUAAGCUAUUAGUUAUUCAUAAGUUACUAUUAUCCUAAUCAAUUCGUAAAAUACUCAUUUUCUUUUUAAUUAGCAUAAAAUUAAAAAAGGACAACAUUGUCAUCUACCUAAUUAGAAAAGCUACUCCUAAAGAAAUGUCAAAAAUGAAAGAAAAAAAAACUUUUAUAUAUACUAUAGAUUAUAUUUCAUAAUCCUAGAUUGGCUUUAAAAUUAAUAAUUAAUAACUUAUGGUUACUAGUAUAGCGAUAGGUAAAAAAAAUACGCACACAUAUUUCCAACAAACUUUUUUUUCUAUUUAAAAAUUUAUUAUUCUAAUAAUUUACUUUAUUUGUAUUUUAUAAUAUGUUAAAAAUAUUUUAAGAAAAAAAUAUGCUUUAACAACAUAAUGAAAAAUAUGAUAUACUUAUUUAAAAAUAUAAUUCAAAAUGUUUAGUUUGUGUAUAUUAUAUGUUUAGUAAAAUGGUUAAGCCUUGAUGUUUUUCAAAAUUUAGUGUUCAACUUUAUAAUUUUUAAAUAAAUUAACGUAUAUAUUAUUUAUAUUAGUGAUAUUUUAUAACUUUUGUGUUUCUUAAUUUUUUUUUUUACAAUAUAACAAAGAUAUUGAUUCACUUCUCAAGUUGAUAUUUUGUUAGGGAACUUCUAGUGUUGAUAUUAAACCCAUAAAAAUGUGUAAAUAUCUACCUAAAAAUAUAAUACGAAUAUGAAUGAAACUAUGAAUAAAUAUUAUGUUUUUGUUUGAAUAGAGCAGUAAAUUUUUUUUGUUAAAUUGCAAAUUUAGAUUAUAUGGUUUGAACAAAGUUGGAGAACGUUGGUAGAAAAUUUUAAAACGGAUGAUUUAACCAAACAAGAUUCUAUUUCAUAUUUUCAAAUAUGUAUUCGAUAGCAAAUUAAUUCAUAAAUUAAAAUUUAAUUCAAAUAACAGUUUGGAAUGUGUUUGGUACAACAUAAAAUUUAUUUAUGAAAAUAAAUUAUGUUAAAAAAAUUAUAAUUACUAUUAUGUAAUAUUAUAUAAUUUAUAAAACAUUACAUAAUACAUAUUAUAUUAUAUUUGUAGAACAUAAAUGGAGUUUAUAACAUCAGAUAUUGUUUUUUCAAAAAGAAAGAAAACAACAUGACAUUACUUUUCUACAUGUUUUGACUAUUUAUUUACUAUAAUACUUCAUUUUAAAAUUAAAAAUUGAAAAUUUAGAAAAAAAAUCAUGACUAAUUCAAAAUGGCAAUAAAAGUUUAAAAGGGCAAUAAAAGCUUCAACUUUUUAGAGUUUAUAGUUAAAUAAAUUCAUUGAAGGUUAGAUGGAACCAAAGAUUCAAUUUUAUGUCAGAUUUAUCUUUGAAUUAUUUUAUAAAUAAUGAAUGACUUAUUUAGUACAAAGUUGAUGUUAGAAUUUGAGGGAAAAAAAAGGUAAAUUACUUUUGGUAAAUUUUUCAUUUUGACAAGUGUGCAUCCGAAUGAUAUGAUGAUUUUGAUGAGAGAUGUAAAACAAUAAAAGUGAAAAGAAUUAAAACGUUUAUAUAUUUACUUGAAUAUUUUCUUUUAAUUUUUUUGUUUUAAUAAAUUUUCAAAAGUAUCCACCCAUGAAAUUAAGGCCUCUAACAUUUUUAUGGAAGUUGAUAUUAUCGAUAUCACGCCCAAGGAUAGGGAAGAGCAGUCAGAUUGUGGAAAAAUGAAAAAGAUAUAUUUGGCUUAUAAGUUAUAACCCAAAUUUAUUCCAAAGUUUUGUUAUAAAUACACAUGAAAAUAUUUGUUCUGCAUGGUUUCCUAAAACAUUAGGACUAAAUAAUAUACAACUACAUUAUAUGCUAAGCUUGGGACGGAAAUCCAGACCAGCAAAUGGCGUAGUGAAUUCAUCCAAACAAGCCAUUCGGAUUCGCUCCGGUGUAGCAGGAUUAUCAAGAGGAAACCAAUCGUCAUGCCCCGAUUCUUUCCUUGCAGCGAUUAUGGCAUCCUUGAUUGCAAAAAAGACGGCAGAGGCCAAAAAGAAUGGAGGUUCUCCCACCGCUUUUGAUGAAUGAAGGGCCUUCACAUUCGGGUGACCCUAUCGAUUAUUAAUCGCAGUGAUUAGUAUGCAAAACAAAUGCAUCUGAUGAACCACAAACAUUAAACCAAAGAUAAUUCAAACAACAUCAAAAUAUAAAGAUCACAACUGUUGAGCCGGAGCUUAAAAUGAUGGGUUACAAUAAAUUUGAUCUUUUAAGAAUAUUUUAAUACUUUCAUACACCUUGUGAGCUUAGAAAUUUGUAGGAUAGUCAAGAAGUAGAAAUCAAUAUCGAUAGUAACCGAAGAAAAAUGGUAUUAUUGCCAAGGCUCGAACACAAAUCUUUAUGCUAUGACACCAUAUUAAAUCUCUAAUGAAGCCAAAAGCUUGAAUAAUCUAUUAGAACGUGUACUCAAGUAUCAUGAUGCAUAAUAUUGCAUCUAAGAGUAGUUUAACAUUAAUGUCAGAAAUGUGAAAAAGACUUAGUUUCCAAGAACGAAUAGCUAUUUCUCUUUUUAGUGCAAACAUUUUUCACAUUUAGUUGCAACAAACAAAAAGAAAAUGUGAGAAACAACGAAAGAACAGAAAUUAGCGUACCUUCAAAAGAGAAACAUUAAAUUUGAAAGGGACAUCGUUAAUUGAUGGAAUUUUGUAACUUCCAGGUCCAGCAGUAUACAAAGUACCAGGGGGAAUCCAUCUAUGAGCUGGAUCUCCCCAUUUCAAUUCUUCUAGAGCUACCCAACCCAAUCCUUGUACAAAUGCACCUUCAAUCUGUUGAAUAAAGGAAAGGAACAAAAGAGUUCUUCUAAGAGAUUCUGACAACACAUCACAUCUACGAUAUCAAAUAAAUUUAUAUUUUGAGAAUGUAAACUGAACAGUGAAGUCUCAAGCACCAAAAGGAAAUAACAACUUUGAAGAUUGAGUCAAAUAGGAUCAAAUAAGAACUUGAAAUUGCUACUGAAUUGCUGUCUAUCCUGUCGGUUGCUUAGUAUCAAACUGCAUUUUCUUAGCACCAUAAACUAGCAACGAAUUUAUCAACAAGUUUAUCUCUUUCCAAGUAAUUAAGGAUAUACCUUAUAGCAUUCUCCUCUAGAAAGAGAGAAAAUCUAAUCAAAUAUUCAAUACUAAUAUAUAAACAAACAUAGAUUAUGGAAAGGCUGCGACAGAAUGCAUCUAAAGUAUAUCAAUAAAAUAAUAAUGGAAGUUGGUUGUGUUUUUUUAUGUUUUUGGGGAGUGAGAAAUAAUAGAAUGCUUAAAGGAUUAAAGAGGAACUCUUUUGAUGGUUCCUUGUGAAUUGUGAUGUUUCUCUCAACUUUGGUUAAAAGUUUCUUUAGUAAUUAUUUGCUAGGUUUCAUUUUGUUAAAUUGGAGGCUCUUCCUCUAGGGUGCUCAGUUUGUUUAUUGUAUUCCUUUUUUUUCUUUUCUUUUUUUAACUCAGUGAAAGUUAGCGUUUUACCAAUAUAUUAACACUAAAAUGGAAGAAAGGAAAUUCAGUACUACCUGGCCAACGUCAAUGGCUGGAUUGAGAGAAUGUCCAAGAUCUAGGAACACAUUUGCUGACCGAGUAUGAAAGUCUCCAGUUAACGUGUCAAUUUCUACUUCCGAAAAUGCAGCACCAUAAGUGAAAUAUCUGAAGGGGAUUCCUUUCCCAGUUGUCCAAUCAAACCCGAUUUCGGGUGUUAUAAAGAAACCAUGAGCAGAUAGAUCGAUCCUUUGAGCGUAGCAUGCAAGUGCCAGCUGAAAACAACGGAUGACUAUCACAUGAUGUGAUAUCAAAAUUGAAAACAGAACAACGAGUAGCUGGAUAUUAAAGAGAAUUGCAAGUGAAAGAAUUGUGCCAUUUAAAACAAGCAAUCAGUACAGUGUUCCAGGUUUGCAAUUUUUAUUUUAUUUCAACUUGAUUCCCAAGCCUUGCAGCAUGUGAUUGUUGUAGAGGUGCUGGUUCGUUUGGAUGUGAUUUAGAUAUUACAAAGCUCACAUACUACCAUAAUAUUUGUAAAAGAACAUUGAAAGUGCCCAUUUUUUCUAUUUCCCAUAUACACGAAUAGAUACACUACCAUAUAUUAAUAACUAAUGGGUUUCAUGAGCUAUCUAUACAUUAGCCGUUCUCCAUUAUACAUCACAACCAGCUGCUUCGUAGUAUUGACAAUUAAAGCAUCAUGACUAUGAAUAAACACUGUCAUCAAAUGAUCACCCACCCAGAAUUAAAAUAGUUUCUGCUUAAAACAUACAAAGGAUCGUUAAAACCACAGUACAAACAUUUCAAGUGGUAAUUAGAUGCUGCAAUCCAAUUAUAAACUAUUUGUAGGAUAGAUGUGUUCAACAGAAAAAUCUUAAGACACUGUUCUGGUAAGGCUUUGUUUUAUCUUCAUUGUUUCUUAUUUUCAUUUUUAGAAAAACAUUUUUAGUCAUAACCGGUCUUUAUACUUUGCUUCACAAAUUUAAGAAAUCUGUCCUUCAAAAGAAUUUUAAGAAACAUUCCUAAAGUUGUAUACAAUUUUUGGAAAAAGAAAAGGCUUCUUUUUACUAUUUUUCAAGUUUCUAAAACGUAAAAACAUUUAUUUCAUCAAUUUGACCUAUAAAAUAUAUUAUAAAUAUAAAAAAAUCAAGAAAAAAAAAUGAGAUUACAAUCUUGACCAUUUUAUAUUUUAAAAAUAUUUUGAAGUAAAAAUAAUUAUAGAUAACGAGACAAUAGAAAUGGUUACCAAAAACAUUUUUAAUUCUAUUUUCAAUAAAAUAAAACAAAAAACCUAAAACAAUACCAAACAUGUCGGUUCUUUUAUCCUUUUUCACCAAACCCCUAGUAUACACAAUACCUCUGCAAAAGAGCUGAAAUUAUGCUGGGAAGCAAUAGGUUCCAUCCUUGCCUUGAUUUGCUCACAUGCAUCCAAAACUGCAGCUCCAUACAUAUCAGAGCUGGCAGAAGCUGCAGUAGGAGAUGCAUUAGGAACCUGUUUGCAUAAAAGAAAAGGAGGUAAAACAAACCAUCCAUCAAACAUACCAGCACUUUCUUCAAUGUAAAAUUAAUAUAGGUCAACUAAAGGCUUAAAAAUCAAAUGGAAUGGAGAAAAGAUUCAUCUAGUCAAAAUAUUUUGAAAUGCUAUUGAUCUAUCAGGAAGUACAAACUUGCAUUAUAGUAACAAACUUCGAAGAAGUAAUACUGUGAAGUAUAGAAGAUAGUUCCAGGUGAUUCAAGAACCUACAUACCUACCAACAUUGAGCAAAAGUGGCAAUAUUCCGUGAUUAAAUUUUCAAGAUGCAGCAUUGUGGAACUUAGGAGACUUAUGAACCAAAGUUCUUUUAGGCUUCCCAUUAAGCAAGUAUAUGGAGGGGUAGAAAGGGGUUUUCACCCUUGACAAAAGGGUAGUUGUGGUGCCCCUUUGUUCUGACAUGGCUGAGGUGAAUGUUAGUAUAUAUUUGGGUGUUUUGUGCUAGGAUUAGUUAUCUUAGUUUAUGUGUUUUUCUGUGGAUGAACAGUAGUUCAUCAUAGAGGGUACAACCCUCUUAUUAGGCUGAGUUCUUGAGUACAUCUUUUGUGCUGGAAUUCUAUCACUUGAUGUGUGUGUCUUGUGCUUUUAUUCCUUGUUGACUUCAUGAACCAUUGCAAUGGUAUUAGAGACGUUCGAAACUCUGGGGAGGUGGAGCAAGAUGACACAAAAACAACUGAAAGAUAGACUUGCAGCGACGAAGGCAGAUAUUGCAGCUAUCAAGCAAGAGAUACAGAGGAUACCGAUGUUGGAAAAGACAGUGGAGAAAAUGCAUGCUAUGUUAGUUGAGAUGUAUGAGGAUUGACUGCAGCAACAAGCAUUGUCGGAAGUCAUGAGGACAAGCACAGGGAAGAGAAAGUUAAGAACGGAAGAUAAGCUGGACAUUGAGGAAGGAACAGAAGAGGGAGAGACAUCCCAGCUCAGAAAAUCUGUAGCAAAGCAGGAUCAGAUCAAGUUUAAAAAACUUGAAAUGCCAAUGUUCAAUGGGGAUUAUCCAGAUGGAUGGUUCUACAGGGCAGAACAUUACUUUCAACUACAUUUGCUGAAGGAACAAGAGAAGCUAAAGAUUGCCAUCGUGAGUCUGGAAGGAAAAGGGUUGAGCUGGUUUCGAUGGGCCGAGAACCGCCAAAAGUUCAAAUCCUGGCGAGUGCUGGGAAUUCUAGAGAAUGUUCUUACCAAAGGGAGCUCUGCAAGUGCUGGGAAUUCUAGAAGAAUAAGUGGGUUGCUUAGUAAUUUGGGGGGUUUACAUUUCUAGGUUGCCAAUGAGAGGAUGAUAGACUAUGCUCAUAUUAGGAAUUCACCUCUUAACGGGUGGCAAGGAUUAUUCAAUCUAAUAUUGGGUUUUACCAACUCAAUCAAUCUAGUAGCGUAAUUCUACUUUUACAAAGUUUCACAUCGUUUUAGGAAGCGACACAACUUCAGUCUCAAGCUCUCUGACUAUUUCCAUCUCUUCCCCAUUAUUUGUUGUACGAGAUUAUUGUCAUAACUCCUAGUUUUCGGUUAUUAAUCCCAAGAAAAAAAGGAAGAAGGAUUGAGGUCCUAUUUUAGUCUCAUUGUUGUCCAUGUCCAUGUUGUAUAAUCCAGAGUCGUUACUAGAAAAUUUCCAUGGUCCUUGAGUCCAUUUUGUAACAUUUCUCAGUUCUCUAAUGAUUGAUGGUUCUAAUGCCAGGAAAUAGCAUGCAUAUAACUGUGAUCCAAGAAUCCAGAGAGAGCGUUUGCAAAGCCAUACGGAAGAUUGAUAAAUAUUUUAUUUCUACUCACUUUUGAGAGUAAAAGUUAGAGGCGUUUGCAAAAGUAGCAAAAAAAAUUUAUGAUAAUAGGGUCCAUGUCACUGCAUUUCCUAAAUUGCAAAAGUAACAAAUUUAAAAGCGGAUAGCUCUCUAAUAGCCAUUUGAUAGCUCUCUGAUAGCCGUUUGAUAUAUCUAAUUACUUAACAUAUUUGACAUAUUUGCAAUAUGCAAAAAAGAGGUGCUAUGGACUGUUUUUUUCUAAAUUUUUUUGUCAUUCUGAUGCAAUUUUCCUAAAACUUAACGAUGAGAUGUCUCACAGAAUUUUCUGUGAUUGGGAGAAAAUAUUGAAAAUAAUAUUUCUACAAAUCAAACUUGUGUGAACUUAUGGAAAAUAUAGUUGGUGUUUAAGUGAAAUUAAGUUGAAUUUUCUGUAAAAUGGUAUACAUUGCUUAAGUAUCCACCGAAAAAGGUAUAAAUAUUACAAAUAAAUCCCAUAUUACCUUGUCCGUACUUGUCUCUGAUAUGAAGACAGAACUUAGAGGAAUAUUAAAGGCAGAAGCAGCAACCUGUGCAACUUUUGUAUGCAAUCCUUGGCCCAUUUCAACACCUCCAUGCGUAACUAAAACUGUCCCAUCAGUAUAGACAUGAACCAGAGCACCUGCCUACGGUCAAUAAAAUGUAUGAGGUCAGACUUCUUAUGGAUGAAAUAUUACCCAAAUAAUAUCACGGUAUUUUCAGCAAGUCUUUUCCCACCUGGUUCAUUAGCUUUAGUGUAAAUGAUAUGCCAAACUUUGUAGGAACCAUAGCUACACCACGCUUCCUCCACCGAUUUUGGCUGUUAAAUUGUUCAACUUCUUUACGAGCAUUAGCAAAGUCACAAGAUGUCUUAAGUUGAUCCCAUAGUGGGGCCAGGGUAGAGUAUUCAACUUGCUGACCAUAGUGAAGCAUAUACCCCUCGCCUUGGAAAUUGAUUUCCUACAUAAAUAUAGCGUGCUAAAGUAAUGGUCACUGGGACAAGAGAGCGACGUUAAGAACAAUUAUCACUAUUAUUAACAAGAUACCACAAUAAUAACAAUCACCACUAUGAAACUUACCCUUAUCUCUUCCGGGCUUUUCUUGAGUUCAACAGCAAUUCUUUGAAUCCAAUUUUCAGUAAUAAGCAUGCCUUGAGGUCCACCAAAUCCACGGAAAGCAGUAUUACUAGGAAAAUUUGUGAAACAAACCUUUCCCUGAAUCCUCACAUUUGGUAUCUCAUAUACAUUAUCCGAGUGAAACAUAGCACGUUCAAGGAUAGCAAGAGAUAGAUCUAAUGAAUUUCCACCAUUGUUGUAGAUUUCCAAAUCAAGAGCCAUCACUUUUCCCUCAUUUGUGAAACCAACCUAGGUCAGUUGUUAAAAAUCUUAUUGUUAUAUGGUUUCAUAACAUUUCAAUCAAAGAAAGGAUACUUGCAAAAGCAAAAGCAACCAAUUGAUAUGUUAAGAAAUUAUAUUGACUAUAAAUCAUCGACUAGGACGUCAUGUGUUCAAACUUCUAUUAUGUCAUUUUCUCAUUAGUUAAAACUGAUCCUCAUUGGGCUUCAUGUUAUUUGUUAAACCACAAAUCAGGGGAGGAGUAAAGAAACUAAAUUUUCCGUAGUAUCAGCUUGUGCUAUUGAGUAUAUUGUUUGGUGGUUAUUAAACAUGAUCGUUAGUACUCAAUGAGAUUAAAAAAGGCCCUGUCUUCUCCCUCUAUGAUUCCAAAAUUCUUUCAUAUGUAAAAGAUUUAAAAUUAAAAAAAAAAGGCAUUGUCAAGCAUUUUUGUUUAACUAUAUGCCUAACCAGUUUAUUGAGGAGGAAGUCUCUCACUUUUUCAUACUGGCUGGCUGUAUAUUAUGGUCCAAGAAAGAGGGAAUGUUUCUUUCGAAUUAUAUGAUACAAGCAACAUUGACCCCAUUCACGUGCUUAUUUCCCCAACUUCGUAAAGAUCAACAUCAAAUUAAAAUCCAACAGUUAAUUCAGAGUGUAAAAGAACACCUUAUACUUUCCAAGAAAGCUAUGCCGUUGCCCUGUAAUCAUCAUGUCUGUAUCCCUGUCUAGUGUCAACUUCACGGGCUGAUUCAACAAAAAUGAGGGGACAGAUGCUGCCGCAGAAUACACAGCUGCUCUUGUUUCCUUCCCCCCAAAUCCACCACCAAUGCGUUUGGUCUUGCAAACUACUUUGGACAUUGGAAGCCCAAGAACACUAGAAACAUACUUCUGGUGCUUUUGAGGCGCCUGCACAAGGAAAAUUGGGACAAUAAGCUUAACUAGAAAAAGUACCAAAUAGUAAUAUUUUCUCUUUAAAAAACUGAAUAAACAUCUUAAGAAUGGACCAAGAACAAGAGCAUUGAAGCUCAAACUGUUGGAAGAAAUUGAAGACUAAAGGUAAAGGAGGUAAAAAUCCAUUAAAAAACUAAAAUUCUACAUCUUUAUUUUAAAAUAAAUAAAAAUUCAAUACAUUAUAUAUAAAAAAAAUAUAUAGCAGAAAGGGAAACCUAUACAAGAGGUACUCGUUAUAUCAAAGAGAGUUAUAGUGCCUUUUUUUCCUUUCCUUUCCUUUCUCUUCUCUUCUCUUUUCUGUUAAAUAAUUCAAAUUUCUGAUUGGUUGUAAAUUUUCAAAUGAUACAAGGCUACCACUAGUGCCCCUUGUAAUAAAGUUCACAAAGAAAAUUAGUCAAUCAAACAUAGUUUUCAAUGACUCAAUACCAUGUAUAAAAUGUUCAAACCGAAAACAUAAGCAAUGAAAUACUGCAGGGGGGGGGCGUCUAGAAACAAGGUCAUUUUCAUCAUGCUUGUUGGUGAUAUAUAAUUAAGCUUAAGCUGUUGGAUGAAUUGGUGGUUUAAUAUGGAUAUCAGAGAAGGUGGUCCAGGGAGAUCCUGUGUUCAAGCACCUGCAUUGUAGUUUCCUCUCCAAUUAAAAAUCAAUUUCCACUUGUUGGGCUUUUCAAAUAUUUUGAGCCCACAAGUGAGGAAGAGUGUUGAUGAUAUAUAAUUAAAUUUGCCUUCAAUCAUAAGCUUAAGCUUUUGGAUGAAUUGGUGGUUUAAUAAUUCUUAUAUAUAUCAUUAUAUUUCUCUAUUUCAAAGAGGCUGUCAGAACCCAUCAUUCUAAAAGAGUGGUAUUACGUCGCAAAAACAGGGGAAAACAUGCAAGAAAGUAACACUACCAUACUUGUGUUGAUGACACCAGAUGAACUUCAUUACCAGAAUCCAAUGUCCAUACCACACUACUAUUUGGCUCCAAGUAAAAGUGUUCCUGACCUCCCACUUGAACUUCACCUUCAAUUAUCUUAUCACACUGACCUGAUUGGAAGCAAAAUUCCACAUCCCCUUUCUUCAAACACUUCUCAGUGUUGGGAUGGAAACUGUUAGCAAGGAUAGCAUCCUCAAUUGAUAGUAUAGCAGGGAGCUCCUCGUAUUCUACAUGAACCUUUCUUGCUGCUAGUUUUGCAUUUUCAUGAGUAUCAGCAACUACCACUCCUAUAAUCUGAAAAAAAAUUGUAUUUAGUUCAGAAAAGUUAGAACAGAAAAAAUUAAAUUGAUUAUUAGAAACAAAGUACUCAGCAUUUAGAGAUAGUGACAGGUAAAAGGAUUGCUGAUGGGAGUCUUAUGAAAGUGAUUAGAUACUAAUUGCACAUUUUCUCUAAUGGACACUGGUACAAUUGUAACAACAACAACCAUCCCAAUUCAAGGGUAGUUAUUUCAUUUUUUCCUAUUCAUUAUUACUGUUUUUAGGGAAGAAUAAGGUUAGGAAUGGCAAAGAGAAGAAAAAUAUCAUAUUAAGUCAUAAGUCAUGGUAUAGUUAGGAAUGGCAACCUAGAACAAGCAUUACCUGUCCCACGCAAGUGACAAAUUCUGAUGCAAAAAGUUCCUCGUCAUGAAUAACUGCCCCAAUCUUAUUAUCGGCUGGGACAUCUUUGGACAGGAAGAUGCCGGCAAAACCAGCAGAUUUUCUGGCUUCCAAGUCAUCUAUGCAACAGAUGCGAGCAUGGGGUUUCUUGCUCAGAAUCAAAGCAGCAUGCAAACCAUGAGGAGGUAAAGGUAUGUCAUCUGCAUAUUCUGCCUCUCCUGUGACCUAAAAUUAUAAGUACUGUAUCAAUAUUAAUCUCCGUGAUAUAUUCUACAAAAUCAACCAAGUUUGUUAUUAAUCGAUUUAAGUGCAUUGAGAAUUUAGUCAGUCAACAUGUCUAGAAAAACCAAGCAAUUACCCUCCAUUACAUAUUUCUUCUUUUUUUUCUUAAGAAAGAUCAUUCCAUAAAUUAAAACAAACAAAACAAUCAAUUCAAAUUCGAAAUUAGCUUUCCAUCCUGGUUUCACUUAAAUAGAAUAAACCAAGAAAUAUCUUCAUGUUUUUGAAGUAAAAUAAAAGAUGAUCCUUUACAUAACGCCUAAUCUUUUAUGUUAUGUGAGCAUGUUUAUGUAAUUUUAUAUUGUUCUAGAAAUUUAAAUGACAAUAAAAAUAAAAAUUUACUAUGAGUAUGUAUCAAAGAUGAUCAAUAUUUUAUGACAAAAUGGUACAAGUGCAUUGGUUAUGUCCUUCCAGUGCAAGGGGAAUGAGUCUAGAAUACUAUAAAGCCACCUACUGCAGGUAAAUAAAUUGUAAUCUGCGUUCCCAAGGCAAUAAUGCAGUAAUUCUAUAGGACAAUAACUCUAUAUCGCAAAAAACAUUCAUGCAAAGUAAGCAUUCUGUUAUUAUUAAACAAGUGACCGUGGAUGUAUAUCAGAUGUUGGAAAGUUUUGUAUGCAUUUGGUUUAUUUCUAUAAUAUAAAGUGAUACACUUUUACAUACCUGAAGUCUAGCAGAAAGAUGAACCUCAGGAUAGCCAACAGCCGUCCCAUGUUUUUUGAUCUCAUAGUCUUGACUUCCAAUAACAUGUGGCCGUUGAAAUGACUUUACGGCCGAAAGAUGCGACAAUGGAACUUUCUCCCCGAUAAGACUAUGUCUCUCCAUCUCAUUAGAAACCCAAAGAUAAAAUUUAAAGAAGAAGCUUAAAGUUAAGGAUUUCCGAAACUCCACCAUACCUCCGGGAGCAUUUUCCUGCAACAAAAUAUCUUCUUCUAAGACUUCCAAUGCAUUCUUGAGUAGCAUUUGAUCCCAGAUUUUCCCAAUUAGAUACUCUUUAGUCCUUAUUGCAGAAAGUGAUAAUGGAGCAACCCCACCAUAAGCGAUGGAUGCAUCUGAAACAACCAAAUUUUUACCUUCUUCCUUAAGAAAAACACGCAUACCAGCAUUUACAAUGGCAAUGUCAUCAUCUCGCCUAUGAGCCUGCUUAAACUCCUUCACAUACUCAAAACGCCUACUCCAUGGUAAGAAUACAGAGAGUAAGAAUUCAUCAUUUGCCAAAUCCACUUUUCGAUAUCCCAGGAAAAAAUUUUCAGCCAAUGUUGUUCUAAUCUUUCCCAUGCAAUUAAUAAUUCUGAACUUUGCCCUUGUAGCCAUCCAGAGAGGGUUCAAAUCUGAUAUAGGACUUGCUGUACAUAUGUUCCCACCUACAGAUGCAACAUUUCUUAUUUGUGUCCCAGCAAACCAUUUUAACUGUUCGAUAAAUGCUUUACAAAAUGAAGUUUCAUAUGCAGCACGCUCCGCUGUAACCUUUCUUAGAUUGCUUAGAAGUUCCGAUAAUCGUACGGCAGCUCCUAUCUCAAUGCCAUCGUCUCCCACAUUCAUCAUAUUUAACUCAGGCACAUGCAUAACAUGAACCAGAAUCUUAUACUGCAUUUUCUUCAACCUCAUUUCAAUUCCUACCUCAGUAUUUCCAACCAAUAACUUGGCUUCAGGGUAUCUGGCCUUCAAUUCUAACACUUCUUGAAGUGUUGUGGGCCGAAACCAUUUAAUCCCAUUAAACCCACUUAAAGUCAAGUAACUUAGUUUCUUUCGAAACAGCUCAGGAGGGAAAAUAAGCUCCUUAUCUGAGUAUGUACUGCCAUCAAUCUCACUAUAAGAAAGUGGCUCACGCUUAUUGCCACAUGUUAUACCUUUUCUACAGUCAACCCUCUCACUCGCAGAUUUAGAUUUGCAAGAACAUGGCUUCCCAGUUGAAGGGCAAACGAAUUCAUCUGUUUCACUAGUAUUCAAAGAAUUUGUGUAUAAUGCAUCAUCAGUUUUUGCAAAAACCCGAAAAGCAUCAAUAAUUGGUCUGUAACCUGUGCAUCGACACAAAUUUCCUGCAAGACAUUCUUCAAUUUGCUCUUCACUAGGUGGACUUUUACUUGACCUUAAUAAUGCAUAUAUAGACAUGAUAAAACCAGGAGUACAAAAUCCACACUGUGAACCAUGAGCGCUUGCCAAUGACUCCUGUAAUGAAUCAAUUUAGAGAAAGUUGAAAAUCUGAUUUGUAAAACUACAAUGGUGGUUGAACAUGGCUAGCUUAAAGUCUUCUUUGUUAUUCCCAACCCUCUUAACAAUGACUGAAGGAUAUAGCGUUUAGGGUCUUAGUCAACUUUGAUACAGAAUUUUAAAGGCAAUAAGAUCAUUAUUACCAUCAAAAGAGAAUAAUUUGAUCCAUAAUUACAAAUGAAAUUCAAUAAAAGGAUCAGAGUCUUCACAACAGAGUUAAAAUUAUUAUCACUAAAACCAGUCUAAUUUAAUACUAAAAAACAACACAAAUAUUUAAAGCACUUGAAAGAGUCUGAAAGUUGGAAUACGUUACUUGGAUAGGAUGCAAUCCACGCUUAUGACUUCCCAAACCCUCCACUGUUAUUACAUGCAUCCCCUCUACAGAAUAUAGAGGAGCCAAGCAAGCAUUAACAGCAUAAUGCCUGAAAGAAGAUAGUGUUUAUGCAAAGUUCAGUAUGAUGCUUUUAAUACAAUAGAUUUACGAAAUAAUGCAUGUUCGAAACCAAAUAGAGACUCACAUGCAUUUUUUAGAAUUUGCAUCGUAACUAGAAACCAUAACAGUGCAUGCUCCACAACCACCUUCGCCACAACCAAGCUUCGUCCCAGUCAAACGAUUAUCUACGUCAGAAGAGAGAAAAAUAACCCAAUUUCAAAAUUCAGAACAAUAGCAGUGAGUUUCGGAUGAUUUUUCAUCAAAGUAUUUUUUAAUACACACCAAUCAGUGCUACUUCAAAAAGCAAAUUCUAAUCGUUUUUAGUAUUUUCAAAAAUUAUUUCUCAUUAUCUAAUCAAAUUUAACAAUUUCUUUGAUAGUAAUGUUUUAUAGGCUGAAAAAUUGUUUUUUCACCCUCUCAAAAGUCACCUGAAACUCACCUCUGAGUUCUUAAAUGCUUUCAAAAUAGUUUCAAAGUAACCAAACCAGCAAAAAGGGUUUCUAGUUAAACUUUAUACCAAACUUGAUCUUAAAGUACACUCCAAGAUCCACAAACUCGAAACGAGGAAAAGGGAUCAUAUAAACCUAAAGCAGAGAGCAAGCUAAUUGAUACAUUACAUCAAACCAAGGCAAAUAAACAAACACUUGGUGGGCAGACAGGAUUCCUCAUAAAUGAUACAUAAGAACCAUUGAUGAAGCAAGUUACUCUUAAACUACGACACAAAACUUCUUACCAAACUUAUUAAGAGCCAAAACAGAACAAAUCCAGAAAACCCUUUACCUCUAAGAUAUUCAAGAAGAGUUAAAUGGGCUAAUCCGUUAGGAAGAACUCUCCGAACCCCAUUAACGUAUACAAUGGCCUCCUUCGGAUCCUCCCCAAUCUGUUCCAUAUCUUCUUUACUCUUCAACGAUCCCAUCUGGGUUCACUAAGAAGACUAGCCAAAGGUAUCAAAUUCUCAGAACCAAGAGCAGUUGAAAAGAGUACUUCAAUGAUAAAAAUGAUAAAUAAUGGGUAAGACCCACAUGCCCAGAAAUCAAUCAGAACCGAACUAAACGAUGAGAGGGAAUUUUAGUAUUCAAACCUGAGGUGGCGAAAACGAAAUGGACUGUCUGUUCUUCCUCGCAAACAUUGAAAGCUGAGCUGUACAUUAACUUAUCGAUAAAAAUUAGAGGAGCAUGCCAUUGAGAGAAGAAGAUAAACUCCACGCCCUUGCUGACGCAUAAAGUCAUCAAUUCCCAAUCAAUUGGAUGAAAAAAAGGUUGCUCUUUGGUUUCUAGCGAUAUUAAAUGGUAAUUUUGUUUCGGGGUAUUAAUAUCUUUAGUGCUUGAUUUUUCGUGUCAUGUUUAUAAACUAUGGUGGUAUGCGCAUAUGUGUUAUUGAGUCCUUGAGAUUUGUUUGAACUUUGGCUCUUUUUGUCCGUAUGUUAGACUUUUGCAAUUGGACGUUGUUUUGUUCCUAUUCUUUCAAGUGUUGUUCUCUUCCACCUCCCUGACUUUGGUUAGGUUUCUUUUUUGAAACACUUUUAAAGUCCAUACUUUCCUUCACACUUGCAUUCUUGUUGUUUAUUGAAUUUUGUACCUAACAUACAUUACCAUCUUCAUUUAUUCUUUGAGAUUGAAUCUAAAAAAAUAAUAUACAUGAGCUAAGGUCAUAUUGGUAAAUUACAAAUUCAGUAAUUAAAAAUAAAUUUUUGUCUUAUUCAGUUGCACCUAUUUCUUAGACUAUAAGAGUUUGUCUAAAAAAAAUUAUCACUCGCUAGUUUUUCUGUUAUUUUAAACCAGGCCAAGUAUCCACCAUUGCCAGCUUUUUUUACUUGGUUCAACUACUAAUAAGAGUGAGAUAUUUAAAGUUUGGUUAAAAUAUUAAUUUUAUCACUAUAUUUUAAAUAUUUUUUAGUUUUAGUUCUUUACUUUCAAUAAAUUUUAUAUGCUUUCUAAAAGAUAAAUAUUAUUUAAGAAUAACUACACAUUUUAAAAACAUAUUCAUGACAAAAAUGACUCAUUCAUAUUUUGAUGUCCGAUAUACUUAAAAUAUUUAUUUAGGUCUAUUAUUUUUAAAAGAUUCAUUUCAGUCCUCCCACGAAAUUAAAUGUUAAAUACAUAUUAUUGCUUUAUCUAGGUAAAUAUAUAUAUAUAACCUUUAUUAUAAACAAGUGGGUGAUUCAAUUUUGCUUUUGUUCCAUUAUAGAAGAAGUGGAUUUCAGAGUUAGAAUUUUAGUUGAAAUGAUAAAAUAAAAUGCAUGACAAUGACCAAUAACUCACAUGCACACUGUUGCAAUGUUGACAUAAGCAAAAGAUCAACUUUUUAAGAAUCGAGUCAAAUUUUAGGUGUGCUUUUAAAAUGAGUCAUCCAUAUGAAAAAAUCUAUUCUCAUUAUGGAAAUAAUAAAUUAUGAAUAACAAUACCCACGAGUGUAGUGGUCUUUAAUAUCUCUAUUUGCAUAGAGAUAUCUCAAUUAUAUAAGCAUGACAUCUGUCCCUACAAGCUAGAGGGUUCAAUCUUUCACCCCAACUUACACCAUCUCUCUUAUAUUUAUCUUAAAGGAUACGUAGAAUCGACCAUUUCAAUCCAACUACGUCCAGCCAUUUUCUUCAACCCUCUACUUCUCAUGGCAACUCGAACAUCAUUAGCAUCAUUCCAUCUAUCACAACAAGCAUAAGUAUUUGAUAACAAAGCAAAAGUUCCCACUGUAACCCCUUUGCUUCCAAGCAACCAUUCCCUAACUUUCUCAUACUUCUUCUCAUUCCCAUGAAGUUGACAAGCAUGAAGCAAAGCUCCCCAAACUGGGCCUUCAGCUUCCAUAGGCAUCUCCUUUAUGAAUGCCUCUGCUUCGUCUAAUAGCCCAGCCUUUCCAUACAUGUCCACCAUACAAGCAUAAUGCCUCAUUUGAGGUGAAAUAUUAUAAACAUCUUUCAUGGCUUCAAACACCAUCAUGCCUUGAUUGAUCAACCCACCAUGGCUGCAAGCAGAUAACAAACCAAGAAAUGUUAUAUCAUCUGGAGAAACGCCAUGGACUAACAUGAGUGAGAAGAGAACAAAAGCUUGCUUUCCCAGGCCAUUCAUGGCUAACCCACUAAUGAUUGUACUCCAUGAUACGAUAUCCUUGUGCUCAAUAGCUUUGAAGAUCAAAAUCGCCAUUUCCAUGUUGCCACAUUUGACAUACAUGUUAAUCAAAGCAUUUCCAACAUUUCCAUCAAUUAUCACAUCAUGCCUAGAGUUGAUAUAUGAAUGCACCCAUUGACCCAAAUGCAGAGCAGAUAUGGAAGAACAUGCAGAUAAUACAUUAACUAGAGUGGCUUCAUUGGGUAUAGCCUCUCCCACAUGAACCAUGUUUUGAAAUACCCUCACAGCCUCUUCACACAAUCCACUCUGUGCAUAGCCCCCAAUCAUUGUCGUCCAAGACACUACAUCUCUUUUAGGCAUUUUUUCAAACAGAUUCUCUGCACUCCUCAAAUACGCACAUCUAACAUAAAAAUCAAGAAGGGCAUUUUCCAAAAUAACAUUUUCCUCAUUCAAAGUCCUCAUUCUAAGCCCAUGUAUAGCUUUCCCAAGUUUGAGACAUCUAAGACUAGAACAAGCAGAUAAAGCAGUGACAAGAGUAGUAGAAUUAGGCCUCACAUUCAUGGACAAGAACUUACUCAGUGCUUCUUUUUCAAAACCGAGCUUGGAAAGACCAGAAAUGAUUGAAGUCCAAGAAACAACAUCUGGGUCAGGGAUGGAGUCAAAGAUUAGAGAAGCAGAAGAAACAUCGCCAUCGAGAAUGUAGAAAUGGAGCAGAGAAUUUUGGAUGAAGAUGUCAGAAAGAUGACCUGAUUUGAUGAGAUGGGCAUGGAUUUCGAGGCCCUUUUGGGUUUGAUGAAGGAAGCAACAGGCUUUGAGGGCAUAAGUGAAGGUGAAGUGGUUGUGGGAAGAUGGGUAGCGAAGCAUUUGGUUGUAGAGGAAGAGGCCAUUUUCAGGGAAAAUGGAGUUCACCAAAGAACCGAGCAAAGGGUUGAAAAUAUGGGGUUUUGGAUUUGUGAGGAGUUUGGCAUGGAUUUGGGUAAAUUGAGCAAUCGAAAUUGAGGGUUUCAGAGGUUUCAAUGGCAUGCUAUUGCUCAACCAUUCGUGUAGAACUUGGAAAUGAUGAAUUGAACAUUGAACCUUCGAAAAGUUAGGACUUACAACCGCCCGUAUUUUCCAAUACAGUUAUUAUAAAAAUAUGCAUAAAACAUAGCAAAUGAAGCUUUUACAACUUACACACUUCAGCGGAAGCAACUUAUUACAAAUAAGUUCUGAGUAAAACUAUCAAGUACUAAGGUAAACAUCCAUUGAUCUCCUGCACCAUACCAUAAAACUUCACUUCAUUCAAACUAUCACCUUAUCCUUUAUCUGAAAGCAUUUUAGAAAAAACAAAGAUGAGUACAAAAAUAUUCAAUAAGAAAUUCCCAUAUCAGGCAUUGAAAUUCAUUGUCUUUCAAAACUGUUGAAAAUAAAAAUACAAAACAUUGUAGAACUCUCAAUUAAAACUUGCUAGAAACAAUACUUUAAAAUUCAAGAUCUUCCAAGCAAAUAAAACUUCAACACCAAAUGUUUCAAGCUGAAACUUCCAGAUAGCCUUUAAAAAAAAAAAAAAAAAAUCAAAACGUUCAAAUAAACUUUUAGAACCUUUAAUAAAUAGAACUUUCAUACUUUUUUUCAAAUGCUAGCAUUUCAAUACUUUCAAUCAAGCAAUACAUUAUACAAUCGACCAGAACAACAAAAAUUCUGACUAACAACCGACCAGAACAACAGAAAUUACUUAAGUGUGAGGUCAUGUGAGUACAACACAAGCAUGAAUCUUGAUUCCAAAGAUGUAUCUUCUCACAAAUGAGUGUAUACCGCCAAUUCCAAUUUUGGCUACAACAAAAUACCAUAGAAUCCCCAAAACACAAAAAUGGGCAUAUCUAGAUAGCCCUAAUUGAAUCAUUCAUCAAAGUUUCAAAUAACAAUUUCAGCAGCUGAACUCAUCAAAUCCAAAACAUGAACACUUUCAAUUUAAAAUCAGUCAAAACACUCUCAACUAUCAUUCAAAGCAAUCAUAUAUUUUUACUUGACAAAUCAACUAAAAAUAUAACAAAUACUUUCAGUUGAUUCUCAAUCACAUAAAACGUGAUUUCUAAUAGGAUAACAUUUAAAACAUCCAAAAACAAAUUCAUUCAAUUCCAAAUGGUGCAAAACAUGCUCUCAAACAUCCAACACCCAUAUUCACCCAUUUAACUAAUCACAACAGCCAAAACAUAUCUUUAUCAAAAUUUACAUUGUGUAAGGGAUGUGGAAACUAUUUAGCCCGAUCAACAAUCCUAUAAUUCUCAAUCCAAAGAACCACUUCCUUGAACAAAUGUCAACUUUUAGAAAGCCUAAAUGAUAAAUCUCAACCUUGAUCAACACCGAGAGAUUUUCAAAAGUAACAUACUUAUCCAAAAUCCACCAUAAACCUUAACUAAUCACUCCAAAUUAAUCCAGAACUACGACCAACAAACUUUCACGGUUCAAAAAAUGAUCUAAGACAUCUUAACCAAGUCCGAAUUAGUCCAAAAUGUGUUCAACCUUGUUGAAUCUUAAUCAGACACUUAGAAAUAUACCCAAACAUAACAACAAACGAAUUCCAAUAGCUCAUAUUAAUCUUCAAAUACUCAAAUCCAAUUCGAAAAAGAAAUUAAAGCAAUAAUCCUUACCGACUCUUACCGAAAAGGCUCGGAUCCUUGCUGGUUGAUGACCGAAAAACUGUGAACUUACAGAUAUGAAGCUUAAAGUAAACUGAUUUGAAGCCAAUGGAAUAGCAAUCAAAAGCUUACGUCCAAGUCGAAAAGUUGCUGCAAGACAAACCAGGUAUCGAAAACGUGACGCAUCACGCUGGAGUCUCAAACGGAGAAGAAAAAAAUGCUUCAAAACUUGUUGGAAGUGGGUGUUUACGUGGUUGGCUAGCUCCGGUGUCGAACGUGGAUGAAGAGCGUGUCGGUAUGAAUCGUGUGAGACGCGAAAACUGGUCGUCUGAGUCUGUUAACGACACUACUGCUCGUCGCCGGGGAAAAAGUGAGAAGAAAACUUUUUGAACAAAUUAUUUGAACAAAUUUUCGAAAAUGAUGCUAAAUUUUUUAGGUGAAAACUUCGAUUGUCUACUUCAUAUCUUUAACCAUUUCUUCCUUAUGGAAAAGUGAGAUGAGAAGGAUAGAAGGAGCAAGAAGCCUUAUGCGACAUUCUUAAGACGAACUAGGAAUUUCACACGUACUAUUGAGCCUAUCUUUAAUUUUAUUUUUAGGUUUCAAAAUAUUCAAUUUUAGUUUUACCAUGUUUUUUAAAACCCAAGUUUAAUUUUGAAAACUCAAAAAUAAUUUCUAAAAACAUUUUUGUACUUUUACAAUUAGAUUGAGAAUGCAACUUUUCUACUUUUUAAAUACCAAAGACAAAAAAAAUUAAAUGAUUAUCAAACUACGUCUUUUAACUCAUUUCCUGCCAUUGUAAUUUAUUGAAUUAUUCUUUCCUCUUUUUUCUAAUGCCUUUUUCUUUUUGGGUGCAUCAUACUUGUGUUUUUCUGGUGUAAAUACCCUUUGUUCAAUUAUAGAAAUAUAUGAAAUUUUAAACACUCCAUCGAUGUGCAAACAUUUCAUGAAGCUUUUAUUUUUCUUCUACAGUGCUGACUCUUAGCUUAUUUUUUAGCCGACUCUUCCUCUACCCAAAUGCAAAGUGAUGCAUUGACCAACCAAUUGUUGUUAUUUAGAAAAUCAAAAUGUUGUUGAAUGGAGUUUAAAUAUUGGUUUUAUAAAGUAUAUAGUAGCUUUUAGCUAUAUAGUCUUUUCUUUAUGAAAUGUGCAUAAAAGGGGAAACAAAAAGAUUAUAUAGUUAUGGAGUUAUAAAAAAAAAGGUCAUUACUAAAACCUAACACUCAAUUAAGUAGACCAUUUGGAAUGGAGAGGAUUAUAGCAAAAAAAAAAAAAAAAAAAAAAAAAAAGAGAAGCUUCGUUAGGAAAUAUAGCAAAUGACAAGCAUAAAUGUGAAUUUCAAUAUAAUAUUUCACUCUUAUGCAUUUACAUUAGGUUGAUAAAUAGAUUUGUUCCACAGUCACUCGAUAUCACCUGCCAGAAUCUUGUGAAGGAGCCAAUUUCAUGAAGGAUUAAUUGUUUUUUAGUUUGAAGAUCUUGAUGUGGCAAUAACUUUCACCUCCCAACAAAAGGGUCCGUCGAAGUAAACACCAUGAUACCAAUUUUUUUGACACUCCCCCUUGGUGCAAAUAAACAAUCAACAACACUAAAGUGUAUUACUCAAUUCUUAUCAAAAGUUUUGGUAAAGAUGUUAGCAACUUGCUCUUUGUAAUGUAUCUUCUCCAACUGGAUGUCUUGCAUCAAGACUUUCUCUUCACAACUUCAAAGAGUAAUAGAGAAUUGCUUUUUACGUACCAUGAAUAAAAACCUGAACCUAUAUUGAAACAAUAUCUUGGUGUGGAACGUCCGUCGUUUACGUUGUUAGCUCAAUCUGCAUUAACAAAACCACUUAAAAUAAAUGAUGUAAUUUGUUUAUACGUCAAGUAUUAAGAGACGAUAUUACUCGACGCCAAGAUCGAUAUCUUGGAAAAUUAGAAGUAGAAGAAAAUAAUUUGAAAAUCAUAAUAUUGAGAUUUUGAAAUAUAAAAGGAGAUGUUGGUAGGACAAGAUGGUGAAAUGGCAGAAGUUGAUUGGUUGUGAUGAAGAGAAGGGGGCGAUGCUUGUUGGUGUUUGUUGGUGGUGAGAAAAGAGGGUUGAAAGUGAAGAAAUUCAAUUCAUUAACUUUAUUUUUUCUAUCAUUUCCUCAUUAAGCUUUCACGAGCGUUCCCCAAUUUUUCUUCUUCGCAAACAAAACGCACCCACGGGGGCGAAGUAGCAACGGGAACAAAUCAAAAUUUCCCCUUUUUUCUUCAUUUUUAAUCAAAUCGGUUUGUGAGAUGAGGAAAACAGGAGGAACCGAGAAGAAGAGGGUCAGAAGGCAAUCAACUGCUGUUCAAAAUGCUGCCAAAGAUCCCAAUUCCGAUACUCCUCCUAGGGUUUGCCUUCUUUCCUGUCCUUUUUUUUUCCCUCUAACAUCUUCAUUUCUCCUCUAAUUUUUUUGUUUUCUGAUCUGGGUUUUUCUUGCCUUCAAGAGAGAACAUUGCUUUCAGUGUGAUUAUUUGUUUGAUUCUACCAUGACCCAAUUGCCGUAUCCUUGCCAUAUGGACAUUUGAUGUGUUUUUGGACAUGUUCUAUGAAUCUCUCUUUUGGAUUCUUAUAUUUGCCUUUUUGCUUUUCCGAGAAAUGAUUGAUGGACGUAAAGUUUUCAUAAUCUGAAAUGGGUGGUGGCGUGUGAUUGGAGGAUUCAUUAACUCUACCAUCUAUUUCCAAGAUCGUGCUAGCGAGCAUCCAUUGUUUUGGUUCCUUAUUGAAGAAAAUAAAGGAAAAGGGAGUGAUUAAUGUGAAUGAACUGCAAAAGGGUUUUUGUAGUUUCUCAGUUUUGCAGCUUUGUAGUGUAGGUAGAUGAGCAACUAGAAGUUCAAAUUGUAAAAGUAAAAUAGCCUGGGCUUCAAUGGAUCGGAUUUACAUUCUCCCAUGUGGGCGUUGUUAAUUGUUAUUUUAUGGUUUGAAUGUAGAAAAAGUGUGACUUAUGAGGUUCCAUCACUCUGAAUCAAUUUGCAGUUUGAGCAUAGUUUUAUAUUUUAGUUACGAGAAAUGAAUUGUAAUUUAAUCGUAAUUUAGCAACAAGCAACAAUAUGAUAUGAUUGUGCUGAAAGCGGCCAUUAUUUUUUUACAAUGUGGGGUGUUUGGGGAUCCAUAAUAGGAUUGGUUUGUCAUGUAAUGUGAUCCAAAUCCCAUAUUUAGAUUAAUCCGACAAUUUUUAAGCCAACCUCUUUCUCACCGUUUUCAUGCUUUACAAUCUCAUUUUCAUUCCAUCUUCUACCGCUAACAUUUUCCAGCACUCCUCUAAUUUCUACUAACCCUGAUGACAUUCUAGCUCCCCAAAUAGCCCUUGAUUCUUCUUAGUUUCCUUAGAUGGAUGAGAAACGUCUUAAAUUACAGUGUGAUGGUUAUUAGGAAGUGAGUUCUUGAGUUAAAAGAGAGGGUAAGGUUAAAAUGUGUGCGUUUUUGUUUCUAAUAAGUUCUAUUAUCUCUGUAACGCUAUGAGUUUAGGAGAUAGUUUAGGGGAGGUUCAUGAAUGAAAUCGAUAUCACCUCUGAAUGAGAGAGAUUCUAAAGACAUGAAAGUAAGGUUAAGAAAUGCUUAAAAGAAUUAAAAAUUACUACCUAUACCAACAAGGUGCACCUUCCUUUUCGGUGACUCAAUCAGAAGAACUCCAAGGUUAAGCGUGCUUAGGUUGGAACAAUUCUAUGUUAGGUGACCUCCUGAAAAUUUUCCUCAAAUGCAUGUAAGUGAGGACAAAGCAUGCUGAAAGAAUCCGUGUAGGUUCGUGGAAAAAAUUUUCAAAAGCCCUUAAGACAAGUAAGGAUGAUGUUUGUUACAACCUCUAUCUGGUGCGUUUUUGUAUUGGAUUUUUCUGCCUUUUGGCUAUCAAUCACCAAAUAACUAUCUCCAACAUUAUGCUGAGUAAAUAAUCUUUGUGUGACUAUCUGAGUAUGAUAAGGAUUGGGGAUGGUUUUGUUUAUUUUUCUGAAUUUUAACUUUCCGCGUCGCUGCAGGUCAUGAAUUGGUUGUUGGUGUCUACUUUUUUUUUCUUCUUUUAAAUCAGUUUUCUAAAUUUUUUUAUUUCAUUUUAUCUGUCGCUGUUAUCUCAUCGUGGUUAUCCUCACAUGUAUACUUUUACUUUUCAGAAACAAGCUGCAAAGAAGGAUGUGUUUCAGUUGUUUUCUGAGAAAGUGAGAGACCACAAGGAUUUAGAAUCAAGAUGGGCUGUUUUACAAGAGACACGUGUUGAGUAUUUUAGAGGCAAGGAUUUUGUUAGUUUUUUGAGAAAUCAUCCAGAGCUCAAGGAUAUUCUCGAUUCAGAUAAAAAUUUGGAAACUGAAGAUAUUGGCAAUGCAUUGCUAAGUAAGAAUCUCUUGGUUAGGUGUGAUCGUGUGGUGAAAACUGUUCGUCCUGGAAAGAGAAAAUUGUCUACAUGGCCAGCACAUCUGGAGAUAUUCCCGGUGCGGAUUUUUUUUAUGCAUUAUGUAUUUCUUUUAAAGUUGGAGGUCUCAUCCCUUUUCUCUUAAAAAAAAAAAGAAACUAGCUUUCAUAAGGAAAAAGCCCACAAAGGGCCUCCGAUCAUGUAAAACAAUCCCUAUUUAAUAAUUAUGAGAAAUCUUGAUAACUAAAGUAAGAAUGGGAACAUGAAAUCUAGCCAGGGACCAUACACCCAUCAUAUCCCUUUUCAAGUCUCUAAACACUAUUGUUACUCUCCCUCAAAGAUCCUCAUAUAAUGCACCCACACCAACAAGCCACGCUUCUCUCUUAAAUAGAUGAUAUUCUUGCUGAUAUGGAUGUGUUUAUAAAUUCAGCCUCCUUAAUGCAAAUCUAAGCAAUUGAGCAAGAAAGUUAAUUAUCAACCUGUUUCAUAAUUUAGUUUAAUAUCGUAUAUUCAUAUUCUCCGACCAUUUUCCAGGUUCUGAAUGUGCAACUCACUCUUGCAGGAUCAGGUGUUCUCUGAACAGGAUGCCUUUUUUGCUUGGACAUUUGUUAAGCGGAGGCCAUUUUGGCAGACACUUCUUUCAUUUUGUUGGCCUGUGUUGACCCUUGCAAUUUGCUUGUUUCCUGUAUAUCCUCAUCAGUGCAAGCUUUUGAUACUUUACUCAUGUGCUGGGGUUCUGCUUCUUAUACUCUCGCUUCUUUUAUGUAGGUCAUACAGCCCUUUUCACUGCCUUAUUUUUGUGUUGUUCUUUUAUAUAUUUAUAAGUCAUUCAUAUGCCCUUGUAUUAUUUCAUUUUUUUCUCAAUGAAGUAAUUGUUUCUACCCAAAUAAAUCAUUCAUAUAGUUUUGUUAAUAACUUAAUUUUGGGAGUGCUGCAUCUGAAGCAUUAUGGUAGGAUGCUAUCAAAAUUUUUUUAAUGUGUCUACUUUUAUUGGCUAUGUUUAAGUUAUAAAUAUGUCUGCUUUUAUCGGCUACGUUUAAGUUAUAAAUGUGUCUACUUUUAUUGGCUAUGUUGGUUGACCUUUCUCUCUCUUUUUUAUUUUUAUUUUUAUUUUUAAAUUUUUAAAUAUUGUGAGUGAUUGAGUGAGGUUUAUGUGCACCUCGGCUAUGAACUUUUUCUCCUUUUUUUAGUCAACAUUUUUUUGGUCCUUUUCUAGAAGUAGUGUAUGGGGAGAGCAUAAUUUCGUUUUAUAUUUUUAUUUAUUAUUAUUUUAAAAAUAAGAAGGGCGGAGCACAAAUCUUUUGACCUCCUUAAGUUGUUCCUUUAAGGAUUGGACAACAUCAUAAAGUAAUAAUUGUUGGAUAGCUUGGGUGGCAAAGUCAGCGAAUGAUUGCAACUCUUUCUAAAUUCUUGAUUGUUAUUUGUGGUAGCUUGGUUGGUCUUGGUUGAUUUGUUGAUUUAUUGUGGUUCUUCUUUGUACGUAUACAUUAACAUUCACUUCGCUAGCACAAUAAAAGGUUCUCUAUUAUUUUAGGGGUUCCCAAUUGGCUUGAGCAUUAGUAAUUCAUGUUUUGAAUUGCUCAACUGCUCAAGUAAAUUGGAACUUCUUUAGCCUUUACUGUCACUUUGUGGUUCUUAUCAAAAUGGCUUAGAAACUUUUAUAUAUGACAGCAAUUGUUGCAUUAAUGAAUUAAACAUCAGCAUACCUUUGAAAUGCUUAUGCUGCAUCUUAUGCUUUCGUUUAAAUUUGUAGUGAGGGGAGCAGUUUUUGGUUUAUCGUAUAUUCUUCUGGGCAAACGUAUGUGGUUUUUCCCCAAUAUUCUCGCGGAGGAAGCGACGUUGCGAGAGCUAUUCCGGUUUUGGCCAAGUAAAGAUGAAGAAGAGAAACCGAAAUGGACAACUAGACUUUUUUAUGCAGUGGUGGCUGUACUCAUCAUAUUGCUGCUGAGGCACCAUGCUCCCGAUGAGGCUGCUAGAGCAAGGUUUGUGUCAUACUCAUACCUUUCUGAACUUUUAUACAACUGAAGAUAGAGUAGAGAAGUCUAUAACAACAAUCUAUUAAGAACCGGCCUAGCAGGUUAGAAUGUGGAUCAGUUGCACAUCGGUGUAGCAUAAGAAAACAAUUUGACAGCCAAAUGUUAUCUGACUUGAAAGUUUUCUGUUAUGUAUGGGCAUCUGCUCCAUUUAAUUUCUCACUUGCUUUCUGUUCUUGUCAUGAACUGCGUUGGCCAAUGCAGAUACCAAAAGCGUGUAUCGAAUAUCAUCGAUGAUGUUCUCGAAUGGUCUCCAAGACUUGCCCUUUCAGGGAUGAUGGAGAAGCAGCAAACAGUGGUCAAUGCCACAAAUCCGGACCCCAACACGGCUGAGAACCCAACAAGUGACAGUACAGGUCCAGAUUCUAUCCCCGACCAACCUGAGCCUGAAACUAUUGACUAUGUAGAGCAUUCUGAUCAAUAUAAUCACGACGGUGAUCAUACACAUCAGUAGGCCUGUGAAUCUUUUGAGGAAGAGAAGAACCAUGAUAAACGUGUUCCUAUAUGAGCUUUGUUUAAUUAUUAUUUUUUGUUUUAAAAAACAGUUGGUUUUUGUUACUUAUAACCUUUUUUAGGAGUCACAGAAGUUGGUUUAUAUCUAAACUAAAGUGAGCUUUUCUUACUAAAUUCCUUCUUGAUUUACACCAAAAAUCAUCUGUGAGUUGUGUCAUGUACAUGUAAAACUUUUCUUUGAAAUGCUUCCUUCCAAUCAAGUCACCUCUUUUUUUUGUGGCAGUCGUUUUCAGUGUUCGUUAGAAGUUUCUUCAACCUUGCCUGAUUUCGAUCGUUCCUUGCUGAGUUUUUCUUCUGUGAACCUGUCUUUCCAUAUCCUUGGCUUGUAAUUUUGUCAUUGUCCAGAUUUAUACAACUCUCCCAACCUCUCUUCAGGUUUCACUCAUACAGCACUCAUAGGAGGCAAUUCUCUUUUUGAUGGAUGAGGUUUUGGGAAUAAGAAACAUCAAACAAUUUUUUGGUGAAGCUUGUUGUUUCCAUGAAGUUUCUUCUCACAGGAUCUAAAAUGUGAGGGAUAGAACUUUCAACGAUCUAUAGAACUCAAGAACAUAGUUGUACAAUCUAUAAAAUAGAUCCUCUUUAAGUAAAGGCAUGAUAAAACUUAUGAUAUGAUGGAACAAGAUAGCAUAUGCUAUGUGGUAGGUUAACACUAGUACUUGUAAUUGGAUCAAUUUGAUUAUCCCAAUUUGAUUAGAUGUGAUAAUUUAGUUCAUAUCAAUUUGAAGUUUGAAGUUAAUAGUGGAAUGAAUUAUUAUAAUUUGUCAUUUUGUUCAAAUAUAGCGAUGUUUACUAGCUAUUUAUAACUUUUUCACGUGAAUUUACAACUUUAUAACUUUUUCAUGUGAAGAUUGAUAAAUUAUUUAGGAUAUAGUGUAAGUAAUUCCAUGAGAACUAUUGAUUGAGAUUUUUAUGACGGGAUGCUUACAAAUUUUUAAGUAUAUAUAAACACUAAUCGUUUAACACUAAAAUUUACGAUAUAAAGUAUUAUAUAUUUAAUUAUCUAAUCUAUAAUUAUAAUUGAUACCGUGAAAAAAGAACUUUGUUGAUAAUUUUAUCCCACUCUUCCAUUACUUGAAAGAGUUUCUUGAUACGAAUAAUAAUCAUUCAAAAUUUAUACUGUUAAUAUUUUAUUUAAGAGUAAUGUUUUAUUUUUACUCUUCAUCGAGUAAGAUCGUUGGAGCAUCGUGUUGUGCACAAAGCUUUGGAGUAUCGAAUGUCAACAAUUCUCUAUUCUCUUUAUCCUGUUUUGGUCUUUCACGACUUAUGUCUAGUGAUGUUUAGCUAUUUUAGUAGGACUUUUGCCUAUAUGUUCUUGUCCUAAAAAAAAUGUUUCAUUUUGACAACUUAUUUAAUAUAAAAAUAAAACAAUCUAAAUCAAACUAAAUCAACUGAAAAAAGAGAAAAAAAAACUAUUUACUAAUAUAGAAAACCUAUCAAAUUCAACCAAUUUAAGUUUUUUUUAGUUUCAAUGUUUUUUUUGUUAUUCAUAACAAUUUCUAAAAAAAAAAAAGAAAAUUUAUACUCUUUGUUUGUAUGUAAAAUCUAAUAAAAAUAUUUAACAAAAUAAUAAGUUAAAUUACACAAGAAAAGGCAGACUUGUACUCUUGUUUUCAUGGAAGGAAAAGUAACAGUAACGAAUGAUAAAAGAGAAGUGAAAAAAAAAAGUUGGUUGCGCAUCCAAUUUGUAAAAGAGAAGGUUGAGAAUGUAAAAUCUUCAAUAAAAAAUAAUGUGGAAAGACCCAUGAAAUAGUAAGAAGAAUAGAUUGAGCCAUCCUGUUUCAAGGUGGAUGAAUUCCAAAUGGGUGAGAUGCAUCCAUUAAUCCUUCCCUUCCAUACACAAAAUAUCCUUUGGCUUUAAAACAAGUCAUAGUCAAAGCUGAAGGAAGCCAUUUAAACUCUAUCCAUUUCUGUACCUGAAAACUAUAAUUUGCAUCAAUAAUCCGUCAAACCUUAGAUACUCAAAUCUAAAAUCUUUCAAGUCUAAGCUUUGUGAAUCACAAUCACUGUAUCUAUCCUAAGCCUUAUGAUUCAUUUAGUUUCACGCACUGCUAAUAUAAUACAAGAGACCAAAGUUCUCACUCCCUUACGUCAUCAUAAACUAUGUACAAAAAAGGCAAAAAAGGAGAAUGGAAUGAAGAAAUCUCUUAGACUUUUGAGGAAUCCUUUGAAGAAGUCAUGAGAUCCUAUAAGUCACACAUAUCAUUCACCAUCCCUUUUUCUUUUUCUACAAAGCAACAGAACAACAAAGCCAAGAAUGAUUUGCCGCCUAGCAUGCUUUGCUAGGAACUCAGUACUUCUAACAAACAAGCAAUUGAUCCCUCAUUCCCCACUGAACAACUCUGGCCAUUGUCUUGGCAUUCAGUGCAGGUUGCUUUGCUACUCAGAGGCCUUGUUCGUCAAGGAGCUUCCGUUCUGCUGUUCAGAACCGUCAUUUAGGCGGUAAUCACUCUCGUUUACUUUAUCAGAAUGCUUUUCCUUUCCCUCAGCUUCGCUUUUCUUCGCAAAACGACCUCCACUACUUCUCGACCUUCUAAUGGCAUGCUGGUGUCUAGACUCAUGAAGGUAUGGCUGUUAAAUAAGAAAAGUGAGCAACAUAACCCAAAAAAAAAAUGGAUUUUUGCGAGUGAGGUUAACUAUGAUUGAUUUAGUGGUUGUAAAAUAUGAUGAGCAAUUAAGCCUAAGCGUUUAUAAAAUAACUCCUGGGCUAUUAACUAAAAUACUGGCAGUUGGUUGAUUUUUUAACUUGUUUAGAUAGCAAAUAGAAAACUAGAACAAUAACAUGUCAACUAGUGCUACAAGUUUUACAAGAUAUUAAACAUGAACCAGUAUGAGCUAAAUCUAUAUCCCAAUUCUACCUAUCGAUAUUGUCUAUAAGAGCAUAUAAAUCUUGAUUUGAUAAUUGCUUAAAAGAUUACUCAUAAAAAUUCAGAAAGUCAAGCAUCCCCCACCCCUUACACACGCAUGCACAAUAACAAUCUAGUCCACUCGAAAGACACAAAAUCCACCUUUCUGGCUUUUAUUGAUUUCUUCUCAGCCUCAGCUUUUGCACGUGCUUGCCUUCGCCUCAAAAUUCCCUGGUAUUGCUUUGCAUUCACAAAAACGGGGUCUUGUGCUAUCUCAAUGGGCAAUGGCAUUCUAGCAUGUGGUCCUCCAACCAUGGGAUAGCCCUGUCCAUGACAAAAAUAAACUACAAAGCAUGAAAAUUUUGUUAAGACUUCAUGCAAUGGAAACAUCAAUGCUAUGUGUAUUCCAAAGCUAUACUGGAUGACAUACGUUUCUUUUAGGAUUUAGAAAAAACAUAUAUAAAAAAAAAAAGAGCAGCCUUCAUUAAAUAAAUGAAAAUUGAAGAACAAAAUGUAAAAAACCCCUGGAGACAAACUACAUAGUGAAUAAUAAAAUUUGAAUGAGAAAGUAUAAAUUUCACAAGCAUUGUCCUUUGAGCAAGCUAAUCCUGGUUUGAAGAGCAUUGGAUGUAAAAGUGUAGGUCCUAAUUCAAAUCAACAACAUUUUACCACUCCACAGUGAAUAUAAUAUUUCAUGAAAUAUCCACGAAAACAACCUUAGAAGAAAAUACAAAAAGUUAACUGAUUUUUGACAACAUUCAUUUCACGGAUAUAGAAGCAAAAGCACCAAUUUUCAUGAAGUUGGACCUGAACCCUUUAGCAGUGGGACUUGAAGUUCCAUUUCUCAAUAGGGUCAAUGUGUUAAUUAGAAGUGUCAUUUUUCUUUUGAUUUCAAAAGUAUAAUAGAUGAGCACAAGCAAGUAAUGGCAAAGAUCAUGACAGUGAAACCAAUCUCUCGCAUGUAUGAAGUCGAGAUAAUUACAUACCAAGGGCUGAUGACCAUAGAAGGCCAUCAUUCCUCCAUAAUAUGGAUCCUGAUAAGGAUUUGAUGCACAAGCCUGCAACAGUACGUCAAGAAAUUAUUCAGUAAUAUAAUACAAAAUUGUAAUUUGACCUUCUCUUUUUUGUUCUUUUUUUUUUUUUGUGGGGUGGGUGGGGUGGGGUUGGAGGGAACUUUAAAUCAGGGAAUAAAUGCACAAUAGUUUUAGUAACAAGAUAAAGUACUUCCUAAGAUUGGACAUUAAUUGAACUUACAAUAGAGUGACCAACAAGUUCGAGUUGUGUAGACUGUGCCAGACAUUCACCGUGCAUUGCCGGCAAAGUGGAUGAAACAUGCUGCAUCUUCUGAGGAUCCUGUCUGUAGCUUCCCGCUGAAAUCAUUGAGAUGUUACUGUUAAUUUGGGGGGGAUUCGGUGUUUUUCUAAAAUAUAUAAAAUAAAAUAAUAUAAUGAUAAUAAUAUUUCAUCGAUUUGUGAGUUCGACCAUCCAUACGAAAGCUUCUUACCCUGCACAUUCCUCUGUUACCUAUUUUUAGUAAGUUACAAUGUAGUAAAAAUAAAUCCCAAUAUGGUAAACCUAAUAAUUAUCAUUGUGAAUGGAAUUGCUGCUUUUGAGAACCAUCAAACACAAAUAUCUGAGAACAGCCAAAAGUCAAUCUCUUGCUAUAUAUUUAUUUUCUUUUCUUAAGAGAGUUUCCCCAAAAUAAUUCUACAAAAGUUGUUCUCUCCAUUUUCAUAAUAACCCCUUCAAAUAAGAUAGAUUCAAUAUUGUCAGACACAAAACAGAAACUCAAGGACUGUGAGGUGCUAAUCGGAGAGAGAAUUUGCACUAAUAAAUAUGGAUUAAAAGAUGUACCAGAAUGUGGAGAUCCAGUAGCUUGCACUUCUUUAGAAACAUCAUCUUCUUCAUCAUUUACAUCAUUAUUAGACACAGAUUGGCCAUCAUUUGACUCCGAACCACCAUUAGGGAAUUCAAGAGAAGUUGAACUGGAAGCAUUUCCCCCAACCACAGGUAAUGGAAAAGUAUUGUACCCCAUGCCACGCCACCAGGGUUCAUAAUAGAUACUCGUCGAUGGUGCACCAUUUGAAUCGAGCUGAUUAUUGGUUUCAGACUUUGACUGCAUACCUUCAGACCCUUUGAAACAAACAAAAGAGCCUCAAGUUCUCAAUUACCACAAAAUAAAAACUUUUAUACCAAUGGUUAAAAAAAGAAAAAGAAAAGAACACCCUUUCCUAACUCCAGUUACUUAUUUAAGUAUUAUUCCAUAUUGAUUGAAAUCUUAGAUUCCGACAUCAUCCAUCGCUCAUUGUUUCGAGGUUUUUAAUUUAUGAUGACUGUUAAGCUAACACAGAUCCUUAUCAUGGAAUUCAAAAUGAAAGAACCCCAUCGAACCAAAUUGCACAGCUAGUUGGGGUGCUUUUAAACAAACUCUUUAGUCUCUUUCUUUAGAGAAAAGUUUUCUUCUUCCUUUACUUGAGCAAGUGCAGGGAGUAAAAAGUAAUUUCAACUGCGAGAGACAUAAAAACAUAAACAGAAAAAUAGCAUAUUUCUCAUGAUUCAGUCCUGUACUAUUACAUCUUUCCAAUACCAAUGUUUUUCAUGAUUCAAUCCAGUACUAUUACAUCUUUUCAAUGCCUUUUGACUAAAUUGUUGUCCACGUUUCAUUAUUUUUAUGCAAUAUGUCAGACACAAUUUAGAUCCCUGGAUGGCUACACUCCCCUAUUCACAUCUCUUAAAAUUUAGGGUUAAAUUCUCCCAAAAUUAAUUUAACAAUGCAAAGCACAUUAAGUUGGAGAGACAAAAAGACAGAAAAAAAAUCUGAAAACACAACUCAUCAAAAAAGUAUUAACCAGUAACCACAUCAUGUCACUGAGAUCUGUACCAAAUGCAUAUUUCCCACCAACAAAAGCAAACCUAAAGCUAACCCAGAAUUUAUUCCAAGUUAAAACUGAAAUUAAUCAACAAAACCAAUAAGGAAGACUAACUUAUAGAUCCUAUUCUUACAAUCAGUUAAUACCCAAAAUCAAUGAACUAAGUAAAACCUGAAACUGAAACAUACACAAUCCUAGAGAAUUGAUAAAGCUUCACCUUCCAAUAGAACUAUUUAUCCUUGUUUAGAGAUCCAAGAGAACACAGUCCCAGGUCAUGCAUACUUGGUGCAUGAUUAGAAUUAAAAUAAACAAAGAAGAGAAAGAAUUAAUCUCAGGUAAUAUAACUUCAGUUCUGGUCCCCCUUUCAUAUCGCAUUUAAGUUGUUAAAGUAGAAACUAAAGUACAAAUACAUUCAUUCACUAAAUUCCCAUCAACAGCUAUCCUAGUUUCAUAAGUUAAAAGAGUUUAAAUUAUUUCACCCGCUAAGUGUUGUUUGUAGUAACUCGAACUAGCUAGAAUCGGGAAAUCCAGACACACACACACACACAAAAGUAACAAAACAAUCUUCAAAAUGCUUUAUCCAGUUUCAAACCGGUGAUCAUCUGACACAUAAUUAUCCAGUAACCUUACAAAAACACCCCCCCACCCCCCACCCCUCCUAAAAAAAAAAAGAAAACCCACCUCAAAUCCUCCCUGAAAGAAACCCAAAGAAGCACGGGAAUUGUCAUCCAUAACAGACAUGAAUCAGCUAAACCAAAAGUAAAUCCGAGAAGAAAAAAAACCAAUCAAACCAAAACCCGAAAAAGAGGAAAAGAAUCCCUAAAAAGGGAAUUGCGGGAAUACCCUAGAAAUGUAACACCAGAUAUAUUAGAGAAAUAGAGGAAGCAAGAGGCAUAGAUAGCGAAAACAAAAGGAAAAGAAAUUGAAGAAGAAAAAUAGGUUACCGGAAGGAAUUGGAGCAACGUCCAAAUGGAGAAAAGGGAAAAAUCUGAUGGGGGAGAAGAGAAAUCGGAGAGAAUUCAAAAUAAAAUAAAGAAUAAUAAUAAGAAUUAAAGGAAGGAAAAAAGAAAAGUAGAAAAAGAAGAGGGAGAUUGAAAUUUAAUCGUUUUGGUGAAAUCCAAAAAUGAAAAAUUAUAAGUAAGAAGACUCUUCAAUGUUUCAACUUUAGAGAGUUUUUAAAUCACAAAGCUAUGGAUAUGAUAAUCUCACCCACUCUGGGUCCUACCAAAGCUAUUUCCCUCCUUUCCUCUUUGCCACGUGGACGCUUCCUCCACUUCUUUGGCCUUUUAUAUUGGACCAGAAUCUUCCUCUUUUCUCCCUCCUCAUCUCUCAUCUCUCAUCUCUCAUUUCUUUUUUUAUGUACUUCUACCCUUCUUUUUACAUCAACAUUGGGUACACGGAAGCUGGGUUGGGUGGGGCUCAACCUUUGACAUACAAUACUGUUGUGGUUAACCGAUGCUUUGCUUCUUGGUUUUUGGUUCGAAAUGGAUCAUGAAUUGUGUUGAAUCUGCCCGAUUUUUGGUGCUUAUUGACUAUUACUCACAACCUAUUUUCUCGCCUCAAUCAAGGUUCUACUAACGAGAUCUUUUGUUGCCUUAUUUAUUUAUGAUAUGUGCUUAGGGUCUUUCUAUAAUUCAUAGAACUGGUGAUAGAGGAAAAGUUGGUGUGAUGAAGAGUUCUAUAGCAAGAAGAGUUAGGUGAUUGAGUGAAAUAACACGAAGAGAAGUUCAGAAUGAAGUGGGCGGUUGUAGUUUGUCACAAGGAAGAAAAAGGUGGAAAAAAUGAGUUUAGCUUCCUGAAAAGAUAAGACAAGGAAGAGUUUGGCUUCUCGAGAUGAUAAUUAAGGUUUACGUCUCGAGGGAAUGUCAAAUCGGAAGUUGACAAUUGGCUUACCUGUCAAACUUGAUUUGGUUGUAUAGUGUGGCAAAGUGGUAUAGUGACACGUGUAAAGUUAUGAUUCAGAACUAAUAGGCAAAGAGAGUAAGCAAUCCAAAAGAUGAUUAUAUAAAUAUGGGUCUUUAACUCAUAUAGCUUGAUUUACCAUAGAAUAUUACAAAAAAAACACAAUUUGCUAAUAUUUUACACAAAUGUACCAAAUGGUCCACAAUAUUACACAAAAAUAUGCCUAAAUUACAAAUAUGCCCAUAUGGUAGUUUUUUCACACAAUAUAAGAAUUAUUUUAAAAUAGGAAAUAAGAGAAGAUCGUGGGUCAUUAAAAUAGAAAAUUGGUGGAAAGGUUUCUCACUUUUCAUAUUCAAAAAAAUUAAUUCCAUUUCGACAGUGGAGAAAUUAUUCGAGGAUUCUAUUUUCGAUAGUGAAGAAGAAGGGUUUCUAUGAUUUCGACAGUGAAGUGGGAUCCAUUUUUGGCCGACCAGUUCCUCUAUUUUCCGACGAACGAAAAAUACAAGGUUAGGUUGUAUAUAUUCAAUAAACAGUAUACAUUUGGUAUAUUACAUAGAUUAAAGAGAUUAGUUUGAUAAGACAACGAAAAAAAAUGAAAUUUUGCAUGCGUUAUAUCCUAGGGUUUAUUGAGGUUUCGGAGUGAAGAAGAUCGUCGCAUGAGGGUUUUUCCUAUAAAUAUUGGGUAUAUCUUAAAUGUUCAUUUGGUAUAUGUUGAAUGUUCUAAUUGUUGAGCAAAUGCAAAAAUGUAAUUUUUAUUGUGACAUACUCUCGUGUUUAUUGAGAUUAUGAGUUUUAUGGCUCAAGUGAAAUGUAGUUUGAGUUCAUUUGGUACUCUGAGUUUCUUUAACUUAUUUGACAAUGCAAUGUGCUUUACAUAUGUUAGAUGUUGGCAGUGUAGAAAAUGGUAAGACGAGGUGAAAGAUGCCUUGGGUCACAUAUGUUCAUCAACUACUAUUUCAGACACACUGUAACUAACGUAAUUGUUAAUUUCGUUGAAAAAACCAUCAAAAUAGACUGCAAUACUAGCCAUCCUGACACACAAAUAUUACAACUAUAGGUUAUUAUAAAGUAUAAUUGUAAAUAAUAUAUGAUAUGUAUUAUAUAAAACAUCAACUAAAAGUAUUAUAUCUCACAGGUAAUAUAUAAAACUAAUAUAAAUGUAAAUAAUAAAUCACAUAUACGAAGUAUUAUAAAAUUAAUAUAAUUGUAAAUAAUAUAUGGUAUAUAUAUUAUAAAACAUCAACUAAAAAGUAUUAUAUCUUAGGUACAACCUUAAUUGACAAACUUAACAGAACAUCCAUCCAUAACAUGUAACAUCAUCAUAAACAUCAUAAAUAUGAGAUGAAUAUUAAUCAUAACACUACUACAAAAUUGGCUUUACUUGACGCUUUUCAAUACUUCAAGUAAUCUAGUGUUAAAAAUAAAUGAGGUUUACUUGACAGUUUUUAAGUGUCAAGUAAAGCCAGUUUACUUGACAUGAAAAAUCAUCAAGUAUAUGAGAUUACUUGACGUUUUUACACGUCAAGUAAUCCAAUGUAAAAAAUAAGAGGGUUUUUGAUUGAUAUGUUUUACGCGUCAAACAAAAUUAUACUUGAUAGUUCAUAAAUGUGAAGUAUAUAAGAUUUGUUGACAUUUUCUACCUGUUAAGAAUUUGUUUAUUCUUGACACAUUAUGCAUGUCAAGUUUUUUUUUAAAAUAAAAACAUAUAUAUUUUAAAAUAUCCCUAUAAUUUAUCGUGCACUUGUUUUGAAGUUCAACAAUGUCAAACGUAUAUAAGUAAAGCAAGAGAGUACACGUACAAAUGUGCUAAAGUACCACUGAACAUAUACCAUAGAUCAAUGAAUGAGUAUAUUAUGGCCUUUAUCCUCUUCUCUUUCUUUUGCAUCUAGGGUUAUGGCUUUUGCUUUAGCCAAUAGUAACUAUGGUUGGUCAUUACAUACUUACAACAUAUAAACAUAUCGUUCUUAUUCAUAUUACAAAAUGAGUUAUGAACAUCGUGCUUAAUCAUAAAACACAAAGCAUACGUAAUAACAAGAAACAAAGACAUCUUCCUCCUCCAAGCACCACAACACUUGUAGAUAACUCCAAACUGAUCAAAGUCUCACCGAUUGUUAUCCUCAACUCCUUGAAAUCUACAAACAAAAUAAGAAUAUAACAUUAAAACUAAGAACUUUAACUUCUAUUUCUAAGAACUUUGACAAUAGAAUUAUGUUCAUGAAAUAAAAGCAAAGCAUAGGAUCUCUAAUCAAAUUAACCCAACACACCAUCGUAUCUAUAUGGACCUAUAAAAAUUAAUACAACGAAAUCAAUGUCUUAAUACCAAAUUUGAUAACAAGCUACACCCAUAACCCAAAUCUUAAUCUACUUGCUAAUAUAAUCAUUAUAAUCAAAACCCUCAAGCAAUAAUCUUUCAAUUUUCCCAACUAAACCAUCAACUCCAUAAUUACUACAACUAACCCUCUCCACAAUCCAUUUCAAAUCCCCAACAUUAACCAUUACUCCUUCAUUAUUCUUAGAAUAAUCAAAUCAAAUGGUUAAUCAAAUCAAGAUAAGAGAUGUUGUCACUUGUGAGUUGAAUCAAAUCAAGUUGCUUCUACUAUUUGACAUCUCAUAUAAAGUUGUAACAUAUUUGAUCAACCAAAGAAAAAAAGAAAAAAAAAGCAAGAUAUUUGCUUCUGCUAUUCAGUCGGGCCAGUAAAAAGAACUUGCUAUUUUCAUUGAUUUCCUAAGAUUAUUGCUAUUGUUGUAGAGUUAAGUUAGCAAAACAGUUGUGUGAGAGAGAGAGACUACCAUUUAUAACAGAAUCAAAUUGGAUAUGAAAAAGCAUAAGAAACAAAACCUUCCAUUCUCUCUUCUGGCUUUCCCUACGUAUAUCACCAAAGAAGCACUUUAGGAUUUUAAUUUCAAAGAAAAUAAUGCAAAAACGUAUCUUUCAUUGAAGCUUUAGCUGAUGAAUUAGUACUAUCCAACACCAAAUUUACAGAAACUACUUAUUAGAUGAAGAUAACCAACAAUUAGUCAUAACCGACUAAAAUAUUUCAUGAAUAUUUUAUUCCUUUGCGAACUCCUCUCAAGUUAAACAUUCAUUGUAAUUAGCUAUCGCAAUUUAAUUGUUUACUCUCAAAACAAAGACACUAACACAUUAUAUAAAAAAGAAAAACAAAUAAACAAAGAUGUAAUAAACAAAAAAACAUGGUAAACUAACCUUAUUAUUUUUUCUUUUUGGAGUGGCAAAAACUACUCAAUCAAGGUAGAAAACAAAAUCUAGCAAGAAAUAAAGCCACACACAAAGUAAGCUAACCUUAUUAUGAGAAAAUCAAUCCCAAAAUUGUAUUUUCGGUGAGAAGUAGGUCAUACAUAUGAUGGUUCAUGAUCUCAACGAAAAAUUUCUUUGGUAUUGGUGUGUUAGAAUGUAGCGAUUGGGUGUAGGCUUCCUUGUCGAAUUGCCCCAACUCUAUUCUCUCCAUUUCCAUUUGAAAUUUUGAAAAUAUAGUUACUAAUCAAACAUUCCUUCUUUGGCAAAGGAAAUGCAAACAAUAAUUUCAAACCAAUGGAAAUAUGGAUGAUUUGAAAUCACACCAUCAACAAUAGUUUGAAAAGUAAAUAAAACUAGUUUUUCUUGUAUAUAGUUCAUGGAUUUUUUAAGGGAAAAAAACAUUUGGAUUCUCUAUGUACAUGGUUGUAAUGAUAUCCUUCAUUGUCUUAAUCAUGUGACUAUUUUAAAGAAACACUAAUAAUAUUUCUAGAGAGACGUUUCUUUAUAUCGAGUGUUUGAAAUCAAAUGAUAACGUACAUUAACUCUUCUAUAUUCUAGGAGCAAUGCAUUCUACAGUAUAAGGACCAAACAUACUGAACAACAAUGAGAGAGGAAGAAUGUAGGACAAGAAAUACUGAAGUGUCAAUUCGGUGAAAAGAAUGAAAAUUAGAAUAAGAGUGAUAACAGAUAAGGAAAUACAAAUUUGCUUGUUUGGCCCAUCUGUUUUUUUUUUUCUCAUUUAUUUGCUCAUUUUCUAAUUAUAAAUGUUGAAGUGUAUUUCUUGUUGGUUCAAAUUGCUCAGCACUUUCAAUUUGAAGUGUAACAUCCAUCAUGCUCUAUAACCCUAAAAUUAGUUCCCUACCCGUCUUCCAAAGUCAUAAAAGCUCCCGACGUAAUGCGAUAUACCAAGAGAUAGGAUUGUCUAGCUAGCUCAUUACUAAAAUCACCAAAGCUUUAAAAAAAUAUUGACAAUAUAAAAUAAAGAAAAGAAUGUUGAUUUGUGCUACAAUAGUAAUAUUCUAAAUGUAAGUCUUUACUUAUGAAGGUGAUCGUGGUUGAGGUGUUUUUUUUCCUAUAACAAUUAUACAAUCAUUUCAGCUCGUGAUACCUUAGCUAUACAUUUAGUUGUCUUUGUGAGUGUGACAAUGUGUCUAUGUUUAUAUAUUUAAAUGGAGACUUGCAACUCAAAUCUUCAAUAGAACAAUCCUUGAAAUCAUUUUUUCAUUAUUCCAAAACACUAAGGGUAAUCCAAAAUAAUAUACGGAAAGAGAAAAGAGAAAAAUAUUAUCAAGAUGCUUAUGGUAAACAGUGAUAGAAAAUCAAAUAUUUUAUAACUUUCAUUAAUUUGAAGCUGAAGGGAACAAAUACCCUAUUUAAUAUUGCUUGCUCUGCCUCCUAACCUUUCUUUGACGAUUUAUAUAUAUUUCACUUCCUCCUCUCGACGCUGUCUCUCCAUCCUAACUCAUACAAAAUACAUUGAAAAUUUGUUAUGAGGAAAAUAUAAAUGAUUUUCCAAUGCUAGGUUUAAAUUAUGUGGAUUCACGAAAACAUAGGGGAAGGUUGAUACAAGUACCUCUUUUGUAUCAAUCUAAAAAAAUACUGUGAAUAAGUAGUUCUUCGGAGAAAGUGAAAGUUUUGUCCAUUGGCAAAAACCAUGUCAACCUCUGGAAGAACUUUUAGAAGUUCAGUGAUACCCCGUACACGACUUCAAUAAACCUCAAUGGUGUCGUGGACCGGGCCUACAAUAUCUGACUGGAGUCGUGGACCCGACCCACGUUUUCUGACUGGAGUCGUGUACCGGGUAUGACAUUGCUUCCACAUCAAUGUCAUAACGGUCAAGCGAUGUGGACAUAUGUGGGUCCUAUGAUUUGCUUUCAUCUCGUUGAGAAACAUCAAGCAGAUCAUGUAUUGCGACAGUUCCAUAUGCUACAAAUGGCACCAGAGUUUUGCUCCACAGAUCAGAGCCUACACCAAAUUGAUUUAAGAGGCAAGCACGAUCAAGAUUGUAAUAGGAUUCAUGCGGAGCAUAUAGCAAUAUGGCAUUCACGAAAUAAUUUUUGUGCCGAAGCAGAAACAACACAGGAGCCGACAGUAUCAGAUAACUACUUUUCCUGGUAUACGUCGAUUACCAAACGGUUCAUGACACCUGAUGACGCUUACUGUUAUCGCAUGAUAAUAAUUUUAAUAUGAUUUAUAAAUUUAAUACAAGUAUGAACAUUUUUUAAUUAUAUUAUUUACAAUCGUUCAGAAUAAUUUUGUUGAAGACUUACGUCGAGUCUCCAUGGAAAACAAUUUUGAAAUUUUUAGACCAAUGUGUGACGAAGUCAUGGGAGAUAUAGACCAACUUGUUCAGCGGACUCGACGUUUAAAUGUUGUCGACACAGAUCUUAGACGCAUUCGACGGCGACGACGACGACAAGACGAUGAUGUCGUAGAGGGAGAUGAGGAAGAUUCUUAAGUUGUAUAAUUUAAGUGUUUUUAAAGUUUGCUAUAACUUAUUCAAGUUGUAUAAAUUAAAAAUUAGACUUUUUAAAAUUAAUUAUAAAUUAAAAGUUGCUAAUACGUGAUUUAGAUGUAGGAGUAUUGUUAAUAAUAUCAAAAUAUAAUAUAUUUGUUUUAAAAAUAGAGAACCAAGUAUUAAAAAAAAACAUUCAAAACAUUUUUUCUCGAUCUAUCUUAAGCCACAAGAAUUCCUUAAUAAAUUAACAAAAAUUCUUAUAACAUAUCACUAAUGGUGUGUUUUACCUUUCGUUUUUUGUUUUAGCACUUACCAUGCCAAAUUUUGAAAACCACCAAAAAAUUAAUGAUCAAAAUUUUGUUUUUAUUUUUUUAAAUUUGUUUAGAACUCAAUUCUUAAUUAGAAAUAAAUUACCAAAAAGUUGGAGAUUUAAACAAAAACUAAAAUCUUCACAUCUUUUAUUUUCAUUAGUCUUUCACAAAUGUUGUUAUUUUAAAAAUAGUUAGUCUUUUAAAAUUUAAUAAUUUUUUAAAACUUUUUUAGGAAGUCGUAUUCCCGAUACAUGACUUCGGUCAUCAACACGAACUGGUCCAUCCGUGGAGCAAAUUGAUCAAAUGUGUUGACGUGUACAGUAUGAAAGUCGUGUACAUAAUGAAGUCGUGUACGGGGUACACGACUUCGUCAAAUUUCAAAAACUCACAUAUUUUUUACAAUAGUUUUCCAAACCAUCUUAUUCUUAUAAUUUCUUAUUAAAUAACCCUAUUUUUCUAAAUAUUUAUAGAAAACAUAUUAUUUUUGAAAAUAAUCCAAAAUAUUCUUUUACUAAUAAUUAUAUUUUUUUAACAAUAUAAUUAUUUUUCCUUUUUCUCCCUAAAUAAAAUCUUUUCGCCAAACAAUUUUAUUUAACAAAUGAUUAAAAAAUUUCUAAAAAUAAAAUUUUAAGAUGAAGGAUCUUGGUGAUGAUUUUUUUUUAUUAGGAAUUGAAAAAUUGGGAGAUCACUCUCAAGGUAUUUUAAGAGCGUCACAAAAGCACUAAUUAAAAAAAAUUGAGUAGAUUUGACAGGAAAAGAUUGUGCACUAUUAGAUACCCUUGUUGUUAAAGGUGAUAAAAUUUCAUUUAUGUCAAUGUCUUGAGACCACACUUGAGAUUAAGGAGAUGUAGAAGGUUCCAAGUGGGAGAUUGUUAGACGUAUUUAAAUAAUAUGUAUAACUAAAGUGUGUGUCGUAUGUGAAUUAAUAAGGUCCAGUUGAGAUCGUACUUCUUCCUUGCCAAUUCCUAUUGAAAGCAAAAGUGGAAUUGAUUCACCUUCCUUCAUGGAUAUGUCGCAUGGAAAGCAGGUCUCUAUGCUUCCUCAACCUCAUACUAGACUUAUCGACUAAUUUAUCACAUUGAGUUAUUUUAUUAAAUUAGGCCUAUUACGUGAUCUAUUUAAUUAAGACUCAAAUUUCUAAUUGAGUAUGAACUAAAUGGGUAGAAGCCUAUUCCUCGAUUGAUUAGGAUUUAAUGGAAAUUCUAAUUGAACUAGUAUAUAAAGACACUUAGGGCUAUAGUCUCCAAUAUACCAGAACAAUAAGCACUCAUCUUUCCGGUAUCCCAUCAAGAGAAACAUCGACUAAUGCAUGAAAUCAAGAAUCAAUAAGAAUCUAGAAGAAACUUGAAAGUAAGAAGCAAUAUGAUGUAUUGAAGAUAUAUUUGAAUAAGUUUGAUAAGUAGUUGUUAAAGUGAGGAUGAUUUUAUCAACCAUAAAGCUGGUGUAAUAAUAUAGUAUUGGAAGGAUUUAAAGAAUAUUAAUGAAGAGGGUUGUAAUAAAGAAAAGAAUUGAUGGGUAGAAUUUUGGAAUUGUAAGGUGGGGUUUGGUGGUGUGGUGUUAGAGAAGUUUGAGGAGUUAGAUUUUUGAAUGAUAAAGAAAAGGGCUGUGAGGGGGUGAUGGUGGUUUUAUCAGUCCCGUAGACAGAUUGGAACCCACGUAAUGCGGUGUUGACUAAACAAACUUUGCCAACACGUGGCACUAAAGUCUGGACCACUUCAGCAUACAACUGACAACACCCCUCCCCACGUGUCCUUUACUUUACAAUAUAUAUAUAUAUAUUUUUUGAAAUUAUACCUAAUAUUAAAAUACCUAACUUUCUAUAGUAUUAUAUGUAUGUUAAAUUACCAUUUUUUAGUAAAGUAGGGUUUAAAUUUGGAGUUUUUUAAAAUAGAAGACAAAACGUUAAAAUAUUUAGAGAGUAUAGAAAAAAAAUUUAAAAGAAAAAAAAAGUUCACAAACCUCCAACGUGAAAUAACAAAAAUACUUCCUAAUUAAUUGGUCAUAGAUUUAUGAAAAAAUAAUUUUGUAAUUAAUCUAAACAGUCGUGUACCUAGUUUCAACCAUUUUUUACCCCGUCAAACAAUCUUGUAACAAGUCUAAACGAUAUUGUAUAAUUGUACACAACCUAAACGAUCUUGUACUAUUGUAUCUAGUCUAAUGAUAUUUUAUCAAAUCUAGACAAUCUAUUAGUGAUAGUGGAUUAUCCUUGUCUAUCAAUUGAUUGUUUAGAUAUUGGUACACAAUCGUUUAGAUUUUAUGUAUCAAUAUCAUUUAGAUCUUGUACCAAGAAGAAAAAAAAGAGAAAUAAAGAAAUUCUAGAAGAGGAAAUGAAGAUAUUGCAAACCAUAAGUGAAAAUAUGAAGAAGAGAAGAAUAUAUCACAAAGAAGAAAAAGAAAAAAAGAAAAAAAAAUCCUCCGACAAUAAUCAAAAUCCAAUAAGGAUAAAUAUGUAAUUUAUGAAAAAGUAAUUGCAUGACUUCAUUAGCUUUUCUUACAUUGUCAUACAUGCCGUAAAUAUUUAGCAAUUUUGUUAUAUUUAUGUAAAUUUACCUUUAAAUUUCAACCUUUUUUUUUAAAAAAAAACAUUAUUAUUAUUUUUUUGAAUUAUGCUUACUUCUAUAAGUAUCAAACUUAGAGGUAAUCAUUAGUUAGUCGGAAUUGGUUUUUCGAACAAACCACCAUUGAAUCAACUAUGGUCAAUUUAGUAAAUGUUCAACCGAUCUCGGUCAUCAAUACGUAAAUGUUGGUCGGGCACUCUAAGAAAUACUUUUUGAAAUUUCUCAAUUUGAAACUUUCCCAAAGUAACAUUGAUCAACACAAUUCUCAUCAUCCAACCAACCAACUUCGAUUUGGUCGACUGACUCAGUUUUUGGGUCUACCAUGCUCACCCCAACGCCUAAAAAUACACAUUGGUUGAGACAAGUAAUCUUGACGUCGUGGUUCAAGACAUCAAAGGAAGAUAAAUUAAUAUUUAAUUCUAGCAUUUUUCCUAACGUCUCUAUGGACGACGUCGGGGAAGUUUAGUCAUAUCCUACUUCUAUGUUGACUACGUUGGGUAAAAAUAUACAAUAAAAUAAUUAUUCAACUUCUCCCGCUGCCAUUCAAUAGACGUUGGGAGAUGUGAACACUAUUCCCGAUGUCACAAGUAAAACAUCAAGAGAGGUGGAAACUAUUUCUGAUGUUUUACUUAUUAUAUUGACAAUAGGGGUUGUCUCCCAAUGUCUUCGUAGUGUGCAUCGGGAAUUCACCUAUAAAAAUCCACUUUCAGUUCUAUAAUUCAUAGAACUGAAAAGGACAAGGCCGAGAAGGAGAGAAAUCCAUAUCGUCACUCACCACAAUUCGUUAUCAUCUGCUGCCACCACUCCUCAUUCUAGUAAGUGGUUUAGUUUAGUUAUUGUUUUGUUUUAGUUAAUUAUUUUUAUAUUUAGAUUUCAAAAUAGUUUUAGGUUUUAGAUUUCACACGAGGUAAUUAGUUUUAGUAUUGAAUUGGAAUUUUGAGUGUUGUUAGGAUUUAAGAUUGAAGUUGAAUUUGAAUUCGAAUUCCAAUUCGAAUUUGAGAGUUAUAUUGAUUUCUUUUUGGAAGGGUUUAUAUUGAAUUUUUAUGUUUUUUUUAUUAAUUAUGGAUUGUAGACAUUGCCCUACAUAAUAUCUAUAUUUGUUAUGUUUAGUAAUUUCAGGAUUCCCUUCAUGGAUGAAUGUUAUUGUUGUAUACAUUUUAGUUAAGGUUUGGUAGAAAAGUGUUGCUUUGAUCAUUUAUAGUUAAUUUGUGGUUGAGUUAGAUUUUUAUAUUUGAUUUUGUAGGACUGAUUGAAUUAGGCAUAGUUUAUGGACGAAUGUUGUGGAAUGUUGUAUUUGUGGGAUGUUGUUGUAUCAAUCUAUAUGGAUCAACUUGCUACUAAAGACUACUAGUUAGUUGAAGUACUUGAUAAGUAAUCUAUAAAUAUUGUUUGUGGAAUGUUGUUGUAUCAAUCUUUGUGGAUCAAUUAACGUUAUAAACUUUCCAAGUUAUUGGUUUUGUUUAGUAAUAAACUUCCCCAAGUUAUAAGUUUUUUAGUUCUUUUUCGUUUAUGCAUAUAAUUUAUCUUCCAAGUUUCAUAUCACCAUCAAUAUUUUAUGCAUAUGACCAUUUGAUUUGAUGCCUUUUUUCACGAUCUUUACAUCUAUUGUCACAAAGUUAGCAUUUUAUUAGCGUAUCUUAACAUUGAAUUUUCUUCAAAAUUACAUAAAACUAUGUUGAAACUUUGAAAGUCCAUAAGUCCGAAGGCAACUUGUCCCCCCUCUCUCAUCCCAAAAAGCGUCCGUUUUGGCCCCCAAAUUGGGUUACACAAUGUUUUUCAUCAAAGUUCCAUUUAUUGAAUUUUGAAACUACCACCUUAAAGUUCCUUUAUGGUUCUAAUUUUUUUUAUCUUCUUUCAUCUAUAUGUAGUAACAAUACAAGAACAUAAAAAAUUAGGAGUGACGAUACCCAUAUAUGGCUACAGUCUACGUUCCAUUGUUUUAAAACUUUUUUUGUAACUAUUCGUUUGGUCUUAGCAGGAUCCCAUUCUUAUAGGUUUGUCUCCUUUUUGUGAGCUUCCUUAGCCCAUGUUUUCUUCCAUUAUUGAUAAUUGAAUUAGUAAUUGGUUUUCUAUCAUUAUUUUUCAGAGCCAAAACGAUGAGUUUUCUGUCAUUUUUAACCUAGAAGACUACAAACUACAAGUGUAUGUUUUGUUUACAUUGUGGAGUUCAUUUACAUGACCUUGAUAUUAUUCUUGUGUUCUUAACCUUCACUGAAUGAUACAUAUGAACUUACAAUCUCGUUCGUUAUAAGGUAGAAAUAAACGAUCACAUAAAAGUGUUUGAAGAUAGAAAGCUAAACAACCCCUUAGAGAACUUAGACUAUCUCUACUGCAUUCACCCUUUGAUGUUGGUUAUGUAUUUUAUUUCAUAUGUACAAUGCUAUAGAUUAAGUGUUAGGAAACAAAUGAAGUUGUAGCAAUAAAAACGGUGAUGCAGGGUAAGCAAUAUAUAUACCUUCCAUUUAACAAUAGAAGAUAUAUAUUUUUUUAAAUAGAGGAUCUCCUGACGAACAACAUUCUGAUGUCGUAUGGACAACAUCAGAAGAUCCUCUAUUUCAUUUUGGCGCGUUUUGUUGUGCGUCAGAAGAUCCUCUCUCAACACAUUUCUUCUGACUCUUAUCUCGAUGAGCCUUUAUUCGUCGAAAGAUCCUUUCUCGAUGCAGUUACGUACAUCUCCCGACAUGUUUGUGUGUCGAGAGAUCCCCUUUUAUUGUACUGAAUUUUGAACAAGUCAUUCAAAUUAAAAUGAAAUUAACGCCGUUAAUCCACAGAUCCACAAGAAACAACAAUACCCCUACAUCCCCAAACAUCCUCCACAAGCAAACAUGAUCAAAACAAGAAAUCAACACUGAAAAGUUUAUGUUUCUCCCUCUAAACUAUGAAUCGACUGAACGAGAGAGAAAUAGAGAGAGAAUCAAACCAAUGUGACACUUCUAGUGACGAAGAAUUGGAGAACGAAAAACCAUAGAAAGGAAAUUGAUUAUAGGUUAAAUAUAAGGAAUGACUCAACCAUUGAGAGAAGAAGAAAAAUUGUGAAAACAAAAUUAAAAAAGAAAAACGAAAAGUAGAAUAAGAGAAGAAAACAUGUGGUUGAUUGAUGAAUGAAGAAGAACAUACCUGUUGAGGGAAGGAAUCACAAAUCCAUGCUUCUCGACCGAAUUAGAAAUUCUCCCAUUGUGUUGAAUAAUAAACCUCCGAAAAUAACAUUCCUAAGGUAAACAAAAAAAAAAAAAUAUAGGAAAAUUGGAAUGAAUAACCAUUUCAGCAAUAUAAUUAAGGAUAUAGCAAAAAUUUUAAAAAAUUGCAUAUAUACUAAAACUAUCAUCGAUAGACUUGUAUCACUGAUACACUUCAUAUGGUCUAUCAGUAAUAGACCAAUAUUUGCAACAUGGUCUAUCGUUGAUAGACUUAUAUCAAUGAUAGAAUUUGACAAAUUUUGCUAUACUUGCAAAUUUUUUAAAAUGUUACUAUAUACUUAAUUAUUUUGAAUCUAAUUACUAAAUUUGCAACUACUAAAAAAAAAUACUCAUCAACCAAACAUGGGCUUUGUAAGCCCAUACCCAUUCUCACCCUCUUUACCCACAAACCAAACCGGUUGUUGGUUAAAAUAUACCCGGUUUUAACAAUUUUUAAAAAAAUUUAGUUAAAACUUUAACUUGUUUUUUCUCUUAAAAACAAUUUGAAAAUGUAUAAAUUUGAGGAGAAAAAAAAAACAUAUUUUCCAAAACCAAACUUACAGAUCAGUCACCAAAGCAGCCUACUUUAUUUAAUUUGAUAGCCAAUUGAAUUUUAGUUUAUAACUUCUAAAAAUCAUGUGUUUGUUCUAUUACGCGUUGUCUUGCAUGAAUUUCAUCUCAUUACUAUGAAAGUUAAAUACUCUAAUAACAUUUGUAACCUUAAAUAAAACAAUUAAUUAAUAAUUAACAAUACACAUGGUUUUUUAUUUUUUGUAUGAUCGUAUCUUCCACUAUUAAAUUAACAAUAAAAAUUCAAUUUAUUGUGACUAUCCACGUAAAAAUUAUUUUUCUAUAAAUUUCGUUAAAAUUAAAAUGUUUUAACUAGGAGUUCAAGUAUUGUGCAUAAUACAUACUAGUACACCUUUUUUUAAGAUUUUGAAGCACGUUCCCUAGGAAAUUUAUAAGUUGUAUCAUUCAUCAUCAUAAAAUUUAGGAAACACUUGUAAGUUGUAUCAUUCAUCAUAAAAUUCUCUCCUUUUUUUCUCUCUUGCCUAUUGAUGCUUAAAGGCACAUUACCAUUGAUAUGAUCAAAGUAGAGAGGAAAGGAUGGGAAGAGCAAAGUUAUAGAGAGUAUGAAGAUGAGAUUAGGAGGAAAAUAUCCAUUUUAAUGAGUUAAGAAUUCGAGGGAUUAGUUUUUACAAUUUUAUCCAAUUUCUCUAUUUCAUGCAUAGUUUAUGCAUUUGUCACAUUUUCUUUUCUUUUUUUUACUUUUCCUAACAUUUUAAAAUAUCUUCAUUAAUGAAUUUAAAAAUUAAAAGUCCAACAUUGUAGUAUGUAAACUUUGAAUUAAAAUCAAUCUAUUUUAAUAGAAGGGAAAGAAAAACCCCUAUAACCCUUAAUGUGCUGUAACUUAUACCUUUGGUUUGAUUUACAUUACUUCACCCACUAAUUUUAACCCAAAGUAAUCAGUUUCAAUAAAAUAAAUGUCCUUGUUUUCGUUUUGCUGUGUUUUGCUCCAAAUUCCCUCAUCAAAUUACAGCCUAAGAUAAACUUUAAAUACCAGCAAAAUUACGAACCCUUCUCAACAUUCAUCCCAUGAAUAAUUGGCAUCCACCAUAUGCAAUUGUGAGUGUUCUAAGCAUGCUUAGAUGCCAAUUGAUAUAGUUAAAACAACAUGGUAGACAAAGCAAUUUGGAUCUUCUAAAUGCAAUCAAUUUAUAAGAUUAAACAUGUUUGAACAAUUGAAAAAAUACAGAUUUAAUGAAAUACAACUUUUUAGUUCAAAAUUCAAACUACCCUUGAUUGAUUUUAAACACGAACUUGAUAUACUUUUAUGUCAAAUAAAGGAUCAAGUCUUGUUCUAUACUAUAGACUAGUUUGGCUAUUUAUUUGAACUUCAUAUACUUUUAUGUCAAAUAAUGUUCUAGUAUUUGAUAGUGUUGAGAAUGCAUUAUCUUAUUCUUCUUUUAAUUGGGGUCAUUCUAGUAUUUUACGUCUUUAUUCCGUAAUUUUAUCGGUGUUGAGUUUAAUUCAGGUUAUUCUUGGCUUUAAUGUUUAUUUAGGGAUUAGUUGAGCUUAAUUGAAUGUUAAAGUGUCAUGAUCGAAGCAAGAAACAAAAGUUUUGCAUGUUGGAGCCUGGACGCUCCAUGGCGCUAGGCUCAACACCAAAAGGUAGAGAGCUUCAAUUUCGUGUAAAAGGUCAAACGUUGCGGCGCUCCAAACUUUGGGCUUAAAAGCCCAAGCCGCCAACUCUAUAAAUAUAGACUUUUCGACACACUUUUUUGGACUCUCGAGACAUCUUUUUAACAUUCUUUUGUUAAGUUGUUUCGAAGGCUUUUUUGGAUAUUAUUUGAUGCUUUUGGUGUUACAUCAAAGCUAAGGUACUUAUAUCUAGCUAGAGAUAUAUAGGAUUUAUCUUUUGAUUGACAUGCUUGAGAUUUUGAAUAUUUUAUCUUUUAGGAAACUUUUUGAACAAUUGAAUUCAUUCCUUGGUUUAAUUUGUGAUUGAAUGUAAUUGGGAAUACUGACAAUUAGCCAUAUAUAUUUAAUCCAUUGUCACAGAUUCAAUCUUAAUAUGGAAUUGUUAGUCAAAGGUCACAAAAGCUAAAACUAGAAUUGCUCAUUGAUUAGGUUGUUCCAAUCUAAUGGCAUUGUGUCUUAUUAGCUUAGGAUUAAAUCCGCAUUGAACGUUCAAUGGGUAAUUCCUACUUGUUUGAGUGACUUAGUUUUUUUGCCCCAAAUAUUAACGCUUAUCGAUUUGCAUGUUUAGAAUGCUGCAUCUAGACAUAUAAAUUGAAUCGAAUCAUAGAACGUCACUACUACAAAAAUGGGUUUACUUGACGCUAGCAACUUUUACAUACUUGACGUUUUUAUUAAAAAAACGUCAAGUAUGAACUAUGUUAAAGAAAAAACGUCAAGUAUAGUCUUAAAAAAUAUGAAGUUUUCACGAAUUUUUUAAAAUUAUUUUAUGUUAGCUUUAUUUGACGUUUUUUUUUUUUUUUUUGCGUCAAGUAUAAAGUAGAUUUUACUUGACAUUUUAUUCGAGUUAAAAGUAGUGAACAUUUACUUGACACAAAAAACAUGUCAGGUAUGGUUUUAAAAAAGAAAAUUUUUACGUUAACUUUUAUAUGACAUGGUUUUCGCGUCAAAUAUAGUGGAGAUUUAUUUGACAGUUUAUUCGUGUCAAAUAUAGUGGAGAUUUUACUUGACGUUUUUUUCAUGUCACGUAUAGUGGACAUUUACUUGACGCGAAAACAACGUCAAAUAUAGUUAACAUUUUUUAUUUAACACUUUUAAAAUGUCAAUUGCCAAAAUGUCAAAUAUAAAACGUUUAAAAAUAUGAAAAUAAAAAGUAUAAAAAUCAACUUAUUAAAAUAAUUUUUUAAAAUCAACUUAUUAAAAUAAUUUUUUUAAAAUCAACUUAUGAAAAUAAAUCAUUUGAAAAUUUUCACUUAAAUAAUUUGAAAUCUCUCAUUAAAUUAAAUUUACUAAAAUCUCUCGUUAAAAUAAAUUUGUUGAAAAUUUUCCUUUAAAUAGAAUUAUUGAAAAUAUUUCCUUAAAUAGAUUUAUUAAGAUAUUUUAAUGAAAAACUCAUUAAAUAAAUUUAUUAAAAUAUUUUAAUAAAAUAUUAUUAAAUAAAUUUUUUGAAAUCUUUCACUAAAACAAACUUUUACAAAUCUUUGACUAAAAUAAAUUUGUUGAAAUCUUUACUUAAAUUAAAUUUAUUAAAAUCUUUCUUUUAAAUAAACCUAUUGAAAAUAUUUUAUUUAAAUAAAUUUAUUGAAACCAUUUCUUUAAAUAAAUUUAUUAAAACAUUUUAAUGAAAAGUUUAUUAAAUAAAUUUAUUAAAAUACUUUAAUAAAAAAUUGUUAAAUAAAUUUUUUGAAAUUUAUCACUAAAAUAAUUUUUUGAAUUCAUUAAAAUAAGUUUAUUGAAUCUUUCCUUUAAACAAUUUUAUUGAAAAUAUUUCAUUAAAUAAAUUUAUUAAAAUAUUUUAUACAAAAUUUAUAAAUAAAUUUAUAUAUUUUAAUGAAAUCUUUCAUUAAGUAAAUUUAUCAAAGUAUUUUGAUGAAAUGCUUAUUUAAUAAAUAUUAAAAUAUUUUAAUGAAAACAUUAUUAAAUGUAUUUGUUAAAAACUUUAACGAAAAUAUUAUGAAAUAAAUUUAUUAAAAAAAUUAAUAAAAAUAAUUAAAUAAAUUUAUUGAAAUCUUUCAUUAAAAUAUUUUACCAAAACAGAUUUGUUGAACUGUUUCACUAAAUAAAUUUAUUUAAAUAUUUCAUCAAAGAAAUUCAUUAAAAUAUUUUAUUGAAAUGAUUAUUAAUGAAAUUUAUUGAAACAUUUUAAUAAAUUUUAAAUGGAUCAACUUUUUCCAUUGUUUAGUUUUUAGUUUGUAGUGUAGAUUAAUAAUAGAUCCAAUUUAUUGGUAUAUCUCCAUAAUUAUUUACUUUUACACAUCAUUUAUCACUACUCACAUAAAAAAAAAUUACAAAUUUUGUGACAUGAUUAGACAAUUUGAUAGACAAAAAUAGGUGAUAUCCAGGAGAUGCAUAUCUAAAUAUUGUGUUGGUAAGUGAUAUAAUAUUAAGUUCUCGUGAUUUUAUGAAGUUUUGUUUAAUAAAAAAAUCAUUUUAUUAAAGUGAGCAUAUAUAACUCAAUUCAGUUAUUUACCAAAAAAAUUAAAAUCAAAAUAAUUUAGGGUUUCUUUUUUCUUUUUUUGUUUCUUUUUAUGGAAAGAUUGAAGAUCUUGGAAACCUAAAACAUAAUUUAAGAAAAUUGUUUAAUGAUAGCGAAAAUUAAGAAUAAAUUAAUAAAAACAAAUAAAUUGAAACAAAAACUCACAAACCGCUCUAUUUAUUUUUUUUUUUAAAUGAUAUAAUUAAAAAAAAUAUUAUCAAAAACUAAGAAAUAAAGAAAAAUAAUAAUAAUAACAAAUUGAAAACAAGGUACAAAUCCAUUGUUUUCUAAUUUUGACCGUUUCAACUUAUUUUCUAUUAUCAAUUCCUAAUUUCUCUUAUAAAAACCUUCUUUCCUAAUUCAAAAAAUAUUCCUCAUCUCAAAUCUUUAUAUUCUCAUGAUCAAUCCAUGGAUCUUCUUCAAAAGUUAACAAAAACUCAUGUAAUUUUCUUUUCUUUUCAAUGUUUCUUCCAUUUUUUUCUAUAGAAAUUUUCAUGUUGAUUAUUAAAAAUGAUUAGUGGGCUUUUUUUUCAACUUCCUCAAUAACACUUCUUUCCUUUUAUAUAUUGUUAAAAAAGGUAUCCAAUGAAAAGAUGAAAAAUUUAUUGCUUUUCAAGUUUUAACCUUAAAACAAUAUAUAUGGAAAAAAUUUAUAUUUAUAUAUUGUUAAAAAAGCUUGUUUUAUUUUAUAUUUAUAUAUGAAAAAAAAUAAUUUUUUGAAAAGUUUAUCAAAUAUAUUUAUUGAAAUAUUUUAAUUAAAUUUAUUAAAUUCAUUUAAUUAAAAAUAUCAAGUAAAUAUAUUAAAAUCUUUUAUUUCCCUAUUUUUAGUAAUCCCUCACGUCUCCACGAUGAAACCCUAUUCUCAUCUCCACGCUUCCACACAACACAGGCGAACGACCACUUCUUCGAAUCGACGGACGACUUCCACACAACACAGAGUGGCAAACGGCGAAUGGCUUCCACACGACGAACGCUUCCACCCGGCGAACAGCUUCCACCUGGCGAACAGCUUCAACCCGUUGCGAACAGCUUCAACCCGACGAACGGCUUCCACGCAGCGAACAACUUCCACAGUGAACGACUUCCACGACUGCGAACAUCUUCCGCACGGCGAACUGCUUCCGCACGCCGAACUGCUUCCGCGUUCAAAGGUUUCUAUGCUCCUCAUUCUUAUUGUAUUUAACAUUUUUCAAUGAAUAAUGCUCCCUUGAAUUUGAUUUAUAUCUUGUAAUUAAGGAUGAUAUUGUAAACCCAAAGUGAGAAAAACACAAAGAGAAGAAAAUUGAGAAUGACUCUCGUAUAUUUAUAUUUAUUUGUGUUAUAUGUUUAUGUUGUUUAUGUUCAAAUUCGUAAACAAAUGGUAUAAUCUAAUUGACAAAUAGAGAAGACCAUCAUUUUUCUUUAUUGUUGUUUUUUUUACAGGAAUGAGUAAUGAAAAAUUAAGGGUGACUCUUGGACGAUGUUUUAGACCGUAAUUAAUUUGUUGUCGUUAUGGUUAUAAUUAUCAUAUUGAUUUGUUUAUAGUAAUGAGUAAUGAAUUGGUAUAUUUACUCUUGGUAAGAUUCAUACUUUUGAAUGCCAUUUUUUUUUUAUAGUAAUGAGUAAUGAAUUGAUCUUGUGUGCAUCAUCAUAUCCCAAUUACACAUGCAUCUUGGAAGCUGGUGCCGACUGAGUUGAAAGAAAAAGUAUACAAUAUGAUUGAGGUAUGUAAUCAUCCUUCUCAUUUGGAAAUCAUGCAAACACUACACACUUAUUGUAUAUUUUGAGUCAUACUAUCUUGUGGUUAUCAUGUAGCCUUGGUAGCCCCAUAGCCUUGGUCUUGUGGCUAUCCUGUAGCCUUGGUAGCCCCAUAGCCUUGGUCUUGUGGCUAUCCUGUAGCCUUGGUAGCCCCGUAGCAUUGGUAGCCAAUCAUGUAUAUAUUACACAGUUAUUGUAUAUUUUAAGUUGUAUUAUGUGUGGCUAUCCUGCUAUGGUAGCCAAUCAUGCAUAUAUUGGUAAAUGUAAAUAUAUUUAUAAAAUAAUUUUUAUUUUAAUCUAGCACAUAAUAUAAUAUAUAUGCAUUGUUAAUUGGUUGUGUUAUAGUGUUCUUUACAAGUAGGUACGGUUGAAUGUGGAUAUUAUGUCAUGAGAUACAUGCAAGAAAUUGUGACUAAGGACACAAACAUUAUCACUGGUGCGGUAUGUUUUUAAACUAUUUACAUUGUAAAGUUAUAGAUAGUAUAUUAUGACUAACUCAAAUAUUUUACAAAGUGUAUUCUACUUUUUAUGUUUUAUAGAUUGAUACAAGAAGCCCAUACACACAGCUUGAAUUGGAUAGACGAGGGGAGUGGGCUGGAUUUUUAGCUCGGUACAUAUGAUAGACACACCUAGAUAUGAUCAUGUUAAUUUUGUAAAUGGCUAAGAUAUGGGAAUGCUCAUAACCUUUUUUGUGGAAACGUUUUGUUCAUAGCCAUUAUGAGGGCAAAAGAUAUAUGGGGAUAGGCUUCAAUUUUGAUUAUAUAAGACAACUAUUAUCAUUUAAUAUUUUGGAAUAGGACACAUAUAGGAAAUUUUAGUUGGCUAUAUUGGAUUGGAAUUGUGUAAUUGUUGAUGACAUUGUUGAGAAUAAUGAAAUUAUUGUUGGUUUACAUAUUAUACUAAACUUUUUGUCUUUUUUUUGUUGUGUAAUUGUUCGUUGGAGAAUUUGUUUUGUUUAUGGAUAUGUCUUAUUGAAGUAAAUGUAUGUAAUGCAGGAAAUAAAAAAUGAAAAAAGAAAAAUUUAGUAUAUUUAAUAUAUUAAUAAAUGGUAUACAUGACAUUAAAUACAUGUCACAUAUACUAUCUUAUUUGAGUCAAAUAUACCAUUUUACUUGAUGGAUAUAUAGUGUCAACUAUAAAAUUUUACUUGACAUAUACAUAAUGUCAAAUAUACUAUCUCACUUGACAGGUAAAUAGAGUCAAAUAUAUAUCUUACUCGACUUGUAAAUAGUGUCAAGUAUACUAUCUCACUUGACAGGUAAAUAGAGUCAAGUAUAUAAUUUACUCGACGUGUAAAUAUUGUCAAGUAUACUAUCUUACUUGACACAAAAAUGAUGUCAAGCAAUAGAGUACUUGACGUUUUUUUAGUGUCAAGUAAUAGAACUAUACUUGACAGUCGAUUACUUGACGCUUUUUAAAACGUCAAGUAUAGAUUUACAUGACACUGUAUUAAUGUCAAGUAAUUCAAUUUUUGUAGUAGUCUCUAGACGUGGUCGAUUAAGAAAUUGUUUGUAAUUUUCUAAUGAUAUAAUAUGGAUGAUGAAAAUGAUUGAGUGUUAAUUAAAAGUAAAUCAAAAUAAACCCCGGGAUAUAUAGGUGUUUGUUUUAUUGAAUACUAUCAUCAUUACCAUAUUUAGAUUUGUCUUCUGGCAUUUUGUUUCAAUUUAUUUCAAUUCCAAUAAAAGGGCCACAUUAGUAUUCAUACUAGAUCUAUGAGAUCUUUGUUCAUUGGAUUCAAACUUACAACAAGCAAAUCAUUUUUCCAAUAACAUCUUUAUUUAAUAAAUCCUCAAUAACAACUUUAUUGCAUUUACAAUAUUCAUGUUGGAAUUAUAUCAACUUUUACAAGUAUAGUAUUAUAGAGAUUUGAGGUUUGAUUUUUCAAGUACAAUUAUUGUACUAAAAAAAUUAAUGGAAUGUUAAACCAUUAAGCAAUCCCUAUUGUUCAUUUGACAAACUAAACUCUCUCUAAGUCAUUGUUGAAGAAGAGAAGCCUUUUGGUUCCUGUUUUUUUACAAGUAUUUUCAUACAUAUGAGGAAACAAUAAUCUCAUCCUAAUUUAGAAUUCAAUUUCAGUAAAAUACAAGAAAAAUUGACUAAGUCUAACCUAAAGUUGAUAGUAACUCUUUGAAAGGGUAAAUUUUCAAUAAUCAAUUUUAUUUUUCAAAACUAAUUAAUUUCAUUAAUACCAUUUACCUACUUGUUUUUCAGUGAGAACUAGGUGAAUUGAAGGUUGAUGAGUGAGCAAAAAGAAACACCGAUAGUGUAGAUCAAACGAACCAUUAUUUUUCUUUCUUUAAAGAGAUCAACAAAUGUUAGAACAAAGAUCAAAUUAUUGACUUUAAGAUACAAAAUCGUAAUAGUGUUUCAUUCACCGAAUUGUGUGUCUAGAUUAUUCAAAAAAAAUUUGUAACAUUUUAAAUAAAUACAAUCUUUUAAUUAGUCGCCUAACUUUUGUCCUAUUUGCAAUGUAAUAAGAGGAUUUUGGUACAACUUGACUCAUUACCAUAACAUAUUAUUUAAAAUAUUCUCAAAAUAAUUAAAGAUGUUGAUGUUGCUUACAAUGAUAUGAUCGCAUCUUCAACAUUUCCAUUACUUUACAUUUAAUUUUUGACUUAAUACAUGUGUCAUUAACUUUAGUUUGUUUUCAACUUUACUACUUUUUCCAAUCAAUUAUUUUAAAUUCUUCAAAACCUUUUCCCCUUUUAUUUAUAGGUAAUUAAAACAAUAAUAAAAUAAAAUUCCAUGAAAAAUAAAAUAUAGUAGUCUAAAGAAAGAGGAGGUCUUCUACUAAAACUCGAUUAAGAUAUAAAUAUAAUCACUUAAAGAUGUUGGGCUUAGGCCUAUACAUUUGGGGUCGUCCUAAUCCAAUGAUAAAAGUAACUUCAAGUGAUCAUAGAUUUUUGAAUUACAUAAUCUUUAUAAGGUAAGUUAGUAGUUAUUGAUUAGAAAAUAUUUAGAUUUGAGAAUAAAGAAGAAGAAGAAAAUGAAGCCUAAAAAAAUGUGAGAUGGGAUGAUUUUAGUACAUUAGAGUCAAUCAAAGUUGUGAGUACAGAAUUUAAUGCAAGUCAUGGUCUUAAAGAAAGACAAGGCAAUUCUUUUUCCCUAUAGUUUUUGCUUUGUAAGGCAAAGCCUAAACAAUGUUGGACCUAUCAAAAAGGUCUCUUCCAACUAUUUUUCCAACCAUCUCAUGACAACUAAAGUUGACAACUUUAUUUUCUCUUCUCAUCAAUAUUAUUUUUCCCUUUAUUUCAAUUUAAUAAAUAAAUAAAUAAAACCACCAAACUGUCAAAACCAAUGUAUAAUGCGAUUAUAACAAAUAUAACAAGUAAUUAAUGCUAUCAAACAACUAUCACACACCAUAUUUUACUAAAUAUUUUGAAGAGGUUUAUAAUAAAAAGAGUUAAUUUAUGUUAAGAAAAGAAAAUACUUUACUUUAUAAUUUGAUGGAAAAGGCUGAUUCUAAACAUUCUUGUCCAUGGAGAUCAAAGUUUUUGAGAAAUGGAUUUAUGUUUAUGUAUCUAUCAAGUUAUGAUGAAUGUAUUGAUUAAAAAUGGUUAGAAAGAAAUAUAUAUAUAUAUAUAUAUAUAUGUAUAUGGUCAAAACGAAUAUUAAGAGAAAAAGUGUAAGUUUGUUUUAGGGAAUUUUGUUAAAGAUGAUCUUUUAAAUGGAAUAAUGAUUAUGAAAUAAGCGGCAAAGAAGUUUCAAAUUUUAAUAUUAUAUAUAAAAUUAUAAAAGAAAAAUAAAAGUUCCAAAUUUUAGUUGUCUUUUUUUAUGUAUAAAUUUAUUUUUUCUUUUUAAUCUUUCGAAUAAAAUUAAAGUUACAGAAUUAGUUAUACCAAAGUUUAAAAUUUUAGUUCUCCUUUUGUAAUUUUCUCUCUUUUUUUAAAUUUUAUUUUAACUUUCUUGUGUAUAAAUAUAUUUUUUUUCAAGUAAUUUCUUUUAGGAAUGGAUUCAAACUCAAAUUUGCAGCAGAGAAUAUACACUUUUUUAUUUUAUUGAUCAGCUGGCUAUUUGAAAAAGAAUAGUUUUCCUUUUUCCCGUUGAAUAAUAUACGUAAUCAAAUUUUUGAAUAUUUUAACAUCUUAUCGAGAAUAUAUACACAUUACUUAUUUGUGUCAACGAAGUAUAUUGAUAUUUAAAGAAAAAUACACAUUAGACAAUAACUUUCAAUAUAGAAGUGAAAUACUAACAUUUGUAAUACAAAUCAAUUAGCAAUGAUAUUUUUCUAUAUAUAGAGUUUUAUUUAUCCAUUUAUAGAUGUGUUUAUGAUUAAUGAUUCUCUCUUUUACAAACAUAGGUAAUUUAACCUUUUGCUUAACUCAAAGUGUACUACUGCACAUUUAAUAAACAUAUCAUGUUAGAGAUGAUCAUGUCUAUAAUAGCCCUAAUAUUAUGGUCAUUUCUAUCGCGUUAAACAAAAGUUCGACUGUGUUUUCCUCAUUUUUUCUCACAUUUUGUCGCGUAUUUUUGGGUGAGAACAUUAAAGUUGGGAUCACAAUAGUGAUAAUGGUCAUCACAUCAAGCCUACACAUGUUCAUCCCUAACGCGAGACAUUAUAAAAUGCUUACAUGCAUUCCCUUACUCUUGUCAAAGUUGGUUGUGGAAUUUCUCUUUUAUCACGAUAGGGUUACGAUAGAUAAUCAUUUCUAAUAUGAUACCGUAUAAAAAUAUAUAUGGUAAUCAUGAGCACUUAAUGAAAGAAAAAUGUUUGAUUUCAUACGUUUGUGGUGUAGUGAGGGAAAAAAAACUCCUAAUUCAAAUGAUUUGAAUAUAUAAACAAUAUGAUUUGAUUGAUUGGUAUACCGAUUAAAAUCAACCAUAAAUUGAAAAUUUUUAUUCUUUGUUCAUAAUGAAUGGGAAUUAGAAAUACUUUUAAGUACUGAAGUUAUAUGUUCGGGUUAGUAGGAGUCGUGGUCUCGAGGCUAAAAUGCAACCCUAGUUUGUUCAAAAUGGGAUGGGCAGGGGUACCAAAUGGAUGAAGAAGACAGGUAGGAGACAAAGACAACCCUAAAUUAAUAUUUUGUAUAGUAACUUUUGUUUUGUUUUUCUUCCUUUAAACAAAGCUUAGGAUCCUCCCUUUGCUUCUUUUAAUACAAAAACUUUUUAACCACCACCACUAACACUACACCUCACACCCUCUCUCUUCUUUUCCACCCAAAAUAAAUUUAAUAAUAAUGAUAAUGAUAAUAAAAUAAAAAAGAAACUUCAAAUUUCUUUUUUUCUCCUUAAGUUUUCAAUCAACUAAUGAAUACACAUUUGAUUGUUGACAAGUCAUAGUACAUUUACUUUUGAAUUACCACAAUAAUAUAGAAAAUAAAUCAUUGUUUCUCUAACCCUAAUUUGAUGUGGUUUGUGAUAUCAGUGGAUAGAUAUGUUCCUCAAACAAAAAGUACUUUUUCAAAUCUGUAUUUACUAAAUAAAUUAAACUUGUGAAUCCAAUUUUUAGGUUAUGUAGUUAUCAUGAAUUAAAAAUAAAAUAAAAUGUUCUACAGUUUUAUUAUUUUAAAAUAAUUUUCAUACGUACAAUUAACUUUCGAAAUGAAUAAAUGUAUAAGUUAGAUUGAAGUGGUACUAAUUCAUGGGGUUUCUAUAACUAACUAUUUUCAUUAUUGGUAUAGUUUAAACAUAGUAUAUACAUUUUUAAGUUUUUGAAAUUUUCAUGUACUUGAAUAUAAGUUAAUUUGAACUUUUAUCCACUUUUUAUGUUGAUUUUUUUUUUUAUGUUUAAAAUCUCAAUCGUUAUCCUCUCAUCAAACAACUUUCUUUAAAGUUGCAUAUUUAAUCUUUCAUUUGAAUAUUCAAACUCUUUCAAAUACUUAAAAGAUGGAAUGAAAGAUGAUAAAAUUUGUUCACAAAUUAAUAAUAACAACAAAAAGAAAACUAUACAUCUAAAACUUACAUUGAAUUAUAAAAUAUUAGAGUUGUUAGGGUAUUAUCUUUCUGAGAUCUAAAAAGGGUUUUGGAGGAAAAACAAAAACAAAGUUUGACUCAAAGAGAUAAAAACAAACAAGUGCUUAACUUAAUAAAAACACAACAAAUAAAAGCCAAAAUGGCCCAACAAAGUCAGACCCUUAAAUCACAAAACUUUGAUUAAGAAAUUAAAAAUGUUAAAAAUAUAUAUAUAUAUAUAUCAUUUUGGAACCCUUGCUCUCGGUUUAACUUUGUUAUCGUGAACGUAGUCAAGACGUUAUUGUUAGUGAACUCCAAAAUCUUAUUGUAUUUUGUAUUUGUAAAUUCGUAAGACAUACAACACAAAAUACAAUAUGAAUAAUUUUUCACAUUUUAUAACAUAAUGUUAUUAAUUAGAAACCUUUUUCUAAAAAAAAAAAACUAUUAUGUAUCGACUAAUACCAUGAGCAUAAUUUAAACUAACAUUAAAUAUGAUUAUAAACUAUUAAACAUUAAAUUGUCAUCUUCCAUAAAAAUUUGGUUAGCCAUAACUUGAAAGGAUGAACUUGAGAGUUAAAAUAAAGUAGCUAGUUUGGCAAUAUCAACCAUAACAUAUAUAAAACUGUUAAUGACAUUAUUAUUGUUUCCAAUAUUUUGAUAGUAAUGAAUUUUUGAGAGAAGGGAUUAGGGAAAUAAAAGAAAAGCUUUAAAAGAGUUAAUUAACCUAGGAUUCUAUGGAACAUUAAUAAGACCCCAUAUGUUAUGAAAAUAUAAUGGUUUAAUAAAAGGGAGAUAUAAAAAAGAAAUGUACUUUAUUUCAAUCACCAAAGCAAAAGUUGAUUGCUUUGGCCAUUGAUGACAUAAGGUUUCAUUGUUGGAAUUGGAAAAGGAAUCUCUUUCCUCCACUUUAAAUUAAUUAAUUAAAACAUACACACAACUCCAAUCCAUAUGCAUAUUUAAUUAAUUGAUAUUAUCAAAAGAAGAAGAAGAAAAACUCAGUACUCAAAACCCUAAUUAGUAAUUAAAGAACAAUUUAAACCCAUCAUGUCUCAUAUUUUUUCCCUCAUUCCAAUGUUAAUGUUUGUUUUUUCUUUCUUUUUUUUUUCCCUUUUUUUUUGCCUCUCAAUAGUACAAGAGACAAUUAAUAAUAUAUAUUGCUAAAUCAAAUUGAAAAGCCAAGUGAAAUUGUUUUUAACAAAAGUUGUUUCACACGGAUUAACUUGGAUUGUGUUUUUUAUUUAAUUUUUAAAUUUAAAUGAAUUAAUAUAUAUAUAUAUAUAUAUAAUGCAAUUAAUUAAAGGGGUUUUUCUAUUAAUUGUAAGUAUAUAGGUAAUUAAAAUUUUAGGAUAUUUAUAUUUUUUAAAUAUAGUAAAAUGGGCUAACUUAUUUAUACAUGAUAACAAAACUUUGUUGAACAUCAAAAAUAAAAAGUAAUUAAUUAUAGUUAUCAAUUGUAAAUAUUUUUAAUAAUUUUGAGGUUGUGGUGAAAUAAGUAAAUAAGUUAAAUAGGAGUAUAAUUUUACUUGAAACUUAGAUAAAAAAAAAAGGGUACAUAAAUUCAAAAGUGUAGUCGUUUAUAUGAGGGCCCAUUUGUGAAGAGAAAAUGUGUGUAAGUAAGAGAUUGAUGAGAGGAAAAAUGUGGAUAGACAAAAGGUUGGUAAGAAAAAUAUUGCAGUGUAGAAGAAACUUAGUGAAAAGAAAGUAAGUUUGUCAUCUGUCCUUCUUUGACUACUAUAUUUUCUUAUUCCUCCCUCUAAUUUAAACCUUUUUCAGUUUAGUCCUUUUUACUUCAAUAAUUUAUACAAAUAGACUUUAAUAUUUUUAUUCAUUUUUUCAUAUUUCAAAUUAAAAUAGUUUCUAUAUGAGUAUAAUGAAUAAUUAUAUUGAAACUAAACUCAACCUAUAGAAAAGUAAUUCCAAUUAUAUUGCAACAAUUAGUACAUAAAUGAUAAUUAGUCAACUUGAGUAUAAUAUUAUAGUUUUUUUUAUAAAAAAAGUUAGAGAUUCAAAUUCCAUCCUAAUUGUCAAAUAUUUAUUCAUUCUUAUUAUUAUUAUUUUCCCAUAGUAAAAGUUUGAUGUUUGAGUUGGUAAAUAAUUUUUUAUUAAAAAGAAAAAUUAAUUAUAUUUUCUUUCAAUUUCAUAUAAUGUUUUAUUUAUAUCUUUUAUACUAAGUCGUUAAACUUUUAGUCAAAUCUAAAAAACAAAAUAAUAUUUUAAAGAGAAAAUGUCAAUGAAUAGCCAAAAAAAAAAUUGAAACUAUUUACAAAUUAUAACAAAGAAAAAUCAAAUGAGCUAGAGAGAAUUUAAUGAUUUUAUUAUAGUUUGUAAAUAGUUUUAAUUUCUUUGCUAUAUUUAAAAAUACCGUUUUUCAAAAACAUUUUUUUUGUGUUAAAAAUUAAUUGACUUUUUUUUUUUAAAACGUUCUUAUAAAUACAUGCAGAGCAAAUAAUCUAUAAGUGGAAGGAUGAUUAUAGGCUUAAUUUUUAAAGCCUAAAAACAAAAACCUAAAUAGUUAUCAAAUAAAAGUUUAGGUAUUACUUUUUAGUUUUUGAAAAUUAAACUAUACACUAAUGAUUCAAGUGCAUUGAUUUUUUUUCCAUAUGUUAUCUACUUUUUAAGUAUGUUAAAAUUUCAUAAAGGAAUUCUUUUCCAUAAAUAGAGUUAUCACACAACAAGUCUGAGUAAAUAUAGGAACAAUAAUAAAAAUAACAAAAAAGAAAAAUAAUAAUAACACACAAGGAGUUGGCAACCUAAUUCGGUGAUAUAACACCUACAUCUGGAUUAGCGUGCCUAGGACACAUAACCCACUAAUAUAAUUGAGUCAAACGAUUACAACAUUGUACUUAUCUGUAUACUCUCAAGAUUACAGUAAUAACCAUAGAGCUAACUCAGUGAACAUCUAGGCUCUCCUAGAUGCAAGACUCGCUCACUUUAAAAUUUAAGCUCCCCUAAGUAUGUCACUAUUAGUAGUGAAGAACUUUAAUUAGGCUCUUCCUAAUAGUGUGUUAGACUCCUCACUUGAGGUUAUAUUUCCUUCUCUCUUUAGGAUUUUUCUUCACUCGAGUAACUUAGAAUCCCUCCAAGUGUAUGAAAACUUCCUUCUAAAGAACAAAUCUUUAAGCUCCCCCUAAAGUAGUGUAAUAUAUUUGGAUUGAAUGUAGUCUUCAACAAACUACUCACCGAUCUAAUUUGCUUCAAAUUAAACAUAAAGUUGCGUCGAAUUCACAAUAGAGAACAAGUGAUAUAACAUAUGCGAUAACCCUACCGGUGAAUGCUUCAUGAGCUGAAAUAGCACAACAAAGAAAGAAAAAAAAAAUCUACAAAUCAAAUCGUUAGAGCUCUGGAAAAGAAAAGCAUCCAAGCAUAGAAGGAAAUAUUUUGUAGAAUCUGCAACCUUUGAGACAACUACUGCAACGAGAACAUUCUGAAACAUAUUCUAAGACAACCACGAAAAAACUCAUUAGAAGGCUAGGAAAUUUAAACAAAUAUAUAUACUUACACGAAAUCCACGCCAAGUUUUGAAAACAAAAAAUAUUAAAUUUUAGAAUCUUGUUGAUCUUUUUAGAAUUUAGUUAAGAAUUUCAUCGUAUUGUUUCUACUUAAGAAGCAUGAAAACCAUGAUAAAGAAAAUGUAAGAAAACAAUCGUAAUUUUCAUAAAGCAAGUGUUUGGGAUUUUACGUUGGUUAUCAUAAUCAAUAGGUUAUAAUAGUGUGUUUUCAAGAUGUAGACAAUUUUAUUUAGAUUAUAAUAAUAUGUAUGGUAACAUGUAGACUAUUUUAGUAUGAAUAAGAAACGGUAAACAUAUAUAAAAAUAAAAAGAGGAUAUAAGUAGAAGAGUAAACACACUAACAAAAAAGAGAGAGAUAUGAAAUAGCAUUACUGCAGUUAACUGAAGGUUUUACCAGUAACAUAUACCAACUAUUAUAAUUGAAAGUUGAAGUAGAAGAAAUAGUAUAAUAUAGUUGAGUUUAGUGGUUGGAAGUUGGUGGGUAUUAAAUGAGAAAGGGAAUAAAUGGAAUCUCUUUUGUUGAUGGUAAAAAAGAAAGAGAGAAAAAGUGAGAGAUGAAAAAUGAUGAUGAGAGAAAGAAGAAAAAUGGUAGGAGAGAGGAUAAGUGUAAAAUUGAGAAAAGAAUGAUUGAGAAGCCGCACGAGUCGUUUCAUAGGAUUCUCUUAUGGGGUUAUUUGUCUUCUCAUCACAAACACACAUCACAUUCAUUAAUCAACCAAACUCCAAAACCCUAACUCCAAACAAUAUAUAUAUAUAUAUAUAUAUAUAUAUAUAUAUAUAUAUAUAUGUGUGUGUGUGUAUAUAUGUAUUAUUUGUUUUCAAAAUAUAAAAAAGCAAACUCAUACACACUACUUCUCUGCUCUUCUUGUCCCCCUUUUCCUUCUUUUUCAACCCUAAUCCAUGUCUUUUUCCACACACACACUUCAUUUUUAAAUCACAACCCAUAAACAUCUUUUCUUCCGUUGUUCACUAUUAUUAGAAACCGUGUUUCUUCCAUAAUCGGUUACUUUGGAUCUCUUAAGCUGAAAAGUAGUAUAAAUUUUAAAGUUCAUAAAUCUUUUAAACAAGAUGAUUGAAAGUUCUUGUUAUAUUUGGAGAACAUAUCACUCCAAAGCAUGUAUACAUAUAUGAGAGAAAAAACAAAAAUGUGUGGGAAGAACAAUAAUAAUAAGGAUUUAAAAUGAAAUGAAAAUCUCUCACCCAAGAAGAAAGCAUUUCCAAAAGUAGUGUGUGUAAGAAAAACCUUUUGUGGAAGUCUUUUAUAUUCUGCAUGGCAGGUUCUUGAAGCAUCAAAUAUAACAGUUUCUUUUCUCUUUUCUCAAUCUUGAUCAGUGUGAAAGAUACAUCUUUUAAUCUCAAGGACUACACAAAGUAAAUGGUCCAAAUCUUUUGCAUAUUUGGCCUUCAUUUAUUUAUUUUUUUUAAAUCAAAUAUAUACCAAAGUAUUAAGAAGAGAAUCCAUAUUAAGAAUAAAUAAAUACUAAAACUUUUUCACACUAUCUUAUUCAGGAGAGACAACUAUUGAUCUUAUGGUAUAUUCACAAUGGUAUUCUCUACUUUGGUAGUAAGUUACCAGUUUUGUUUAAUUUUGAUUUUGCAUGGUCAUUUUGUAAUUAACUCAACCGUAGAAUACAUUCGAAACUUUUCAAGAAUUCUAUUGACAUGACUAAGUUGAAGCAUACCCUAAUACUAAUUUGUUAAGGACAAUAAUCUCUCUCUGGACUCCAAUUAUCUCAACAAUGAUAUGAUCAUAUAGUUCAUUUUGUAGACAAACGUCCUUAUAGCUUUAUAUUUUGUUUCACUCAAAAGACCGCAUACCAUCAACGAUAUAUUUAUCGCACCUUAUAUACUCACGAUCAUCCUUUCAUCUAGCUAAAUAUGGAACUUUACUCACAUAUUAUCUUUAACUUUACUAAUAGUUUGAUCCUUAUACUUAUUUUUUUUUUCUAAUAAAUAAGUCCUUUUCUCGUUUUUGAAUAUUUUUUUCUAAAAGAAAUUAUAGUAUUAAAAAUCUUAUUAUAAUUACUCUCACUCACAUAAUCAAACUAUGUAAUUGAUAGGAAGUCAAUUAACUUUUGUAGAGCUAAAUUGUUAGAAAUAGAAGUAGACAUACAAUCGAAACAAAGUGACAUACAAUAAUAAUGAUGAGUGAAAUACAAGAACAUUGAAUAGGUAAUUAGAAGGUUGAAAAGAGAAUGUGUGAGAGAGAUUUUUACACAAAAUAUUGUUAAAAAGCCUUGUCUUGGGCCCUUAACUUUUCUCAUCUUGACUAAUUAUUCAAAAGCUGAUAUCACAAAACAGCACAAACCCAAAACCACACACACUUAUACAUUGCCACACUCAUUAAUAAAAGUCAGAAAUAUUACAUUAAAUCAUCAAAAUAAAAAAGAAAACACUAAUUAAAAACCUUCAUAGCUAAUUAAUUAGCCAUAGCCAUUCCCCAUAGCCAUAGCUAUACAAAUUACAUAUACAAAACCAGCCCUUUGGUAAAACUAAAAGCUGAAUUUUUCUGGUCAUUAAUAUAAAAUAAAAAAAAACUCAAACUCCUCCUCUGUUUCUAAACUCUUAUACUCUCUUAUCAACAACAUUUUCUCUCAUUUUUUGAGAGAAAUGAAACCCAGAAGCUAAUUUGAGUACUAAAAAAAAGAAAAGGAAAAAGAAAUUAGCUAUUGGUAAAUAUAAAAUGUCAUUGUGAAGAGAAGAAGAAGAAAAGCUCUAUAUCUGGUGAAGCAAAGAAAGCAAUAGGAGAAGGUCUUUGUAAAGAACAAUUUGAAUUUGAAUUUGAAAAAAGCCUUCGCUUUUUAGGAGCGGGUGGACAUAUUUUGAUUUCUGGGAUUUUGAAUCUCUCUGCUUUUGGAGUACUACAACACUCUUCUUCUUCUUCUUCUUCUUCAAAAUCACAGCUUCUUCUUGAAACUGAUUUUUCUUCAAAAUUAAUGGUUGUUGAAGAACUUGUACCUUUUUCAAUUUCUUCUUCUUCUAGCUUGAUGUUGUUGUUCUUGAUGUUCUUCUUGAUCUUCUUGUUCUUCAACUGGGUCGUUGUUGUUUUUCUUGCUCUUCUUCUUGCUUCUCCUCUUUUGGAAGCCAUGGAACUCAAAUGUGGAAGGCUUUGAAUUUCUUUGAAAAAUGGUUUCUUUUUUGUGAGAUUUUGUUAGUAUUGGAAGGAAAUAGAGUAACCCAUUUGAGAGUUUUUUUAGAAGAAGAAGAAGAGAGGGGUUAAUAUGUAAGAGGGUUUUGUUAUAUAGUGAAAGGGAGGGAAAACAAAGGCACAUGUUUGCUUUAUGUCAUAUUUUGAAAUGUGUUAUCAUUGUUUUUGAAUUCUCCUUUUUCAAUUAGAGGAUACUAAUGCUCUUUCUUUUUUUUCUCUCUCUCUCCAUAGAAAACCAUAUUGUGGGUAAAAAUUGGCUUUUAGGGUAAGAAUAUAUCUUAGCUUACAUAUAUACAUACAUAUAUAUAUAUAUAUAUAUUAUUGAUGAACUUUUUGAAUAUCAGUAUUUUGUAUUUGUAAUUUGUGAUGUAAUCCAUACAUAUGUUUCCAUACGAAGAAUCAAACCAUUAAACUUUAGAGUGACAAUUAGAGAUCUAUUAUCUAAUAUUUGGUUAAAAAAAUGAGUAGAAUAAAUUAAUAUAUAUCUUCUAAGUUAUUUUAAAAAAUAGUCAAUUAUUAAACUAUUUACAAAAUAUAACAAAAUUCAUCAAACUCUCUCAUUACAAAUUUUUACUAUAUCUGGUAAAUUGUAUCAUUUUUUUUUUCUUUUUUGUUAUUUAUAACAAUUCCUCUUAUUUGCUUUUUUAUAAAUAUUUUUUUUUCACUGUGAUUGAUAGAUUGUUAGAAAACGAGUGCAAUUUAGAUAAGUUCUAUUUGGCAUAUGAUUUAUAUUUCUAGGUUGAGAGCACUCUCCUCAUUCUAAUGGUAAGGGGUAAUUAUUUGGUUUUUUUAGUUUUUAAAAGUUAAGUCAUUUUAUUUCUAACUUUUACUAAUAUUCUCAAGAUGUAAGCCAACUUUUGAAAAAUAAAAAGAAGUAGUUUGUUUUUGCAAUUUAGCUACGCAUUCAAACCUUUGUACUUAAGAAUGAUAUAAAUGUUCACAAGAAAUCGAGGGAAAAUAGAUUUCAUUUCUAAAAAAGAAAACCCAAAAUAUUAAAAACUAAAAUCUGACUUAGUAACCGUUCGUUUUUUGUAUUUGGUUUUCAAAAUUGAGUAUCUUUAUAUCUCCUACUUCAACAUUUUUUGUACUGAUGUUUUAAAAGCUCGUCAAAAUAUGAAAUCUAGAAAAACAAAUUAUUUUAAAAUACGUGUUUUUUCUUUCUUUCUAAAUUUAGUUAAGAAAGAACUUAUACAAAUUAUAGUAAAAAUAAUGGAAGAAAGUAUGUUUAAUUUUUUUUUAAAAAAAAAUAGUUAUCAAAUUUCACUGAAUAAUUAUCAAACAAAACAAAAAAAAAUAACGUAGCAAAUGAAAUAUAACACAAGGUAAUAGAAAAAUAUAAUUCUCUAAGCUUUAAAACCUGAAGAAAAAAAAGUAGGUGUGAAUAAAGAGAGUUACAACACAAGUUAAUUAUUAAUUUACUAUAAUCUAUGCCAAUCAAAAUCUAAGAAAAUGAAUGAUUGCUACAUAAAGUAGUGAAAGUGAAUGUGAAUUGGUUGAUAUUACGAAGUCAAUGGCUGAUUAGUAUAGAUUUUUCUUUAAAAAAAAGGAAUUAUUGUUUAUUAAUUAAAUUACUAUAUUGAAAUAAUAAAUUACAAUUUUUUAUAUUUUAAAAAGUUUAUUAUAAAAGUAAAGGUAUCCAAUGAAAAAUUAAGUAAAUGUUUAUUUGAUAAGGCACUAUGGACGGUUUGGCAGGUAGCAUUAUCCCUAAACAGUAAACACACACCUAAAGCAUAAUGUGAUUCUUAAUAUAAUUAAUGCUCAACAUUAAUCCAAUUAAUUUAGAAAAGAAAAAAGAAAAACAAUUUGCUUAUAAAAUUAAAUAUCUCACUAAACCCUCCAUUAUUCUAACCUCAUUAUUUUAUCUCAAAACAACCUCAAACUUUUUUUUUUUUUGUAGAUUCGUUUGCAUUUACUAUUUUAAUUUUCGUAGUUUCAAUACAUUUCAAAUUUAUAAUGUAUUUGGAUUACAUUUUCAAGUGUUUAAUUUAAAAAACAAGUUAUUUUGAAAACCACUCAAAAUAGAUUUUUGAGUGAAUUCUAAACCAUUUUUAGAAAGAAAAAAAGUUUAAACAAAAAUGAGUUUCUUGACAACCAUUUUUUCUUAAUUCAAUCCAAACGAACCCUUAGUCUAUACAACUAGUUUGUUGUUGAAUUUUGCAAAACCUUUUUUUAGUAUAUUAUUGGUAUGCUCACUAAGAGACUCUGUGUGGUGCUGGGUAACGUAGAGUUGUUUUGUUUAAGUUCAUGUAUUUGAAUUCUCCAAUAUUUACAAUUUUUUGAAUUUUAGAUAAUAUAUUUUUAUACCUAUUUUUGUUUUUGAGAUUUUUUAUUCAAUAAUUCUACCUAUCUUUCGUUAAAUAAAAUAUGAAUUUUUUUUUUUUUUUGUAAUAAACAACAAUUAAUCAACUACAUUUCUUGCACUAAAUAAAAUGUAAAACAAAAGAAAAUUGAAGAAAUUUUAUUCCUAAUUUUUUUCAUGAAUUUCAUCUUUUAUUUCUUUUUUCUUUUUAAUUAUUAUUUCUAUUGUUGCUUUGUAUUUUCUCUCUGUCAUUAUUUAUUCUAAUUGAAUCUCCCCUAUCAUUUUAAUUCGUAUGAAAUGGUAGUUAAUUAUUUGCUUGUUUUUACUUUGUUUUAGGUUUGUUUUUUGUUCCACCAUUUAACAACAUGCAUAUUUUUUUCAAAUCCUUAACACGUGAAUGCAAUAAAAUAAAAGGAUAAUAGUUUGUGUGUAAGUAUAUAUGGUCAACAAAAAACCAAUUUCAUUCAUACAAAAAAAAAAUUAUUUUUGAAAAUAGUUAAGUUGGUUAGUCAUACGUAGUAAGUCAAACAAUCCAUCUUUAUUGAUUGUGGUGAUUAUUGUUAAGAAAGCCAUCGAUCUUUUAGAUGUUUGUGGCAAAUAAGUCUAUAAGACAAUCCUUAGACAACUUUUCAAUAUCACAUUACUAUAAAAGACGAUUAUUAAACAUUACAAAUUAAUCAUUUCAAUUUUGUAUUUAAAUGCACUUUUGUUAGCCAAGUUCCUUUUCAUUUUUCUUUUUAUAGUAUAUUAUUGAUUGAGUUGGUCAUUGAAAAUAAACAACAAAGUUGGUGGUUGGAGUUAGUUGUUCAAGAUCAUUUUCAAAGUUGGGCGUUAGAUGUGAUCGUUGUUGAAGUUGAUUGAUAGAGAUGGUCUUUAUCGUUCUUGGUUGCCUAAGGUAAAUGUUAGUAAUUGAUUGUUAGAGGUGGUUGUCACUUGUCAUUGAAAUUGAUUAUCAAAGGUGAUUUUCGUUGAAGUUUAUUGUGGAGGUAGUUGUUGGAGCCGAAAGUUGAAGGUUGUUGUUGAAUUAAUUAUCAAAGGUGAUUUUCACCCAAGUUUGUUGUUGUAGAUGGUUGUCAGAGGCAUAAGUUGGUUGCAUGAAAAUGAUCUUGGAGUUGGUCACAAGAGUUUGUUGCUAGAGCCUGAAAUUCUCGUAUCGCAAAGGUGGUCGUCGAAGUUGAUUUUCAUUGGAGUUUGUUAUUGGAGAUGGUUACUAGAUCCUAAAAUUGGUCGUUGGAGUUGGCCACGAAAAAGUGGUUGUCGAAGGUGAUCGCUCGAGUUUGUUGUCGGAAGUGGUCGCUGGAGUUUGUCAUCAAAGGUGGUUGUUGGAGCUAGAAAUCGAUCAUCAAAGUUGGACGUGUGAAAUUUUUCGUCAAAUUUGGUUGUCGAAGUAUGAAAUGCUUCUUAGAUCCUUUAGGUUGCCAACCUAUCCAAUCCAAAAAAUUGGGUUGGUCCCAAAAUACCCCUGAACCCAACCCAACCCAACCCAACCCAACCCAUUUAACACCCCAGUACUAAUCCCCUUUAGCAGCAAGCCAUGACUAAAGAACUCCAAACUUUAAAGAAGACUCAUACUUGAAAUUAUGUUGUCCUACCUCCUGAAACAAAACCUAUCAUGUAAGUGGAUCUAUAAAAUCAAGACUCACUCAAAUGUGACUAUUGAAUAUGGUAUAAAGUCCACCUAGUGGCCAAAGGGUAUUCUCAGUAGUAUGAUAUUGAUUAUGAGGAAAUGUUUAUUUAUGUUGCUCGCAUGACAUCUAUUUAAAGUCUUUUGACAGUAUUUGCCACCAAACAGUGGCCUCUUCUUCAAAUGGAUUUGACAAAAACUUUUCUCCAUGGUAUUUUAUCUAAAGAUGUAUAUAUGAAACUACCACCAGACACAUCUCCUCCAUCUCAGAUAAUUUGUCUUCUUCGUCGUGCCUUAUAUAGGAUAAAAUAAGCCCCACGUGCCUGGUUUGCUACUUUUAGUUCUACUGUUACUCAACUUGGGUUUACUUACAUCGUUCAUAACUCAGCUCUCUUCGCUCAUAUGACUCCUCAUGCCAUUUUUUUCCUUUAGUGACUUUGCUCAUGUCAUUGCUACAAAGGUUAUAUAUGAUCUACAAUGUUACUUGAGCACGCAUUUUGAAAUAAAAGACUUGGGACCUCUAAAUUAUUUUUUUGGUCUUCAAAUUCACGUCCUGCUGAGACGGAUGCAACUUGUCCUAAACCAUGUAUCUAGGAAUGAAAUUCCUAUAGCAGAAACAUAUGAACGUCGUGCAAAUGGAAGUCAAUUUGAAAAACACAAAAUAUUCAUAAAACAAAAAAUAAAAAACAACACGCUUCUAAGGAGGAAAGAAAAAAAAAAUUAACCUUUAUAGAAUCUCUCAAGGACACCUUCUUAUAGAAUCUAUCAAGAACACUACGAAAUCUUCUUUAUUAUUCUCAAGGUGUAAAUGACAUAAAAAAAUUGUGGGCUUAUAUUAUAUUGAUUUUGUGAAUGAAAAAAGUUUUGAGACAUUUUGCAAAAGAGAGAUCGUGAAACACUAGAGGAGAGAAGUUUAAGAUUAAUUGAGAAUCUUCACCAUUUUAAGAGAGAUGGAAUUAAAUAUAUAUUAAUUAAAAUAAAAUAAAAUAAAAUCAAUUUAAAUUUAAAUCAACAUUAUAUUAUAUCAUAUAUAAUAUAGCCAAAUGACUUAGUUCUCGAGUAUGACUUAUAAUUCGAAUAUGAAUCGAAUCCAUAUUAAUUUGAUUGUAAAUAAAUAUAUAAACAAAUAACAACCAAUUAAUGACCAUUUUUUUGCAUCAAUUUUAUGGUUGAUUAUAUUUUCUCUCGAAACCAACACCAAGAGAUGGAUUUACACCCGUAGUAGUAGUAGCAAUAGUAGUUGUAAGAGCAAACAAACUACUUGGUUUGAAGAAAUUAAUGCACGACCGCAUGAAGAGAGUGUGAAGGUGUUUGCAAAUAACCAAGUUACUUUAACUAUUUGCGUUCAUAUCCAUUUUUUCAUGGAGGUAUCGGACGUUGAGAUAAAAAUAUGGAAAAUUACCUUUUUUUUAGAGUUAACUCAAGGUGCAAUUCUAUGUACUAUGUAGCAUGUAUGCCCCAACCCCAACUAACAACAAUAGUGUUAAACAAAUUCAAAAGCAACAUCAUUAACAUAACUAAAAGUACUCAACAUACAAAUUAUCAACAAGCAAGCAUUUUAACUUCCCAAAAAAGGUGAACUAUUAGGCAAUUUUAAGUAACUUUUUUUAGCAUAAAUUGGUUUGAAUAAUUCAAACAGCAGACCAAUGCACUAAGACAUAUUAAUUGAACUAAGGUUUGGUUAGCAUUCAUAUGCAAAUUUGUCAUUGUUUACCUUUAGUGAAUCCACUAUCCACACAUAGUAAAGCAUAUUGAGUCUAUUGACCAUGAGGGGAGUUUGAAUUCCAACCUUGAAUGGUUAGAAAACCCACCAAAUUCAAGAAACCGUCCAGAUGAAUUCAAGUACGAAAUCCAAAAUAUCUAAAUUUGAAGCUUUAUUUGGAGAAAAAAUGGAAAAGAUUUUCAAUAGCUUUUUUGAGCUGGUGAAUUUUGGACCUCACCGAAUUCUCUGGUUAAGAUUCAUCCAACUUCAAAUCUCCCACAGCUCCCCACUUUCCUCCUUUCCCUCACACAAUUCCCAAACAUAAUAAUCUAAGAGCUCUAAUUCGGAGCUAUCUCACAUACCCAUUUCAAAUCUCUGGCGGAAAAUCAUUGAAGGGGUUUCGUUUUUGUUUCUCAAAUCGACUCACAGACGAGGGUGGUCGAUUUUGAUUAGCGUAUUUCCUCUGGUUUCAUCUUUCUGUAAGGAUGGUGGGAGCUUUAUCUAUGGUGGGUUCUUCAGUAGUGGAUUCUCAUAGCUCCCCUUGUUUGUGUUUGGAUGCUUUGCCCACAACCAGCAUCAAUCUCAAAAGUUGUGGGGAUUUUGUAAUGAAAAAGAAAUAUUCAAAGGGUCGACAGCGUUUGCCGAAACCCAAGCACUUAGAUCUAAGCAGCUCGUUUGUCGAUAAUGGCCGGGAGUGGCUGCUCUCGGUUGAUAUGAUAAAUAGGAGUUCGAGGAAGCAGACCAAAAAUAGAAGACUUAUGGUUGUUGAUGAACUUGGGGGGCAGUAUGAAGAUAACUUUGAUGAUGUUAAAAUGGUAAGAAUGUGAAUUUGGAAUCGUUAUUCAUCUGUAUGCUUAAGACUGAAUUUAGAUAGGUAUUUAAGCACGUUUUGGUAGUUUAUUGUGUUGCUGAAAUGUAUCUUACUGAAUUUGGAUAAGAAAUCCUAUGUAGCUUAAUGAACGGUUUAACGGUUUAAGUCUGAUUCAAAAGUGCUUUGACUCUGUGAUGUGGUUCUAGCUUUGUGUAGUAUUUAGAGCUAUUUUCAUGUUGAUAAGACAUACUUUUGGGUACUUUGGAGAUUAUAGUUCUUGGAAGGCUUCCUUUUAGACGACUUUACUUGAACUAUAGGUUAUACAACUGUAUCCUUGAGUUCUAAGGAAGGCUUCCUUUUGGUUUUGCAAUGAUUUAGAUUACAAUUCAUCUACGGUAUGCAGCUUAGGAAUUCACAUGUCUUUCUAGUUCCUUGAUUCUUUUUCUAUGUUGAUAGACAUUAAUGAUAUAAAACAACGCUACCAUUAUUGUCGUAAUGAAGUAUUCAGAUGCAGAUGGGGCUCUCAGCAUAGGAAAAUUGUGGGUAUCCUUUCUUCCAAAUGAUCAUGCGAAGAUUUGGUAGGGAGCUGAGAAAGUUGGCCUUUCUACUAAUACUUUAAAGGCAUGCUAGACUCUAGAGUAACAGCACUAGCACAUGUUCUCUUGCUUGCUAGUGCUUUCAAAAAUUGGAGGGCAUUCAUUAUUGACUUUAGUAAGCUAGCUAGAAAUAACUUCUUGGAUGCUGUGGACUUGGUUGACCAUAACUAAUUGUAUUAGAGUCAAAAUUCCGGUUACACCAUGGUUAAGAGGAGUUUCUGUCUUAUGUAAUAUUGGGGACUGUAUUAACAUAAAUACAACAUAAAGAAGUAAUGCAAAAUCAAAAAUUGUAAACUGCAAAAAAUUGUCCCACACUUAUACUUCCACAUAAUCACUAUACGAAAGGACCUAUUACUAGAAUAGCUUUCAAUACAUAAAUUACGAUUUUGACUGCUGAACAACCAAUAUAGUUCCAAGCUAAGGAAUUGGAAUAGAAAGUUACAUUGGUCGAUACAGCAAUAAUCACAAUUGUUACUUAAGUCGACUCACGAGGCUUUUCAAAGCCACCAGUAUGAUACACAUACAAUGCAAAAACCAACAGGUUGAUGCCAAACGCAACUGAAAAUGUUCUUUUUAUACUUACGAGAUAUGCUUGAGACUUAAUCUUUUCAUUAAGUUUGUUAUACUUAUAGUCAGGUCCUGCAUUUUCAAAUUGUUGGUUGAUACUUCUUUUUAGUUUGAUUUUAAUGAUUUUCCAGUUUCUUGAGCGUUAUCUUCUCCCAUCCUUUGCUAAUUCAUUUGCCUAUGAAUUAAUUAGUGAACUGACUGAAAUUUCUCUGGCCCAGCAAAUGCUUAAUUAUUUUACAUACAAAGCUGUGAGGACUGUUAUGAACCAGCUGUAUGAAAUGAACCCCCCACAGUACAGGUGGCUUUACGAGUACGUGCUAUCUUUUGUUGCACUCUGAGACCUGCUUUUUUUGUUAUUUUUUUUCACUGGAGUUUGUUUAAUAUGCUGGUUUCGAUAUAGAUGCAUGAAAUAGUUGCAGUAUUUUAUAUCGUGCAAGAUCAAGUUUGGCUGUUAAACUAUUUCUUGUUAGAAUGGAUUUGGUCUUAAAUUUUGAUUCAUAUGUUUUCUUAUUCACAGUUUCGUGUUAAACAACAAGCCAACAGAUGGAAAGCAUUUCAUCCGCAGGCUUGUAAAGGUACUUCUUAAAAUUCAUACCUACUUCAUGACUUGGAUACUUUUUUUGUGACAAACAAGUAACCUUCAUUCAUUAAUGAGAGAAAUUACAAAAGAGGCUCAAGUGAUCAUAAGAAUCAUAAAAAAAAGAAUUGCCAAUGAAUGAAAAGAGAAGUUAGGCGUGUUAGUAAAGGAGUUUAAAUCUUUAGCUUUUUCCUUGAAGAUGCAGAUGGUUUUUCUUGAGCGAUGAUAACCAAAGGAUGGCUUCGUUGUGAGAGAUCCAUAGACCUCUUUACUCUUUACUAAUGUAUGACUUGGAUGCUAAUUAGUUGUACAGAGAAGCAAAACUUGUCUAAUUGAUGCUUCACAUAUGUUUUUCGCUAUUGAUUUUAGGGCAUGCUAUAUUUUGGAUUGAUAGUUGAAUAAAGGCAUGCUUUAGAAUGAUUUUGAGUGCAGCAUUAGUGAUUUUAACCAUUUCAAGAGGCUUACUAUAACUUGUUCCCAAAGUUCUUAUGGUUACCUUUUUAGCAUUUGGCUAUUAGUAGAAAAGAAAGGCCUGCCAUAGCACAAAGAUGUUACAAAAUAUGAUACGUUUCAAUAUGAUUGUUAGAUUGUGUACCAGUCUCUAUGCUUUAACUUCUAGUUUAGUCUACAAGUUUCAUUAUAGUCUAUCUAUUGAUUAAACCUACUACUAAGUAACAUGAAAUGCACCAUGUACAUAAACAUUCUCUAAUAAGUGGAAAAAUAGCUGUUCUAAGUAUGUAUAAAGCUCCAUCAUUUGUUGACAAAUUAGAAGUAGGAAAAAGAGCUAAAGUCAAAGAUUUGUUUAUAGGAUGGAGGUUUAGUAUGUGAAAAAUGAAUGCAUAUUGGAGUGAGAAAAAACUGUGAACCUCAAAAUUGCAUGCCAAGUUACACGAAGGCCUAUGCCUAAUUGAAGCCAUUUUGCUUGACAAUAAGUCAGCUUAAAUACACAACUAAAAUAUUUUCUUUUACUUCAAAAUCCCAAAUAUUCCAGUUUAAAUUUAGGGCAUCAAGGUUUAAGGUCAUUUACGGUGCGGUAGAUGUGGGAUGGUUGGCUACACCCACAAAACUUGUGUUUAACCACUAUUGACAACGAAUUGAAAGCAUGCACCAGCUUAAAUACACAACUAAAAUGAUUUCUUUUACUUAUGGAUUCCACACAUUCCAGCUGUAAAAUAGCGUUUUACUUCACCUGAAUCAUUGUUUUCCUAAUUGACAGGAACAGCAAGAUCUUGCUGAAAGAGUAAUGAUCACACGUCUCCACCUCUAUGGAAAAUGGGUGAAGGUAUUGUUAUCAUUAUAGUAUUUCUUUCCUUUCAAUACUAUAUGUUCUUUUAAUUAUAGGAAGACCAGUAUUUAUAUACAUGGAAACAAAAGCUUGCAAAAAUUUAUUUCUUCUGUGGUGUAGAAAUGUAACCACGCCGAAAUAUACCAAGAGAUCUCGGAUGAAAACGUGGAAUUAAUGCGAGAACGACUUAUGCAGACUGUUAUAUGGCCUUCAGAUGACACAAACACAGAGAAGAUUGGCUAAAGAAAAUAUCGAGUCAUUUUGAGUUCUCUCUUCCUUGACAUUCUUAUUGUAUUGCAUCCUUCAAUCCUAAUUAGUUUGAUUGUCGAGUUGCCAAUCUUAUUCUCACUGGUUAAGAAGUAGAAAAUCAGUGCUGCAGUCUUUUUUUUUUUGGUUGAAGGUAUGUAUGUAAUCAAUCAUUAUAUAAUGUAAGAUGUAUAUUCAUUUAGCCUCCAUUUUAGUUAUUGUGAAGGUAUAAUGUAGAGCUGGGAUUUCUUCUGUGUGCUUCUAUUUAUUCAUAUGCAUAUUGGGAUGAAAGGAUACUAGAAUGAGCGAUAAUGUGCGAUAUAGUUCUUUCUUUAUUUUCCCAUGUUGGAUAAUUUGUUUGCACAACUUCAAGCCUAAUGGACAUAAAUAUGUCUUCUUUUACUUGAAUGUGCUUGAAUUUUGAGAUUGUUUGGCAAGUUAUUAAGCAUGAUGUUGAGAAUAAUAGAACUUUUCUCGAGUUAGUAACAUGUAGGACAAAACUAACUGAUUAUUCAAGCAAGAGAGAUUAUAAGUUGGUAAUUCAUCAAUAUAGUAGAAGGAAGAAGAAUAAAGCUAGCGGGAAGAUAACCAAAAGUGGGGGCCACAAGGUAGAAGGGAGUCAUAUAAAUAGGAAAUAAGUGGGACGGGAAAGUCAGUUAGUUUCUGUUGUAAAUCAGUUCGAUGCAUUCUUGAGAGAUAAGAUCGCAGAUUGGUGAGAGAGAGAUUGUAUUCAUCGAAUUGAAGUAAUCAUUCAAUUCGAUUUCUUAACCUGUAAUCGAAAAUGAUUAAUAGCAAUAAAGUUUUAAAUUCAAUUCCUAUUGAAUCUGUAUUGGAUUCUAAGUUCUAACAUAUUGGUAUCAGAGCAAUUCAUCUUGGGAAAACAGAGGAAGAUGACAAAGAAGCAUGAAGAACAUUUUGAAGCAAUCGAACAAGAAAUUUCUGAGAUCAAAACGGGUUUGUAGAAGAUAUCGGUGACGGAGGAAAAGUUAACGUCAUUAGUGAAGAACAUGGAACAAUUAAAUGCUCAAAGUGAUAAGGAACAUCAGCAACAACAAUUAAUGUUGAAGAACUUAGAUCGAUUGAAUACGCAAGCUGACAACCAUAAACAACAUCAAACAUUGAUGAAGUAUAUUGAGAGUUCAGUUAAAGAAAAGUUGACGACUACUUUCGAUAUGGAAGGAUCAUUGAUAUAGAGUAUCAUCCAUUCUAGAUGUUUCUUUUAAGUUCUUUAAUAUUUCUUUGGCUAAUUCUUGAGUAUCUUGAAUUACCAUUCUUGUAUCUUGAGUUCGUUCUAAAUAACGAACUCAAUUCAAAGUUCGUUUUAGAAUAACUAACUUCUAACCAACUCUUGUAAACUUCUAGCCUAUAAAAGGUUUCCCUACUCGUUAAUAAAAAACAUUAAAAGUAUUAUUCACAAAAUUCCUAAGCUUCAUAGUAGUUGUAUCAGUUGGUAUCAGAGCGUGAUCCUAGCUCACUCUUCGCACAAAAAAAAAAAAAAAGGAUUUUAGCACUCCUAACCAUGGCCGCGAAAGCCUCCUUAAACCAAUGAUUCCAGUUGGUGGAACAAGCUACUGAAGAACUCCGAAAAGGACAGUCAUCAUUAGAUUUGACUAAUAUUUUUACCCGAUUUCAUGUCCAACCUUUUGAAGAAACAAUCCAACCCCCAAGAAACCCAAUUGUAGUGAACCAAGUACCAAGAAACCCAACUGCAAACCAAGGACGAUCAAGAAAUCAACUCGUUUACAUCCACAAUAACUGACUAUAUGUGAAUGCAAACAAGGAAAAAUAUCAGGUCUUAAAGCGCAAGACUGUCAUAUUUUGCUACACCAACUUCUAUCAAUCGGUGUUCGUCCAUUCUUACCAAAAAUGUGUACACCGUUAUUACUGAACUUUGUAGUUUUUUUCCUGAUUUGUGUGCCAGGACAAUAAGAGUAAGUGACUUGGACAGAUUGUAGGCAGAUAUCAUAAUUAUAUUGUGCAAACUGGAAAGAAUAUUUACUCCAGCUUUUUUCAGCGUAAUGGUACACCUAGCAGUUCACCUACCAUACAAGACCAAAGGUUGUUGGUUCGGUUUCUUACAGUUGGAUGUGUCCCAUUGAAAGAAGUCUCCGCACACUAAAACAAUAUGUUUGUAACAAAGCACAUUCUAAGGGGUCUAUUGUAGAAGGUUGUCUUAUGAACAAAUCAAGUACUUUUUGUUCUCGAUAUCUAAGUGAGAUUGAGACCCAAUUCACUAGAGAUGCUCAAAAUGACGAUAGCAUUCCAGAUGACGAGGUGAUUGGUGAGUUCGAAGUGUUCGUACAGAAGCUACGAUCAUUGGGAGCGUCCUAUUUUCGAAGCAUAUCACAAAAAGAUAAACGACUCUUUCAUUGGUACAUUCUCAAUAAUGUUGAUGAAAUAGCGAAGUACGGCAAGUAUGUAUCUCUACACUAAUCAUGAUGAGUUUUUGUUAUUAUCGCUACCUUAACUCAAAAUUAUGUACUUCAGGAAACACCUACUGUUGAUCCGUCAUCAGGAUGAAACCGUUUCUGAAACUUUUAAAAAACAUGAACAAGCUUUUUCUGAAUGAUUCAAAGCUCAGGUAUAUAGUGUAGAUGACUUUGAGAAUUUGUCCAUGCGGUAUUUUAUAUUCUAUAUAUAAUUCGUUCAUGUACACUCAUUUCAAAGCUCAUGUUAUAGCAUAAGGGCGUGAGAGUUCAAACAAUAUUUCUCAAGAUUUCUUCUCACUCCCAAUGAGACCUUCACUUGAGGUUCACUCUUAUAGUGGAUGCAUUGUCGGUGGCGUACGAUUUCACACAUUGAAGCGUGAUUUUUGACACACAACACACAACACGAUUUCACACAUUGAAGCGUCAUGGUAGUCGGUGAAGGUAGUGAAGGUGGUGCCGACAACAAUUUCUACGAUGUUUUGGAUGAAUUGGUGUAUGUUUUGGAUGAAGCAUCGUGGAUUACAUUGAAGAAUUUUGGCUUGGCUCUCGAAAUAACCUUUCUGAAACUGAACACUGACAAAUUUCCAGGUUUAUUCAUGAUCUACAAGAUGAGAUUACGGAUAUUGUAAACUUACAUUCUCUAAUUUUUCUUUCAGAUGUCAUCUCCUUGGCUUCCAAGAUUAAAGACAGCAAAGAGAUCAAGAAACCAAGAUUUAUCAAAGAAAGAACAAUCGGGGCAAAUAGCAAAGAACUAACCCAACUAAUUCAUUUAGAAACUUACAACAAGCAAGCUUGUCCACAUCCUCACAUCCUGUCAAGAAAAAUGACAAUCCACCAAAGAUUUCAACCACCAAACUAGGUAAAAAUACUAUAAAAAAGAAUGUUGACAACGUUUAUAACCAUCCUACUUUGAGUAAAUGCUUCAGGUGCAGUCAACAAGGACACCUCUCCAAUGAGUGCCCUCAAAGAAAAACUUUGGCAAUUGAAGAUGGACAAGAAGAUGAUGUCUCAGAUGACAACAUCUAUGAGAUUUCAACACCAAAAGAAGGAGAUCAGUUAUCUUGUGGAGUUCAAAGAAUUCUUUUCACUCUUACGACCGAUCGAAUACCUCAAAGGAACUUCCUUUUUCGAACAAUAUGCAGCAUUAACAAUAAAGUGUGUCAAGUUAUCACUGAUAGUGGUGGUAGUGAAAAUUUGAAAACUAAACCACACCUGAAUCCCUAAGGUUGUUGGAUAAAAAAGGGGGGAGAAUCUACUAUUAAUGAGGUUUGUACUAUUUAUUUAUCAAAAGGACAACAUUAUAAAGACCAAAUUAUAUGUGAUGCUCUAGAUAUAUGGAUGCUUGCCACAUCCUUUUAGGACGACCUUGGUAAUAUGACACAGAUUACGUUCAUAGAGGUAGAGCUAACACUAUUGAAUUUGAUUGGGUGAGUCAUCAUGUAAUUCUUUACCUAUAGCCUAUAGGCAACUCCCUCGAAAAAAAAAUUAACCCUAAUAGAGGAAAACAACUUUUUCCAGUAAUCAAAGGUAAGGAGUUCUUGCCAUCCUUUGUCAUUAAAGGAAACAACACUACACCUUCAAAAAAUCACACCUAGUAAGAUAACAAACCUUCUAGUCGAAUUCUAAAAAAUAAUAGAACCAACCACUUCUCUGCCACCUCUUAGAAAUAUACAUCACACUAUAGACUUAAUGCUUGGUAGUAUCUUACCUAAUCUACCACAUUAUCAAAUGAACCCUAGGGAGUACAAACUCUUACAUGAACAUAUAGAAGAACUCCUUAGCAAAGGUCGUAUCCAGCCUAGCCUAAGUCAUUGUGUUGUCCCAACUUUAUCUUGCUUACUAACCUCUUUUCUCUUAAAUUUCUUAAUUCCCAAAAACCAAUUAGUAGAAUGCAUACUCGAUGGCUACAAUUAUUGCAACGAUUCAAUUUUGUGAUUAAACAUACUUUAGGUAAGACUAAUAAGGCUGUUGAUGCUCUCAAUCGAAAAGGUAUACUUCUCACCACCCUCUAAUCUCAAAUAAUUGCCCUUGAUCAUCUCCCUACAUUGUACCCACUGACAUUGAUUUUAGAAGUAUUUGGGAAGCUUGCUCAGCCGUAAACCUUGCAAAGACUACUACAUUGUUAAUGACUUUCUCUUCAAAGGUAAUGUUUUGUGUGUACCUCAUACAUCUCUAAGAGAGGCAAUAAUUAAAGAAGCACAUUCUAGUGGGUUAGCAGGACAUUUUGGUCGAGACAACAUUAGCUGCAAUUUGUGCCAAAUUCUUUGGCCACAACUUAUGCUCUAUUUGUCAAACCGCUAAAGGUAAUUCUCAAAACAACAUUCCUACUUUGAGCAUCAUACACCAAAAUUUGAAAUAGAUGUACCCAUAAGCAUAUAUAUUUCUUUUCAUUUUUCUUUUUUUCCCCUACCUCCAAUGUUUCUUGUAACUCUACUCCACAAAAAGAAAUUAACAACAAUAAUAAUAAUUAUUAUUAUUAAUAAUUAAUAUUCUAAACAAAAUUAUGGCUUUGGGAUCUUCCCAAAUUAGAAGUUUUGAUUUUAAUUGUAGUGCACAAAAUGGUCAAAUUUAAAUAAAAAGGUUAGAUAAUUCAAUCUUAAAUCAAAUUGAAUUAGAAAAAAACAAAUUCUUAUACCAGAUCAAAUCAAAGACUUUAAAGUCAAUCUUGGAAGUCUAUUCUAUAUGUAAGCCAGAAUUUGGAUAGAAUUCAAUAUUUCACCUUGAAUUAAAAAUUAUGGAACACGACAAAUAUUGUAAACAAAAUUCAAAUUAAAUUUAUUGUUAUAGAAAAUUAUGAUUGGAAUAUAACAAGCAAUAUUAAAAUGUAGCCAAAUAAAUAAUAAUAAUCACAUAGAUUUCAAUGCUCUAAAUUAAACAAUUCAACGUCCCAAACAUAUACUUGCAAACACAUUAUUCAACCAAUAGAGGCUGGUAUGCAUCCAUGACUUGAUGAUAAUUGAUAUAUAUUCAUCAAUAUAUAUUAUAUGAAGUUGGAGGCUCAAAUCCUCCACAUUACCUCUUGUAACACUUUGUAAAAUCCGAGGCUCCAGAAUAGCCAUUGAGGGAAUUCAAACCACCGUCAUUAACCCCAAUGGAAAGAGAUUAUGUUAUAUCCCAACCAACACCAAUUAUCUAAAUUUAAGCAUCUUAAAUUCUGCUGCCUUAUCACCCUCUCAUUUGUACACUUAGUAAACAAAAAAUGUUAGAAAAGCAAUGAGGUGGAUCAUCAAUAACCACACAAGUUAGAACACACACGCAAUCUAGUUAAUUGGACUGCAUCCCUCCCUCUUGGGAUCACACAAUAAGAAUAGUUCGUCUACCCAAAAAGCCACAUAAAUACAUUAGGGAUAAAUAUGGAUCAACACCACAAUAGAAUUUCAGAAGUGAUUCAUAAGGCUCUCUCAAUUUCUUUAUGUAAAAUGCCCUCGCUGGAUCUUUAUCCUAUUCGUUAACCAUGAUUGAAUCCGCAUAAAUUUAAUUGGCAACAAAACAAAAUAAACAGGAAAUUAAGCAUAGUAAUAGAUCUGGACAUCAUAACAGUAAUUACUUUGAAGGAAGGGAGACAACUGCAUGAAUUGAAUUACUCUCCCUAUAUGCUUGAAUAAUAUGAGCUAUCCCUGAAAAGGUAUAAUUUAGAUAAACAAUCAUCCAUUUGGUUUUGGGUAUUUUUCCAUAACAAAGCUACAGGAUAUGUUUAUCAGAAAGAAAACAUGCCUCUAGGUCUUAGUGACCGCUGGAGCAGGGUAUGAAAAGGUCAAUCUUUUGUCUAUAUUCUGAACUCACCAAAGAGACAGCUAUUCAAAUUACAUGAUGAAUAUUGAAUAGUGAAGUUUUUUAUAGGCAAUAUUUACGAGUCUUAUAUUACACUUUCAAGCCAAACUAUCAUAUGAUAUGACAAUGUGACGUACUAAACAGGAGAAAAAGGAAAAAAAAUUUAGAGAAAGAGAUCAAAAUUUCCACCAAUAGAGGCUGGUAUGCAUCCAAAAAUGAAGAUUUUUAUGAGUAACCUGUAAGGCCAAGAGUCGCUCGUGGAAUAUAUACUGGAAAACGAGGAAAGCUUCAUGUUCCUGUGAGGCCAAUGACAGCAGACAAAGUUUUGGUAUGUUAGAGCUCAUGUUACAUUUCUUUAUUCAUAAAAUAUUACAAAGCAAAUAAAGAUUUCCCAGGGUCGACAAAUCUCAUUAGAGAGACACAUAUACAACAGUAAAGUUAUUUAUCACAAUUCACAAAAGAAAAUAUAGAAAAUGAUAGACUACAAGAUUCACCAAUUGAGUACUAAAAAUUUGUCUUUUUUUCAAGAACAAUUGCUUAUUUCAAAGAUACUGUUACCGUAAUUUAAUAACAUGUGACAGUUUGGUUAUAGUUCACAAGUAAAUUAUGAGUCACUUGCUCAAUGAAAUAAUAAGUAGCAUUUUAUUUCAAUUGGGCAUCUGGGAAGGGAUAAUCAGACCUAAUCAUACAAGAUUCGAACAUACCAGAUGGAUCAAAGCCGCCAACGAAAAGCUCAACAAUAUCCUACAAAAACGGUGGAUGAAAAACAAAACUGCUAGCAGCGGACUUCUUCCCUUGGGUUUUGAGGAUGGGAAAAUUUAUAAUGUAAUACCAUCACCGAAAGCUAUUAGCUGUCCAAGCACUGUUCUCACACGGAGCUAUAAAGGAGAAAACUUCGUAUUAAGAUAAUAUAUGAGGAAAAUGGAGGAUGGGAAAGUUAUAUGGUAAAUAGAUCUGACCUUUACAUCCAGGCACGGAUCAUUGACCAUAUUCUUUAUUUGAGAAACAAUACCGGCAUUCCGUAGCUUAGUAACACGAUCUAGUGCACGAGGACUUGAAGGCAAGGUAAGAUUUAUUAUUGCCCAGAUCACAGCAAUUCGAAGCUGACUGUUAUCACUCUGCAAAAACUUCACCACAAACGAGCGGGUCACGUCAUCUCCUCGUGGAAAUAGUUGUUUCAUUACCCCUUCCUUAUGAAACUCAUUUCCACUUGCAACAUUGCAAAGUACAUACAUUCCCUGCAUCAGUCAAACUUCAAUAAUUAUUCCACUACAUGAAGCUUAUCACUUUCUUCUCUAACACCUCUACUACUCCUUUGCAGUAUGGACUGCUUAAUAGCUUCCAUUGAUAUACUCGAUACAGAUGUUAUAGUCAUAUAAAAUUCCUAAAUACAGAUUCUAUAGUAAUAAAAUUCCUAAAGGAUAGUUAAAAAUGAUCUGCUGCUACUGAAAUUUAACUGUUCAGUGCAGACAGCAUGGACAUUAGCCAUCAGAUGGCGCCUUUCUUUGAAAUCAUGCUUUCUUUAAAUGCAUACAACAUAUUGAACAUUUCAGUAACAUAUAUGCAGCUGCAGAACUUCACCUGUGUCUAACUUUUUGUUCCUACCAUUAAUAGCAGACCCAGAAAGUCAUCUUAGGGGAGCACAAAUUUAUGGGACGUUAGAAGUUUAACCAAUGAACUUCAAAAUUUGUAUCUGGUCUCUAAACUUUAAGAAGUGUCAACUAGGUCUCUCAAGUUCUCAAUUAUUUUGUCAAAUAGAUUUUCUUAAAGUGUCAGUUUUGCAUCAAAUAAAUAUUUAUGAAACUUGAAAUGUUUAUCAAAGUUUAUUAUAGAACCAAGUUUUUUAUACUAGUUUUUCUAAAAUAAUUUACAAAAUAUUUAUAUAUCUGUAUAUGUUUGCAGAUAUGAGAAAAAUUAAAAUAGAAUGAAAUUCUAUUUAACCAGUUUCAACACUCCAGAGUGCAUAUUAAAAUAAUGCAAGAAUAUUUAUAUAAUUAUAUUGCAAAAUUAAGAAAGAAAAUUGAAAACUAAAAGAGUAUAUAAUAAAUAUGAGUUUAAAAAUUUGGAAAAAAAGAAACUAAUUGAAUAAACCAGCUUUUUUCGAUUCUAAACUGAAAAUUGCAAAUAAUAGAAAAUAUAUUUCCAUGUAAAUGAAAUUAAAAGAAAAUAUUAAAAAAUUGCAAGAAGAUGGCUUAAUGAAGGAUCGAACAAGGUUAGGCCUUGGGAGGACAACUUAACGACCAUGCUCACUUGACCAUUGUACCAAAGACAAAUUAUAUGAAAACGUUCAAAGAACGCCAUACAUGUAUAUAAAACUGAUCACUCGUUCCCCCUUUUCCCCAAUGUGAAUCCACCCCUCCCUAUCAUCCUAUGAAAGAAAUCCACCAUCAUUCUGAAUCUUUCCAUCAUUAUUGGCUCCCUUAAGAAAUUUCAAAAUCUCCUUCCAUGUUUGAUAUCAGCUUUCUAAGAGUAAAGUAGACAUGUAAAGAAACAGAAGUUCUAGACAAAUGCCACAAUCGCCAAACCAAGUGAGGAAGGGUAUUGAAACUCCUAUGGAAAGGAGACAGUCUUAAUUGGCUAAUUUCCCAAGGUCGUUUGCUCAACCAAACUCCAUAUAUUGAAAAAAAAUUGGGUUUCCAUCUAAACACAUGACCAAGUAACAUACAAGCCACAGGCUUACGGCAUAAGCAGGCAAAAAUGACAUUUCCUUUAUCUUUCGUCACUAAAGUGAUAAUUUAAUUUUAACUCACAAUUUUUGUUUUUUAAUCUUGUUUGCUUUCUUAAAAGAAAACAUGAAAAUAGUUUUAUUGCUAAAUGAUGUUAUAAACGAAAAGAACAUCCUGAGACUAGUUAAAUGGUCCUUAUGGCCUUAAAACUGGAAAUAUCUCUCUAGUUUGUCGGUCUCUAAUUCUAUGUAAAAUAGUACUGAAUAGUGUCAGACUUACUUAUAAGAUCUUUCCGGGAGGGAAAACGUCAAUACUUCGACAUGGCAUGUUUAAUCAAUUUGUGUCUAUUGUCUUUAGGUGACUAUAUGUUUAUUUUUAUUCAGCAUGGUAGUAACUAGCCAUUAUCAAGCUGGGGUUAGAGUUGCCAGGUUAUUACUGGUAAGUUGGUAACUGAUACCACUUGGUAAAAUCAGGCUCUUCUUAGAAAUAGACUACUUUCCAAUCAUUACUUAGACUUUUCCUCUCCAAAAUAAAACCCUAAAAAUAAAAUUAAACUAACCUGAACUCCAAUUUCAUCCGUUGAAAUAUUUUGCAAUUGCUGGCCAAUAGUAUUCAAUACAAUAGCAUCUUCAGCAAACACAUACUCAAUUGAAUCCUCACAUCCAUCAAUAAGAUUGCGCACAAGGGCCAUAGCAUGCUCCUGUAUGGAAGGCUCGGGAUCUGAACAUAAACAGGUGAUGCAACAUUUGAUUAAACACAAAAGAAAAUCAACAAUAAAGAUGGACAGACAGAGUUCAACAGUACCGCAAACAAGGCUAGCUAACAAGGAAGCUGUUAACUCCAUGAAGAUUGCUUCCUUACACAUAAUGUUCGUGAGGAACAUUAAAUUCCUUAAAGCCCACAAUGCAUUAAGCCUUAUUUCCAAGUCCAUAGACUUUGAUAACCGAACCAGCUCUUUCACACCUCCACAUCCUAUAAAUAUUGAUCUCUUCGUUGAAAAUUCAACCACUAUGUUGCUAAUAGCACCAAGUGCUGCAAGCUGGUUAAAGAGUAUGAAAUGAUAAUUAUCAUUCAAAACCAAAAAUAACUGGAAAGUUCUCCAAACAACCCCUUUCAAUUUGAACAUUCAAUGGCUUAAAAAGUCGGAAGAUUCCCACUAUUGGGAAACUUGAUUUAGUAAGAUAAUGGGCAUACCUGAACAUCAUUACAAGGAUCGUGUAAAAGCCGAACUAUGGGAAGGACAACUGCUUCGUUCAUAAAGUAACCUGCGCUCAAAUUCUGAAUAGGAUGCUCUUAAAAAACAGGGGAAGGGGAAAAGACUGUGAACAUCAGAAAAGCUAAUAUGAAUACAAUAUUACACACCUUGAUUGAUCGAGAAACACUUCUCAAGCAAGUGCAAGCUGCAAUGCGUAUGUCGCUACUUUCAUGUUUUAUGGCAUCAAUCACUAUGUUCAUUACCUAGGUCAAGAUUAUAAGAAAAUAAACAAAGUCCAUAAACCUUAGAACAAGUUAAAUUGAAACGAAUUUCAGAUUGACUAACCUCCAUCAGUCAGCAGCUUAGUUAAAUUAUCAAAAUGUAGAAUAAAGAAAGAAAAUUUUGAGUACCCACUACAAUUAAUAUAUUUCCACGUGCUACUUCUUCCUUCUUUUUUCUUUUCCUUUUUUUUUUAAUGUUUUUCUUUUUUUUUUUCUUUUAUUGAAUUGGAAUAGACCAGCAGGUAUAAUUUAACUUUUUUCCUUUGAGAAACAGAUAACAGGACACCUUUGUCAAACAGAAAAACAAAUCUUUAUAGCAAGAAUCAGUAGCAACUUAGGUCAGAAAUAGAGCCAUUGAGAAAGAUUCAAAUAGACAAGCAAGCAACUUUAGAUGUCAAUUUAGGUACCUAGUCAUGUUGACUUAGUGAAAAACAUGACUAAUCUCUUGACUAGGAAAACUGCACAAGUUAAAUACAAGUAAUCGAUAAAUGUUAUGAUCAAAACUAAUAAGUUGGUUUCAUAAUAAAUAAGUUGAUGCAAUCAGAAUAGUAAGCAAACCUGCAAAGAGAGAAAUCUAGACCUACAGCUCUCCAACUUUGAGCACAGAUGAGAAAAGGCCAACAACAUUCCUUGAAAACGUCUAGGACUUAACUGAUCCUUUUGCAAGUGAUUGUACAACUUAUCAAUUGCAUUUGCCUCAAAAGCUAAUUUCUGUAGCUCCUCCUUCUCUGCAAUUAAAGUUGAAAAAACAAACGGAGCUUCAUCUCCAACUUGAUCUGGACUGUCAAGAAGCUCAAGCAAACUAUGUAUCAAUUUCAUUUUGAUUCCUAUAUCUUGAAAAUAACAAGGUGACGAAUUCCUUAUAACGAUCAAGCAUACGCAGGCUAGUAAUCUUGUCUUGGGAUUUCUAUCCUUCAAAAGCUCAAUUAUAUAAUUCAGACAAUCUUCUCUACCAGGUUGCAUGAACCUUGCUAUCGCUUCAACAUUAUUUUUAAAUAUUGUCGCAAUAGACUCUAAACUAGCAUCCCUUUGACUUAGAGAACCAUCAAGAAGGUCAAUCAGCUUCUCAAGAACUCCACCAUCAUGCAAUGCCUUCUGCUCUGCAAUUGUCUCACAUGAGUGAACAAUGAUACUUGCUCCAAGUCCAGUCACGUUUUCAUUUUGACUAUUCAGUAAUGAAAGAAGAAAUUUGGUGUUUUCCUGCUGAAGGAAAUCAUGCUUAGGAGCCAACUUCGAUUGAUAAAUCAUUCUUAACGAACGAGCUCCAGCAUCCACAACCUUUGAAACAGAAAAAAAUUAUAUACCCAACAAAGUUCACAUUAUGAUUGAAAAGUGAGGUGAAAAAAAGAAAACAGAAAAAAUGUUGCAUUAUGUACACAACAAAUUUUUUUAAUUUGUUGAAGGAAUAAUCAUAAAAAGAAAGGAAAAAUUGGAGAGAUUUUGAAAGGAAUAACUCUUUUUUUGCUUCUUCUUUCCUCCUUUUAGAAGAUGGUAGUUCUAAAAGAGUAUUUAAGGAAUCUGCUAACUAAACCAAAUCCUUCCCACACUCCAAAAACUAGUCCAGUUCCAACGAGAUCUUCUUUUUCAUUUAGAUUAGAAGAUAGAAGGAUCGACGCCACAGAAAUGAAACUAAGAACUAAGCGAGAAUUAGAAAUUUGCUUGAAUCCUUAAUCAACGCGUUAAAAACAAUCCUUGCAUUUGUAACUUAAAAUUAACUUCAUAAAUGAAAAUUGCAACACACCAACAAUAAAAGACUCCUCAAUUUCCUAAGAAAUGCAAUUCCAAAUUGAAACAAAACUGCUAAAGAGAAGAACCUUGGGAUCGGGAUGGGCAAGCAAUCGAAGCAGUCGAGGGAAAGCUCCGGCAUCGAGAACGGCAGAGACACCAGCGUCGACGCCGCAAGUAAAGCUGCCAAGAACAGCAGCGGACUGAACGAGAAUGUUGGGGUCAGAAGUGGAGGAGAGAAUAGCAGCUACAUGGGGGACAACGCCGAGCUUGAUGAAGGAAAGCUUCUUAGUGCGGUUACCGAUGAUCUGAUUUUUGAUGUCUCUCAAUGCCUUGAGGUUAACGGCGGCGUCAGCAACAGUCAAUCGGGCGAUGAGGUCAGAGGAGGGCUUGGGAAUCGCAGAAGAAGCUGAGGUUGGCAUCGUCCCAGUACUGAGGGAGCUACUGGGAUGGGAAUGGCAUGGAGGCCAAAGCAGAGAGAGGUUCAACACAAACCUCCAAUGGAGUUUUUCAGGGGAAAAGGAUUUUUCUUUUUUCUUUUUUCUUUUUUGGAUCCUCCAAUAAUUUGAUGGUUCAAAAGCAAAAUAAAAUCAUCUUCUUUGAUAAUAUGUGUAUUUUUAUCAAACUAUCAUUCUAAAUAUAAAUACAAAUUCCAAUAAUGCUAUUCUUUUUAUUCAAAUUGCUCUUCAAAAUUUAUUGGUUUUCAGGGGGUUUUUCCAAAUGAAAGAAAACAAAACUAGUUUUUCUAAAUAUGUUAGUCAUAAACUUUUUUGGAUUUCAAAGUUGACCUAAUUUUUUUUCAAUAAAAUAAAAAUAUUUAAAAGUAAAUUUUGAUUUUGGAAUGAAAAUUUGUUUUAAAAAUACAUUAGAACUUUAAAAAGAUUCUCUUACACUAAAAAAAGUCAAAAAUACAUUUAAAAAAUAGUUAGUGCAUGAAUAGAAACUACUAGUAAGAGCAUAGUAAAAAUAACACUAUUUUCUAAAAUAUAUAUAAUUGUUUGAAUCUUUCUUGAGUUCGUGAGAAAGAAAAUUAAACAAGAAAAAUAAAUAGUUCAUUUUCCUAAAAAUGGAAAAAUAAUCUAUCUUAGCCUUCUUAAUUAUUAUGUUAUGUUAAGUAAAUAAUUGUGUUCAAUUGAUUGAAGGUGAUCAACUUUUUUACUUCUUUAAAACUCAUUUUAUUUUAAUAAAAUUAAACCACUAGAUUGAAUUCAAUUUUUUUAUACUUUAUAUAUUUUUAGACUAUAAUCCAGCUAUUUAUGCAAUGAUGGUAAAGAGAUAUCAAAUGAAGUAGUUGCAUGCCUAGAAUUUCAUGAAAGAAUUCUACUCAUCAUUCACGUUCAGAUAGGCCAAAAUUGAGAAAGUCCCAAAGGCUUGCUUUUUAAUGGACAAAAAAACUUAACUGCUCCCUUAGAUGCAGCUACGUAGUUCGAUAUAAUUUUGCCACGUACUAUCAAUAUUGCUUUCUAAUUACUUAUGUUGUCAUAUAGAAGUGAGGAACACAAGAGAUAAGAUGCACUUAUUCAUUGCUCUUUUCAAUAACGUGUUUCUAAUUAAUGUUUACUUCAAAUAUAAUGUCUUUGAUGUAGUCUUUGUUUCUUUUUCUUGCUCCAUUCAUACUUAAACCGUGUAUCUUGUAUUCAACUAAUAAUGUGAUUGUCAACUUCUAGUUUCUAAGAUCAAAAUCAUGCAAUCCAAUGUUUGGAUAUAUCUAUAAGUUGAUGGAAAUAUUCUCUUAAAUCACCCAUUGAUUCAAAAGUUUAAGCUGAUGGAUGAAGAUAAAUUUAAGGAAACAACAUCAAAUAACAAAAGCAUUUAGAAAAAACAAUUCAUGACACCUCUUUUUCGCGAAUAUGGAAAAUAUGACAAGUAAUUAGUGUUAUCAGACGACUAUCGAACGGUUAUCAGAGAACUAUCAUAGAGAUAUCGGCACCUCUUUUUUGCUAUUUUUGUAAUUGCCCCUAAAUUUAAUAAUACAAUCCAACACUUCUCCUUCCAUGUAGGCUUGAAUUAAGCUGAUGAUUCUUUAUUAUUCUCUCGUAUAUAAAAUACGAACUUCUCAUUCGAAUAAAUUUCAACACUAAAAUAUGGUAGAAGAAACUCAUCAAAAAUGGAAAAUAUACAUUAAUAUCACUUUGCAUGUAUCCCAUUUACCAUCAAAUAUCAUCAGAGAUUAUAACAUGCAUGGGGUAAAUACGAAAUGAGGAAAAUAAAUAAAUAAAAGAACUAUUUAUUCAAGUGGACCGUACAUAAUCUAUGGUCAUAAGUCCAGAACAUAACAAUGUCAGGUAACCCAAUUUUUGUAGUAGGGUAGGAUUAAUGUAUUAGGUUCAAAAUCCUUAAUUAAUUAGGAUUUGAGAAUUAGUUUUCUUGGUUUAUUAGGAUUAGUUUCUUUUAUUAAUUAGAGAUUAGAUUUAGUUUGCUUCUGAAUAGAGGACCUAUCUUCUUAUAUAGACAAACUUUUGAUUAUUAAUAAAAUUCUCUCCUUAGUAUACAUCAAUUGAUGUCAAAGCAUGCAUCGAGAUCAAUUAGGCUUGGUGGAGGGAAAGAAACCUUCCAAAGACAUAAACUUCUCAAAAUAAAGAGACAGAGACACAUGUAAUGAAACAAACUUUUCUACACUUUUCUACUCAACUGAAGUCAUUACCAUUUAAAUAAAUAUAGAUUUUUUAAUUUUAAAUAAAAGAAAGUACUAAAUUUUUAUAAAAUUGUUUUAAAUAUUUAGUUAAAAUCAAUAAUAAAGUAUAUAACGAAAGAAUAAAAUAAAUAAAACAUUAAUUAGAAAACACUAGUCGGGCCCUAAUUAAAAUAAAAGGAUAUAUUUAAAUAUACUUAUAGUUACGAAAAUAAAAUACUGAAACUUAAGUACUAAAACAUAAAUUGUGGAAUAAAACUUAAACUAUUUUCUAUGGCGAACCACGGUCAUUCUUGUCAUUCGCCAGUUUUCCCUUACCUACUUUUGCUUAAAAAAUUAAACAUAGAAAAUAGUGAGUAUAAACGUAUACUCGGUAAGGGGCUACUACUAGUCCUGUUAUGUAUCUAUUUCAUUAGGAUAACCUAGGUAACUUAGUCUUAAUCUUGAGUGCAUUAUGAACUCCUGUUUGCGAGGGGUUGUCCUUUGAUUUGUACCGGUGAGAGUGGCAAGAUCAUUGAUUCAAUAAGCUUAUCAUUUUGGAUACAAAACCUAGCAUAAACUUGAAAACAUAAUUAUCACACCAGAUUGAAUUAGCUCCUUCUCUACUUGAGGGUAAGUAUAUGAAUGUUCCCUUAAAUGGUGUCUUCAGAACUUGAAAAAAUGGCCCUAUCCUCUCUAUAACACGAGAGGAGGUUUCUGUUUAUUGGUAGGACCAUAAAAAAGUUGUUCAUUAGAGGGGCACUUGUAUUUAAGGAUUAGAUGUAACCUAGGGGUAAAACGGUAAAUUAACCUCAACUAGUGUUACGAACACUCGUGAAGGACUAACUUACUGUUAUUGGUCUAUAUCCACAGAUACAAAAAUAUAUCUACCAUGAAAAUAGUUCAGUUAUGAGUCUUUAGUGAAGUGUGCAAUAACUUAUACUUCACGAAAUGGGAAUUUCUAUGUUGGGAUUAAAUGGAAAGGGGAAGGGAUAAAAAUCGAGGGGAAACAAAUUGAUUUCUAGGAUUUCAUUACAUAGGAAGUGAAUUUUUUACUUUAGGUGCAUAUGUAAGAUUGAUCGACAAGAGAGACCAAGUCAAUACAAAUCAUCAAAUUUAAUUGCAAACAAUUUUUCUUCUCCUAGUAUUUUUUUUCUUUUCAAAUAGAUCUUCUAUUAAGAAACAUAGCAGGCAGGUACUCACCCUUCUUUUACCUUUGAAACCUCACCAUGGGAUAAUUUAUUUUGCCAUUUGGUAGACAAAACAAGUUUGCCCGAUGACUUGGUCGACAGAUAGGUUGACAUUCCAUUUUUUCUCCCUCCAAAGUUCGAAAGUAAAGUUUGAAAGUUGAAUGUUGAUAUUCCACUUUUUCUCCCUUCCUUUAAAAGUUCGAAAGUAAAGUUUGAAAGUUGAACGUUACUAAAUCUGAAAUCUUUAACCUCUAUCUUCCGGUUCUAUAUAUCUUGAUCCAUAGCUUUGAUUAAUCAACAUGGAAUGUUCUUGAUAUUUAUUCAAGCAAAUCUUACCUUUUUAAAAAGUUUCUUCAAUUUCUUCACAAAAUUUCUCUUGCGUGCAUCUUGGAAUUCACAUAGGCUCAUGAGAAUAGGAAUGUCCUCCUCCAACUUCCAACCAAAAGUUCCCUUAAAUUCUUGGCAUUUCUUUUGUCCUAUGAGGAUUAAUAUUGGUCCCUUACCCAUAUGGAUGAAACUCGGUUGAAUGAAACUCGACCUGGCUCGGAUGUGACUUUUAGAUGAUAGAAUUUUCGUCAAUCCCACUUUCGUGCUCAUUUCUAUCUCAUUCUCAAAAGAAAGAAUGUCAUUACGUAUUGAAUUAUUUUUAUCUCAUUUUCAAAAGAAAGAAUGUCAUCGCAUAUAUUGAGUUUUAAAAGAAAGAAUGUUUUUGCACAUUAAAUUCCUAUCCAUCAGAUAAUUUUGACGAUUUGCUAAAAAAAUUCUAUAUAAUAUAUAAGUUCUUAAAUGGACAGAUAAUAAAUAACCAAAAUUCAUAAUUGCAGUCAAUAUGCCCUAGGAUUAAAUAUUUCUGUGAUCGAAGAUUGACAAUAACCUGCAUGAACCCAUCUUCACAAAUAUUGAUGAGAUUAAAGCCAAACAAUUGGGAAAUUGUAAAUUCCAAUUCAAAUUUAUAAGUAAACUUUAAUUUCUCUCAAUAUUGGAAAGAUUUUGAAUAACAAAUGCUUUAAUCCAAGAACAAGACUGUUGCUCCAUCUUCCAUACCUACACCUAACUUCAUAGCCUAAAUAAAAUGUUACCUUUAAGAGGACCAAGUCUAUCAAGAUGGGUUCUCCUUCUCAAUCUACUAAUCCUUCAUCGAGGAAAAAAAAUCGGGAUGUGAUUGAAUUUCUCAUGUUCCACGUCAAACCGAAAUAUGGGAAAAAUAUUUGGACGAUGGUGUUGGUAAACAACUCUUUCUCAUUAAAGAGCUCCAUCGAAGUAGACACCAUAGGAACUAAGAAGGCACAAAGAAAGGUUUGGACCAUUGACCACUAGUAGAAGAUAAUAUGGCAAAUGCAUGUUAAAGUUUCUACCAAGGUACCAAACUUCUUAUGAGAGAGUCUCACAAUUUUGUAAGACUUUGUCUUGGGGCUAAAUCCAAAUGGUAAACAUAGUUGGACUUAGAAGGAAGUUGAAUAUACUCAUUUGUCAUGGGAUUCGAUAGGCAAAGACCCUUAAAACCAGAUGUACUUAUAGGAGUUAGAGAAAGAAGGAAAAGUCCAUUGCAAAUUUGCAAGAAUGUAUGAUUUUGAUACAACUUUUGGACCAACUAGGAUGGAAGCUGAACGAGGCAACACGAUUGAAUAUGUUUAGAAUCCAAGUCGAGGAAGUGGAACUUUGAACAAUGGCAAUAAUAAUCAUCUAAUAAAGGCAAAGAAAAACUUGGAAGUUGAAGGUUGAAGGUGGUUUUGUAUUAUCAUCAUCAAUAAAUCAUCAAUAAAGUUGUGUUUCACAGCGGUUUUUCAUGUGAAAGUAAACGAUGUUAAAUCUUAUUUGUGUUUUCUUCAUUAUCUCAAACACACAUAUUUGUGUGUAUAUAUAUUUAAAGAAAAAAUCCUCUACCUAUAUCUAAAACUAAAAUAUCAUAUUAUGGAUUUUAUUUAAACCAUCAAAUAAUUUAAAAAGAACUAUAUAUAUUUUGGUUGAUUUUUAUUUAACAAAGUUAUUUAUCAAAGUUCAAUACGAUUUCGUUUAUAUCAAGAGUGUUAUAUUUGUAACAUUUUGAAUUUUAGAGGCUCAAUGAAAACCAUAAUAGAAAUUGUGGAUCAAAACUACAUUUCCCCCUAACAAAAUAAUAAAACAAAAAAAAAUCACCUUUAGUUAGUUACAUGUAAGUUACCAUUUAGUUCAUAAGAAAGUUUUCAAUAUUACAAUAAAUAAAAAACUUUCUAUACUAUCUAAUUUCGUUUAUUUGACCUCAGAUCAACACACUUUUUAAAAAAUAAAAUGCGAUUAUCUGAUAUUAACGUGGAAUUCACAAAUGUUUGUAAAGACAAAUAUAUGGUGUGGACGUGGAGAGUGCAUGAUAUUCAUGUAGUACUCGAAAAAUCAAUGCUAACAUUGAUCAAUACUUUUAAAUUUGGAAUGAUUUACUAAUUAAACUUAUCAUGAAAUAUAAUUUAUUCGUCACAUAAAUAAUUAGUCCCCUCCAUUGAAAUUUGCAACUUAAUCCAUUGUGAAAAAUCUCAUAAACUAAUGGUCAAUUUUGAUUAUGCAACAACUUUAGUGAUUAUACUAUCAUUUAUAAAUAAAUUUGAGUUUUAAUCAAUUUAUCAAUCUAGAUCAGUAAGAAAUUUCAUUAAAUUUCAAUUGUAUUCUUUACGAUAAGAAUCAAAUCAAUACAAAUCAUCAAAUAUAAGGACUAAAAUGUUAACAAAUUUGAAAUUACAUGAACUAAUUAAAUUGAAGCAAAUUUAAAGUAGGCAUGAACUUUGAUAUAGUUAGAAAAGUGACGAGUAAGUUGUCUAAGUGAACUUAACUUAGUCAUAAUUGGGACGAACAUCUAUGCAUCAUACUAAAAAAAUAUUUUUUCUUUCCAUGAUGUAGUUUGAAAAAUAAUUUAUUGUUUAUUUUAUCUUUCGAAUUUAGCUUAGAUUAAACGUUGAGAGUUUUUUUUUACUAUUAGCUUGUUCGAUAAUUGUUGUACUAAAAAUGAUAUGUUAACUUAGAAAAUGUGGGGAACUAAUCAAUUUAUCCUCAUCCUAUUCAUUUGCUAAUUGAAUAACCAACAAACAAACGGCAGGAGUUAGAGUUAUCAAAUCUGCGACCAAACCAAACCACCAUGACCAUGUUCAUCAUCUGGAGCUUCUUCUAAUGAAAUCCAUCGCACCAUUUGAUUCUUCAAAACACCACUAAUUCCUCACAUUUCUCACCCUUAAAUCCCCUUUUUCCCAUAAUUUAAACUAACCCCAUUUCUCUCUCUCUCUCUCUUUUCAUCCACAUUGUGGCAAUGGCGAUUCCUGCUGUGUUUGUCAUCGUUCCUCUUGGCCUGCUUUUCAUCCUCUCCGGCCUCAUCGUUAAUGUUAUUCAGGUAUUUGGAGAUUUCCCUUUUGUUUUAUUUUCCUAUAUUUAUCGUGAGUGGAAGGAAUUGCCUUUUUAUAGUUCUGGUUGAGUUGGGUUUUCAUUGUCGCAAUUAAAAGGGUUGAAUUAUUUUUGGAAUGGGUUGCAUGAGAUGUAUUUUAUGAUGUGGAGUUGAUCUUUCCACAAUCCUGAUAUAUUGGACUUUAAUUCUUUUUUAUUUCUGAUUUGCAAAUUAGUUUUAAAUCUAGAUUGUUUUCUUUGAUUCUAUAGCUGCUUUUCGCACCUACUGUAAUUGAAAAUGGAGAUGAUUGAAAACAAGAAAAAUUUAACCGAAAUCAUUAUCAAACUAUGUUUCAAGAUGUUUGUAGUUUGUUGAUCUUGUAAUCCAGAGUGUGUUUUACUACUAAAAAUCAAAGAUAUACAUGCCACUGGGAUUAUAUGAAUAAGAUGGACUUAAAUAUUUUCCCUCCUGUAAGCUGUAGCUUUUUAUUUUUAUUUUUAUUUUUAUUUGUCAUUGAUAUUCUUAUUCUUCUUAUUAUUGUUUCGAGUAUAAUACUUAUUGGGAUGGAGAUUGAACCUUUCACCUCUAGGAAUGACAGGUAAUGUCAAUUUGGUGAAGCUGCAGUGUUUAGUUAUUUGUUGUGAAUUUAAUAUUUUAGAUAUUUGUAUUUGUUCGCAACUCAGUCUUGUACUUCUCUUUUACUCCUUUAGGAACUGUAGCUUGGGUUUAUUAAGUCCGGGGUUUUAAGCGGGUGCUUAGAUUGUGGAAAAAAUAUUUGUUAAGCCUUUGUUUGGAUUGCAUGGGGAGAAUAUGCUUGUUAAGCCUGUAUUUGGUUUCUAUAUUUUCGAACCCUUAACUUAACUGGAUGUAUAUGUAUAAUUGUUUCAUGUAAUUCAUGAAUUGAACUUUCAGGCGUUUAUCUUUGUUCUUGUUCGACCCAUUUCAAAGUGUUUGUACAGAAGAAUCAACAAAGUAGUUGCUGAAUUGCUAUGGUUGGAACUCAUUUGGCUAAUCGAUUGGUGGGCAGAAGCAAAGGUGUCACGGUUUCUUUAAAAUAUGUUUGGUUCUUAACAUGCAUCUCUUUGCUAUUUGAUACAAGUAUGAUACUAGUUACCCUUUUUCCCCCAAAUAGUUACUUUUUUGUGGUAAACUUCUAAGAUGUGAACUUUUUGUUUGAAAUGGAAACGACUCUUUUCAUUGAAGAGGUGAAAAGUAACUAAUGCUCAAAAUAGAAGAUACCAAUUACCAAAUAAAGUACCAAAUGUAGAACCAACCGAAUCAAGCUCAAAGAUAAAGUGUUUAAAUAAAUUACAAACACAAGCAAAAACAUUAGGCUGGAAAACUAAUUUCACUCCAAUUUAAGCAUAGAUCUUGGAUGGAAAAACUGACAAAAGACUUCUGGGAGGAAGUGUUAAUCCAAGCAAGAUAUUUAUCGUGAAAGAUCCUUUAGUUUCUUUUGAACCAAAUUUCUUCAAACAAUGCUUUAACCACAUUAGACUAAAUCAACCAAGGAGAAGGCUUCAAAACUGGACUAACCAAAAUCUGCACCACAUUAUCUCUAAAAUCAUCACCAAACACCCACCUGAAUUUGAAUAAAGAGAGUGCCGCCAACAAUGAUUUGUAUGAGGUUCUGUACACCUUCAUUUUCAGCCUAAGAAAGAGGACACUUCUGAGGUAUGAACUUGAACAACUAAUAUUAAUACAGAUAGAGAUAAAAAGAGAAUUUUCCUAAUUAGGCCAUUUAAUAUAAGUUGAGUUUGCUUAGGUAACUUGUUUUUUCUCAUUACAGGUUGAGGUGUAUACAGAUCAAGCAACCUUCCAAUUAAUGGGUAUGCUAUUAGAAAUUAGAUGUCGAAAAUUUAUGAGUUGCAAAUAGAACCUAAUCAAGUACAUACAAAUUUACAGGCAAAGAACAUGCACUUGUUUUAUGCAAUCACCGUAGUGACAUUGACUGGCUAGUUGGAUGGGUCCUAGCUCAGGUACUUUAAAUGUGUGGCCAUCAGUUUUUGAAUAUUUUCUUUCUUCACCCUUAUGACUGUAUUCUAUGUUAAGAUCAAGAUCAUAUCGUAGAUUAGGCCAAAUCUAUUAUAUCCUUUUUCUUCAAUUAUUUCAAAAUAUACGCUUUGUAUUGCAGCGUGCAGGUUGUCUUGGUAGUGCCUUAGCCAUAAUGAAGAAAGAGGCAAAAUUCCUUCCAGUAAGUAUUAACUGUAUGGUGUUAUUUGCAUUAAAUGAAUCUGUAAGCCAACCUUUGUGUUUCUUUAAGCUGCAUUAUCCAUAAGGGCUCACUUUAUGAGUUGCAGCCAGUCAUUUUGUGAAUGAACAGAUUGCAUGGGAAUCGUAGAGUAAAAGUUAAGCGCGUUCGUAUCAUGAAAGUUCUAGAAAUAAUAAGAAAAAUCCUGGUUGUUCAUUACUCUAGGAUUGUUCAAAUCAAAAUCUCAUUGUCUUUUAAGAAUGCAUCCUUCCCAUUUCAUUUUGAUUACAAUUCUAAAUGGUAUUACAUUCCCAUUAUGCCUAUUUACUUGGUGGACCCCAAGAAUCUAUUUUUAUGGGGCUAAAUUUUCACAUGAAAACCUAAACUUCUAAACUCUCACAUCCCUCCUCAUCCAUUAUUCCACUUUAAAUAAUGGCUGCAUAAAAAUUUUCCUACUUUUGUCUGAAGCACAAAUAUCAAAUGAGCAUAACUCAACAGUAAUUGGUAUGAACUCCUCUCCUUAGGUCAGAGUUUCAGAUUUCCGUACUCCUACUUGUUGUACUUGUAAAAAAACACCACUGAUGUCACUAUUUCCAAGAGUGUAGUUGUCAAUGUUGGGAUUCUGAGUUUGUUCAUAAUCUCUCUGUUCUACCAGUCGACUUUCUCUAAGAAUUUAUCUACUAAUUGGCAAAAGAUAUCAUGCUACUGUUGCAGGUCAUUGGCUGGUCAAUGUGGUUUUCUGAUUAUAUCUUUUUAGAAAGAAGCUGGGCCAAGGAUGAAAGCACUCUGGAGGUGAGCUCAUAUAAUUGCAAUAGUAGUUACUUUAGUGUUUUUGUCUCAACCUUUCCCUUUCCUUUCCAACAUUGGAGGAUUUUAUUGCAGUCAAGUUUUCAGUCGCUCAUGGAUUUUUCCAUGCCAUUUUGGUUGGCACUUUUUGUUGAGGGAACUCGUUUUACACAACAAAAGCUCCUAGCUUCUCAGGAAUAUGCUGCAGCUAGAGGAUUGCCUGUCCCUAAAAAUGUUUUAAUUCCUCGAACAAAGGUAAAUUGAAUGUUCUUCUAUUACAGCUAGGAUAAAACACACCAUGCCUAUCAUUUUCCUUAUUAUCAGCCUGUUAUUUUCAGGGUUUUGUUUCUGCAGUGAGUCAUAUGCGCUCGUUUGUUCCGGCUAUUUAUGAUUGUACAGUGGCCACUUCUCCAAAAGACCGCCCUCCUACAUUGUUGAGGAUAUUUAGAGGCCAAUCUUUUGUGGUACGCCAACUAACCGUUGAAGAAUACAAUUAUUGACUGGUUGAUUGUCCAUGUAACAUUUCUUACACACUUGCAUUGUUUCUCUCAUCAUUUACUAGUUCAAGAUAAUGCUUAUCAAUCUUCAUCACCUAUAAAUUCAUCUGUUUCAUGACUGAAUGUCUCUGCUCCUUUGAGGUUUAUGUUAUGUUAGUUUGUGCUAAUAUAUAUGUACGGUGCUCUCCAUUCAAUUAGAAGUCUAUCAGUUCCUGAAUCUUGGACAUGGCUGGAGGAAACUUCUUUAAUUUGAUCUGUGUAAUUGAGCAUUAAAGAUUCUUAGCAAGUGAAUAAAAUUUUGAGAUAAAUGAUGGUUUGUGUCAUCAACCGUGUCUUAACUUAAAAUGAACUGGGUUAGUUAUGUAACUUAUGUUGGUGCUAGAAUAAGAACAUAUUAACCUUGAUACCAUGGUUGUAAUCAAUCCUUAGUUGUGUAUGAACUGAUAGGUUUUGUAUAUUCUAUAAUAAAUAAAAAUUAUACAUCUAAGAUGUGCCCAUUGUACAGGUAAAAGUGCAAGUCAAGCGACACGAAAUGCAGGAAUUACCAGAAACUGCAGACGGGAUCUCACAAUGGUGUAAAGAUCUAUUUGUUACCAAGGUAUGGGGGAUACUUGCGAAGUUUAUAACAUAUUACCAUUGCCAAGAGGAAAAUGUUGGAAUCUUUUGUAUUUAAUCAUUAAUCUCUUUUGAUGGCAUGAUCGAUUGAUGGUAUUAUAUCCAAUAUCAUGUCACCUUCAGUUUGUAGCACAGAAGUAAUUUAUUUCAUAGGAACCUGAAUUGCACCGCACUCUACUACCUAGUUUUUGGAUGUCUAUAAAAGCUUUAAUCUGAUGAGCUAUUAGCUUCUUUUAUUAACAAUCUAUUAUUUGAUAAGGUCCAUUUGGAAACAAUUUCAUUUUUAGUUUCUUUGUUUUUAAAAUUUAUGUUUGUUUUUUAACAAUUACUCUUUUUUGGUUUUCACUUUGUCUUAAUUGAUAUUUGACCUCUUAGUCCAAUUCUAAAAACAAAAAUCAAUUUUUGAAAUACUUGUUAGUUUUAAAAACUCGGCAUGGUUUUUGAAAGCAUGAGCAGAAAGUGGAUAACAAAAUAUAGAAACUUAUGCAUAGAAGUUGUGAUUAAGCUUAAUUUUCAAAAUUCAAUUACUAAAAACAGUUUUUGGUUAAUUGGAAACUAAGCCUAUAACUCCUCCUUCUGCCUCUAGGUUUCUCUGCAAUGUUAUCUAUUUUCUGCCAAUGUUUUUUUUUAUAAAAAAACAAUCCAAGUUUUGAAAACUAAAAAAGAGUAGUUUUUAAUUUUAAAAUCUUGACUUAGCUUUUGAAAACAUAGAAGAAAGUGGCAACAUAACAUAAUUCCGUAGGGAUACAAGUAAAGUUUGUAAGUUUAAUCUUCAAAAACCAAAAAUAAAAAACCAAAUGGUUAUUAGAUAGGGCCUUAGUUACUUAUUUGUUUGGUUUGGUUGAAGUCAGUAGCUGAAAUAAGUAUGCAACUGAACAUACUUUCAGUUUUCUUCUAUACUUUCCAACUUUUCUUGCAUUUUGUCUCUACUUGCCUAUGUCUCUUUCUUAACUUGAACUUUGUGCAUUUCCCAUUAAAAUCACAAUUCCAAUCUCUCCCUGUUAUUUAUUUCUUUGGGAAACUUUUCAGGAUACAUUAUUGGAGAAGUAUAUGAUCAAGGAUUCAUUCAGUGAAAAACAACCUAUUGAUAUAGGCCGACCAAAAAAGUCGUUAUUGGUUUGUUUGCUUGACAUUAAGACUGAGAAACCACCACAAACACACGUGACACGUCCUAUUUGCACUUUCCUCUCUCCAUAUCGAACUCAGAUCUUUCUUCUUGUCAACAGGUUGUUCUUUGUUGGUCAUGCAUCUUGGCUUAUGGCAUUGUUAAAUUCUUCCAGUGGUCUGCUCUCCUAUCCUCAUGGGAGGGCAUUGCACUCUCAGCAGGCCUCUUGAUUCUUAUAAUCCUUGUUAUGCAACUGCUCGUUCAUUCUUCCGAGUCGACCCGUUCUACACCUAUAAUUGUAUCGUCUCAGGAUACCACCAAGGAACGAUUACUUCAGAAAUGAGAUAUCAUCAUCAACAUACUCAAUUCAUUAUUCAUUCCAUUCUUUGUCCAAUUUAGCAAUUCUUUCAGCUGAAGUGUAGAAAUUGUGUCCGUCUAAAGCAUUAUUCAACUCCCUUUCAGGCACCUGCAUUUGUGUGUAGGUAGGGGUGUUAGAAUUUAUUGUUUGUAUAGCUAACAACAAAAGUUUUUUUGACCACAUAAGUAAUGAAUUAUUUGGCCUAUUUGUGUAAGUUCGAUUCUAUCCCAUUAUUUUCACUUCAAUGAAAAAUACUCCUUUACUGAAGAGGCCAGGUUUUUAACUCUCUUAUAUAUUACAUCUAUGUGUAUAUCAUUUUAUUUUGCUUUAAAUAUCAUACUUUAGCUUCUGUAAUUUGGUUCAUUACGGUUCUUAUUCGAUUUAUUUUUGUUUUUGUACUUUAAAAAUGGACUAUUUUGGUACUUUAAUUUUAAUUUUAUUUUAUUUUAAAGAUUAAAAUAAUCACUUUUUGAAAGUUGAAGAAUCAAAUUGAACAAAACUUGAAAAUACAACGACUCGAAACCAAAUGAACUAAAGUGAAUCAAAAUCGAAAGUAUAGGAACUAAACUAGUUUUUUAACUUUUUAUUUUUUAACAAGAUUAUAGUGUCGUUGAAAUUUGUUUUUCUUAGAUUUUAGAUUGGGAUAUUAUCAAAUAUAACAAAAAAGAAAAAAAAAUUGAAAGACAUGUAACAAAAAUGAAUCAAAAUUUUCUAAUGAAUAAGUAAGAAUGAAAGACUUCUUGGUUCUUAUGUAUGUACAAAUAUCAGUUCAAUUAAGUUGUUGUUGGCUGCAUUUUGUUUUUUUUUUCAACAAUGCAAAACUAUAUACCUUCUUAGCUACAUCCAACUAUUUUCUCUAUAGUUAUUGCCAAAUCUGUAUAUUCUUUCAAACAUGUUUGAUAUAUAUUAUAAAAUAGCUAUAUCAAGUGAAUAGUACAAAAUUGGUGUAUUAGAAAUACGAUAGUUUAUUAUUAUUAUCAUUAUAACUCUUGAUUUACCCAUUUUUGUAAUUGAUCUUCUUAUAGUUUCCAACCUAAGUGUACAAUAACUCUUUUGAAAGUCUACCCUAAUUUGGUUUUGUUGUUAGAAUUUUCUUCAACGAAUUAAUUAAAGCUAACUCCCUAAAAGGACUUUUCUUCAACAACAUUUCUUCAAGUACUAUUUGCUUUAAUUUGGUCCUCUCCCCUUCCUCAGUCAAACUCAAAUCCUUCCAUUUUUCAAACACAGAUUUUUUUUAAUUUGGUUAGGAAAAACGCAAAAGUAUUGUUUGACCUAAAUGAUGAAUAUAUUGCAAAAUACCAUACCAUACCCUAACACUUUUACAAGUAAUAGUAAGUCUUCAAACCAUAUUGUGUCUACAACUUUUUUUUAAUUAAAAAAAAUUAGAAGGCAUUCUCGUGUAAUAUGUUUAACCAAGUAAAUCGUCUUGGAACGUAGUCCAAGUCACGUAGGUCAAAAUCAUUAACAUGGUCGGUCCACUACAUUUUGGUUAAGUGAUUAAUCGAAAACAUAUAUCAAUCAUAUUUAACAAUAAAAUAAAUAGAAAAUAGAUCUUUUAUCAUAAUUUAUUUAGCUAAAUAAUUAUUUCUCAAAUACAAAUAGUAAUUUGAUAAACUAUAAAUUAACUUUUUUGGAUGGUCAAAGAAACCAAUGAAUUGAAAUUUUUUGCUUUGUUAUGGUUAAUUACUUGAACAUAAGGUAAUAUGAUUUAGUGUAAGCUUUGAUGUCAUCAAUUGAAAAAUGGUCCACUUAGUCAAUAUUAUCAAUUAAAAAGACUAUGAUUAAAUUAGUAUAUUGUGUUGGGAACUUCAAUUCUAUUAUGAUUUCCAUUAAGAUUAAGAAGACAAUUUGAAGAUUAUGAUUAUGCAUUCAUUGUAUUAAUGAACGUUUAAGAAAUCCCCACUCCAUCGUACAUAAAGGUUAGAUUCAUAGAAUUUCCAAGCUCAAAUAGGGUUAUUUGGAAAAAAAAUGCCAUAAAAAAUAAUAAUUCAUUAUACAUUAAUCAACAAAUGAUGAAUUUUUAGGUCACCUCAAGUAUAUUAUUAUUGCUUCAUUAAAAAAAAUGUUUUAAAAUCCCCAUACAAUCAUUUGUAUAUAUAUAAAAAAUUGAAUGCUAAAAUUGUUAUAAUAUUUACAACAAAAAGCUAGUUGUUAUACCGUACGUUAUUAUAAUUACUUUUGGAGUGUAGAUUAUUUUAGUUAGAGUUACACUUAAAUUGAAUGUGUUUGAAGUGUGAACUAAUUUAGUUUGAAAAGAAAAUAAUAAACACACCAAGAAAGAACGCAAAAAAGAAAAAAAAAGAAAAAUGUAAAAUAGUAAAAACGGUAGCAAAUAGUAAAUAUUUUAGUAAGUUAAAGGUAGAACGGUGUAUAAAUGAAAUGUUAUAUGAUUUUACUGUGUGAAAAUGAAAAUUUUCAAAUAACAUAAUCAAAAUUGGUAUGCCGUAUUUACUUUUUAAUAUUUGUCAUAUCAUACCAGUAGGAGGGAAAAUCAACUUAUAGGAAGUUAAGAUUUUGAUGUUUUCAAAAUUUGUACACAAUUUAUAGACAACGUCGCUUAGAAGUAAACAUUUCUAGUGGUUAAUUGUUAGGUCAAUUUGACUGAAAAGAAUAGAUUUAAAAAUAGAGAUAGUUGCAAAUAUAGUAAUUAGAUUUAAAAUAAUUAAGUAUAUAACAACAUUUUAAAAAAAUUGCAAGUAUAGUAAAAUAUGUCAAAGUCUAUCUAUGAUAGAUUCUAUCGUUGAUAAACUAUGUUGCAAAUAUUAGUCUAUCAUUGAUAGACUAAUAGAAGUAUAUUGCAGAUAGAUUUUACUACAUUUGCAACUUUUUAAAAAUGUUGCUAUAUAUUUAAUUAUUAUUUCUAAAAUCGCCACCAAAUUAUAAUUACCCUUAAAAAUGAAGAAAAAGGAAAAUGAAACCAAGGCAAACUCCAUCAAUCACCUCUAAGCUCGAGGAGCCCCAACUUGAACAUGAGACAUGACCAAAAUGCUCUAUAGGUCAACAAAUCCACAAAAUAUCUAAUUUAAUUAAUUGAUAAGCGGAUUUCUAAAGAAGACAACAAAAGGCUCACGUUAAACACACGAUAAUAAAUACAUCAUUGUAUUAUAACUUCUAAAGUGGUAUAUUGAAUCUUACCUCAAACUUCCUACCUUCCACACUCUUCUACUUUCAAACUUAAGCAACUGUGUGGGACAAAAGUGGUGUGGGUAUUUACUUUUUUACAUUCCCUUUGAACAAAUUGAUUGUUGAAUGACAGUAAAAGAUUGUAAAGAGAAACAAGAGAAGAGAAAUAUGAAGAUGAAAUAAAAUAUUGAUGCAACCAAAAUGGAAAAGAAUUGAUGAGUAUUACUUUUGAUAGUUUUAGUUGAAGCACAAAAAAGUCCAAAAAGUAGUUGCAAAAUGUGACCAAAGGAGGAAGAAUUUUUCUUUAUCCACAUUUUACUUUGCAUAAAGGUUGGAACUUUGGAAUGGAAAAGUCCAAAAAGUCCAACUAUACAUGUGUUCAACAAUAAUAUACUUACCCUUCCUAUUAAUUCAACCCCACAUUUAUUUUGGCUUUCCUUUCAACUUUAAACUUAAUAUACAUAAACAAAUCCCAACUUGUUCUUUAUACUCUUCAUUUCCAACAUUUUCAAAACUAAACAAAAACCAAUAUAACAAACCCCUCUUCGAGGAUUCAUAACCAAAGCAAUGUUUAAAUAUUUAAACCCGUCUUUUCAACCAUACUUUUUCAAUUCAAAUCAAUCUUUGAUGCGUCUUCUUUCAUCUCACUACUUUGACAAUCUAUUUUGAUUUCAUGUGUUUAUAAAACAUGCAUAAUUAUUAUAUCUUAUAAACAUGUUUUUAUUUGUUUUUUAAAUCAUUCGAGAAAAAAUUAGAUAAGAAAGGAUAGAAAUGUUAUAUGGGAGGUGAAAGUAAUUUGUGUAAAUUUAAUUUUGAAAAGCAAAUACUUAAAAAGCAAAACCUUUGAAAUUACCAAAUUGGGUCAUACUUAUUUACCCUUUUUGUAAAAUAUUAUUGUGUAUACAUUAAAUAUUUCAACUAUUAUAUUUAUACUUGAAAUAAAAUGUGCAAUAAUAGAAUGGGUGAGAUGUUAUAAUUUCAUUUUUGUAUUUUUGAAACAAAAAGGCUAUAAAUAUAUAUACAUUAUUUUAAUUAGUACUUUCAGCAAUAAUUAGUACUUUGUUUUUGUCUCAUUCAGUUUAUAUUAUUUACUAUUAAUUUUCUAUUAGUUAUUCUAAAACAAUAAAUUAAAUUAAUGAAAAAUGGUAAAAAGAAAAAAUAGAACAUUUUGACCAAACAUUUACUAUUUGAAAAUUUUAUUUAAUUAAUUAUAUAUAUAUUUUAAAAUAUAUUAAAUAUAGUAAAAUCUAUUAAAUUCUUUAUAAAUCAUUUAAUUUUUUUUCUUUUCUUAGCUACCAUUUCUCUAUUUUCUUGACAUUUUAUCACUUAAAAUAGUUAUCUUUAGUUUUUAUUAAAUUUUUACUAUGGUCAAAGAUAAUGCAUAUCAUAAUAAUUUCAAAAGUUAGGAUGAAAACGAGUUUUCGAUAAGUUUUGUGAAUGGAGACAAUUUAUCUAAUUUUAAAAAUAUUUAUGAGUAUCUAAUUUAUGGAGUUUGUCUCUAUUUUGGAUGAUUUUCCUCUUCUUUCAAAAGAUUUUUGAAUUUUAAUCUAUGAACAUCAAAAGUUAGUUUGUGAAAAGAUUUAGAAAUUUGAAGAAGAAAAUAAGAAGUAAACUCCUGAUUUAGUAAUGUAAAUAUAACAUUAUGAAAAUGAGAGAUAAUAUAAAAGGCAAUUUAGAAUUUGAGGGAGAAGCCAUUGCAUUUUUUUAAUUCAAUGAUUUAACCUAAGGUUAAGAACUUGCAACCCAUCCUUGAAAAAACCCAAUCCGAAAGAUAAAUUAUUUGGAGAAAUACCCAUUGAUUGGGAAAGGAAGAGAAAAAGGAAGAGGUUUCUCUCUUCAUUUGAAUCAAGGAGAGAGAAUUUGGAAUUGAGAGAGAGACUCACACACAGAGAGGAGAAGGGUCUCUGCAAAUUGAGCUUUGACCUUCUCUCUCUCAGAGAACCCAUGGUGUUUUCACACUUUUGAUUCACUUUCCCCCCCCCCCCCCCCCCCCCCCACCCACUCCUUUCUUUAACCUUCCCUUUGAAAUAACUCUCUCAAUCUCCUCUUUCCUCCAGUUCUUCAACAGAUUCACACAAGACCCAUUUUGAUUUCUGGGUGUUUUCCAACAGAUUUUGAUCUGGAUUUUAAUUUCAGGUGAGCCCUCUGGGAUUUCUCUGUUUUUUUUUUCUCUGUUUAUUUGGGUUUUCUUAUCUUUUUCUUUUUUGCUUGUUUCCCUCUUUCUCUUUGGUUUGGUCCAUGACAAGACUAUCCUUUCUCGCUUUUGGAUAAUUUUGGGAGAUAUUUGCGUUUCUUCUUGUUUUUUCUUCUCCGUUCCUAUGAAUCUUUUUCUUGUUUCUUUCUAACGUAUUGCUUUCAAAUAUCUUCUUUUAAAAAUCUCGAUUCCCCUUUUUCUGUCUUAAUCGUUGCCCUGUUUUUGUAACAUCGAGAUCUGUUUCCCCUUUUUCUCUUUAUUCGGUGUUGUUAGGAUUUCUGAAGAACAAAAGAAAAAUUAGACCCUCUGAAAGCUCGAGGAUCAGAUUUGAUUCAUGGGGAAUUGCUGUGCUACUCCGGCUACUCCUUCAGGGAAGCAGCACAAGGGGAAGAACAAGAAGCAGAACCCAUUUGCAGCUGAUUAUGUAGUGAGCAAUGGCAAUGGUGGUGGGAACUGGGUGUUGAAAGAUCCAACGGGCCGAGACAUUUCUGCCUUGUAUGAUCUGGGAAGCGAGCUUGGAAGAGGUGAAUUUGGAGUAACGUAUUUGUGUACCGAUAGAAACACUGGAGAGAAACUUGCUUGUAAAUCGAUAUCGAAAAAGAAGCUGAGGACUGCUGUGGAUAUUGACGAUGUGAGGAGAGAAGUUGAAAUUAUGAAGAAUUUGCCUAAGCAUCCGAAUAUUGUGUCAUUGAGAGAUACUUAUGAGGAUGAACAGGCUGUUCAUAUUGUUAUGGAGCUUUGUGAAGGUGGGGAGUUGUUUGAUAGGAUUGUUGCGAGGGGUCAUUACACCGAAAGAGCUGCUGCAGUUGUCAUGCGGACCAUUGUUGAAGUUGUGCAGGUGAAACAUCAUUUUUAUGAGUUGUUAUUGUUAUUGUUGGAUCUUUAUGCUUUCCAAAUUUGUGGUUCUUGUUGUUCUUUGUUUGGAAGGGUGACGAUAAGGUUGUGUGUCUUGGUGAGCUUGAGUUGUUUCAAUGGUUCCUGAUAAAAGAUUCUUUUGAUUGUUUGAUUUCAUUAUGACUUAGGUUACAGUUACUAACGUGGUCACUGAACUUUGGUAGAUGUGUUAUUAGUUUUCUGAACUGCAGAAAGCUCUAUUUUAUGUCACAAACUUUGAAUUUUAAUUAUUUAUAGUUGUUCACUAAAUGAUAACAUAGAUAUAUUUAUUGGAAACAUAUUGGUUUAUUAGAAUUACGCUUCGAAUUGAAAAAUGUGGGAUACCCUCACCCUAAAGCACUGUAUGAAUCACUCUAGAGACCAUGCCACUUUAUUUUAUUGCAUUGUUUACUUUCUUAUGUUAUUUUCCUUCCACAUCAGCUCAAACAAGCUAAUAUUUAUCUAAUGGGUAUUCUACAAAACUAUUUUGAUUAAUGGUGCUAAUAGAAAAGUCACAUGUAGUCACAAUUUAAGUUAGGAGAUAUAGUAGUAGCUUUUUUAAGUUUACAAACUAAGUGGACAAAACCAUACAAGGUUAUUGACUAAGUUUGUAAUUUAACUGAUAACUUAUUUUUAGUAUUUGGUGACAAUGUUUCCAUCUGUGUUGAGAUUAAUGAGAAGUAAUAUGAUUCACUCAUACAUUUAAAUGCAUUUUGUUGUGCAGAUGUGUCAUAAAAACGGUGUUAUGCAUCGCGAUCUCAAGCCAGAGAACUUCCUUUUUGGAAAUAAGAAAGAAACGGCUCCAUUAAAGGCAAUUGAUUUUGGGUUAUCAGUGUUCUUCAAACCUGGUAUUAUUCUAGAUUCAUUCACCAUAACUGCUUUUGACCUUUCCAAUAUAUAGUUGUUUUUGUGAAUGCAUCUUUUCCCCUCUUCUUCGUAAACAUUUGCAAGUUUAGUAUAACAAAUAUGCAAUUCUCUUAGGUGAGCGGUUUAAUGAAAUCGUUGGAAGUCCGUAUUACAUGGCUCCAGAGGUCCUGAAAAGGAACUAUGGUCCGGAAGUUGAUGUUUGGAGUGCUGGGGUCAUUCUCUAUAUUUUACUUUGUGGUGUCCCACCUUUUUGGGCAGGUUUGUGACUCUUAACUUCGUUUGUUUUUUUUUUUCCACUUAAGGAAUGGAGUUAAAAAAGAACCUUUAAUUCAACUAAUAUUGGUUGAAGCCAAACUCAAAUCAGUCUCAAUUCCUUUGUGUUCUAUUUUGCCUGAUUAUGAUCCAUAUCAUAUGAAUAUCGAUGCAUAUGAAAAUUCUUGUGAUCCAUAGCAUAAGAACAUCAUGGCCCUUCAGGGACAUCUGAUAGCAUAAGAACAUCACGUGCGUAAAAUUUCUUGUGAUCCAUAUCAUAAGAACGUCACGUAUAUGAAGAUUCUGCUUUUUGCUUUUUUCUUUUCGGUUAAAUCAUCUUCAUAUUUUGCAUGCAGAAACCGAACAGGGGGUGGCACAGGCUAUCAUCCGAUCAGUAAUUGAUUUCAAGAGGGACCCUUGGCCUAUAGUGUCUGACAAUGCGAAGGAUCUUGUGAAGAAAAUGCUUGAUCCCGACCCCAAAAAGCGACUCACUGCUCAAGAAGUUCUUGGUAUUAGUUUUAUUCUGUUACAGAAGAUUAUGUAGGUUUUUCAAUUCAGUGCUUUAUUAUGAAAUGAUUUUCUCAUUUCGUUCUAUUCACAUGUAGAACAUCCGUGGUUACAAAAUGCCAAAAAGGCACCAAAUGUUUCAUUGGGUGAGACUGUGAAAGCAAGGCUAAAGCAGUUUUCUGUUAUGAACAAGCUGAAGAAAAGAGCUCUACGGGUAAUAAUAUCUUGAAUACAAACAACACUUCACAAUGGUUUUGGUAGUUCUUGCCGAAUAUUUAAUCCCGAAUGAAGCUUGAUGUCUCAAAAUUUGAAUUAUAUUGUAUUGUAGGUUAUUGCUGAGCAUUUAUCAGUUGAGGAAGUGGCUGGAAUCAAAGAGGCAUUUGAAAUGAUGGAUACUGGCAAAAGAGGGAAGAUAAACCUUGACGAGCUUCGCGUUGGACUACAAAAACUAGGCCAGCAGAUUCCUGACCCUGAUCUUCAGAUACUUGUUGAAGCUGUAAGCAUUCUUCUUUGUCUAACCCAUUCCGUAUAUUGGCCACUGUCUUCAAAAUCAUAUAUAACUACAGAUCUGGGUCUGAUUACUCUUUAAGGCUUGAACUCCUGCUCUGUACAAUCGAUCAUCAUCUUAGUUUAAAGAGCUUAAUGCUCCGACUUUCUUACUUGUAUGGACAAAAAUGUCUAAAAAAGUAAAGAAGCAAUGUAACUGCUGAUUUUUUUUUAAAAAAAUGAGUUUAACAUGUUUUGACACACGAACUCUGCCCAUGGUAGCUCCAUCGGCAUCUUGUUUGCAUUGUUGUAAAACAUGGCAACUGGAAGCUUUUGGUUAUAUUGUUGAACUGAGAAAAGUGUUAACUCAUGACAGGCUGAUCUUGACGGUGAUGGAACAUUGAAUUAUUCAGAGUUCGUGGCUGUUUCUGUCCAUCUUAAGAAGAUGGCCAAUGAUGAACACCUACACAAAGCUUUUUCAUUCUUUGAUAAAAACCAGAGCGGCUACAUAGAGAUUGAAGAGCUAAGAAAUGCACUUAAUGACGAUGACGAGACUAACGGUGAGGACGUUGUCAAUGCCAUAAUGCACGACGUGGACACAGACAAGGUCCGUUUUUGUUCCAUACAUAAUAGGGGUUGAAAUAUCUCAAAACCACACUACAGUGGGCCUAGCAGCAUUGUUUUGUAUAUAGUUGAUCUUUAACGCACACAUGUAAUGUUUUCCAUUUCAUUACUUCAGGAUGGGCGCAUAAGCUACGAGGAGUUUGCAGCUAUGAUGAAGGCGGGUACAGAUUGGAGAAAAGCGUCGAGACAAUACUCACGAGAAAGAUUUAACAGUCUGAGUUUAAAGUUAAUGAGAGAUGGAUCAUUACAUCUAACUAACGAAGCUAGAUGAAUCACAAACCUUGGAAGCUGAUUUAUUUUGUGGAUUUGGAUGGAUAGAUACCGGGAAGAAAUUACUCUGAAAUUUUUUCUUUUUUCUUUCCCCAACUUGAAUAUGUUUUACUUGGUUAGAACAGACAUUUUGGGAUAGCCAGAAUUAGAAUGGAGGUCUAAAAAGGGUCUCUUGAAAUAUUUAUUUUUAUCUUUAGGGUGUCUGUUUUGGGGUAGUUGAUAUCAGAGAAGACCACCAAGUUGUAGAGAGGGAGAGAGAGAGAGGGGGGGUAAAAAAGAACAAGAACAUAGUGCUGGUUGAGGACCUCAAAAGUGUGUGAUUGUGUGUACAUAAUCAAUCAAUUAGGCCAACAAGUGAUUUCAUUUACUGUUGCAAUGUAAGAAUUUGGUUGAAUCUUACUCUUACAUUUAAUUUUUUAUUUUUCAACGUCUUUUGGGUUGUUGGAUUAGCACAACAUUUGUCAACUUCCAAACAGUAUUUCUUUUGCCCUCUCCUUUUUUACCUUGGGUUGUUUGAAGAAGGAUUUGUUAAAUCUGAGUUUAAAAAAAUAAACCCAGCCUUUAACAAUAAUUGUAUUGCUAAUUUUAGGUUAGUCAAGAUGUAUAAUUUUGAUCUUCACAACUCUAAUUUCUUGUGUCAAACAUGCAGUUGGUUGUAUGAUAAUGUCAUCCCAUCUCGAUGUUUAUAUCAACUCUCAUUUAGCUAAGUUGUACCAUCUCAAUCUCCAUAAAAAUAUAAUAACAUCAAUAUAAUUAUUAAAGACAAUUUGACUCAAUUGAAAAGACAAAGCUCUAGAAUAAUGAAGUUUUCAGUUUAAAUUUGGUUUGAAUUUUGUAUUAACCCUUUAUUCAUAUAUAUAUAUAUAUAUUAAUAACAUAUUAGGAAGGAAUGGUAUAUAUUUCAUACUAAAUUAAUAACAAUUAAUAAUUCGUAAAAUUAAUACAAUUUUUUAGAUAACUCCAUCGCUCUUUUUUCACUUUAUAAGCAUGCCACUUAAUUUGGGGAGUUUGAAAAAUAGCAAAAGAAAAAUUUAUAAUAAUAUGUCUUAUGUCAUGAAUUGUAAAAGUAGCAAAUUUAAAAGCGGAUAGUCCUAUGAUAAUCUUUUCAUAACUCUCUAAUUGUUAUUUGAUAGUUGUAUGAUAUCAUUAAUUACAUGUCAUAUUUGUCAUAUUUGCAUUAUGCAAAAAAGAUGUACUAUGAACUGUUUUUUUUUUUUUUUUUUUUGUCAUCUAAUACAAUUUUUCUUUAAAUUUAGAAAAAAGUAUAUUGAAAUGUCAAAAUUUAAGUUUGGUAGUAUGUGGUGAUUAGGGAACACAAUCACGAGAGAAGGUUAAAGUUGCGCUUUUGUAUAUUUAUUUGAGAACGUAUAAAUCAGUUGAGACCAAUUCUUCAAAAUACUAGAAAAUGAACAAUGAAAAUGGCAUAAUAUCUAUCGAUGAAGAAACAAACAUAAAAGAAAAAAAGCAACUGCCAUGAUCACCAAUUUCUCAGGAUGAUAUAUUCUCUUAUGUCUUAGCAGGGCUUGAUGUUGAAUAUAUUUUGAUUGUCUGUGAUACCGAAGGUAAGAACUCUUCAACUUGGCAUGAUGUUUAUUCAACCUUAUUAACCUUAGAAACAAAACUAGUUCGCUUGAAUAUUGUUAAUACUAAUGGAGAUUUUGGUGCAAAUUAUGUCUACAGCAGGCAAAUUAGCAAUUUGAAGAAUGAGCAACAACAUCGUUUUCUAGGUUAUAGCUCUCGAAAUCAGAACAACCCUACCUUUAACAACAAUCAAUCCCAAGGAAGAGGUAACAAUGUUAAUGAUAACACUUUUCAAAAUCGACGAGCUAGAGUUAGGUUCAAUAGUCAUAGAAGUAAUAAUUAUAAAACCACUUGUCAACUAUAUGGAAAAUUUGGUCAUAGAACUGUUGUUUGCUACCUUCGAUUUGAAGAGGAAUUUAACAAUCCAAGAGGAAACAAUAAUCAGGUGAACAAUAAUCCAACAACCUUUAUUGCUACUCCUGAAAUUGUGACGACAGAUUCAAACUGGUUGGCAGAUAGUGGAGCCAUAAACCAUAUCACCAACAAGUAUGGUAAUCCACAAUUCAAAAUAAAAUAUUUAUGGUACUAGUUAAAUUGAACUUUUGGUUUUAGUUCAUGUGGUUUACAACUAGAAUUUAGUUUUCCUCGGAUUGAUAAAAUCCUAGCUAGGAAAAUAUAGCCUCCCUACCAUAGGAACUAUUUAGGAAGGUUUUAUCAAACCAUAAAGAAUAAAUACUAUAUAUAUGAGAUUCUAUUAAGGAUUAAAUUCUAAUUUUUCAAACUACGAGUCUAAACCAUAGAGUCCAAAUUUACAAUUUAACCCCAAAAAUAGAUAUAUAAUGUGCAUUUAUAUCAAGGAAAUAAAUUAUAUAUAAUUUACAUUUACUACUAGAAAAUUGGCAUUUAACUAUGCGAAAUAUGUGUCACGAACGGUUUCGAUGACACAUAUAUUGCAUCCUUAAAGUCCAUGUAAAGAUAGGACAUUUGACGACACAACUAAAAAAUGUCGUUAAUAUUACUUAAAAGUGUCGAUAAUCAAUUUCUCUUAACUACUAACUUAAUUCCUAAUAGCUUUAUACAUUUUAUAGAAGUAUUACGGUCGUGCACGUAAUUCAAAAAACAAGUUAGCGUGAUUAGGGUUUGGAAGAGCACAUAAAGUAAGAAAUUGAAUAAAUAUUUUGUAUUAACGAAAUGGAUGUGUUAAAGGAAGUGAAGGGAAAGGCAAUAAUUAAAAGAAGAAAUGUGAGAUUUGGGGAUUUGGGGAAAGUCCAGAUUCAAUGUACCAAUGGUUUUGGUUUUGUGAGUACAAAACCAACCCCGCGCGUAGCAAUACCCUAAACCCAUACUCUAUUCAUUCAUAGAUGCCGCCGUCGAGAAUGUUACUACAAAAUCAAAUAUUAAGUUCUUAUAUAAUAUCUUAUGUAUAUUUGACUCAAUAUCUUUUCUUUUGACUCUCAAUUUUUUCUCAUCUAUUUAAUUAUUUUAAUCCUAAUAUAUACUAUAUGACCAUUUUUUUAAAAACUUUUUAACUCAUGCAUUUUUAUAUGAAUUCAACAAGUUUGGAUUUAUUAAAUUUGCCUUUCACUUUUUGGGUUAAUUUCUUUCUUUUUCUUUUUCUGGAAAAAUUUGUAUAUGAAUAUUAAUAAUUUUCUUUCAAUUUUAGAAAAGUUAAUUUAUAAUGUUUAAUCAAUAAUUUAUUAUCCCCAUUUUUUUAUUUUUGUAAAGCUCUCCUUUGUUUUAUGGUUUUCUUUUUAAAAUUUUUUAAAGUAGAAUUGUUUAAAUGAAAAUGAUUUUUUUAAAAUAUUUUUUUCUUAAUCAUUCUAAAUAAGUUCAUAAACAAUUUUUAUAAAACAAUUUUGCAUUUUACCAAAAUUCAAAACUAUUUUAUUCCUUUUUUAUUAUAUUUGGUAAGGAUUAAAAAAGAACUAUUAAGAAACAAAUAUUAUGUUAUGUUAUUUAUUAUUCUAUAUUCGUAAAUUUAUAUAUAUAUAUAGAUAGGUAGAUUAACUUGAUGUACAAAUGUACAUAUAGAAAUGUAUCACAAAACAACAAAAAGAUUGUCGCCGUCGUAAAAUCUUAAAAUUUAUUUUAUUCAAUAAUUCAAAACAUUGAGUCAAAAAUUCGUUAAUGAAAUAUAAAUCUCAUAAAUUUUAUUCAAUAAAAUGUACAUUAGUAUUUUAAAGGAAAAAUCUGCCCAAAAUGUCAAUAAAAUCUCAUAAUCGAUUAAACAUUUAUUAGUAUCGAUCUAAUUUAUAUUAGUGAUAAAAAAAAUAGAUUUAUAAAAAUAAUUUAGUAUAAAAAUCUCAUAAUCGAUUAUAUUUUGCUAUAUUUAAAAACCGUUUUUUUUUUAAAAGUAAUAAAAGUUUAGGAUGAACUUGAUAUUAAAAGAGAAAAAAAAAAAGGAAGAAGAAGAAGCGCGUGAAGGAAAUGAGAGUGGGCGUGUUGUCUUUACAAGUAUUUGAAAGGGCACCCGUGUCAGGCACGUGACCCCCUUUUGUUUUUCUUAGAAAUAAAAAUAAAUAUGAAGCAGAGAAUUUCGUUUUCGUUUUCGUUUUUCCUUUUCAAUUCCCUUUUUCUUUUUAUUAAUGUUCGUUCGUCCAUAGCCAACCAAAAUCUGAUUCUCUUCCUCUCUUCUUCUCCACUCACUCACUCUACAUUUCUCCAAUUACCCACUACCCUAAUCCCCCCUCUCAUGACGACGCCGUCGUCAUUCGCCGCCUCCACCUCCUCCGUCUUCACCGAUCCGGCGGUUCAGAUUCCUACCUUCCAUGGCCUUAAAUCCUCCACUUCCCUUGCUUUGGCAAGACAUGUCCGCCUCUUCGCCCCUUCUGCCUCCUCUUCUUCCUCUUCCCGCCCUCUGCUUGUUCGAGCCGUUUCCACGGUACAACCCAUCUCCCCCCCUUUUCUUCUCUGUUUUCCAUUCCUGCUCUUUCUACUCAUUUUGGCGUUUUUACUGCUCUGGAUCUUUGUAUUUGUUCUAAUUGCAUGUGGGUUUGUUUUGAUUUAAUCUAUUUUUUGUUUUCCUUCUCUAACUUUGACGCUGUUCUGUUUUAGAUUCUAAUAAAUGCAGAUACGAUUUUGUUUGUUUUAUACUUUCUUUUUGGACGGUUCGACCCAGAAGGGUUAUUUCAGUUUUCUCUUGUGUUUGAUUAACUCAAUUCAAAAGAAUUUAUGUUGGGAUGUUUUCUCUUUUACCGAAUGUGGGUUCCCCUGAAUUUUUUUUAGUUGGGAAAGUGUUUGUGUUGUAAGUUAAGUUCAUCACCAAUUGCAGCAGGGUGUCGAAAGAUUUCUAUUGCUCUUCAUUUAUAAUCGAAUAUAUUCUGCUUUCUAUUUUAUUGGUUACUAAAAGUAUUUUUUGGAUGGGUUCUCUUUUUUUUUUUUACUUUCUGCUCUACUGUGGGAACACGUUGGUGGAUUAUCUUAAAAAAUAAGCUAUAUGUUUCUUUCAUUGAUUGCAUUUGUCUGUAUUUUUAACCAUUCCACGGAAUAAAGCAUGUUUGAGAGAUUUUUAAAAUCACUUUUAUCCUGUUUAAAAUUACUUUGAUCUCAAAAUCAGUUCAAUGGUUAAUUUUACACAACAUAUUUUUUACUUUUAAAAUUAAUUUUGAAUGAUUAGAAAUAUUUUGAGUGAUUUUAAUAAUGACAAAAAUGAUUUUAACCACUUUAGAAGCACUCCAAAACAUGCUCGAAUGCUGUCAGAAAAAUUCUUUUUGAUUCAUGUAUUUUUGCUAUCUAGAGAUAUGUUUUGGAUUAGUUAGGUGAAUUUUUACUGAGCUAGGUUCUUAUUCUGUAAAAUUUAUGGCUUAAUUUGCAGCCUGCAAAGCCAGGGGUUGCUGCUGAGCCGAAGCGUAGUAAGGUUGAAAUUUUCAAAGAACAUAGUAAUUAUAUAAGAUACCCUCUUAAUGAGGAGUUGUUAACGGAUGCCCCUAACAUAAAUGAGGCUGCCACACAAUUGAUCAAAUUCCAUGGGAGCUAUCAGCAGUAUAAUAGGGAAGAGCGUGGACAGAGGUCUUAUUCAUUCAUGCUUCGUACCAAGAAUCCUUGUGGGAAAGUGUCGAACCAAUUGUACUUAACAAUGGAUGAUCUUGCUGAUCAAUUUGGAAUUGGAACACUUCGUCUAACCACCAGGCAAACAUUUCAGCUACAUGGAGUUCUCAAGAAGGAUCUGAAGACAGUAAUGAGCUCCAUUAUUAGAAGCAUGGGUUCAACCCUUGGUGCUUGUGGUGAUCUGAACAGGAAUGUUCUUGCCCCAGCUGCUCCACUUGUGAGAAAAGAUUACCUUUUUGCACAGCAAACUGCAGAAAACAUUGCUGCUUUGUUAACUCCUCAAUCAGGAUUUUAUUAUGAUAUGUGGGUAGAUGGGGAGAGAUUCAUGACAUCAGAACCGCCAGAAGUGGCGGAAGCACGUAAUGACAAUUCUCAUGGAACGAACUUUCCAGAUUCUCCUGAGCCUAUUUAUGGAACUCAAUUUCUCCCUCGAAAAUUUAAAAUUGCAGUGACUGUGCCAACAGAUAACUCUGUAGAUAUUCUGACAAACGAUAUUGGCGUUGUUGUCAUUUCUGAUGCUGAGGGGGAGCCUCGAGGAUUCAACCUAUAUGUAAGUGGGAUUCAGGUCUUACAGAGAUUAGAGAUUUGGAGUUGAUAUUAUUAUUUAUUAAUUUUUUAUUUUUGAUAAAUUUCCUUGCCCCUAUGGUUUUUUUGCUUAAUGAUCUCUGCUGCAGGUUGGAGGAGGCAUGGGAAGAACUCAUAGAGUUGAUACCACUUUCCCUCGAUUGGGAGAGCCAUUAGGGUACGUUCCAAAGGAGGAUAUUUUAUAUGCAGUUAAAGCUAUCGUAGUCACACAACGUGAAAAUGGUAGAAGAGAUGAUCGCAAAUACAGUAGACUAAAAUAUCUGAUCAGUUCGUGGGGGAUUGAAAAAUUUAGGAGUGUUGUAGAGCAAUAUUAUGGGAAGAAAUUUGAACCCUUUCGCGAAUUACCAGAGUGGAAGUUUGAAAGUUACUUGGGGUGGCAUGAACAGGUUAGUUUUUAACCCUGUAAGACAUCUACUUUUAUUAGCUUUGAUAUUUGAAUUGUAAUUUCUUUUAACUGCCGAGGUGAAGUCUCAUGUGAUCUCUUAUAUUCAGCCUGCAGUAUUCACACUGAAAUGUUCAAUUCCAGUUGGCUUAAUAUCUAAUAAUCUAUUAUCACUCUUUAGUUUUAGAUUAUCAAUCAUCUGUUAGAAUUAUUAAAACUAUAUGCAUAGUUAUUUUGAAUGAUAAUAAUUUGUUGAAGACAUGGAAGUUUUAGUUACAUUUUUUUUUCAAUCAUGAAUGUCGAACUCUUAUCUAUGUUGAAUUAGUAUCUAUUAUAAGUUGAACAAGUAUCUUCUAUAUAUAUGUUGAAUUAAAACCUGUUUUAUCUUUAUAUUUGGAUGUAUUCAUGGCAAAUGAUUUUCCAUUAGGAUUGUUGCUUAAAUGCAUCGAUUAAGCUUGAAAAUAUUAUCAUUUUAUUAAAUGUGUUUCGUAAUUAAAAAUGUCAGUUAAAGUGAUAUGGGUCCAGUUUGACAUGAGGAUAUCAUUUGGAAUUUAAUUUUCCUUUUAGGCAAUAAUGAAUGUUGAUAACAAAUAGCAUCAUGUCUUGAAAAAUAAAUACAACAGUCAGUAUUGGUAAUGUCGAACUUGUUUGUUCGGAGACAUCAGAAGCUACCAGCAAAUAAAUUAUUUCCCUUGACAGCUAGCUUUUAGUCCCUUGGACUUAAACAUUUUUUGUUCUCCUUGUUUGAGACUGUUAUCUACCUUUCAGGGGGAUGGUCACUUAUAUUGUGGACUACAUGUUGAUAGUGGUCGUAUUGCUGGGAAAAUGAAGAAGACUUUAAGAGAGGUGAUAGAGAAAUAUAAUUUGGAUGUUCGGAUUACCCCGAAUCAAAACAUUAUCUUGACCAACAUUCGCAGUGCGUGGAAGCGACCCAUUUCCACAGUUCUUGCACAAAGUGGCCUGCUGGUAAACUACUAUUCUUUGGCCCUACUUGGUGAUUGAGUUCUCUCUGUAAAUAUAAAACUUAAAUCUUCAUCUUAGCAUGAAGAUCUCAAUCGAUUUUCAUAGAAUUGAGUAGUUUCAACCCCUCAGUCCGUCUAUAAAAACAUGGCUGACGAGAUAUAGAAAGUUGCUUGUGUUGAUAAGACACCUGGUGUAAGGAUCAAUAAUAUGCAAAUGCAUAACUCAUAAUUGAUGCUGAGCUGCUGAGGCUAGGAUGGAUAUAUAGAUUUGUGGUUUAACUUGGAAGUUGAAACAAUAGAUUUGUUUUCCCCCUUCUGUUGUGAAAUAUUUUUUGUUCUUUUGCAUUUUACUUAACUCAUUUUGCUAUACAGCACCCAAGGUUUGUAGAUCCCCUUAACAUAACUGCGAUGGCAUGUCCAGCUAUGCCACUUUGUCCUUUGGCAAUAACAGAAGCUGAGAGAGGAAUUCCAGAUAUCCUUAAGCGAGUUCGAGCUGUAUUUGAAAAGGUAUAGUUUUGGUGGCCAUACACAACUACCUGAUUUUUCACACCUCGGCUCAAGAUGUGAGGAGGCUUGCCUCUAUCCUUAUUUACAUUGGGAUGAAAAUAGCUUGAUUUUAAAUUUCAUUUUCACUCCUUAUCAGUAUCAAUGUAUGCCAAUAAGCAUUGGCCUGAGAGGAUAUAAUUGAAAAUUAUUAAAGUGUAAGGGGGGACUAACUUGAAAAUUCUUAAACAAUGGGGACUAAAUUGUAAAGUUUCCCAAAUAUCAGUAACAAAAAUAUAAAUUUAGAUGAAACAUAAGUUUCACGAAAAUUUAGGCACUGAUGGCUCUGUUUUCCUGUUAUCAGGUUGGUCUGAAGUACAGUGAAUCUGUUGUCAUAAGGAUAACUGGUUGCCCAAAUGGUUGUGCCCGGCCUUAUAUGGCUGAACUUGGAUUGGUAGGCGAUGGUCCUAACAGCUACCAGGUAUAUCAUGAAUUGCAAGCCAAUGAUUUACUCCAUAACUUUUGGGAAUGCGUACUCAGAUUUUAUAUCUUUGUGAAAGUUUAGUUUCUUAUGAAAAAAAAAGCUUAUAUUUAUGUGCUGCUUCAUGUAUGUGUGUGUUGUCUUGUUCAGAUAUGGCUUGGGGGAACACCCAAUCAAAUGUCACUGGCAAGUACUUUUAUGGAUAAGGUUAAGAUCCACGACCUUGAAAACGUUUUGGAACCUUUAUUUUAUCAUUGGAAGCGUAAACGGCACUCGAAAGAAUCAUUUGGAGCCUUCACAAACCGCUUGGUGAGUGUGUAAUCAAUGGACUCUACAGAUCUCUUUGUUAUUGUCUUGCUUUAACUGAGAAACUGUGAUAAUUUUGAUUAAAUGCUCAUCAGGGGUUCGAGAAGCUUAAAGAGUUAGUUGAAAAAUGGGAUGGUCCUGUACUUUCACCAGCACGUUACAACCUGAAGCUUUUUGCUGACAAAGAUACUUAUGAGGCCAUGGACGAUCUUGCAAAGCUUCAGAAUAAGAAUGCUCAUCAAUUAGCAAUGGAAGUAAUUCGCAACUACGUGGCUGCUCAACACAAUGGGAGGACCGAAUAAUUUGGUAAGAGAGUGUUUAAAUUUUGUCGCCUUAGAAGUUGAUGUUAAAAAAGGGUGAACGAGUGUAAUAGUGUACUCAUUCUCUCCUUAAGCUUGUUACUGUUUUGUAACAGCUGGAAUGAAUCGAUACUGCUGGAUUUGGUAUAAUUUUGUACCCAAAGUUAAUUGUUUAUCUGCAUGAGUUUUGUAUUUACCGUUUCCUUGGAUCUUUGUAUCUUACUUUAAGGUUGCUUCUAAUAAAAUUACCUCCAUUCCAGCUUCUUCUCGUGUGAUCUGUUCUGGCUAGACUGGGAAAUUGAUAUGACAUGGUUGAUAUCAUAGUCAUGUUUGUUUUAUUGUUCAUGUGUUGUGUGGGAGAGGUUUUUUGGCAAGAGUUGAGAAUGUGUCUUAGAAAGAAGUUUUUGCAAGAAGAGUAUCUUUCUGUUCAUGUCGCGUGGGGGUUGAUUUUGGCAGGUCCUAGAUAUGUGCAACGAUAACGAGAUAACGAGUAGUAUAUUGAGAAUAUACACUAUCCGUACGAUGUAUCUAUUGUAUAUGCACUAGUUUAAAGGAGACGUGCUCGAGUGCAAAAGCCUGAGUUGAAAGAAGUGGCUCGUGUGACACAAAUACAAAAAGCUAGACUGGUUACAUUAGUCUAACGAUGACGAUGUAAGCGUUUCGAACGAGAUAUUAUGAUUUAGGAGUUAGUCAAUUGUUAGACAUUUGAAUAAAAUAUUAUAGUUUAGAGGCUAGUCCAUCAUUGCCAAACUUUGAGUAAGGAUAUUAUGAUUUAGGGACUUGUCCAUCAUUUUCAUACAUGCAUGGACACGAGUGCGGUCAUGGAGAACAUAACAACCAUAUGAGCAACACCAGAAAAUUAGGAGGGACUAAAGCAACCAAGAGUUCAGAGUCACGAUGACAAUCAACUCGAAAUUGACAACGUCCAAGUUGUGGGAUACGUUGAUUUUUUUUUAAUGUUGUACUAUUGUAGUCAUUCUACCUUUAUAUUUAAUUGAUUUUCAACUACAAAACAAUUACUAUAAAUUUAGAUAUAAAUAUCUGUAGGGAAUGAUAUUAAAUAUCCGUAGGGAAUGAUAUUAAUAUAGAUCGAGUGAAUUACUAUCAUGAAUUUUUACACUCGAUGGUUGAUGGUUACGAAUUGAAAAUUAAAAAGAAAAUUCUUCCCUUUGAAAAUAGAAAAGAACCAAUUUUAAUGUUAAAAAAAUGGUAAUGGCGAGUCUUGUCCAAUUGUAUGUAAAAAAAGAUUUUGCUUGGUCAAAUUACUCGACCAAAGAAGAGAAAAACAAAAUAGUAAUACUAAUAUAAAUAGUUUGAAAACAACAUUAUUUUAUUAAUUAACCAUUUCUAAAAUAACAUUAUGUAUAUAUUUUUUCUAUGUACAACCAAUUAUGAUAUUUUGUUCGUCAAUUAUAUACUUACCUUGAUGGCGGUUUACAUGACUAAAAAAACGAGUAAGGAGAUGUUACAAUGACAAUUUUUUAAAUGUUACGUAAAUAUGAUUAUUAUAGUAUUUGAUAAUAUCGUUUUAUGAUGGUUUUUUUUUUUGAAAUAUACCAAACUCACAAAAUAUAUACAUUGUAUAGAACAAUUUUGAAAAUAGAAAAGCCCACAUGCCCAUAUGUCCAUCAUGAGAAAUAGAAAAAAAUGUUCCACUCAAUACAUGAUUAAUCGACCACCUAAAUGAUCAUGAUACACGAUCAUGUAAAAAAUGAUACAUGAUCGUGUAGGUAGUAUCAACGUUGGCCACACACGCGCGUGUAACUCUUUUUCUAAAUGAUCAUGAUAUGCGAUUAUGUAGAAAAUGACAUAUGAUCACAUAGUUCAUGAUACAUGUUCGUUAGUUCAUGAUAAACGAUGACUUUGAAAAAGCUCUAGUAAACGAUUGUGUAGAUAAUGAUGCACGAUCAUGUGUAGUUUAUGAUUCACGAUCAAAUAGUUCAUGAUACAUGAUCAUAUAUAGUUCAUGAUAAAUACUGGUUUGAAAAGCCUAUGGUAAACGAUCAUGUAAUUCAUCUUUGUCAAUGACACAUUGAAAAAAAAUACAAUACUGAUAAUUGAUUGAAAACAAGAAAAAUAAUAGUAGAAAUAUAAUGAAAAAGAAUAAUAAUAAUUGUAGGACAAUGAUCAUGAUUUCAAAAAGUUAUAAAAGAAAAAUUGCACAAGAUGAAGAGAAAGUGACCACAGCCGUGAAGAGGAUGAAAAGGAAGAAGGAAGAAAUUGGAGCCACGUGAAUUUCAAAAGCGACAAGGACAAACUUGAAAUAUUUUAAAAAUGACCAAUUUCAUGAACUUUUUAUUUUUUUAUACGGCCUGUAAAUAUUUUAGUGUUUUGUUAUAUUUAUGAAAAUUAACUUUUCUAAUUUUUGAAAUUGUAUCAUUCCAAAAUCAUUAACCCAGUGAAUCAAAUUAUACCUUCAUUAAUUUUUUUUAACUGUUUACGACAUUCAUUUUUUAAACGUGUAUAAAGUUGACUAUUUAAAUACAAUGAACAAUGUAAAUUGAUAAAUAGCGAGAGAGACUCUUUAGGUCAUGAAGAAACCUCAUACUUUUGUUAAGAUAAAAUGAAUUACUUUUCUUAUUAACAAUUAAUUUUGGGAUGAAACUUCGUACUCCUUAAAAGGGUAAGAUUUGAACCCAAAAUUAUGGACUCAAGAUACAACAUAACUUGAUAAAUUGUUAAAAUAACUCGACUUUACUGGCUUUCGGUUAGUUUUGAGAUUAUAUUGAAAAUUUAAAUUUUAGAUUGAUAUACAUAUACACAAUUGUAUCAGAGUUAUAUGUAUCAAAGUUAUUUUUCACAUAGAGAUCCAUCCAUAGAAUAAGGAAUACAUAUAGCUUUUAUUAAUACAUAUAAAAACACAUAGCAAUACAUGGAUCCAAAGACCGUAUAUUAUACACAUUUCUUCCACACCUUUCUUCUCUCAAAACAAGCACACACACCCACACAAAAUAUAUAAAUUUCAUCCUCUCAUUACCAAAGUAAUUAAACAAGAACACACCUUAAUUAGUUACUUACUUGAGCCUCUUUUGAAGAACCAAAAACCAACCUAGGGACCGUAGGUAUAUGCAGCCGAGGAGGCCAAUCAGAAGGCAAUUGAACUUGAUUCCACAUAGUAACUUUUUGAACAACAUCAUCAUCAUCAUCUUCAAAAAUCUCUAUCUGAAAAAACACUGUUUUCCCAACAGGACUCUCAAUCAAAGCUUCUGAUCCAAAAUCGUUUUGGUUCAACUUGUAACAUGUUCUACAUGUCACCACAAUUGGGGCACUCCCUUUUGGAAUUUUAUCAAGCCCUUUUACCAAAACGUGGACACUCAAAACAUUAGUGAUUGAUGAAAAAAACAAAGACAAAUUUAUGUUUGGGAAAACAUUGAAAUAAAAUGGACCAUCUCCUAACUUUGAUUCAACUAAAGCAAGUAGUGAAUCUUCAAGUUUUUCAAUUCUAUUGUCACGUAGACAUAAAAUUAUGGAAGCAUUUGGAGGGAUUUUUUUGGUUAGGGUUUUGACACCAAUUUGAACAAGGCCUAUGUUCAUUGUGUUGAAGAAUGAGAUUCUUCUUCUUCUACAAUAACUUGAAGGGGUUUGACCAUAUAAUUUAAAAGAUCCUCCUUCAUUGCCAAAGCUAAUUUGGCCUUCUGUGGUUCUGAUGGAAGGAUCAUUCUUUGAAGGAAAAAUAAAAAAGUGGUUCUUUCUUCUUUCUUCAUAGAUUUUGUGGAUUGGGACUCUUGGCAUCUUCCAUUUCACUAAACUUUUACCUUUUUCAACAUAUUCUUCUUCUUCUAAUGAAUGAUCACCAACAAAAUUCUUGGAGCUGCAAGACUUAAAAAAGAGUGACAUUGUUUUUUUCCUUCUUGAGAGACGAAGAACCGAUAAUCAAAAUAACAGUGUACCUCUUUCGAUAUUUGGCUUCUUUGAACACAAACAAAAUAUGCUAAGGAACACUACAGAAAUAUAUAUUUUUGGAUGCAAUGUGUGGUGGUUCAAAUUUGAAGAAAUCAAUACCACCUUUAUAGGAGUGUCACGAGUGUGUGAAUUAUUGUGGGGAGAGAGAAAGCUUAAAGAAAAAAUAUGUAUUAUAAUUUAAACUUGUGAAGGAAGUUCAUGUAGUUGAUUGGUUAAGUUGUCUAUUCCAUGGAAAAGGGGAAACAAAGUCUUUGUAGUCUUUUUUUAUACAAUAAUAAUGAUAGUACUCAAUCUAAGAGUGUUUGGAUUAUAUAUUUAAUUUGAUGUAUGUUAUCAUGUUUUAACUCUAAUCAUGAUCAUUAGUUGUUACUCCUAGUAAUCUAUAAACAGUACAGUAAAUUAAUGAACAUUUAUACGAGAGUUGAUAUACAGAGGAAAACUUAAAUCAUCUAAAGACCAAUCAAAAUUAUUUAUAACUCAUCUCACCCUUAGUAUCUAUUUACUUCCUCUCCCUUUUAACAAAAACUUGUGUGUAUAUUAAAAGAUAAUUUUUAUAAAUAUAACAAAACAUUAAAAUAUUUACGAUUUGUGUAACAAAAUUAAAAUGUCACGAACCCCAACAUUUUUGUAAAAUAUUUCAGGUCCACCUUCUUUCUUCUCUCAUUUUUGUCUUUUCCUUUCCAUCUUCUUUAUUCUUUAUUUUUUUCUUUUUGAAAUCACGACGAUAUUUAUUUUCAAUCAAUUCAUAAUUUCUGUAUUUUUUUCAAGGUGUUAUUUGGUUCAAGAUCAUGUAUCAUGUAUAAAAGAUCUUGUAAAAAAACUGUUGGAUAUUGGUACACAAACGUUUUGAUUUGGCAUGUACCAAAGAAUCUUGGAAAAAAAUCAUUUAGAUUUCGUAAUCUUGAACUAAAGGAUCGUAUAGCCAAAUCUAAGCGAUCAUGUACCAAAUAUAUUAUGUGUGCGAGUGACCAAUCAAUUGGUUUGUUGACUGAGACAUUUUUUAUAUUUUUUAUUAGGAACUUGUGGACUUUUUCUAUUUUCGAAAAUGAAUUAUAGACGAUAAAUAUUUUGACGGUUUGUUAUAUUUUGAUUUGUUGAUUUUUUUUGACAGAGAAUUGUUGAGACUCGAUACUUUAAUAUAAUGUUUUGGAUCCAUUUUAUAAAGGAAAAAAUGAGAUCAACGUCUAUAUAUGAUUUUUUUAUAAAUUUUUAUUACUCAAAGUAAAUUACUCAUUUUUUGAAAGGUUGAAAAUAAUUUAGUUCAUACAUCCUAUAAUUAAAAUUUUAGCUUUUAUAUUUUUGAUAAAUUUCUCCCAUUCCUAAGAAUAAUGGGCAUUUAUAUGAUAUAUAAUAUAUAACAAUGGACAUUUUUAAGAAUAUCAAAAUAAAACAAAAUAUUUAUAAGCUAUAAGAAAAUUUUGGAUUCUAUCACCGAUAGUCUUCUAUCACUAUAGCAUAUCAAUGACUAUCAAUAAUAGAAUUUACUAUAGGUUGUAAAUAUUUUGUAAAAUUUGUUGUUUUUGAAAAUUUCCCAUAUAAUAAUUAUAAUAAUAUGUAAGAAAAAAUGUUGGAGAUUUGAGGUGUUGGCGGUAUAUUUUUUUAAGAUAGUGAUUUUUUAUAUGGUUGUUUCAAAUACAUUCUUUUUUGACAUCAGAAGAUUUUUCUACGAUAUCCAAAAAUUUUCUUACUCGUCUUAAACACUUAUUAUAGUGAAAUUGGCCGUUUCGAUAAAUCAACACGAGUUCUUUCAACAUGCUUUGUCUUCACUCACAUGCAUCAUAGAAAAUUUUCCAAAAUUAAGGUCACCCAACAUAGAAUUUUUCCAAGCUAAACACACUUAACUUUGAAAUUCCUAUGAUUGAGCUAUUGAAAAGGAAAGUGCACCUUAUUGGUGUAGGUAGUAACUUUUAAUUUUUUAAGUCUCUCUUAAUAUUACUUUCAUGUUCUCAGGUUCACUCUCAUUCAGAUGCGAUAUCAGUUGCUUCAUGUUUCUCUUUUAAACUCAGGGUGUUACAUAAGGUAAAAUGCAUAGCUGAGUUGUAAGAGAUUUCACUAUUGGACAUUCGAACCUAAAUUUAAAAGCAUGAUUGUAUUUAUUAAUUAUGCAUUGAUGGUAGCUAAAAUUGCAUAAUGAGAUAUUACAUGUUCAUGACUGAUGUAUUAUGGUGAUUAUGCUUGUUUUAUGGAUUUCAUGAUUAUGGCUGUUAUGAUUGGUGUUUCAUGUCAUGUUUAUGAUGAUUGUUACAUGCUUUUGGACUAUGAUGUCUGUUAACUUUGGCUGUUAGGCUGUGUACCCCACAUGUACGGUGUCCCUCAAGAUCACCACAUUAUACAUUAUGACUAUGUGCAUUCGAUGAGACCACCAAUCUGUUAGUCUCCAAGCGGUUCGAUGAGAUCACUCAUAGUCAGAUUUAUUGCAUGUUCCUUCGAGAUAAUUAGAUUAUGAGUGUUCCUACGGGAUCACUCACACAAUUAGGGGUGUUCUUACGGGGUCACUCGCUCGGUUAGGUAUGUUCCUACGGGAUAACUUACUCAGGUGUGCUCCAAUAUCAAGCACAUGAUAUUAUUACUUUAUCGUACCUCCUAAUGAGAAGUUAACGGAUCACCUAGCGAGACCCGUAGGUGGGUCCUUUAUUGAGUAUAUUUUUAUACUAAUCAUUUUUCUAUAUGUUUAAUAUUUCGAGCAAAAAUAAAGGAUCUGAAAAGCUGGCUAGUGAUAGGAAGGGCCCGUGACCUGUCAUAUGGGAACUCAUUCUACUUCUGCUCUUCUUUAUUUAGUUUUGGUUUUGAACAUUUUAUUUUAUUUUCUUAUCUUUAUUUUCUUUAAAAUUUGUUAGAACAUGUUUUCAUGGUAUUUUUUUACUGAUUUUUCCAUUUUAUGUUUUACGAACAUAUAUUCGAAAUUAUUUUAUAAAAACUUACUUUUCCUCUUUUGAAGAAAGUGUCUAUUGUUAUUUAUCUUUUACAUAACAACCACAACUUAAUAUAAGAGUUUAAGUCGUUACAAUGUAACUGCAAUAUUUUAUUUGAUAAGGGAGUUAUUUCCCUUCUUAGAUUUAAGUAUUUAAAAGAAAAUUAUAAAACUGAUUUUAUAGGGUUGCCUAUUGUGUUUAUUGAGUAAGCCGAUAUUGAUUAUCUUUAAAGCUACAUUUGAUCAUUAAGUAAGAGUUUCUUUUUAUACUACUAUAGUUGUUUUCUACAUGCAUUGUGUUCUUACUCGUUUCUCACGGUAUUCUACUGUGCAAAUUUAAUUUCUUCAUCUGUUAACCGCAACAGACUAAAGAUCAUCACUGUUUAGAGGGAGCAUAAUCCAUUUUGAUAUGUUGAGAAGGACUCUCAAUCUUAGGAGGACUCUAAAGAUACUCAUCCACCAAGAAUAAAUUUUCUAUCUUAUGAGAGGCUAAGAUUCAUUAGUGAAUGACAUGAAUGAAAGAUAAUAAUGUGAUAGGGUGUUUUACGCACACUGUUGAAGUCGAAGUGGAAUUCACUAAUAUUAUUACCACAAUUAUACAGAGCCUAAGCAUAUAGAAAGUGAGAGUAUCUCACAUUUUGGAGAAGCACCAAUGUGAAACCCACAUUUAAGUUAAGAGGCAAUCAUUUGACUAAGUGUUUAGAUUAUGAAUUUUGUGUGGUCUUUGCGAGAAAAAGUGAAUUUCUUUGCGAAGAAGGUUUCACGAGGAAACUUUUGAAGGGGUUGGUGAUAAGAAGGUUGUGUUUAAAGUAGUUCACAAAGUGAGACUUUUAAAAUAUAAUUGUAACUACACGAUAGGGGUGUUCGCGAAAAAUGUUGGGCGAGUAAGGUGCUUCGUAGAAUAAAGUUUGGAGAAAAGAAAAAAAAAGUUUGGAGGACUUUCCUUAAGUGUGAUUAAUGGGUCACAUGUGGAAAUUCAAGUUAAACAUGAUUAAGGACACAUCUUAGGUUUACAUGUGCUUCACUAAGAAGCAGGAAUUGGCGAUCUGAGAAGAGUUUAAGCAUGACUAAGCUGGUUUAAGAGCUCUAUAAAUAGAACUCAGUCCUUUGAUUUGAUAAUUCUUUGAAAGAGAAAAAUUAAAGUGUUGAAGUGAUGCUAGUUUAGCUAUGCGAGAAGAGGCUUGCGAGAAGAAGGAAUUCUUUAGUAAAGUUUGUGACUGAUUUUCUUAAAUGCUUUCAUGUUAAAAUCUUUCUUGUGAUUCCCCUUUACUAUUCAAAUAAGAAAGUGUUUCAAAAGGAAUUUUAUGAAAAAAUUAUAUGUUCUCAAGCAUAAUUUAUGAUGUUUAAAGUUUGAUUUGAUGAUUAUAAUUUCAAUACUAUGAAAUGGUUUUCAAACUAUUAGUUGUUUCCUUGAGAUGAUGUUAACUUUUAUGUGCACAUAAAUAGUCAAGACAACCAUAGGGUGUAUGGGCCUACAUGGUGAUAAGAAGUUGGCUUAUAUGUUGAAUGAAACAUAUAAAGCUUAGUGGCAUGAGCAACACGGACGAAUCUAUAUACUCUCUGAUGCGGAUGACCUCAGUAAUCUAAACACGAAGCUACGUGACCUAGCGUAAAUAGUGACCCAGAAUCCUUGGCGGAAAUGAAUGUUUGUUAACUGACGUGUGCUUAUUAUUUGAGAUGAUUCAUUUAUGCGAAAAGACGUGUUAUGCAAAAUGGUGCUUAUGCGAAAUGAUAUUUUUAUAUGAUUUGAUAUGUUAACUUGUUCUGUUGAAUUAGUUUGUGAAGUGAUAUUUAUGAAAAGGUAUUGCAAAAAGGAUUUCAUAAAACCUCCCAAAGUCUUUUAGACUAUUUCUUUAAAAUUUAUCUUCCAAGACUUAGGCGUUGAGGCCAAGAGGAGAGGGAAGUUUGGGCUUACCAGGCGAAGAGUUGCCAAACAUUUAGUUAAAAAUUAAAUGUAUUGUUUGUAUUUUGGUUAAGUAUUGUACCUGUAUGUUCUUAUACUAAAACGCCUUGUUGGUAAUAAAAGUUAAAGUUUGUUUUUAUCUUUUCCGCGUUAAGUUCUAUAUCGCCUAAAGUACUUUUGUUAAGUUAAGUGUUUUGACGAUUAAACUAAGUUAAGGGAGUUAAGACGAGUGUCGUCUUUGGCUUUUCACCGCGUCAAGAAUGCUCAAGUUGCACCACGUCUCACGAGACAAGCAAGCAGGUCUGCAGGAUGGAGGUGUGACAAUCCAAGUACAAUAGAAAGGGAGUCUCACAUCUAGGGGAAGCCUCGUGAUCAAUGAAUUAAGGUAACUCUAUGCCAGUCACUAUAGUUGGAGUAUUGCAGAUAAGUAGUACGUUAUAAGCUACUUAACUUUUCAAUAUAAGUGAAUUAUCUUUCUUAGGCACAAUACUCUCCCUUAGACGUCGAUGGUAUAUUGCCAAACUAGAUUACCAACGUUUGUCUAUUUUUUCUUUUUACUUGUGGCAGUUGUGUUUUCUUUGACCUCCCCAGUUGUGUAAAGAGUCACCUCAAUGUUUUUUUUUAAUAGGAAUUCAUUGAAAUCCAAAUCCAAUAUAUAAACAUUUAUCACCACAGUCAUGAAGUCAGUCGUCAAUAAUCAUAGUCAUUUCUUCCUUAAACUGUUAGUGGAAAGAAUUUGAAUUGAGUAUUAGGUUCGUGGAAAGAUCCUCCAAAUCUUUUCAUCAUAUCUAAAAGAAAGAAUCAUUCUUUAAGAAAAAAGAUGAUAAACUAAAGUGAAAAGAGGUAGUGACAUUUAUAUUUCUUUAUUCCUGCCGGCCUUUUCUUUUCCCACUUUAAUUUCUUUAUACAAACUUUGUCAACAAGUUAAAGUUACUAAACAACUAUGCUUUUUAUUUUCUAUCAUUGCUAUCAAUAAUUCAAGAUUGUUUUUAGUUCUAUUUUAAUUUAUAAACGUUCCCAAAAAAUUCCAUCACACUUAAAUUUUUCAUUUGAUUUCAAUAUUCACUGCAUCAAAUUUCUGUAUUCAUGUCUUUUUAGACCUUUUAUCAUUAUUAGCUAAUGUAAAAAUUUGUUGAUUUGCACUCCUAACAAUCCUCCCCUCAAAUUAAAGUAAUAUUUUGAGCUUUCUCUUGAACAAAUCCGUUUCACUCCCAACCACGAGAGCUUGCUUUAACUCUCGAGGCACCUUCCAUUCAUCUUGGACCACUUGCUGACUUUAUGAGAACGAACACAUAUCACACUCGCUCCUAUCACGUAGAUAGAACACUCAUAAUGUAGCGAAUGUGUACGAUACUUUGGUUGCAUAUGUCCAACAUAUUGUACUAUGUUCUUUUCAAGUCAAUAAAAUUUUUCUCUCCACUUCAUAGACAUAACUACCAAAAUAUUAAUCAACCACUUAUAAAUCUCUUAUAUUAAUUUUUUCUUGAUCUUUAUGGUUUUUUUUUUUUUUUAUCAAAACCAAAUACACAACUCAAGAAUAAAAUCCAUUGUGGUUCCAUGGCUUUCUAUGCACUUUCGAAGAGAGUUCCUUCACUGUAUAAUGGGACCAAACAAAUAAAAGUUAAGUACGUAGAAGAAACAAGAAACCAUAAGAAAAAACUUCUCUAACAAUUCAUUUCCAUGGGAAAGAAACUUACGAAGAAGCAAGGAAUUUUCCAAAGAGAAAGAAAAGUACAGUGAAAGAUGUUAUGAUAAUUGCGGUCAUUUCAUUUUCUAUGGGUUGCUUUUGAAGAAAAGUAUGAUGACGAUUGAAAUGUGAGCUAAAAAUUCUAGACUUAUGAUGUCAUAAUUAAACAGAGAAAAAUAAUAUGGUUAUUGCUAAGGACUUGUUUUAACACCAUAGUAAUUUCUUGAUGAAUAUAAAUUCCAUCUGGAAAGGAAACAAAUAGAAAAAGUAGUAAAUAAAUACAUACUAUUGAUUGGAUGAUAUAAUAAUAAAUUCUUCUUCACCAAUAGAUUAAGUUUUUGGGUUUAUGUCAGUACUAAACCAAAUACAAUUAUGUGAAAUUUUAAUAGAAAGCUAAUGAAAAUUAAUUAUAAUUUUUUUAUUCUUUUAAAUUAACAUUAAAAGUGAGUGUUUAGUUAAUAAAAAAGAUAUAAAAAUGUAAAAAUUUAAAUUUAGAGGAUAGAAAGAAAGGUAAAGCUUAACAACUUUACUUUUAAAACUUAAAUAUCAAAUAGAAAUUAAAUUAAAAAAAUUAAGUAACAACAUAAUAUUAAAUCAUAUUGAUAUUUUUAUGUUUUUCAUGGAUUUGAUAUCAAUAUGGAAAGGCGAGUCAAUAUUUUUAUUACGAUGAAAAUAAGCAUUUAAUGGCAUUAAUAUAAUUCGAAAAGAAUAAAACAACGCUUAUUUACUAAUUUAAUUUUUUUUAUAAAUUUUCCAUAAAUAUCCAUCUAAAUAAAUAUUUUAUCCAUAUUAUUAUUGGAAUUUUCUGUAAAUUAAGACCUUUCAUCUAGCAAAAAAGAAAGUAUGAUUGAAAUUUGGAAUAACUUUUAUUUUUUCUCUUGAGAAUAAAAUGGUCAUAAUCACAAAGCAUUAAUUCAAAAACUUGGUCUACAAUUUAAUUUGUCCCCUUUUGCAUACCUUUUAAUUUGAAUCUUCCUUUUCUCUCUCUCUCAAUAAUACACACACACACACAAGUAGUCUAUAAAGACUUAUCUUUUCUCAAUAUGGAUGAUCAAAACCAACAACAUUUAAAACAAACCAUUUUUAAUACCUUUGAUUCAUACCCAACACAUCACUAGCUAUCUCCUUGAGAAAAAUAAUGUCAACCUUUUGUUGGAGCUCAAACUUUGGAGGAGGAAGCCAUUCUUUAGAUAGUGAAGAAUACAUCAAAAAAGGGAAAAAUCUAUUGAAAUGGAAGAUCCCAAAAAUUCCCACAACCAAAAUUUACAAAUCAAACCCAUUCAUUUUCUUCUCUGACCCAUUCAUCAAAACCAAAGAAGAAACAAUGCCUUGUGAAAAUGGGAGCCAAGUUUUUAGAUUAAUAUCUGGCAAUCCCAUGGUGGAUAAUUUUCAGGAGAAGAGAUUCUACACCAGGUUGAAUAUGGGGAUGAUCCAAAUUGGGGUAAAGACUUUGACCACAAAAAUACCCUCAAAUGCUUCAAUUAUUCUAUGUGUUUUUGACACUAGAAAUGACAAUUUUGAAGAUUCAAUUUUGGGGUUGGUUGAAUCAAAGUUAAUUGAUGGGCCUAUUUUUUUCAACAUAUUUCCAAACAUUACAAUGCCUAUAUUUCAUCCUAAGUUGUUGGAGUCUUUUGUAUUGAUUGCCAUGGUUCAAGGUUUUGAGCAGCUUCCUCAAGGGACAAGUCCAAUUAGUUUAAUGUGGAGGACAUGUUAUAAGCUGCAAGCUAGUGCUCUUCCUACUGCUUUGAUUGAAAGUCCACAAGGUAAAACUGUGUUUUUCCAGACAAAUUUUGAGAAUUCCAAGGUUGCUGACCAAAAGGUCUCACAAUGGGAUGAAGUUAUUUGCAAAGUUAGGAAUAAUAUAAUGAAGCACUAAUAAUGUUAUAUCGUUAAAUAUAAUAUAAUGGAAUAAGCACUAAUACUACUAUUACACAGUAUAUAUACUAUUUUGAUCAAAUUUAGGAAGAGGAUGUGUAAUAUGAUGUUCAUUUGGUUUGAAGUACUUCUGUAUUUGGAGAAGUAUGUGUGGAGUAUGAAGUACUUAAUGUAUAAUUUUGUGUUUUGUAUGCUUUUAUUGCCUAAAUAAUGUUGUAGCUAAAUUAUAUGUAUAUCUUCUUUCUCUCUUCUUUAUGUUUUAAUUUUGUUGCAUAAAGUUGUCCUCUUCUCUUCGUUGAACAAUAUUAAAUCCAAUUCAACAAUACGAUUUGGUUGAACCUACAAUAAUUUAGAUCCAUUAUAUGUUUUAUAAUUUCUGUCUCAUCCAUCUAACUAUCCAAAAACGAAAAAUAUACAACGUAAUUUUGUCUAUCUGUUGUCAAUUUUAUCAAGAAUUAAUACAAUGUGCAUUGGGCAUAUUGAGAAUUAAAAUAUAGUGCAGGGGUCUUGCCAUAAACACACGAGUUAUUUGAGAAGUAGGAAUGUAAUUUGGAUUACUAGAAAUCUGACGGUAUUGAGAAUUAAAUGGGAAUGGAUAGUAAAACAUCGAAAGGGUUGAAUUGAAAUAAAAUGAGUUUAAUAUUAAACGAUGCAACCAAAAUCUUGAGUACGUAUAGAGACUUUGAGCAGCAUUACAAACUCAUUCUAGCAUGAAGGCGCGCUAUAUUACAAAACCACAAUGUAUUUUUGUCUAUCAAUUCAUAGAUUCCAAAAGUUAAUGGUCACAUAUAAAAUAGGAUAUUUAUAAUUGACGGUAAAUUUAGGAAUAAUAGUUAAGUAUGUAAAAGCAUUUAAUUUAUUUUUGUAAAUAUAACAAAAUCUAUUAAUGAUAGACUUCUAUCGUUGUUGAUAGACUUAUAUGGUCUAUAAGUGAUAAAUCAAUAUUUACAACAUGAUCUAUCAAUGAUAAAUUUCUAUAUAUUAUUAUUGAUAAGUUUUAAGAAAAGGAACAUACAAGGAAAAUUGAAAAUGAGAGGAUAAAUUUGAAAUUUGGAAAAUGGAUUAAUCAGAUCUUUAUUUAUUUUGUUGUCAUUAUUUGCAAUUUUUGACAAUUCUCCCGUGCGACAUUGAAAAAAUGGUUGACAUCGACUAUAAUAUCUAAACUUUAUUUGCUACCUGGUGCAAAUACCCCUCCUAUUUUAAAAACUCUCUUUUACAUCGUUAAAAAAUUACUUCGAAGUAUUUUUUUCAAACAUUAAAAAAAUUGAUAUAUGAUUUCAAAAGGUUUCUUAAUUAAUAUUUUUCUAAUUACUUACAUCGUUUCUCCUAAAAAAUUCCGAUGAUAGAAUUAAAAAAUAUUUAGGAAUUCGUUAUUUCUAGAUUAUUGAGGUGAGAGAUCAUUAUUUUUGGAAGUUUGAGAUUUGAUCCAAAUAAAAAGUUAAGGGGCUUUUGCAAAAAUAAGUUUUUUUUUAUGAUAAUAGAGUCUACGUCACAACAUUUUUUAAAUUUGUAAAAGUAGCAAAUUUAAAAGUGAAGACUCUCUGAUAGCCCUAUGAUUACCGAUAACUUAUGAUUACCGUCUAAUAGCAAUCUGAUAUCACUAAUUUUGCCAUAUUCGCAAUAUGCAAAAAAUUGGUGCCAUGAAUUAUUUUUUUUCUAAAUUUUUUUGGUCAUUUAAUGCAAUUUCCAAAAAUUAAAUUAAUUAAAAGUUCUUUUUGUAAAAAAAAAAAAUUAUUCUAAGACUAUCCCACAAGGGACAUUGAAAAACCGUAACAAUUUCUCAUUGGAAAAUUGUAAUGGGUGGCCUUUUGAGAAUAUGUUAUAACAAAUAUAUAGUAGUACAUUGUUUUAAAACUUUGCAAAUAUAACAAAAUUCUCAUUUUAAAAAAUUAUCUCUAUAUUAAAUUUGUUAUUAUUCCCAAACUACAAUUCAAUAAUUUAUUUAUGUUUCCAUUUUUAAUGCCCUAAUAAUACUGGAUUUCUUGUCCCACUUUUUAAGGCCCUAAUUAUUCUAUCUGUUAAUUACGGGAAAAACAAUUUGUGUAUUUGAUAAUGUAUGUAUUUUUUCUCCCGCUUUUUAAGGUCCUAAUAAUCGUCAUUUCUUACACGAAGAAACUGAUUUGUUCUUCAUGUCUUAAUCUUGAUUUUAGAAUAUCAAUGAUAUAUUAAUUGCAAUAUCAAAUAUAAUAAUGGUUAUUUAUCAAAGUAAUUUAACUUCGUUUGUGAUUUUUCUCUACUUUCUUUUAUGUGUAUCUUGAGUUAAGUCUGAUACCAUGUUGUGAUAUACUUAUAUUAUAUGUUUUAGUUGUUUGAUAUACUUAUUAUGUGCUUUUCAUUUUCUAAAAUUUUAUGCAUGCAAUUUAUUGUAGUUUAUUGAUUAAAUAAGUAUAUGAACGAUAUAACUCGAUGUAUCAUUACACAAUAUAUUAUUAAAGAAUACCAACAUAUUAAUAAAGUGAAUCAUUAUCAGGUAUAUAAAUCAAGUUUACAAGUGUAUAUUAACAGUGUAUCAAGUGUAUAAGUAGGACUUCAAGCAUACCAAGUGUAUAAGUAGGACUUCAAGCAUAUCAAGUGUAUAAGUAGGACUUCAAGCAUACCAAGUGUAUAAGUAGGACUUCAAGCAUACCAAGUGUAUUUAAUCAAUUGAGUGAAUAAGUGAACAAUACUGUGUAUUUGUAGUACAUAAGGUGUAUCAAACAUAUCAUAUGUAUCAAGCGUAUAAAAUUUGUUAAGUGUACAGGGCAUCAAGUGUAUUAAACUUAUUAGUGAAUUAAGCAUUUAUAUGUAUUAAGGCUGAAAGGGUAUCAAAUGUAUUAAGAAGAAUCAAGUGUAACAAGAAGUAUUAGGUAUAUCAAGAUGUUUUAAGUGUAUCAAAGGGUAUCAAGUGUAUUAAAGAGUAUCAUGGUUAAUUUUCAUCAAGUGUAUCAAGGUCCAAAGGUUAUAAAGCAGUAUCAAAUAUAUAUCAAGUGUAUCAAGGAGUAUUAAAUAUGUAUCAAGGAGUAUCAGGUGUAUCAAGGGGUAUUAGGUGUAUCAAGGGGUAUUAGGUGUAUCAAAUGUGUAUUAGUAGCGAUGACAUUUGUGACAUUUUACAUCUUGUAUAUAUACAUGGGCUAGACUUUGUUUUUUCCAUUUUUGCAAAUAACUAAUAAAUGCGUGCGUGCUAUGAACUUAAUUAUUAUAACUUGUUUUGACCUUUUUGCAAGGGUCUCUAUCUCAUUUUUAAGGCGAGAAGUUUUUCGUUGUUGUUGGAAUAGUUUUCACUUAGCUUAUGAGAUUGUUGUUUUAAAUAUUGGAGUAGUGAACAAUGAAAUAAGACUUCUUUUUACGAAUUUAUUUUAGAUCAAGAUUUAAAAUUGGGCCAUUAUUUUUCUCUAAACGAGUGUUGUGGGGUGCUAGCAUCUUUCCUAUACCUAAUUGAGUCCCGAAUUUCACCUUUUUCAUACACAGUUGACUAUCGAAUUCAACUCUAGGUUUUGCAUACCAUUCCAUUUUUUUGUUUGUUUUAUUGAAAAAUUGUUUUUUUUUUUUUAAUUUUGGUGUUCAAUCACACUAUAAAAAGAAUUGAUGGUGGCUUCUUUCUUUGUUUUAUUUUAAAAUUAAUCUUUUUCGAGGACGUCAGCUGCUCCACAGUCAUCUUGAGCACGUACGUGACGACACUUUCAUUGAAAAUAAAGAAACACUUGAUAUAACUAAAAGAAAAUGUUCCAACUAGACUCGAGGCUACAAAUUUGAGCCACAGUUGCAAUAUAAAUUUGGUAGGCCAUUGACACAAAGCAGUUCAUCCCUGCAUGAUAGGAAAGCUAAGCGAGUACACUAAAUUCCAUUGCAUAUGAAAGCAUUUUGAAUAUUUGAAAACAAACCUUUGAGAGUUUAUGUUCAUUUCACAUUGUAGUGAUCUAGCUUUCUGUUGACCUUAUCAGUUAAUAUUAGAUUUCUAAUCUAAGCUUACUGUGUGGAUGAUGAAUUAUAUACAGCAAAGAUUUGAACCCUCAACAUUAAUUUUUGCAACUGUCCAACUCCAUGUUGGCUAAUACAACCUCGAUCAAGACAUCAAAUGUUUUUUCUAGCCUAUCCAACUCUAACUAUAGAGAAAAGGAAAAAAGAAAAAGCCCCACUUAAGAUUGUAAUUCUUACUCUCCCCUCCACACCCUCCUCUCUCUCUCUAUCCAUUAAAUUAAAAUUUGAUCUCUCUCUCUCAAAUGCAUUAUUCCUCUCUCUCACCUGAAAUCUAGAAUAUUCAGAGAUCUCAAACCCUCCCUCUCCAUGUCCAUGGCUACAACUUCUUCUCUUCUACAUUUUUCCACCAUUCCUAUUCCCAUCUUCACAAAACUCCCCAAAUAUCACCUUGUCCAUACCAACAUGAUGAACAAUAACAACAAUUCCCUUUUCUCCACAAAACCCACUUUUUCAAUACAUUACUUCAAUUUCACUCUUCCAACCUCAAAAUGCUCUUCAUCAUUACCUUCUUUAACAACAAUGGAAGAUCAAGAAGAUGAAGAUCAAGAUGAUGAUGAAGCGAUAACAGUGGAAACAAAUAAUAAUUUUCCUCCACUUAGUGAAAUUUGGAGAGACAUUCAAGGGAUGAACAAUUGGGAAGCCCUUCUUGACCCUUUGAAUCUUCAUCUUCGUAAAGAAAUCAUUCGUUAUGGUGAAUUCUCUCAAGCUUGCUAUGACUCUUUUGAUUUUGAUCCUCACUCUAAGUAUUGUGGCACUUGCAAGUACCAAGCUUCCCACUUCUUUAACAAGCUUCUCAUGCCUGAUCCCGGCUACAAUAUCACUAGAUAUCUCUACGCAACCUCCAACAUCAAUCUACCCAACUUCUUUAAAAAAUCCAAAUUUACCCGUGAUGAAUCCAGAGACUUUUCUAACAGGUGAAAUUUUCCGAUGUUAUUAUAAGUUUGGUAUCUAAACUUUCAAAACAUCUUUCUGCAAAUACUUCUACAAACUUUUAAGAUAAUGUUGAUCAUAAGAAUUAGUAAGUACCAAUUUAAUUAGAUCUUCAAACUUUUAAAUUUAUAUCUAUGAAUUUAAGAAGUUGUUUGAUGGUUCUAUACAAGUUUACUCCUUAAACUUUUAGAGUUGUGUCAAACAGAUUCUUAAACUAGUUAAUACAAAAUUUUUAGAGGUUUCAAAAGUGUUGCUAAGCUAUAAUAUGCCUUAGAUACAUACUCAUUUUUUUUUAUUAAGAUUCACAAGUUUGUUAGACACGAAAUUAAAUUUUAUAUAUAAUAAAUUUGUUAUUUUAUUUUUUAGAAAAUAUUUGAAUAUGUUUGAGCUUAUUAGACACAAAAUAAAAAAUCUAUAGAACUAUUUAAGUUAUUGAAAUUUUAAAGACUACCUAUUUGAUACUUUUUGAAGUUCAAAGAAGAUACGAAAUAUAUGAAAAGUUGUUGGACCAGCACAUGUAAUUUAACUUUUUUACAUAUAUCGAUGAUUAGAGUUUGGAGUCAACAUGCUAAUUGGAUGGGCUACGUCGCCGUUGCCACCGAUGCCGAUGAGAUCAAACGACUUGGCCGCCGUGACAUUGUCAUAGCUUGGAGAGGAACUGUAACAUACCUUGAAUGGAUCCAUGACCUCAAAGACAUUCUUCGACCGGCCGGUUUUAUUCCAGAUGACACGUCGGUUAAGAUAGAGUCUGGAUUCUAUGAUUUGUACACCAUGAAAGAGGAAAAUUGCAACUACUGUGGAUUUUCAGCUCGUGAGCAGAUUUUAGCUGAAGUUAAACGACUUGUGGAGAAGUAUUGCAAAUUGGGAGGAGAAGAAAUUAGCAUCACCGUUACUGGCCAUAGUCUUGGAGCUGCUUUGGCUUUGAUUACAGCCUAUGACAUUGCUGAGAUGAAGCUGAACAUUGUCGCCAGAGGAGGUAGCAGUGCCGUGGCAGUUCCGAUCACUGUCUAUUCAUUUGCUGGUCCUCGGGUGGGGAAUCUCAAGUUUAAGGAACGGUGCGAGGAGCUUGGAGUUAAAGUGUUGCGAGUGAUUAAUGUUCAUGACAAGGUUAUGAUCAACUAAACUCAAAAGCUUAAGAUGGUAGACGUGUUUUUGAUUUGCAGGUUGAAUUAGUAUAACUUGUAACACUUUUUCUCACUUUUUGGAUAUAGCAAUUAAUUUGUCAAUCUAAAUAUAACUUAACAUUAGACAAUUUUUUUUUUUAAAAGUGAAACCUUUUAAUCCUUACCAUAAAAUCAUUGUAGGUUACAUGGUUUUAUAUCAUAUUUUUCUGGUUAAAUUUUUUAUUUUCAUGGUUUGGAAAAGGUUGGUAUUUAAUCCCUAUGGUUUUAAAAGUUCAACUCUAGCCCAUUUAAUUUUGAUAAAACUUUGUAAAUAAUUCUAUUAUGAUUUGAUAAGAGAUUCAUAAAUAUAAUUUUAUAAAGCUUGGACUAAAUGUCUUUUUGGUAUUCACAUGUGUGACAGGUUCCAAUGGUACCAGGCAUUAUAGCCAAUGAAAAGCUACAAUUCCAAAAAUAUUUAGAAGAAGCUAUAGCUUUUCCUUGGAGCUGUGCUCAUGUUGGCACAGAACUUGCAUUGGACCACACACACAGCCCCUUUCUAAUGUCGACAAGCGAUCUUGGGUGUGCUCACAAUCUUGAAGCUUACCUACACUUAAUCGAUGGGUACCACGGUAAGGGGCGAAAGUUUCGACUAGAGACAAAGAGAGACAUAGCUUUAGUGAACAAGAGUUGUGACUUUUUGAGAAAGGAGUACGGUGUGCCACCGUGUUGGCGACAAGACGAAAAUAAAGGGAUGGUUAGAAACAAUGAAGGGCGGUGGGUGGUGCCAGAUAGACCGAGGCUAGAGGAUCAUCCGCCUGAUACUGCACACCACCUUCAACAAGUGCUCAAAGAUGUUUUUGGUUCAUAGGAUUUAGGGUUUACAAUCAAGAUAGCUAGUGAUAGCCAGCUUUAUUUCAUCAUGGAGGGUAGGUUGAAUGACUUGUUGACUAAAUAAUUAAUAAUGUCCUUGUUGAUGAAGAGUGGCAUUAUUUUGGUGUCACUAAUGUAAAUUAUCAUGUGAAUUGUAUGGUAUAUAUUUUGUUGACGAUGAGUGGCAUAUAUGAUACUAUUUUGCUUUUGAAUAUGAAAUAAGUUUUGGCCAAUACCAAUCUCUAUGCUUGAGGUUAAUUAUUAUGUUGUUUAACCAUACAUUUUCAUCACAAAUAAUAUUUCAUACCCUUUUUUUAAAUAUAUUUUAAAUUCUAAUUCUAAUUGUGAACGAUGCAUGGAUGGAUGCAUUUUAUGAUGUGCACCAAGUAUUACCCUUUAAAUAUUACUACUAGAAAGUAUUUUAACUCAAAGAUCCCUUGUCCUCGUUUGUAAAGUAACAAUGUAGGUUAGGUUUGCUCAAAUAUAUAUAUAUAUCGAACAUUUGUAAUUUUGUAUACAUAAUUUAAGGUUAUGGAAAUUGAAUGUAGGUUAAUUAUAACAUGGAAUAUCAUAAAAUUAAUUGUUUCAUAUAGCUUUACCACAAAUGUUGGGUAUUCAUUAAUAUUGAUUAGUCUAACUAUUAUUAACCAUGUUUAAUAAUUAGAAGUUGAAAUAAACCUAAUUCAAACUUCAUUUCUUUUAAAAAAAGAGAGAGAGAGAAAAUGAAAGUUUUACAAAUAGAAUAAAAAGUAAGGAAGUGUUGAUAUUAUUUUAAUUUCUUUUGUUUUUGUAAGUCAUUAAUUGAAAAAAGAUAAAUUAAAAUAUAUUUGACAAUAUUAUAAUCAUCAAAUUAAUCAAAAUAUAUGUAAAUUAAAACAGAUUUCGUGUCCAUUUCAUUUAAACCAUGCUUAUAUGAGCAAGUAUAUUAUAUAAGUUUUUUAGAGUGAUAUAUUUUAAAAUAUAGUAAAAUGUGUCAAACUAUUUAUAAAAUUGAACAAAAUAUUAUAAUUUAUCUAUAAUAAAUUACUAUUUGUGUUUAUUUGAUUCAUGAUAGACAUAAAAAGAAAUAGUCUAUCAUGAAUUAUCAACAGAUAAUUCGUGAUAUUUUAUCAUAUUUAUAAAUAUUUUGAAAAGUUUUAUUAUUUAUCAUAACUUUUGAGGUUGAAACAAAAUUAUGAAUUGAAAAUGAAAUAAGGAGGGACAAUAAAAAUGAAUUACGUUAGAUGAGGUAUAUAUAUGGCUAUAAUCAAUAAGGGGAUGGGAGUCCAAACAUGACGAUACUUCUAAUUAAAGUUUGGUCCAAAAUGAGAGAAAACUAAUCCUGAAAAUAAGGGCUGUAAAGAAGAAUAGCAAAUUAUGAGUUUUACUCCGAAAAAGUAACAAAAAUAAUUUUAAAUUGUUAGAAUAACAAAAUAUAAAAAUUAGAAAAAUAAAUAAAUGAAACAAUCUCUUAAAUGUCCUUACUCAAUCUGAAAAAUACAAGUGUUCACCUUAACCCCAAAUACAAUGUAAUUGAAAUAACAUAUGUUACAUAAAAAUUUCUCCCCAAAAACAUAAAGAUUAGAAAACUUGUUAUUAAUGGAAAACUCCACCUUAUGCCUGCAAAAUUUAAAAUCCGUGCAAGUGAUUAUUUAUUUUCUUGGACUUCUGCUGCUUACCUUCUUCCAUUAACCCUAAAGAAAAUCAUUUGAAACCUUUCAUCUUCUUAGAUAUUACUUAUGGACAUUCCAAAUCUCUUCCUCUUUCAUUUGAACGCUUUUUUUUUUUCCAUCUUCUUAAAAUCUUUUCAAGUGAUUUUUUUUUUUCAUUUGGACUUCGCCCACUUACUUCUUCUGUUCCUCUUUCAUGCAAACAUUUUUUUUCAUUCGAAACCCUAUAGAAAACAAUUUAAAACCAUUUUAUUGCUUUUUUUGUUCUUUUGGAAAAGUUAGAAUAUAUGACCAUUGUUAUGACCUCUGUAAUUUUGGAAGGUUCGAAAGAGAAGAAUAGUUUGAAUAAAAUUAUUAUUGUUUUUUAUAUUUAAUUAUAUAAUAUAUUUAAAUAUAACAAACCAUUAUAUAUAUAUAUUAUAAAAUAAAAUCGAAUAUUAGUUAAAUUCAAAAUAAAAAUGUCAUACAAAAAUUAUCGGUACAAUUAAGUAAUUUUUUUAGAUAAAAAUUACACUAUUAUCACGGUUUUUAUGGGAUCUUGAUAUUUAAAAUUAAAUUUUUAGUAUUUUGAUGGUUUUAAAUCAAACUUUAAAACCAAAUUUUAAAUAAUAUUUAUAGAAAAUAUACCUCUUUUAACAAUUCUUCCAUAAAAGGAUUUUAUUCCCCUAACUUUGAUGCAUUUAACGUUGGUAUCAUUAGUUUAAGGAAAUUUUUAUCAUCCACAUACAUAUCGUUAUAAUUGAUUGUUUCCCCUUAAAUAAUGUCAAUUUAUUAUUAUGUUAAAUGAAUAAUUUAUGGAAUAAUUGUUACAUGCAUAAUUAUAGAGAUGAUACAAUUUAAUAUGUGAAGUUGUUAUUAUAUCAAAUGCAGAAUUUUAGAACAUGAUACAAUUUUAAAAUCAAAUUUUGGAGAUCUUUAACUAAACUUUAAAAAUCAUAUUAUGAAAUAAAUAUUUAUUAGGUGCAUUUUUAAAAAUAGCAAAAUAAAUUAAAAUAUUUACAAACUAUAGCAAAAAAUUUUAUUCUAUCACUAUAAAAUAUCAAUGACUAUCAGUGAUAGAAUUUGUUAUAAACUGUAAAUAUUUUGUAAAAUUUGCUAUUUUUUAAAAUUUCCAAUUGUGUAUUUGUUUGAUAUAAUAAAAUGGUUACUAAGAGAUGACCAAACCUUAAGACACGUAGAAUGAAUAAAUUAUAUUAUAAAUCAUUAUAUAAAAAUUUUUGUAUUUGUAUAGUAUAAUAAAAUAUUAUUAAGAAUUAACUAAAGCUUAUGAAAUGUACUGAAGAAAUUAUAUUAUGAAUCAUUUUAUAUAUAGCAAAAAGAGUAUGAAUUAAAUAGCUAUUACUAUAUAUAUAUAUAUAUAUUAAUAAAAAUAAAUUGUUAAUAAUUUGAUUUGAAGUUUACAAAUCCGAAAAUCUGGUAUAAAUUGAAGACAUAAAUCUAGGAGAUGUUUGUUAAAUUUGAUCAAUCCCGAAAAUAAAUAUAUAUUUAAUAUUUUUAUAAAACCGAAUGAUAUGCAAAUACACUAUAUUUAUGGUUCUUGGUUAUAUUGCAUUAUUUUACUGUGCACAAAUACAUUGUAUCUAAGAAAAAGGAGUUUCAGUUUAGGAAGGGGGUAAAAUCGGUUGACAAGUUGUAAAAAAAUAUCUACUUCAAGCCGUUUUGCUAAAAUUCAAAAUAUUUUUUGGAUUUACCAUUUUUCAAAUUGUUAUAUAUUAUUUUGUUAUUCUCACGGUUAUCUCCUGAAUAAUACUCUUUGUGUUCAAUCUAAAAUAAAAAUAAAUUUUGAAAGUAAAAAAAUGAGUACUUUCUAUUUUCAAUUGAUAACUAUAAAUCAACAUCUCUAUACUAGGGAUGAUUAUUAGUCAGGUGGAGGCCGUUUUGUACAAAACAACUAUUAAAAAUUGACUUGAUCAAUUUAUAAGAGGAGAAACUGACCACUGGCUGCCAAUAGUUUGAACCGAUCGACCGAAUCGCUGGUUGGUUUAUGUCGGUUCGAUUUUUUUACUUUUCGAGCACCCUCGGGGCUAACCUUAGUGUUUUCCGACCUAGAUGAAGGACAAGAAGCUUUAGAGAUUGAGUUCUCGAGCUAAUCCCAAUGCUUUUUCGGUCGGAGUGGAAGGAUGAGAGGUUAAGAAGCCUAGAACUCAGACUAUCUCGAGGUCGAGUUCAGUCAAGAUUGAAAAUAAAGAAGUUAAUCUUGAGCCAUCUCGAUGCAAUUAAUGCUCGAGGUAGACUAACUAAAGACAUAAGUUUUUCAUUCCAGGACAUCUCAGGGUAAUGUGUGCCCGAAAUCAAAUAAAAUAAAGGUAUAAUUAUUUUAUCCCAAGUCACCUCGGUGCCUCUAAGGCCUGAGAUCCAAUAACUAAAGGAAGAAAAAAUUCUUUCAUCCUAGGGCAUCUCGGUGCAACUAAGGCCCGAGAUCUUGGGCUACUAAGCAUUCAAUUUCAUUUUUCAAUAAUAUAACAAUAUAUAUUUUAUAUAUUUUUUAAAUUUUGGUUGGAUUCAGUCAGCGAGAAUAUAAAUUCAAUUGAGUUGGUUCAGUUUUCCAAAAAGCUCUUCCUUAAACCGACCGUUGACUGUUUUUCAUAAAAAUUGACCAUUGAGCGUCGGUUUGCUCGAUUUCAGUCAUUCAGAUCGAUUUUUCGAGUGGCGUUGUUCACCCCUACUUUACACACACUUUUAGUUAGUUUUAAAAUAAAUUGUAAAAUAAGAGUUGAUCAUAUUAGUGAAAGGAAGGAAUUCACUGUGAAUUUAUUUUUUAAAAAUUUAUGUGACAUACUAUUUGUCAAUCUUAAAUGUUAUUCAACUAAUCAAAUAAAAUGAUAAAUCUAUCUCAAAACAAAGUGUGCCUAUAUAUAUAUAUAUAUUACAAAUAUUAAAUCUUCUAGCUCGUUUCUAGAUUGAAAAUAAUAAUUGGUUCUUAUCAAGUUUGGUCACCUUACACUCAUUAGGUAAUUGUCAACCAUAGUUCUUUCUUUUUCCUAUUUCAUUUAAGUUUAACAAUACGUGGAGUGACUUGAUUGAAGGUAAUAUAUGACUUAGUUGUGCUAUGCAAUUAGGGUGGUUCUCUGUCUUGCAAAUUAUUCAUAUAGGGGAACACAACAUUCAAUUUGAUGCUUCUUUUAAAUAACCAAACUACCUAUAAUUUAAUUCUCCUUAAUUAUUUUAAUGAUUUUUAUUUUCCAUUUAUAGUGAACCUCAAACAAAAUAAUGGAAUAUAUAGUCAACUUUAAUUAAACACUCAACCACACCUCUCCUACGUACGAAUGUAGAGCCUAACCCUAGCUAGUUCCAAUAUUUAUACAUUCAAUAGUAUCUUUUUACAUUGAUAUAUACGAGAAGAUGAUACAAUUACCUUCAAAAUGGAGCUCAGCCCCUAGAUAUAGAUAUAACAGUAAUGGUAAAAUGUUUUAACUUCCAUAAUAUUCUUUACGAACUAGAAAAUAUAAUAUCUUCUCUUAGAUUGUUUAAUCUCGAAUUGUUAUAUAGUACAAUGUUUAUAUUAGUUGAGCUAUUAAAAUUUCACUUGAAAAAAAGUGUAAGACUCGGUUAAAGGUUUUUUUUUUUUUUUUUUUCAUUUUAAAGCUUUAAGAAAAGGUUAUUUUUAAAUAAUCAAUAAAAUACAUUCACAUUGUGUCAUAUUUGACCUCACAUUUUAUCAUACUACAUCCAUACCUACAUAAUAAAAAGUCUCUAGGGUAUUGGCACCAAUUGCAGAUUGAUUAGAUGUUUGAAGGAAAAGUCAUUCGGUUUCUUGAGUGGCCAUUCUAUGCAUAUGGAUACCCUUCAGUUGUAUCAUUUUUCUUAUAUAUAAUUUCUAUAAUUACUUACAAAAUCAAACUACAUCCAUACUUGAAAUAAUCAUAUAUAUAUUAUUCGUAAAACUAGAUUAAUGUACUUGAUGACAUAUAUUACAUAAAGAACAUUUAACAAAAAAAUAUUUGAUAAGAAAAUCAAUCUCAUUUUCGAAACAGGACAGAAGACGUCAAUUUUAGUCCCUAUCAUUAGAUUUUGAUCACAAGCAAGACAAUAUAAAUUCACAUCGAUCGAGUCAUAAUAUACAUGUUAUAAACAAUCCAACCAAGUGAUCAUCAACAGCACAUCUAACAUAUGUUGAAAACACACAUCCACAAAUAGUGAAAAUGGGAAGGAAAAAGAAAUGUAGAUAAUGACUUAUACAUAAGGUGCCUUUUGAUUCAUAUUUGUGUUCGUGCGCCACUUCUACAAAUGUUUCCCUUACGCAAAUGCCAUUUCUUUGAAUGGCCAACAUCAACCUCAUCCUCUCUCUUUUUCACUAUUAUUUCUUUUUCCUAUCAUGUUAUCAACGUCAAUGUUAAUUAAAAUAUUAAAAGAGAUUUACUCUAUCUACUCUCCUAGUUGUAAUAAUAAUAUUUUAGUUCUUGAACUUUAACAAGGUAACAAUUUUUUGGUCCAUAUAUUGUCUCAAAAAUUUAUUGAAGUUUAAUGAAAAUUUUAAUCCACAUAGGUAAAAAUUGACUUGAUAACAAUAUAAUAAGAGUUGACACUCAUUUUUCACGGUAGAGACUAAAUUGUUGUAAAAUCAACUUAUAUAGAAAUUCGAACUUAUAAAUGUGAAAGUCUAUAAAUUAAAUCGUUUUGAAUUAUAGUCAAAAGAGAAGAACUAAAGUGUUACUUUUAUGAAAAUUUAGAGACUAAAAGUAUUUGUUUAACCGAGUAGCAACGUGGAUGAAAUGUAUUUUGACAUAGGUUUAUAAUAGACUAUAAAUGUGGAUUUUCUUUUCAUAUCAAUGUCAACUCAAUCGAUGGAAAUUUAAAAUGUGACAUACAUUAGCCCGCAUGCUCUUUCAUCACUAUCAAGAGGGAAAAGGGUUUCUUUAUGAGAUGGUGGGUAAAAUAUAAUUGGUACCUAAGCUCUAUCCAUUAUAUAUUGUACUUUGAUAAAGUUGUGGCAUUUGGGUUUGUGUGUUUUCUUACCAAAAUAUGUAUAUCUCAUAUACUAUAGAACAAGAACACAAUAUGUAAAAAUUAACCAGAGAAUAAACUAAGUAAACGACUUUUAGUAUCAGUAGUUUAGCGACUUAAGUAACAACAAGAAAAACAUAAAGGAGAAAUAGUCAAAACUCACAGCGUUGUUAAUCCAGUCCAAUGACUCAACAUUUAGACCUGGGGUCCUUGUCCCAUGUUUAGAUAUUUUAUUACUUUGAUAACUUUUAAUCAUAAUCAACCUAUUAUGAUUCUAGUACAGAGAUUUUCGUCAACUUAAACACUCAAUACUAGUAACGUGAUACAAACUCAAAUAUCAUUGUAUGUCAUAGUUAGGUUAAGACAAACAAAAUCUUCAAUCCUAAUCAAACUACAAUCUUUUCAUCUGAUAGAAAGUUAGUCAAUUGAGUCUCCCCUAAACUAAUGACCUUCGACUGAUCGAAUCUUAACACUUCAGGACUAGUCCGGUUAUGAAGGUUUUUCUUCUUCUUUCAAGAUAAUGUGCAGCCUAAUACAUUAUCAACGGGUAAAUUACAAGUUGCAGAAGUUACAGGAGCUGCUUAAUUGAAAUAACUACAAUCAAGCUAUCACAUCAACUUUUCUUGAAACAAACGCUUUAGACUUUAUGUUUUUCUCGAUUACACACACUAAACACGGUAAACGAACUGAGGUUAAAUAGUAGAAAAAACUAAUAGCAAGACUUUCCAUGAAGGAAUUCCUUCCAAAAUUCGGAAAUAAUAAUAUUCAGAAUAAAAUAUUAUCUUGAAUAAAAUCUUUUGAGAGAACAAAAACUUUUCAAAUAAGAAACUUCCUUCCAAAAUUCUAUUUUUGCCAUAGUUGAAACAGUUGGAAGAAUGAACAAAAUCGGAGGCCCACAGAAUCAACAAACUCCCCCUUGGAGCCAACUUUCUACAUUUGUACAGACAUGUACAAAAGAUAAAGUAGACCCACAAUGCUAGACUAGCAAAAAGAGACUUACAACAUCCCUUGCAUGUUGAAGCAGAAUUAGGAAGCACAAUUAGUAGACUGUCCGUCGAUAAGGUGGGGGAUAGAGUGAAGUACAAAGAGGACAGUAGUACGACGACUAGUCAGAGCAGAAAUGGCUACUGUAUGGCGCUGAGAAUGCACUGUUAACAGUGAAAGAGUUCUUUAAUAUGAAGCAUUCUUCUGCACGAAAUACAAUUGAAAGAGCAUUCGGUGUUCUAAAGAGUCGAUGAGCAAUACUGCGAGGAAAGUUGUACCACCAUGUAGAAGUCCAAUGUCGGACGAUACUCGCAUGUUGUCUACUGCACAACCUCAUCAACCGAGAAAUGUCAAACUUUGAUAUGCCUAACGACGUAGAUAAGGGUGAUUCAACCCACGCGACUACUACUAGAGACAAGAUACACUACAUAGAAACCUCCAAGGAGUGGAGUCAAUGGAGGGGCGAGCUUGCAGAUGCAAUGUUCAGUGACUGGGAGUUGCGUAACUAGUAGCACAACUAGUGUAGUCAUAGUUGUUUAAUAAUGAAUGUCCUAUGCAUUUUCUUUUGUCAUAGUUUUUGGAAAUUGUUUUUAAAAUCUAUUAGUUUACCAUGUGUUCCAAUUGACAAUAUAUUUGUUUCUGAAUGCAAAAUGGAUUAGAUGUGUGUAUGUCAUAACAGUAGCGAACUUAAUGGCACUAAUAUGUUUACGUUGAUUUUAUAGAAUGACAACUUCAGGAAGAAUGUCAAAGCACAGUUGGAUGAAAGAAGAGGAUGCAACCCUGGUCGAGUGCCUCGUUGAGUUAAUGAACGUCGAUGGCUUGAGGUCCAACAACGGGACCUUUCGACUAGGGUACCUUAGUCAUCUCACAAGAAUGAUGGCAUGUAAGAGCCCAGGACGUAACAUCCAAGCAACAACUAUCGAUAGCCGCAUAAAAUUGCUUAAGAAAAUGUUUCACGCUAUAGCAGAGAUGCGUGGCUCAUCCUGCAACGGCUUUGGGUGGAAUGAUGAACUCAAGUGCAUCGUUGAGGAGAAGGACGUGUUUGACGUGGGUCAAGGUACAAUAUUAUUUAUGCCAUCUGUUAUUGUAGUACAAGUGACAAUAAUACUAACAAUGUUUUUUGUACUUAAACAGAGUCAUCCGGCCGUGAAGGGCCUCUUGCAUAGAUCGUUUUCUCACUACAAAGAACUUUCUUACGUCUUUGGCAAAGAUCGUGCAACAGGCGGUCAGUCAGAGAUCUUUGCUGACAUCGGCUUGAAUGUGCCUGGAGGUUACAAGAGAUUUUCUAUUGACGAUGUCAAUGAUAUAGAGUUCCAUACAACGUACAGUCAGGGAUUAAAUAUGUCGUCUGACGAAGUAAUGGGCACAUGAAUUGCUCGCGAAAGUGACAGUAGGAAUGUUUCUAGCGAGUCUAAGCGGAAAUGUGGAGGAGAUUCCGUAGAAACUGGGGACGUAGUUCGCAAUGCAAUUUAGUAUGACAAUGAACAACUAAACCGCAUUGCAGACUGGCCUAUCCUCGAGUUGCAAGAUGCGAGCACAACAUGGCAAGAGGUCGUUCGCCAGUUACAGGCCAUACCAGAGCUUACUAUAAUCUAUAAGUGUCGCUUAUUGCGUAUAUUGAUGCACAACGUCAAAGACAUGAAAGGAUUCCUCGAUAUACCCAACGAAAUGAAGUUCUCAUUCUGCAACGUCAUUCUCAACGAAAACCCUUGACUUGUUUGCACUAUAUUUCAUUCUUUUAUCUGUUUGUUGUCUUAAUUUGCGUACUUGAUGCUUUUUCGUAUUUUUAUCUAUGUUUUAUGGCUAUUGGACAAUUAUGUUAACCCUAGUAUGUAUUGAACUUGUUUUUUCCAAUCUCAUUCAGCACAUCAUUUUUAUUUCAAUGCUCUAACUAAUUUACGCGUUACGUUUGCACAAUGAGAAAAAAAAUUAAUUUUAAAGGCCCCCUCACACUAAGCUCUUUAUAAAACAAAUAUUUCAUUAAUCACGGGUCCGUAACAAAAAAUUACAAAUCGUGUUGAAAAAAAUUAUAUGCUUUAUUAUAAUUACAUAUAUUAAUAUUGUUUAUUUUUAAAAAAUAAUAUGGUUUAUUAUAAAUGCAUAUACUAAUGGGGAUAUUUAAAAACUGCAAAAUAAAUUAAAAUAUUUACAAGCUAUAACAAAAUUUUGGAUUCUAUCACUAUAGUAUAUCAAUGACUAUCAUAAUACUACACUCAUAACCAUUUCCUCAAACACAUAUUAUAACAAUACUCCAACAAUAAUUCUUCUCCCAAACAGAUAUUAUAAUAAUACUACAAUAAUGAUCCUUCCCCCAAACACACAUUAUUAUAACACUACCCCCCCCCCCCCCCCCCCCUCCCCAUACAUAUUAUCAUAACACAACCAUUCAUAUUUCUUCCCCAAAUACAUAUUAUCAUAACACUACCAAUAAUAACCCUAACCCCAAACGCAUAUUAUCAUAACACUAGGGUUAUCAUAAUCUUCUUUCCCCCAUAACUCUAGGAUUAUCAUAAUCUUCUUUCCCCCAUAACUCUUUUCCUUCUCUAAACACACCAUAAAUCUAUGUGAAUGAUAAAAUUACCACUAAAGCAAGAUUAAAAAAAUUAGCAUGAAAGGAUAAAACAUCCACCAAAAUCAUAUUUCUUUUAAAAUUAUAAUGUUUUUUUAAUGAUUUUGUAGGUAAAAAAAUCAAAUUAAAAAAAAAGAAUUCUUGAUUUACACAUUUUAUUACCUUUAUUUAUACUUAAUAAAUUCUAACAAUAUUUACAUUGUUUUAAGAAAAUCAAAGUUUAAGUCACUCAGUCAUUUCAUUAAUAAAAUAGCUUUAAUAAAAAAAUUAAAGGAAGAAAAAACAUGAGCAAAAUUCUCAUGAUUACAUUAAAAAAAAUCUCAAUAAUACAUGAUUUAAACAUAAAGAGCAUAGACAUAUAUACAUGUCAAUCACUAAGUUGGUGGUUCAAGUUUCUCCAACUUAUGUUGUGUACUAAAAAGAAACCUAUAAAUGAAGAAAUAAACACAAGCAUACUUGUAUAUAAAAAAAAAAUAGACAACAAAAAAAAAAAGUAGAAAAGAACAAAAAAUCAUGACUUGAUUUCUUUUUCACCUUAGCAUUUUAUUGUGGUUUGUGAACAUGAAUGAAAAAAAAAAGAGAUAUUUAUAACCAAGAUUUGAAAAGAAAAAAAAAUUUGAAAGGUUGAAAUAGAUAAGGAAUAAGAAUAGUUGGGAGAUAAAAGAUUUAAAUGACAUAAUUAUUUGAUAAGGAGAUGAAAAGUUUAAAAAAUCAUUCCCGCAAUAUUCUUUGCACCUCUCCUUCUUAGUCGAGGUGCAACUUGUCAAUAUUCUUUUCACCUUGGUUUCCUUAGCAAAAAGAAAGGUCAAGAUGACAUUCUUGAUUUUUGCUAGUCGUAAAGAAUAUUGCGUUCCGCUUAAAAAGUAUUAUAAAACUGAAAUAAGCGGUUCAUUCUCCCUUAUAAAUGAGACGGUAGAUUCAACUCAUCUGGAGCUUUUCUUUGACCCCGUUCGAAGUUUUCUAAGUCAAUGUUUCUGACAAUCUGAAGGACAUGCUUGAAUUUUUACUUUGUCUCUUAUAUGAAUUCGAUUGACUGUCUUGAUUUUUAGCUAUAAUGAAAAUGACAAAAUUGUCGGUAAAGCAAAAUUAAAAAAUGUUACAAUGAAAGGGUAAAAUGGAGCUAAAUAAUUUCUCCACUUCCAUCCUGAAAAAUAGGUGAGACGAUCAAUAAUAUCCUUAAGCUAUAUCGAAAGUAAUUAAUUUAGAGAAUAACUUAAGAAAUAGAAAGAACAAAUAACACAGAAGACUUUGUUAACCUAGUUCGAAAAAUAUAGCCUACGUCUUGGGAGCUUCUCCGCUCAGAUAAGAAAUAUUAUUAAGAUUUAAAUGAGUAAUCAACAACACUCUUAAGUUAGAAGAGAAACUUAAUCCAAAGACAUGCAUGCUCCCCUAAAAUUUUGUUUGAAUCUACUUGAAGACAAAUUUAUGCUCCCUUGAAUUCAUUGAUCGCAAUUCAAUUUUUUCAGUCUUCAUUCAUAUUUCUUAUCAACAGGUGCAGCGUAAAUACUACUUGCAAACUUCAAUAAUCCAUCCUCACAAAGAAGAUCAAAAUUCAACUACCUUCCCAAAUAAUAAUUCGUCAAGAGAUAACAUCUCAUGGCUUAGCUAUUUAAAAAUCACAAUAAUAUAUAUCAUGUAACUACUUUAUGCAAAGAUAUAGACAAAAGAUUUCGAGGAAAAUCUUUUAUCUUUAGAUAAUAUCCGUAUUUUUAAGUAAUAUUGUUUAUUUAAAUAAUUAUAUUAAUAAAAAAAAAUUUACAAAAAUAUCCAACACGUACUUUUAUAUAUACUAUAGAUAUUUCAUCCGGAUUUGAAAAGAUUUUAAAAUUGAGAUCUAAUUGAAAAUAUCUUUUUUAUUUAAUUUAGAUGUUAAAAAUGUGUAUUCUCUUAGAUUCUUUACAGAAUGGUUGUUGAGUUCUUCUGAAGUAUGAGGGUGUGUUUUCGUUGUCUUUCGCUCUGUUCUACUCUUCUGAUUUGAGAAUAUUAAAGUUUUCACGUUUGAGAAGGACGUUAUAUUAGUUAACCUUGGAGAGGUUGGUUUGUAUUUGAUUCCAAGGUAGUGGCCAUUCUAUUGCAUAUAAAUACAUUUGUUCGACAUUCUAUUCAACACAUGUUUGCCAUAUCACAUACAUAAAGAUGGACAAAAACAUAUAUAACAUAUAAUAUACAUAUACACAAAAUUGAGUCAAAAAUAUGUUUGUUGAAUUUCCACUAUAAUUAUUAUAAAUUGAACUUAAUUAUUAUUGACUAUAUCAAAACAGUUUGGUAAAAUAAUACUCAGUUUUUGCCAUCUAAAUUUGAAACAAUAUCUUUGCUAAAGUUAAAACUCUCAUAGCCAACAAAAGAAAGAGAGGCCAUACACGCACACACACACAUAUAUAUAAAGGAUUUAAGCCAUGACUUCCCCACUAUAACAAGGUCUAUAAUUCACUUCAGUAACAUUGGCGUCCAACAUUCUUACAUCACAACACUCUGCUCCUCCUGCCUGCAAAUAAUUGAGCAUGACUUGAGUAAGUCUAACAUUUCCUAAUUAUGUGUUUGUCAAACUAAAUGCUACGUAUUAAAGUAAAAGACGAAGGGUUAUUUAGAUUGACUUGAGAAAAAUAUGUUGUUCAAGAUAUUCAUAUUUGUUUAAACUCAUUUUUGUGAAAAUUGUUUAAAAUACGCUUAGAAAAAUAGUUUUGAAUAGCUUUCAAACGUUUUAAUUUUUUUUUAAAAUAACUUAUUUUUUAAAUGAAACACUUGAAAAUAUAAUUCAAACACACCGUAAGUUGUUACUUCAACAACGUCCACACAGUUGGUGUCUUUAAAAUUUUUUGUUCUGUGUAGAUUCUUUUUAUAGCUUUAUGUUACUCCUGAAACAAUAAUCGUUCAUUGAACAAUUGGUUUAGGGAUGUUGCUUAUUGAACAAUUGUUUUCAUGUGGGUUUUUUUGUGAGUGUUUGUGUAAGUGAUGUGUAUAUUUUCACUAUAUAUAUGUGGUCAUGCUUUGAUUGGUCACUCUUCUGUAUUUUAAUUUACGUGGAUCGUAUGAGAGGCUUGUUUAUCUAUUAAUAGACAAAAGGUGUAUUCUUCGUAUAUCAUCUUGAUAUAAAGCCAACUUUUAGUGGGUAAUUCUCACAUUCAGGGAGAGGCUAAGUUUCUCAUUUGAAAGGUUUUUCUUAUGAAGUAAGGAAAGAUAAAAGAGAAUGUUUGAGAGGAAGUCUCACGUAUAGAGGGAGUCUAAAUUAGCAUUAUUUUUUGAAAGCUGGGUUGUUUGUUAGUCUUUGUAGAUGUUUGUUGUAAUUGCUUUACUUUAUUGUACUGAAGUUUCUUUCCUCGGGCACACCCUUCCUCAGACGAAGAAGGUAUUGCACUGAUUUGGAUUAUCAAUUCUUACGUGUCUUUAUUAUUGUCUCUUGUCUCUACUGUUUGUUCACAUUGUUAUUGAUCUUGUUACAACAUUGUUUGACCUAUUAAUAAUGUGUGAUAGAUUAACCUUCUCAACAAACAGUUCAAAAGGUUAACUUCAAUUUUAAUUUUAUAAUUGCUUUUAGCCUCUCUAAUGUCAUCUGGAAGCAGCUCUAUAUGAUCAAGCAAUCCAAAAGUUUAAAGUUGCUUUUAACCAUGGAUAGAAACAGAAGAAAAUGAGAAAGUGAAAGGCAAACCUCUAAAGGGAUCUUGGCAGAAGAAAAAACCCUAAUCUUGGAAAUGGAUUCAGCAGAGUGGUUGCCAGAAGAAGCACAAGAAGGGAGGUUACGUGCCCAUUUCCUCAAAUAAGUAGUAACAAUCCUAUCUUCUCCAUCUCUUUCAAUGGACUCAAAAAACAACACAUGAGGAGCUUCACAUGGGUUAUCAAGAACUCCCCACCUUGUGUUGAACAUGAAAACGGGAGCAUGAGUUCUUUCAAAUGGUGCAAAUGUCUCCAAUGGUCUCUUCAAAUAAUUUCUAGACAUUAUGGCCUCAUAGAUGUGGGCUGAGUAACCCCAUGACAUUGAAAAUGUCCAAUUUAAGGGACGGUGGUAGCAUAUCGUUUGUUGAAGUAGUCGGGACUGGUCGACCGCUCCCGCUUUCAUCAAAUGUCUGAUCGCCGCGGGACGGUCCAUGUUUGGAUAGAUGGGAUUGAUUAGGUCUAUGUGAUGGAGGGAGAGGAGGGGGGUUUGUGGAUGGUAUGAUAGAUAACCUGAUGCAUCACCUCGUAGAUCAAUCUGUCAAAAUCAUGCACACAAAGAAUUAUAUGUUUGAAUUUCACCUUUAAAGAAGUUAAGACAUCAAGCAACGUGUGCUCUAAUAUAAAAAAUGGUGAUGAUUACGCAAAAAUAAUGAAGAACUCGAAAAACUAUAAUGAAUAGUAUCCCUAAAUUAGUUUCAUGCCGAUGACAAACAUUUUGUUUUAUAGUACACAUUCUGACAUUCAUAAUGGUAAGUUGAAAUAUAUUAAAUACACAAAUAUGUGUGUGUGUGUGGGGAAACCAAAAAGAUAACCUACACUAAUUUUUAGUUUUAAAGUACGAAAGCAGUUGAAAAAUAUAUUUUAUAUUCUCGUAAAUGUCAAGCAAUAGUUUCCCAUUUCUUGAAGAAAUUAACAUGCAUUAAUUUUGUUCUAAAAACAAUAACGACUGCCUUUUAAAAGCAGUGUUUUCUUUAACAUUCAACUUGAUUUUCUAAAAAAGUAAUAGAAUGCAAAUAAUAAAGAAAAAUUGCAUAAGAUAACAAAAAAAAAUUUUAAAAAAAAACCCGUUCAUAGCACCUCUUUCUUACAUAUAUUGCAAAUUUGACAAAUAUGACAAUGAUCAGAAAUAGGAUGAUAAUCUGUUUUUAAAUUUAUUAUUUUUGUAAUUUUGAAAAUGUGAGUGACAUGGACUAUAUUAUCAUAAUUUUUUUUUACUUUUACAAACUUCCCGAAAUAAAACAAUAAAAUGCAAUUAUUAGAGGUAAUAAUAUAAUAUGAGUUACCUGAUGAAACCCGAUUUCAUGAGUAAUAGUGAAUCCCAAAUCAGACAAACAGAAGAACAACAUUUGAUCACUAACCCUUAAAUGGGGAUAUCUCUCAAUGCAACCAUCCAACCUUUUUGCUACCAAAGCAGCAAGUGGGUAACUCAAAGCAUAACCAGCUCCUCCAAAAGCCAUAUCAAAGGAGAAAUCGAAGUUUGACUUCACACACUCUGAGUUCAUCCCAAUGUACCAAUGUUUCUUGUGAUCAUACUUUCCUAAUGUCUUCACUAAAUUAUCUACAAAUAUUAUUGUAUCGUCAUCUGUCAUUACGAACCAUCUCGUGUCUUUGUCACCUUCUCUAAAUGACUCCAUCACCGUUCGAAAAAUCCUCACCUGUAUGAAGUAUAAUACAGUGCAAAUGAUCAAAUUAAUUAAGCCUUUGUGAUACGUUAAAUAAAAACAUAGAAAGCUGAUCAAUUCAUGAGUUAUAACUUUUAGAUGUUUAUACAUAUUUAGUCUCUCACAACUUUGAAGGUACAACCUAUUUUAUCUCUAUACUUUCAAAAGAAAUAAUAGAUUAUUAUGUUUGGUUCAUGCAAUAGACUAAUUUCAAGUAAUAUCUCAAAUAACAUAGUAGUUUAUCUACGCAAGUAACAGACCACGUACUAACAAGGUUAAUAAGUAAAAAAAGGUACUUAUUGGACACAUAAUAGAAGAUUUAACAAAUUAUAAAUGUAUUAGCAAAUUAAAGAGCUAAUUAAAAGUACUUCUAAAACUUUAUAACUAAAUAGUUACGUACAAUUAAAUUCCUAAUUUACUCAAUAUUAUUAAGUAUGUUAUAAUAUGAGUAGGCAUAAGCUUUUCAGUAAAUGUUAGCUUAACCAACCUGAUCUGGCCAUUUGAUUCUUGGGUACACUGCAAAGCCUCUGAUAUCUUCGUUGACUCGAAAUGGAGCAGAGGAAUCCGACCAUGGAAGGAACUCGGCAGAAGGUGAUCGAUCCAAGAAGACAUGGCCACGAGUUACAUUGGGUCGCCACCAUGACUCGCUAUAAUAUCUCUUGUACUUCCAUGUGUUCAUUGACCCAACGAUGCUGAACAUAAUGUGGGAGGCAUUAGUUGGAGGAUCGGUGAGCGACAGAGAUGUUGACAAUGGAGAAGUGUUGAUUAUUGGAAAUUUUUGUUUGAGGGUUGUAAGAAGAUCAGAUGGUUGGUAGUUUGGAGGUGAAAAGAUGAAAACAUAGAUCAUAAACAAGGUUAGUCCUAAGAAUGCCAAAACUUUGCAAACAUCUCCUUGAGAUAUUGAAGAAAGUUUGGUUCGAAACUUUGCUAUGGUGGAGUUCAUUGAUAGUGGAGAAGACAUGUUGAAGAACAAGAUGAAAGGAGUUUGAAGAAAAGGGUACGAAUUUACAUAGCAAGAUGGAAUAAAGAUUAAUAAGAUUUACAAAAGGCCAUUAUAGAAGAAAGCUUAAUCCUAAAUUAAAGGGUAUGUUUUCAUUAAAGAAAGACUUUCUGGAAAGGAAUAGUUUGAGGUAGAAACCAUGUUUCAUGUUUAAGUUUGCAAAUAAAUGUGAAGCUAUUUGCCUACAAAACUAUGAAGAAGAGGAGUUUUAAUGUUAUUGAUUGUCGUUUAAGCAUCCUAAAGUCAAUUGUGUAGGGGAAAAGGGAGUUAUUGUUGCCAACUUCCAUGCUUCCAAUUUGUAAUAUAUAUAGUUUACUUCUCUUCUUUAACGGCUAAUUAGCCUAGCCCACAAUUUUCUCUUUCUCCCCUUUUGAAUACUUAAUUAGAUCUUGCACUCUAUAAGAUUUGUUAGGUUCUUUAAUUUUAUCCAAUGUAUUCAUCAAUUAUUGUUCCAAGUGGCUUAGAGUUUUUCAUUAAGGGAAUUCGUGUUAGUUCUUCCAUUUCAAAUUGAUUUUAUUGAGAUAUGUUUUGAGUGGAUUCAAUAUGUUCUUCUCCUCUAUAAUUUGCUUCUUUUGGAGUGUACUUUAGGGUUCUUUUAAUUUGGGUAAGUUUGUUUGAUUUCUGUCUUGUAUUCUAACUCCUGUGGUUGUAUUUUGUUUGUGUUUUAAUUGUGAGGUCUCCUUCUUUCUUACUUUCAAUAAUCUUACAUUAAUAAAUAUAUAAUCACAUCAAAGAAAUUAUACUCAUAUGUCUUGUCACUUAUUAUUCUCUCAUAAAUUCUUGUGCAUUAGUAAUCUCUUUUCCGUAUGGAAGAUUAUUAGAAUUGAUAGCAUUCCAAACAGAUAAGUAAUCCAUCAAUUAGUAUUUAAUUUUGUUUGGCAGUGUACUUGAGCAAUUAAUUACUUUGGUUGAUUUUCAAUUACCCUUGUUAAUAAUGUAAUCAAUAAAUAAAGUUUUAAUUUCAAAGGUUAGAGUGAAUAUAAUUCAAUAAGAUGUGUAUCCAUAAUCAAAAAGUUCCGUUUUACGUUGAACUAGAAAAAAAAAAGUUUAAAAAGUUACAAAUUUAAAGUAACAAUUCAAUUUUUCUUUGACAUUAAUCAGAGGGAAAUACCAAACAAAAACAUACAUUAUAAAGAAAAGUCAAACUUUACUUUAAAAUUAAAACUUUCCUCUCCAAAUUUAAAUUCUUUUGGUUUCUAUAAUAUAAAUAAAAAUUCAUCUAUACUAACUCUAAAAUUAAUAAAAUUAAUGGUAAUUUUGUCCAUUUUAAUAAAAGUUGUUAAAUAAAAAUUCAAAAUAAAGUCAUUAAAUUAAUUAACAAUUAAUAUCUAAAUAUUAAGUACAAUUGAAAAUCAAAUUACCAUUAAAUACAUUAGUUAGAUGUUAGAUAAAUUUUUUAAAUUCCAAGAACCUUUUAGCUUUUCAAAUUUUCAUUCAUUGUUUUGCAAAAUGAUUUUCAUUAUUUUUUUGUAUUACAAAAUCAUUCACUAACUACGUUUAUUAGGCACCAGUAAUAAAUAAAUAAAUAAAAUUUUGCAUCGAAUGUCUCUUCUCAUUCUACAAAUUUAAUUCACUACAUAAAGCUCUUUAUGCUAAUUGAAAAAUAUCAUCCUCUCAAGCCUAUAAUAAGGGAACAACAAUAUAGAAAUAUGAGAACGUUUGAGGCCACACCAUUAGAGCAUCAAGGUCACAUAAAAAUCAAUCCAUUGAGACAAAAACCAAAAUAGAGGAAUAAGACACCAAAACUAAUAGAGUUUUUCGUGUUGGAGUAUUGUGAUUAAGGUAAGUAUACACAACAAUCAUUAGACUAAUAUAAAGAAUAGCUUAUUUAAAAUUUCUUAUUCGAUAAAUAAUGAGCACACAAAUUGUCAUGGCGAUGCAAAUUAAUUGCUACUCAUAGUCAUUGCAUUUUGACUAUAUAUAGCGGUUUGAUUUGGAAAUUGCCUUUGCAAUUCUUUUUUCCCCUGAAGAUGUGAAAUGAUGAUUCUAAGAUUUAUUUUUAUUGUAUUUCAUAAUCAUGGAUUAUUUUUAAAAAACUAGGUAAUUAAUAAAUUAUGGUUAUUAGUCUAAAAAAGAUUAUUUGCAAUAUGUAAAAAAAAAACACACACAUACUUCCCACAAACAUUUUUUCCAUUUAAAAAUUUAUUGGUCUAAUAGUUUACUUUACUUUCAUAUUUUAGAAAAAAAAUACUUUAAUAAGAACAUAAUGAAAAAUAUAAUAUAUGUAUUUAAAAAUAUCAUUAAAAAUGUUUGAUUUAUUAGAUAUAUUACCGUACAUAAUAGGUCUAUUAAACAAAUAAUUUAUUAGCACAAAUUUUAUGAUUUUUCUAACUCUAAACAAAUUUAUAAAAAUAAACGUAGGUUGUAAAUAAAUAAAAAAAUGCGUAGGAUAGUAUUUUGAGAAUAUGAUACAGCAAUUAUAGCAAAUAUAGCAAAAUUUUCACUUCUUCAUCUUAAAUUUGAUGUUAUUCCUAAACUACCCUUCAAUAACUCAUUUCUUGUUUUAUUUUUUUACAUUAAUUUUUUGAUUUUACUUUGUCUCAGUUUCAAAUAUUAGUGUUGUGAUAUAUUUAUAUUAUAUGUAUUCGUUAAUUAAUAUACUUACUACGUAAUUUUCUUUUUUUCAAAUUUUAUGCAGUUCAUUAGAGUAUUAUUAAGUAUAUGAAUGAUGUAACUCAGUAUGUCAACAAUAUAUUGUUAAAGCAUAUCAGUAGAGUGAAUCAUUAUCAAGUAUAUGAAUCAAGUUUACAAGUGUAUAUCAAUAAUAUAUCAAGUGUAUAAGUAGGACUUCAAGCAUAUCAAGUGCAUUUAAUCAAUUGAUUGUAUAAGUGAAGAAUACUAAAUGUAUUUGCAAUAUAUCGGGUGUAUCAAACAUAUAUUAGUAAUGUUUCGGUAUCGAGUGUAUCAAAGAGUAUCAGGUGCAUCAAGUGUAUCAAUCAAAUGUAUUAGGUGUAUCAAGAAGUAUCAAGUGUAUCAAGGAGUGUAUUAGGUAUAUCAAACGUGUAUAAGGUGUAUCAAACGUAUAUUAGUAACAAAGACAUUUGUAACAUUUUACCACUUGAUGUGUGAGUUGGACUUCGUUUUUGUCAUUUUUGCAUAUAAUAAAAUGUGUGUUAUAAACUUAAUUAUUAUAAUUUAUUUUACCAUUUUUACAAUUUUUCUAACAAAAAUUGUUAUAAAUUUUUAAUAAAACCUUGGAUAUAAAAGGAUGAUUUGAAGACCCAAACCCACACUGUCUAGAGAGUCCAAAUACAUUGUCCAAUGAAUUACCAAAUUGUUAAGUUUUGUUUGAUCAAUUUUCCCUUCAAAUGAACGUUACAUACAAAGUUGGGCAUAAAUAUAUCAUUUUAAUUUUGUCUCUAUUGUUCUCUUUAAAUUUUCAUUUAACAUUCUUUUAUAUGUUCAAUAUUUUGUUUCAACUUUAUUUACAUCUAAUCAAAUGGUCAAAUGUUGCAAUUAUUAAACUACAACCUUAUUCUAUUGUUUAAUAGAUCUUUCUAAACUUUAAAAGUUAUUUAAUCAAUUUUUAAAAGAAUUAAUUUCAAAUAUAAUAAAUUCUCUUGAUAAUAAAUAUUAAUGGACAAGUGCCUAUCAAUAGUAUUAUCACGGUCUAUUAUUGAUAAUUUUAAAAUUUUACUAUAUUUAUAAAUAUUUUCUUUCAUUUUGUCAUUUAAAACUAUCUUUUUUUUUCUAAAAUUUGUAUUUUAUGUUAACUAGUUUCUAAAGCUUAAAAGUGGUUGAUUUUGUUUCUAUUUUUUUUUUUUUUGUUGCUAAUAAUACAUUUGAUGUUUUUCUUUCAAGUAAUGAAUCUAUUCAAAAUAAUUGAAGCUUGUGUAUAAUACGAUCUUUUAGUUUCUAAUUUUAUAUCUAAUGAAUUUGUGAAUUCGUAAAUAUGUUGAAUAUAUCCAAAGACACUCUAAAUGCAUCUAUUAAACACCCGUUUCCAAGACCUAAGAGACAAAAUUGAAAAGUUAAACAAUCUUUUAGAUACAAACGUCAAUCUAAGCAUUAUAUAGCUUAAGUAAGAUUAAAUAACAAUAAUUGUAUCAUCUUAGGUUGAGUGGAUUGAACUCCACCAAUGUCGUCAUUUAACUAAAAAAAAUAUAAGUUAGAGCGAGAUAAAAAGUUAAAAGAGAUUAAAUUUAGAGUUUUAACCAAAAAUUUAUUCAUUAAAUCAACCUCGUCCAUAUUUCAAUGUAAUGAUCAAGUUUGGACAUGUAUUCAUCUCCCACAGUCAAAAACCUACUCACUCCUCAUUAUCCUCUACCAAUAGCUUAACCUAAAAAUUUGAUUCAUAAAUUACGUUAACAAAUUAGUAUCACACACAAAUAUAUAUCCAUACAUUACGGAGUAAAUUAUAUAAAUUUCUCAAUACCCAAAAGCAAGACAAGUUUGCUUAAGAAUUGAAGAGAUGUUUGUUAUAUAAUUUAGCAUAUGAUACAAAUUAAAUAUAUAUUGUAUAUGGUAUUUGACCCUUCCAUAUUACGUUAACAAUUUCUUAAUAAGUUAGUAUUAUAAAAUGAAGCUGUAGAUCUCAAGAACUGAGUUGUAUGGCAUGGGGCAGCUUCUUUGUGGUGCAUGAAAGAAUGUGUACUUGAGUUUAUCAUUACUUUUUUCAUCACUUAUUUGACCAAUCAAAAACCAAAAUAAUUUUUUUUUGUUCUUGACUUUAUGUUUGUUUAGAUAUUAAGUUCCCAGAUGAAAUUUGUCGAUUUAAGCAUUUGCAAUUUUAUUAGAAUAUUUGUAUUUCUUGAAUAUAAUUUCGGUCAGAGAUACAAAUCCUGAUAACGUUUAGUAACAGAUAGAUGAACAAAGCAAAACGAGGAAUCUUGAAAUGAAAAUUUGAGCACCAAAAGUUGAAGGAAUCGAAUAACUAAAGAAAAUUAAUUAAAUGGCGAUGAAAAUUCAAAUUCUUGACUAAACCCACCGUCCUAAACAAAAUAAGAAAUCCAGCUCAGUACACCACUGAAAGCAUGGGGAAGAAAUGUAACUAUCAUAUCUUAUCAUCAUGCUCCUUAAUUCUAGAAAUAUUUAACUAUAGCAGUAGAGCGUGAUAGAUUGAAAAACCAAAUCGACCUACGAAAAUUGAAGGUAAUCAAUUGAAGAUAAAAACGAGUUCGAUCGAUGUCGAUUUGAAAAAUUUUCAAACUAACAACAUUUUUUAAAAGAUUCUUAAUUUAGUGCACGUGAAAUUUUAUUCUCUUGCUUUGCAGUAUAGCUUAUGUUUUCAAACUAGUGACUAUUUUUGUUCUUCCCUAUUGCUAUAGUCGAAGUGCUCACACUAGCACCCAUUGCUAGCACUCAAAACGUGUUAUAUUCCUUAGCUUAACUUGGAAUCAUCUGGCUAUUUAAUGUGUUAAAUGAUCGAAUAGAUUUUGUUGUCCAAAUUUUGGAUCAACUAAUCUUACUGACACCUCAACUCUAAACACCCAACUGACACCUGCGGCCCAGAGAUAGCUUCGAUAACCUUAGUGAGAUCGAUCGAGAUCUUCCUUCUCCCUUUUAAUUAUGAAAUCAUUCAAUAUUAGGAAGGUGGAACACCUUAUUAAUGGACCUUGAGCUAAAGAAAACUACCAUACUACAAUUUUGGCUUUUCUUGACGCAAACAAAUUUAGUUUUUUUUUUUUUUUUAUGGUCAUGGCAAAAGACCAUCAAGAAAAAUGUCUUUCUUUGACACAAUAAAGGUUAAUAUUUUGCCCGAGUGGUUUGAAGUUAUAGAGUUGAAAAUUUGGAGUUGUGGAGUUGUUUGAGUUAUGUAGUUAUGGAGUUGUGCAGGUUUUGAAAAUUCGGUGGUGUUGGAAAUUUAGAGUUGCGGCAGAGUUGUGCAGAUUCUGCAAUUGUUGAUAUUUUGUAGGAGUUGUUUGAAGUUGGCUUGUAGUUUUAUGGUAUAUGGAUUUUGCAUAUUUUGUCGUUUGUGUGUCUAUGGUAUAAAGUACAAAUUCUGUAUCUGAGUUAUAUAUAUAUAAAUUAAUUUUAGGUUAAAAGCUUGUUUGAAGUUGAUUACAUGUUGGAUAUAUAUGGAAGGAUUGUAAUCAUCCAUAUUCUUUUUAUUUUUUCACAAUUGGUAUAGUUGACCGGUAAAAAACAUCAACAAAAUAGCUUAGUUGAUAGUUAUAAACCAUCAAUAUAAAGAUAAUUAGUUGAUAGGCAACACACGUCAAUGAAAUUUCUUGAUGAUUUUAAAGAAUAGUUGAUGAAUGAAAAAAACCAUUAUUACCUUACAUUAUAUUUGACGAGUAUCAAUGAAAGGUUGUUUCUUGAUGAACUUUUAAAUUUUAAUAUAUUUGAUAGGUAAAAAAAAUCUUAUUUCUUGAUGGCCAAAAACAUUAAAAAAAAAAAAAAAGAAAGAAAAAUUAUGACAUGUUUUGGCCAUCAAGAAAACUUACUUUCUUGAUGGAUGAGCUUUCUUGAUGAUCUUUAGCCAUCAAGGUACACAUCUUUUAUGUGUUUUGCACAUCAAAAAAACGCCAAAAUUGUAUUAAUGCUAGGCGACCUCAAACUAUGUAAGAAUCCCCAUCCUCAUCUGUGUCCGAUCAGAACUCUUCAACAAUAGGGAUAAUGCGCCCUUUGGCUGUUGCAUAAAGAACUGUCACCCAUGUGUUGUCUAUUAGUGGCAAAUCUAGAAAUUUUAUUUAGGGAACACCGAACACUAUAUAAUAAACACACUAAAAAUAUUAAAAAAAUAUCUCGACGUUUCACUGAUACUUCAAUAACAUUUUCCUGCGUUUGUAGCAAUAAAGACCGACAAUUUACAUAUGAUUUUUUGUAACGUAAAUGUGUGAAUUUAAAAUUUACAUCAAAAAAAGAAAAAAAAAGUACAUUUAUUAUGAAAUAUUAUUGGGAGUAAAAGUUUGAAUCACCGACUUUAUUGCAUUUUUUUUAAACUUUUGUUAGAUAGCAAAUGAGAGCAAUAAAAUACAUUAGAAUUGUAUGUUAGAUGAGUUUUUUUUUUUUUUUUCCUCUUUUUAAAGAAUUAUCUUCCUUUUAAAAAAUCAUUCAAAUUUAAAAAGAAAAACCAUAAUCUCAUUCCUUUUAAAAUUGUUAAAAUUUAGAAAGAAAUUUUAUAUAUUUAGAAAUCAUAGAAAUUUAGGAAGAAACUUGAUAUUUGGAAAAAGAAAAUUAUUGAUAUUUGAGAAAAAAUUAUUGAUAUUUUGAAUAAAUCUGUUUUAAAAUUUGAUAUUUGAGAAAAAAAAGUGGAAGAAAUUUGAUAUUUGAAAAAAGAAAAUUAUUGAUAUUUGAAAUAAAAAUCAUUUUAUAAAAAUAAUUGUAAUAGACAAGAUUUAAAUUCCCAACCAAAGGAUUGUGCACGGAACAACCACUAAAGCAGAAUUUAAGCAAAAUGAAGUUAAAUUUAAUAUGUAUUAUAAUCAAACACUCCAAGAUUAAUAUUAAAAUACAAAAACUUAUAAUACGAGCGACACAUGCCCAUGGCCCUUAAUAAAUCCGGUAAUAAUUCGUUUACACACUUCUCACAUCAUUGUUUGAAUUCUAUCCUCAAAACAAUUUUCUAUUUCAAUAAUUUGAUGUCCAAUGCUUGUACCUCAACUUUUCUGUCACUCUGUGAGGAUGUUCAACUCAUCAAGAAACCACUUAAAAUGGCAUACAUUAAAGGUGAUCUAAACAUAGAAUGAAUAACGCCUACCUUAUAGCCAAAACACGUUCGUGUUUCUGUACUCCAAAUCUCGAACAAAAGUCUCGUCCACGUCCAUGUUAACUAUACUAUCCAUCACUUAAUAUGUAUAUGGUUUGAGUUAUGACUACAAAUUCAAAGUUCAGAAUUAACACAAUUGCACAUUGAGAAAACAUGAAACAAACUUUGUUAACCACCCCACCAUCCAGAAACUAUUGAAAAUUAUUUUACUUCAUCCAAACCAUGUCAAUCAAAAUCAAGUAUGAAGAUAGAUUUGGAAGUCCUAAGAGAACGAAAACUUCUAAACUCAAAAACCAAAACUAAAAUUUCAUAGAGGAAUGAUGAACUAAGGAACCAUCAGAAUUACCAAUUUUGGCCAAGUCAAGUAGGUGUAUCUAUUCAGAGGGGGGAGAGUUCAAAACCCACAAAAAUAAUAAUAAUAAUAAUAAAAGAAAGAACCAUCCUCAACCAAAAUAAAUCCCCAGUAGCUAAAAGCUGUUCGGUUCACAUCAUGGUUGCGUCUUCUUUGGAAAACGCUCAUCAUUUGGUUCCUUAAUUUCAUCUCCAUCAGUUUCAAAACCAAAAUCGCAUUUCCCAAAUAUUUGAAUCAACAAACAAAAAACUAAAGAAGAUGAAGACAAGAUUUGAACAUAAACAUAGAAAAGAAGGGAAGCUUAAAGAAUUGUAUACUUACCAUUUUCUCUUGUAUAGUUUAUUUCUUCACAGUCGUUCUAUUGUUGCUCAACAUGAGCUAGCUCGCAAAUUCAAAUUCAACUAGGAUCUUUAUUAGUGGUUGAGAGAGGGUAGGAGAAGAAUCUUUUACCUUUCAGUUUGUCUUAAGCUUCACAUAAAUCCUUUUCUUUUACCAAGGUUGAAAUUGUUGGUCCACUUCACCAUGUACAUUGUAUACAAAUGGAAUAAAUUGUACAUGACCAUUUGUAUAGGGUUGCAUCCUUUUAACUCCAUGGGUAGCACGUUCUUUUACGAAUAGAUGCCAUUUCAAAUUUUAACCAACUUAAGGAAUAGACUAUCCAAAUGGUCAUGAAUCUAUAACUAUGUUCUUUCUUCAAAUUGGUUUUUAACCUUUUUCAUAAGCAUUUUUCUCCCAUAAACCUUUCUUCCUAUUAUAAAUUUAUCAAAGUUUGCUUUGUUCCACAAACUUGGGUUCGUUAGAUUUAGAGAACAUUUGUUUUAAGGUGUACCUCUUUAUGGCUCAGUGAACAUUUGUUGAAUGAAUCUAGGUUCGUUAGAUUUAGUGAACACUACAAGGUGUUCCUCUCACAAGAAAGAUAACUUGUUCUAUCAUGAGAGAAAAUUACUCUCAAAACUCAAGCACCCUCUAGAGCAUUUGUUUUAAGAAGACAAGAAAUUCAUUGGGCACAAAUUCUCUCCUAGAUAUAAGGUUUUGUAUUUUCUAAUAUUAUGUGACGUUAUUUUUCUAACAGUAUAUUUUUAGCAAUUAAGCAUAAAACAUUCAAGAAGCAUGUAGCCAGUGGCCCAGAAGCCUACUUACUCACAAUCACAAUAGUCAUCAGUCAUCACUUGACAGGAGCUGACACGAACAUAUGCUUCAAAGUCAAAAUCCUUAAUAAAAAUAAGUCUUCCAAGAGAAUUCUGUAGUUGAACAUGAGAGACAUCAGAUCAGAUGACAAUGGAAGAUAUCAUGAAAUGAUUCUGGAAAGGAGCAUGGAAAAAAGUAGUUUCCAAAAAAAAAGGAAAAAAGUAGUCGCAUUUAGAAAGUGGUCAUCAAAUGUGGACCUAGGUUCAUUCAACUAAACUAAAGAGCUGGAAGGCUACUAACCCUCAAUUAUAAUCCCCAUUAGCAAAGGUUUGUGUGCCAGUAUUUGAAUAUUCAACUUUCCUUGCUUCCAAUUCUGCCAUUGCAAAUGGCUUCCUUGUUCUUGCUAACCAUCCUAAACAUAAAAAAUUCAACAAACAAUGAACACCACUAUUAUUUCUCCAUUAAUUGGCAAUCCAACGAGGAAAAGGAGAAGGCAUAUAACAAAUAAUUCAACAGCUUUGAUAUAGUGACAUGCUGGAAUAUCUAUUUACAUAGAUAAGAAAAAGUGGUACAGCCAUAAAGAGAGAAAUAAGACGUCAUUCUAUGAUAUGCUAACAACCAUGUAGAAACCAUUGAAAAGUAUUUUAACAAUGAUUUAGGCAACAAAGUUUUUUUAUAUAAGAAAAGGAUUACAAACUUUGCUAACAACCAUCCACAUCCAGAAACCAUUGAAAACUAUUUUUAGUUCAUAUUUCAUUCAAACAACUUCAAUCAAAAUCAAGCAUGAAGAAAGAUUUGAAAGUCCUAAAAGAACAAAUACUUCUAAAGGCAAAAUCACUACUAAAAUUUGAUAGAGGAAUGGUGAGCUAAGGAACCAUCAGAAUCACCAAUGUCAGCUGAGUCAAGUGUAUCUAUUCAAAAGGUCGAGAGUUCAAAACCCGCAACAAUAAUAAUAAUAAUAACAACAACAACAACAAUAAUAAUACCAUUAGCGACCAAAAUUAAUCCACAGUUGCUAAAAGCUAUUAGGUCUGAUCAUGGUUACGUCUUCCAAAGAAAACGCUCAUCAUUUGGUUCCUUAACUUCAUUUCCAUCACUUUCAAAAUCAAAAUCACGUUCCUCAAAUUUUUGAAUCAACAAAACUAAAGAAGAUGAAGGCAAAAUUUUAACAUAAAACAGACAAAAGAGGGUAAGAAUUGUGUACUUGCCUUUUCUUUUGUGUAGUUUCAAUCAGCAACGUGAGCUGCCUCCCAAAUUCAAAUUCAACCGAGUUCUUUAUUGGUGCUAUUUACUUUGGGAGAAAGUAGGAUUACGAAAUUUGUACCUUUCAGUUUGUCUUAACCUUCACCUAAAUCCUCUUUUUUUCUGAAUAGGUUCAAAUCCACAUAAUUGUCACAGUCCUUAAAAGUAAUUCAAACAGGCCAUUUUUUUUUCAUACAGACGAGAUGUCAUUGCACUGAUGUCCAAUGACCCCUAUUCUAAAAACAACAAAACUAACUCUUUUUUCCUCACAUCACAAAACACCAACCAACAAUAAAAUCUCCCUAAAGCCCAUUCGCAAAUCAAUGAGACCCGGAACACAAUUUCAAGGUCUAUUGCAACUUUUAUAAAAAUAAAAGUUCUUGGCCAUUGCUAAAAUUGUGGGCUCAACUUUUCUUGAAAGUGAAAUCGCACUCGGGGUUUCAUCAAUUUGCUAUGGUUGAGACCUGCAGUCUCAAAUAACAAUUUAACGCUGGUUGUUGCUUUAUGAUGCAAGCAUAACGUUAGUUUUCAUCAUGUAUAGAAUUCAGGUAAUUUUAAAUUAGCGAAAUCAAAUUUGGGUCACCCAUGCAAAACUCUCUACUUAUCGAUAGGGACUAAUGUUACAAUUCUUAACCUAAAUAAUCAUCAUCCCUCAUUAAAUUCCAAAACGAUUAGUAAAACUAGAAAUUAACAUCCACAUUUAUGAAGGAAAGCACCAAGAAAACCAAUUAACACCACUGAAAAUCAACCUAUGCAGCAGAAAAACGAUAAUUGAAUGAGAGGAAAUUAGUGGGUAAACUUAUUUUGGGAGUUUCUUAGGGGAAACGCUCUGGGGUUUCCUGCAAAAUUAGACAAAGUUUAGGCACAAAAGGAUUGGUGAACCUGAACGGAGAACGUCACUGUGAAGGCUGGUGAACAGACGAAGGGUAAGGGUUGCGGGUGUUGGACCGACGGCUGAAUGGACACUGAGCGGAAGGGCUUGAUAUCAUUGUACCAUCAGCAUUCAAUGUUAUUGAUAUCAAUUGUAAGAUAAAUAAUGGAAUAUCACUUUUAGUUCUUCGUUAACAGUCGAAUACGAUCAUUUCCCCAUUGCUCUAUGAGCUUCAAUCGAACACUACAUGGUCAAUAUCAUUUUCAAUUUUGUUUGUUUCAUGGGUCUAGACUCAUUAUUUUUUUUCAUUCUUGAAGAAAAUCAUUUAUGAAACAAAUAGGUCGUGAGUGUUAGCCAAAGUCUUUUAGUUUUUUCAAACAUACAUUUAUUCAAAUAGGUUCUAAAUUUCAUAUAUACCCUUGCGAUAUAUAUCUUCUUUGUGAUGUAUUAAUCUAAGACUAUAUCAGUAAAUUAAGGUUGGAGAUCGAAUAACUAAAGACAUCAGUCUUUCAUCCCGCGACAUCUUGGGACAAGCAUAUAUAUCUGAGAUCGAAUAAAAUAAAGACUCUCAAGCAAUUUUGGUACAAUUAAGGCCCGAGAUUGAAUAACUAAAAGAAAAAGUCUUUCAUUACAAGACAUCUCGAGACAAUGUAUGCUCAACAUCGAAUAAAAUAAAAACAUAAUUCUUUUAUCUUAAAACAUCUUGGUGCCUCUAAGGCCCGAUAUACAAUAACUAAAUUAAGAAUUAUUUCAUUCACAUAUUGAGGCAUGGUAUGCACGAGUUCGUAUAUCAAAAUCUACAUGACGAUCCAUCGCACGCAUGUGACCGAUUUAUUGCGUGUUGACUAGGAUAAUUUUGGUAUUUUACAUUGCCAAACCUGUGAGCUUUUUCCUUUUUCAAAAUUGUUCUAUAUUGUGUAAAUAUUUUUCCGAUUUGUUAUGAUAAUUGAUAAUAUAGGAGUAUAUGACAUUUGAUGUUUUAAAAAAGUGUCAAGGUAAAGAUAUUCUUGACAUUCAAAGAUAGUCAUUUUAUGCUUGUUCAUAACAUUCGAUGGAAGUCAUGUUGGGCAUGUUCUUGAUAGGAAAAACAUGUCAAAUUAUAUAAAUUCGUAACAUUUCAUAACCGUCAUCAACAUUUAAAAAAUGACAAAUAAUUACUUCAAUGUGUGAAUUGAUUAUGACAAUAACUUACUGACAUAAGAUAUAAAAUAAUGACAUUCAUUAUUUUUCAAUACUACUAGAUAUGUGACAUUUAUUUUUGUCAUGAAAAUGAAGUUUUUCCAAUCUGUCAUAGAUAAUUAUACAUUUACAGGUGAUAUAAUGACAACAAAAAUCUAUCAAGAAUUUUAAAUCUGAUAGCUUUUAAAUGUCGUGGUAGGUCAUUUUUCUUGUAGUAACAUUUUUAAGAUAGAAAGUACAUGCAACUAAUAUACUAUGAUUUUAUAGUUGACAUGAUUUUAUAGUUGACAAUCAUAGUUAGACUAGUUAGUUGCCUAAAAUGAUUGUUAUUGAAGUUGUCGAAGUUGGCCACAAGAGUGGUUGUUGCCGAAGUUUAUCAUUAGAUGUGAUUUUGAUUGGAGUUGGUCGUGUAGGGGUAAAUGAUCAUUGAAAUUGAUCACUAGAACUGGUUUUCGUCAGAGGUGGUCACAGGAAUAUGCACCAAAGUGUGGAAAUGGUAGUUGUGGAUGGUGGUCAAUGGGUUGAGUUAUUAAAAACGAAGAAAAGUUGGGAUAAGUUAAUAAAAAUAACCAUCUCAACCCCACAAAUAUUUUAAAAAGUGGUGUUCUAAAUUUAGCUGAAAGUUGUCUGACAAAAGUUGAAAUAAACAAAGCAAAAAAUGGGCUAAAGCAAAGCAAAAAAUUUCUACGUUCCACAUUUUUCUAUUUGAAAUGAUAAAAAGAUAAUAGAGGAAGUCAAAUACGUCCUGAAAUAAGGGGAAAUCCUAAGAGAAUCAGAGAACAUGGGUAUCAGUUUUAAUUGAAAUAAACAAUCUGCUGAACUCAAAUAUAUUGUUCGUUUCCUAUUUUUCAAAAACUGAAUGCCAGCCUCCAAAAAAUAGUCAUAUGCUCCAAUUUCUCUUAAAUGACCCUCGAGAUAAUGUAGUUAUCAAUAUCUACAUACUAUGAAUUUGAUAUAAAUGUCAAUGUCACUGACAUGAUAAGAUUUAGAUAUAAAUAACAAGAAAUGUUAUUGACAUGACAAUAGAUGGGGUAGUACGAAUGUUUUUUUCUAAGAAAUAUUUCCCAGCUAGUUGAUCAGAGUGUGUGCAAGAGAGGUGUAAGAGAGUCAGAAAAUGAGAUAAAAUCACAGCUGAGGGAAGGAAGAGAAACUACUUCAUUAGCUACAACAUUAGUUACACACUUGAGGAUGAAACCAAAACUUCUGAGAGAAAUUAUGGUUUAUGACAACACUACUACUGUUACAUGUAAACACUUCGAUUCAUCUAGACAAGGCCUUUUUAGACAUACAAUUAUCAUACAUACUAAGAACUGAGAAAGAAAAUAGAAAUAUUACAUUCAUCUAUCGCUUACAAUUCAAAAAUUUGUCAGCAGUCAUUCUACCAUACAACUUAUUAAAAUAUGGGCUCUCAUCAUUUUCUUGAGCCUUCAGCUUAAACCAUAAAUAAUGAAAGAAAACUACUGUUAUUCAGUGAUUUUCUUUCUCAUUUUUCCUCCUACUACAUCUGUUCAUUUCUGAGGCAGAACUACUAAGGUAUAUGUUGAAGAGUAUAAAUACCAAAGAGAAUCAACUGCUUCCUGUCAACAAGUUGUAAUAUAAAGAAGCUUUAUGAUUUGGUCAUGCAUCUCGAGGUCCAUCGAAAGAUUGUGUCUUUCUUAGAUUCCAGUGAAGGCCAUCGUGAAUGCUGCGCAAAAAGUCAUUUGUUGAGUCUACCUGGCAUGCUGUAGGCACUGGCCAAGGUGCCAUGCUGCAUACAAGUGCAUCCCCUGCUGCCAAUUGCUUCCUGUCUUUACCGUCGAAAGACGCCCAUGCGUGCCCCCUGCUGUUGAAUGGUACUUGUAUACGUAUCGUUACAUACUCGGGAAAUAUUAAGGGUCGAAAAGACAAGGAGUGUGGGCAUAUUGGUGUAAAUAGAAUGCCGGGAACCUGUGAACGUUGCAGUAGCAUUUAAUAAAUUUGUCAUUCUUACCAAUACAAAACUAUCAGCUGAAAGAUUGGUUGAACGAAGUACAUACCUGAGGAUGAACCAUUGAUCCCCCAGCCGCCAACGAGUAUGCUGUGCUGCCAGAAGUAGUUGAUAGAAUCAGUCCAUCUCCUUGGACACAAGUUACGAAGGAACGGUCACAAUAGCAUUCCAAAUUGGUAAGGUAGGACGAUAUUCCACGAUCAAUUGUAACCUCAUUCAGCACAAGUAUAGGCUCUUCGGUUUCAUAUUCAUUUCUUGCUGCAUCUCGAAUAACAUGGCACUGCAGUCGGUGUCGCAAUGUAAUACUAAUUGGACCCUUUAGAACUGAAUCCAAGCACUCUCUAUAAUGCUCACUGUCUGAAGCAUGUUAAAGAAAAUUCCCUUUUCAGCAAUGAACAGAAAUAAACGUCAUGGUGUAAUAUGUUAGUUUAAGAAUUACUUUUAAAAGAAGCUUAUCACAGAUGUCUUUGGGAAGAAAAUAAAUUAUUUUUGGUUAAAUAACAAAUAAACGAAUUUCUAAGUCAAAUAAUACUUCCUCACAACUAAAGGAUACGAAAAGGAGUCAUAAAACCCAGAGACCCUAAAGAAAAUGGAACAAGCGGAGGAACUGGUCCUUUAAACAUUGAUGCUGCCUGCAAUCAAGUUCCAAAUUAAUCCAGAAACAAACUUUCGAAGUACAAAAAGUCAUAAAAACAUUAAAUGCAAUUUAUAAGAAUAGUUAAGGCCAUAGUUAACAACAAAAGUAGCAAAACAUAACAAGCUAAUUGUAAUCCUUUCUUUUGGUAGGAUUUAUGUGCAACAUAUUUUUGGUGUUCAUAAACAAGGGAUUACGCCCCUCUCAGUCAAUUAUGUAAGGUGGUAUCAGCUGAAUUUUUUUAUUUAACGAAGAUGGCUAAUGAAAGCAUACAGUUCAUAGUCGUUAACAAAGUUGAUAUGUGGUGUAGUUCAUAGUUGUUUGUUAAUAAACUUGAUAUGUAGUUCAGCCAUGACCUUUCUUGAACAAAAUUUAUUCCAACUGUGAGAUAAUAAACUUAAUGUGUCUAGAACAAUAAGAAGAUACUCAAGAAAGUGAAAUGGUUCGACAUACCCAAAGCACUGUUCCAUCUCCACCAAGAGUAACAACAAGGUCAACUUUAGUGUGGAGAAGCAUAAUUUCCUCGUCUGCCAAGAGGGAGAAAAGAAAGGUCAAUCAAGUGCACAAGGAUGAGGGAGCAUUUAGGGCAUUAAGUUGCGUUAUAAUGUGUGAAUAAGUUCGAGUCAAGGAAUCUGUCUGGUAUGCAGAAAUAUAACAUAAAGAUCAAUAAUUGUAUAAAAUAGAGAGAGGGAAAGUGUGAAAAUUUCAAGUGUUUACUAUUGAAGUUGAGUUGUUUAAUUAUUACAAACUUAUGAGGUUGGUGGGCCAAAUUCCCCACAAGUGGUUGCCAUGAAAAUCAUGCCUCAAUAUGCAGUCAAGACCAUCCUUGAUUAAAAAGAACAUUACGAGUGAAGUGACAGAUGUGGGGAGAAUAAUUAGUUAGAUAUAAGUUUAUAAAAUAAUAGCAACCUUUCACACUCACCGCUUUUCCAUGUCUGGACAAAAUUGUAGUAGUCUGAUUCAGUCAGAAGCUCAUUUUUGACGCGAGGCUCAACAUAAAUGUGAAGAUCUUUAUGUUCUCUCAACCAUCUAGGUGGGGUAGAAAAUGAGAAUUAGGAAAAUAUAGCAUGCUUUUUACAUUAUACAUACAAUUGUUAUGAUGCAUAAAAACUUUGAUCUAGGCAAAAAGAGAGCAAAAUUUCUCCUCUGUCCAGCUGAAAAGAUAAAUGUGAAACCAUGAAGUUGACCUAUGAUGAUUUCAUAAUUUUACAGAACUUUCUCCAUACUUAUCCUUAUCACUAUUUCCAUACAAAAAUGAUGAUUAUUUUUACAUAUUAAUUUUCUCACAUAAAAUGAAUAGAAGUGGGAAACUGAUUUAGCUACUAUAAAAGAUAUACACACCUGACCAUCUCAAAACAAAUCAUUUGAACCGAUAUUGAGUUUGGUUUGGUCAAUAUAAGCACAGUCUGAGGUUGAGAUUCCCAUUUCAAGGAAAUCUGUAAUUAAAAUGUUUUGUCAAUUAAAAUGUGGGCCCACUCAACCACAGUAAACCAAAUAAAAUAAUAGGUAAAGAUUAAAAAUUAAAAAUAGAAGGAAAGAAAAUGAACUAAGAGUUCUAUGAAGUGGAUCUGAUGAAAGAAUUGGAACUUUCCCACAUUUAUCACUCAUUUCUUUGAGCAUAUAAGUUGUACAUACAUGUUAAAAUUUGAAUUAUCUUCAUAGGCUUUUAGUUGGAUGCUGAAUCAUUUAUUAUAUGUAAUAGUUACGUUCAGUUUUUCAUUUCUGUUUGCCAUAAAAGCAACUUUUAGAAAUCCAGUACUGCCAUAUCCUAAACUGUCACAUAUAUAAGUAACAAGUUACUUUUGUGAAAGCCACUGUGAUGUGUCUGUCCAGGUUCAGCAGAAACAAACCUGUCUACUGCUACGCUCUGCAGUUGUUAUGUUUCCUUUUUCAAAGGAGACGACAUCAUGCUUGUGUCUAUCACUAUGAUCGCCAUUGCAGCACCAUGAAAGUUUAAAUGAUGCCUGUAAUUGUAAAGUCAUAUGGGAUUAGCACAACUCUGUAAAUAUCUAUUAUCACUUUGUUACAUUUUGAUGUACUUUUUUCUGAAGGUUUGUGCUGAUUUUAUUGACAAAAAGGAGAACUGAGUGUCCUCUUCAAACAAUUAAAAUUAAAAAAUAAGAAACUGCGCCAAUGUUAAUAAAGAUACACGGGGAAGUAAUUACAUCAGAAACUGUUCAUAAAACAUCACUAAGGACAUUGGAACUUUGAAUUAUGUGUUGAACGCUACUAAGGACGUUGAGAUUUUGCUAAAUAAAAUAAAAUAAAAUAAAACCCAAUUUUUUAUUUUAUUUUAUUUUGUCAUCAAACAAUUUGCUGUUUCUUUCCAGUGACUUUCCCCACCAGAAUGAAAGGGACUUCACUGCAUAUUGUUCUUAGGAAUUUGCUCUCUUUUCCUUUCUUCUUCUUCUUUUUUUUUAUAUAUUUUAUUUUGCUUUCAAACUAAUGUGCAAUGUUGUGAAUAGGUAGAUAUUUAUGCAUCACACAUGCAUAACUUAGAGAAAUGAUGAAAUUUGAGAGAACUUUUUAAUUUAUUUAUUUGUUUAAUUGUUUAUUGUGUGAAACUAAAUGGUCAAGUUUCUAUGCCUUGUUAUUGUAUCAUAAAGAAGUAUGACUAUUUGGUAUUGGAUUUCCUUGAGAAAUCUUGGUCACUAGAAUAUUGUACAGUUGUAGAAAUACGUAAUUUGUGUCUUCAUCUUCUUCAUCAAGUUUUAUAAAAUAAGCUAAAUUAAACAAUUAAAAUACUAAUUCGGUAACUAUAAACAGAAAGACGAAGAAGAGACAAAUUAAGUCAUGAAAUAACUGUGAUAGAAGCAGGUAAGAAAAUAAUCGAAUACCUUUCUCGUAUAUUUUCUGGAAGCCUUCUGAGAAGCAGAAUCAAUGUCUCCGUCUUGAAGAACUUCAUGAGAACAUAUUCCAUUUAACCCACAACACCACUCUGACUUCUCUGUGGCUUGUGGAGGUAGGUUCCUUGACCUUUUAAUAUCAUACCCAUUGCGUUCAGUGGGUGACUGACCUAUUAUAAUGCACAAGUAUAUGUAGUUUUAAGGAAAACAAUACCAAAAAGGAGAGAAUAAAAGAAAAAUUCUACAUUGAAUAAUUUUCAAUGAGUACAAUUAAUAUGCCUUACACACACUGCGUGAUAUUUGAAUGGCAUUGCUGUACUAGCAUUUAAAAUUAUUUUUAAUUUGAACCUUAGUGAAAAUCAUUUUCUAUUUAAUGUAAGGUAGGAAGUUAUUUCCAAUCCAACACUAUUUCUGAAAAAUGAUCUUUUACCUACUUUGCCUAAAAGUCAUAAGAUGUCUUUAGAAAAAGGCAGCGAUUUCAUUCAACGAAAGAUAACGUCCUCUAUUGGAUAGAAAAUGGAGAGAUUUCAACAUGAUUCGAUGAGUGAAUUUUUUUAAUUAACGAUAAAAUGUCCAAUAAAUCAAGCACCUCUUUAAUUUGAAAGAAGUGGGACUUAUUUUAUAAAAAAAAUCGACAAUGAAAACCAUUAUGACACCAAACUGAAGAAAACUAGGAUGAAGUUUGUCCAGUUUUCUUGAAUGAGAUAUAAAAAAUCUACACCUUAAAACCUUCAAGGUGUUUAUAAGCAUUAUAUUAAUACUCUCUCCACUCUGUGCACGAAAACAUCUACAAAAGUAUUCUAAAUAAUCCAAGAAAUCCUGUAAGAAAAACCUUUAUGCUCAAGUUGAAGAUUUCUUGUCCUCUCCAGUUCAAAUUUGCGCUUCCAUUCAGCAGCCUCGGCCUGUGCAGCAGCCUUACCCUCAGCUGCUUUUCUUAAUGCUUUUGCAACAGCUGGAGACCAAAGAACAUAUACAAUCAGCAUAACUUAACCAACUAAUAUUCAAUAGCAAAGCAAACACGUCUGUAAAACUACAUAAAUGUAAGGAAAAUUUUUGGAAACACCACAUAUUUCAGUCAAUAUAGAUGAAAUAGAACUGUGAUAAUUACUUCUUAAGGCCUCUGAAAAUUCAACAAGGUGAUCAUCAGUCUCCAUCAAUGGAGACCGUUGAAGAAGUUCCUGGACAGCCUUCUCAGAAUUUAACAGAGAAGUUGAAUUUAGAAAACCAUUCUCUGCCAUGGGGCUAGAAAAGUUUCCUUCUCCCUAUAUCAACAGCAGUUUAGUUGGCCAUAAAACUAAAUUAAAUGAGAAUCAGAAGUUCAAGAAUUGACAUAAAACUUUGUUUCUUUUCAGGGAAAAUUGUAGAGCAACAUUCUAAAUAAAUAGAAGUAAAAGAAAAGUACCCCCACUUUUCCAGAAAGACUAGAGAAUCUCAGAAAGUAAAAAGAAAAAAGAAAAACUAAACAGUCCUCUGAAAAAAAAAAAAAAAAAAAAAACUUUAUCCCACAACAAAAAGCAUCUUUUCCCACUUAAUCCAUCCAUCAGUAUCGUCAUCAAAUUCAGCAUCAGUCAGACCAAAUCCCAAUUCCUCCAAAUCAGCAACGAGAACCCACCCAAUUAUUCCACAUUUAUCCAGAAACACAACACGAAGAUCAAAACUAAAAUACAAUAAAUAAAUAUAUACAUCCCUUACAACAAACAAACAGAGCAUGAAAAAAGCCCAGAAAGCCCAAUUAUCAGGUAAAAAAUCCCAAAAAAGAUAUGGGUUUGAUUCACAAAUCAAGAUCACAACAAAGAAAAGAGUAAAUACAGAGAGAGAGAGAGGGAGAGAGAGAGGGAUUACAGAGGAAUUAAACUUGCUGGGAGCCAUGGGUGUUAUACAGAGAGGGAAAAGAAGAAGGAAGAAAAGAGAAAAUUCCCAAUCCCAAUCCCAAUCCCAAUCCCGUCGUUAAGCUCUCCUAGAACCGCAAACCGCUUGAAAAUGGCCGCAGAAGCAGCAGCAGGAGGAGGAGCAUUCGAUUGAAAUGUGAAAUUUCAGUUGAAUUUAGGGAACGCCCACCUGAUCCAGAAGGAAAUUAAGGGGGAUGGAAAGAAGUUUAUAGAAGGUAGAGAGAGAAAGCAAGGUGGGUGGGUCCAUGAAAGAACGCGUGGCAAUUGAGGCACAGCAUGAAGAAGAAGAAGAGGAAGGAGAAGAAGAAGAAGAAGAAGAGAGGCGCUGUGUGAAAUUGAAGUUUGUCUAACCAACCAACUUAUACAAAGCUGAAAUUACUAAAAUGUCUCUAUGAAUUAAGAAAAUGACCUUUGACUCCAAAUAUAUAUAUUCUUUUGUUGGUAAUGAAGACAAACAAAGUUGAGAAAUUUUGAUAUCUUUUCUUUCUUAUUUCUUUGGAGUAUAUGUGUGGGUUGGUGGAUUUUGAAAUGAAAGUUGGAAUUCUUUUUGGGACUAUUUCAAGAACUUAAUUUUCUUUUUUAUUAUUAUUAUUUGUUUUUUUUUUUUAAUAUUUCACUCAAUUAAUUAUCGAUCUUACACGUACAUUCUCAAAUGAGUCAUAUCAUUUAAGAGAAAAUAUAUCAAUUUUACAAGAGAAGAUGUUGAUCUACUUAAUUACUUUUAAUUUAUCGACAAUAUUUGCAACUAUCUCAUUUUAAAAACAAUUUUAUAUUAAAUAGAUCUUUUAGUUAAUUUAUAAAAAAUAUUAUAAAAUUUUCUAACAAAAAAUUAAAAUUUAAAUAAUACAACAACAUCAUCUACCUUCAACUUAAAUAUUCCACCAUCUAUAGUCAUAAGAGUAAAGAAGUCUUGAAAUAUUAAAGCAUCUUUAUCUUAAAACUUAUUGAAUUAAAAUAUAGAAAAUUGUGAAUGGAAAUUAUACACAUAUGGAGAGGUGCAAAGGGUCGAGGAGAAAAUCAAGAAAUUACCAAAAAUAUGAUUAUUAUAGAGACAUUUACAUUUAUGACCAAAUAUAAAAUACAAAAUUAAUUUCAUGACCUAACAUUUUUUAUUUUGCACGGAUCACAAAUUAUCAACUUCAAGCCAAUUGAAAUUUUCGGAUGAUCAAAAUGUCAUUAUAGUUAAAAAUGUGUAACUGUUAUUUGAUUACCAUCUGAUUGUUAUUUGAUUGUCAUCUUAUUACCACUAAUUAUCAAUAAUACCAAUUACUAUUUGAUUGUUGUCUAAUUGCUAUUUGAUGAACAUUAUUGUCUAAUAAUUAAUUGUAUUGAUUUACUAUAUCAUUAUUAUUUAAUUUAGUAUGAUAACAUUUACUAUCUAUGGACCUUUUUUUAUAAUUACUAAUUAGUUUAUUGAUAUCUUUCACCUUUGGUCAAUUAUUAAGUAGUUUUUUAUUAUCAUUAUAAUAUCAUGUGAUUACUUUUUUUUUUUUUUUUUUGUCAAAUGCUAAGAAUUUUUUCUAUUAACAUUAUGAUUGUCAUUUGAUUAUUUUACAUCCUUUUGUUAACUUCUAUGCAGUUUCUAAUUAUUCUUCAUUUUUGUAAUCUACAUAACAUUAUCAAUUAUCUCAUUGUCACUCUAAAAAAUGAUCAUUAUUGGAAACUUAACCACCACGCGAAAAUACUGAAAUAGUAUUAUUUGAUUAACUUUCGAUUGUCAUUUGAUUAUUUUUAUAAAAUAAAAUUGGUAUAUGAUUAUCAUAUGAUUGAUAUGUGACAGUCUUAUAAAUUAACUUACAAAAUAUACAAUGUUGAGUAUUCUCUUCUUCCUUACUUUAAGAUAAGUAUUCCUUUAAAUGGUGUCUCCAAGACUUGAAUAAAGGGCCAUAUCCUCUCUAUGACACGAGAGGGGUUUUUGUUUAUUGGUAGGACCAUAAACAAGUUGUUCAUUAGAGGAACACUAUUAUUUAAAGAUUAGAAGUAACCUAGAGGUAAAAUAGUAAUUUGAUCUAGUUGGUGUUACGAACACUUGUGAAUGACUAACUUACUACUAUUGGUCUAUAUCCAUGUACAUUCCACUAAAAACUCACAACUGAUCUCUUCUCACUGUAGAUAUUUAAUGUGGUUAAGGAGUUUAGCCAAUUAAUCUAAGAUUGUUGUAGUUUCUGAUAUGUAGGUUCAUUAGGUUUCCUUCCUCGAUAGUAAGAGUAAUGAGGUUUAUCUAUAUUAGUUGUAAUUGAAAAUGUUCAAAAUUACUUUGAGAGUUAAUUUAAUGUAUAGUGAUACAUUAUAAUAUAAAGUUUAUCAAACUUUUUUAUAUAAAUUUAAUUUUGGAUAUGAUUCAAAUAAUUUAUGUGAGAGAAAAUAUUUGAAUGAGUUCAAAUAUUAAUUUAAUGUGAAUUAGAUUUAUAUUAAAAAUAUUAAAAUUAUUGGUUGUGAGAGAAACUUAUAAAUAUGAUUCAAAUUUAAUUUAAGUUAAAUGUAAUAUAUUUAAUUUAGCUAUUAAUUAAUUAGAGAAUUAAUUAAUAGUUUAGUUUUAUUUUAUUUUAAUAAAUUUGAUUUACUUAAAUUAAUAUAAAACUGUAAAGAUAUUAGAGAGAUAUUCAUUAAACUACAAGGAAGUGUGGUUAAUCUAAUAGUUGUGGAGGAAGGGCUAAGUGUUGAGCUGCUUGCUAAGGAAGCUAGAUGAAACAAGAAAGUGAACUAGGCGUACUAAUAGAAAGAAAACUUAAGAAUUUCAUGCAAGCGUUGAAACCAAGUAAGAGAGCUUAAGAUGGGUUGCUAUGUGGAAAAGCGGAUCUAGCAAUCUAAGUUAUUUUACUUUGUAUUUCUUGUAGUUAACAAAAAAAAAUUGUAUACAGAAGCCCCCGAUGCUAGGAGCUACAUCUCAAUUUUAUAAGAGCUAGGCAAGACAUUUAAGUUUAAGUGCAAUUCAUUGUGAUAAGGAAAGUGUGUUAAACAACGCAUGUUUUUAAAAUUAAGAGUAGUUGAUUGUUAUAUUUUGUUGCACUAUUUUGUGUUUAUUGCCUAGCAGUAUUAAAGAGUUUGAGUUGAACUAAGUAUUGAAGACUAGUCAUUAAAGUUAAGUUAAAGUGAGUUAAAGUGAUUGUUUAAGUCAUUUCUAUUGUGUUAUGUUGUGAAAGCCUUAAAGUUGAUCAAAGUUAAAGCUUUUGCAUUGAGAAUGGUUUAAGAAGUUGUUCUUCUUAUUAGACAUUCAGUGUUUAUCACACGAUGUGAUGUGAUAUGCAUUAAGAGUCUAGGUUGUACGCCUCCACUUGGUCGCAUAAAGCGACAUUUGGGGCGGGACUUGACAAGAUGUGUUUAAGGUAAUACAUAUGUACCUAAAAUGCUUUCUAAACAUGCGUAAAAGCAAUCGAAAGAACUUAAGAGAGAUAGAAGUUUGAUUUUGAAACGUAAAGUAAAAGUUUGGAAUGUGCGAGAUGUGUUCAAGAUUUGUGUAAGACAAUACAUAUGUACCUAAAAGGCUUCCUAAACAUGUGUGAAUGCACUCUAAAGAAAUUAAAAGUGGUAGAAAUUAGAUUUUGGAUUGCAUAUUAAAAGUUUAGAAUGUGCGAGAUGUGUGCGAGAUAAUACAUAUGUACUGAAAAGGCUUCGUAAACAUGCAUAAAAGCCCUUCAAAUAACUUGCGAGAGGUAGAAAUUUGAUUUUGGAAUGCAUAGUAAAAAAUUGGAUAAUGCGUGAGAUGUGUACGAGAUAAUACAUAGGUACCUAAAAGGCUUCCUUAAACAUGCAUAAAAGCAUUCCAAAGAACUCAAGAGAGGUAGAAAUUCGAUUUUGGAAUGCAUAGUAAAAGUUUGGAAUGUGCGAGAUGAUACAUAUGUACAUAAAAGGCUUCCUAAAUUAAACAUAUGCAAAAGUACUUCAAAGAACUUGAUUUUGGAACAUAGUAAAAUUUUGGAAUGUACAAGAUGUGUGCGAGAUAAUACAUAUAUACCUAAAAGACUUCCUAAACAUGCAUAAAAGCAAUCCAAAGAACUUAAGAGAUGUAGAAAAUUGAUUUUAGACACUCCAAAGAACUUAAGCGAGGUAGAAAUUUGAUUUUGGAAAAUAUAGUAAAAGUUUAGAAUAUGCAAGAUGUAUGCUAGAUGUGUGCGAGAUGUGUGUAAGAUGUAUGCUAGAUGUGUGCGCGAUAUAUGUAACCAGAAAGCUUCCUAAACAUGAGUAAAAGCAAUCCAAAAAACUUAUGAGAGAUAUAAAUAAUUUAAUAGAUAUAAAGCUUCCUAAACAUGUGUGCGAAAUAUUAUAUACGUUCCUAAAAAGCUUCCUAAACAAGCGUAAAAGCACUCCAAAGGACUUAAGAGAGGUAGAGAAUUUUGAUUUUGAAACACAUAGUGAAAGUUUGUAAUGUGCGAGAUGUUUGCUUUAAAAAGUUUCUAGCAUAAUUAUCCUCUUUGACUUAAAAAGUGCAUAAUUAAUGAAAAUUGGGCUCAUCGAGAUGAAUUAAGCAUAACAUUAAUUUAUUAUACUUUUUUUCAUACUCCACUAUAUAGAUAAUGAACAAAAAAUUCGAGCACAGGUCAUCCUUUAAAUUAUUGUGAGAAUUGCAAUAUGAAAAUCAGUACCUUCAAAUUACAAAAUAAUCAACUUAUUGUUACACACCGAUAUCACUUAUUCUAAGAAAAACAAUUUGUCUAAUGAAUGAAGAUUUUACACAUCAAAAAGCUGACAUGAAUCAUGAUCCACAUCAUACUAUGAUAUAUAUAUGAAAGAAGCAAAUUUCAAAUCUUCCUUAUAGCGAUAACACACAAAGAGUCCAUAAUCUAUACAUUUCAUGCAGUAUUGCCUUUCAACAAAAAAAAAUUAAUUUAUUGUGCAUCUUUUAUUAAUUUAUUGUGCAUCUUUCAUUAAAACAAUUUUGUAAACAACAUUCAAAUUUGGUAAAUCUUAACUAAAUUUGUUAUUUUAUGGCUAAAUUUAUGCUAAUGACAAAUAUAUGCACAAAAUUUUUAAAUUUUUUAUAUUUUAAACCAUUUAUUAAAUAAUAGAUAAUAUAUAUUUUUAAUAAUUAUUUUAUUUUAUUUUUAAUAAGAAUGUGAAUUUGAAUUUUAGGAUUUAAUUAUGUCUCAAUGGCAUUUUUGUAAUUAUUUGAAACUUCUUUUAGAUUUUAUUAGAGAAACGAAAAGAAAGAUAUUGAAAGAGGGAUAACUGACAAGAGACAAACACAAUGUGAGAGAGAAAUUUUUUCUUGGAAACAAAAGAAAAUAGCUCAAAUAAAUCUCAAAUGUAUGAAAAACUUAUCGAUUUAAGUGGAUGAACUCAUCUUACUAAGAUGUAUAUAAGUUUUGAAUUUUAUUGUAUAGUUCCAUGAUUUCAUCUUUAUUAUAAUAUCAACAAUGCUCUCCUUUUCAACUUGAAGCUUUCGACUAUGGUUGUUCCACAUGUGUAGAGCCAAAUUAUUGAAUUGAAUGUGUCUCAAUUUUGCAAUUACCUAUUUCAAAUGAAUUGCAUCUUUUAAACCUUAAAAUAGAUUUUAAAUUUUGCAGACAUGAGGUGGAGAUUUCCAUUAAUGGCAACUUUUAUAAUCAUUAUGUUUUUUGGGAAAAAAAUUAUAUGUAGCAUAUGUUAUUUCAAUUAUAUCGUAUUUGGAGUUUAGGUGAAUAAUUGUAUUUUUCAUAUUAGAUAGGGGUAUUUGAGAAAUUGUUUCAUUUAUUUAUUUUUCUAAUUUUUAUGUUUUGUUAUUCUAACAAUUUAAAAUUAUUUUUGCUAUUUUGCCAAAGUAAAACUCAUAAUUUGUUAUUGUUCUCGAAACUCUAUUUCACUCAUUAUUUAAUAAAAUAAUAUUUUUUAAAAAAAGUAUUCAAAAUUUAUGAACUUGCAAGUUUCUUUCUUUUUUUUUUUUUUGUUGGUCAUCCUCAACUCUUAAAAGUGUCAAAAUUUAGUCCAACGAAUUACUUUGGUUCACAUAUAUCUUAAUUUUCACAAAUUACUAUUAGCAUGAGUUCGAAUAAUAUGUGUUACCUACCUCCAAAGUUAUACAAAGUAAGUUUAAGUUAGAAAAAUAACAAAGCAUAGUAGACAUUUUAAAAAAUAGAUUUUUAAAAAUAUAAAAAAAUUGACAAACUAUUUACACUCCAUAGAACAAAAUAACUAAAAGAUAAAAGUAAUUACACUUAAUUUUUGUAUAAAGUAUAAAUAUAUUUUUUCAAAUGUUCUACUUUUUACCAUUUUCUUAAAAGAGUUACUGCGUAACAACCAUUUUUUUUCUUUUAAAAAUUAAACAUAUAAAUAUUUCUUUGAGGUGUUUGCAAAAAUAGUAAAAGAAAAUAUUAUUAUAAUAGGGUCUAUGUCACUAUAUUUUCUAAAUUGCAAAAAUAGCAAAUUUAAAAGCAAUUAAUCCUCUAAUAGUCAUUUUAUAGUCUUCUGAUUAUAAUACUCUAAUAGCCACUUGAUAUAUCUAAUUACUUGUCAUUUUGCAAUAUACAAAAAAUAGAUACUAUGGGCUGUUUUUUCUAUAAAAAAAAUUGUCAUUUAAUAUAAUUUCUCUAUUUCUUUUACAUUUAUCUUUUUUAUUUUGUUAUCUACUCUAUCAAUAUUUUAAAUAACCAAGCCAUAAAUUUUGAAAAAAAACUAAUUAAAUUAAAAAAUUUGUUUUGUUUUCCAAACGUGGUUAAGAAAAUUAAGAAAGUCCCAUCAUUGUUAAAAAUUGUGGAGACAUAGAUUGACGUUUGAAACAAAAAAAUAAAUAACAAAAUGACUACCAAAUGCAAUCUUAAAAUACAAAAUACAAGAUAAUUGCAAGGACUCAAAGUAUCAACACAUAUAACAAAAUGCAAAAGAAUAAUUUACAAAUCUAACAUUAGGUUCCGCCUUUAAAAUCUAUCGGUAACCGACUAUAUCAAUAAUAGUGCUUAUUAGAGAGAAAUUUUGUUAUAUUUAUAAUUAUUUAAAAAUGUUCGUUGCACAUUUAAUUAUCAUUAACUCUAAAAUACAAUACUACGUUAGAAAGUUUUAUUAAAACGACACACGUAUAUAUAUACACCAAAAGAGACUGAGACCUAAUGUUAGUUAUAUGGUCAAAUUUGAACCAUAAGAACCAUAUCAAAUAUACUUCAACCUUCAACACAUCAUAGUCCACAUGUUGAGAUUUCAAAGGAAUCUCCUUCUAGAAACGUAACUACCCCUAGUCAACUCAAUUACUGAACCAAAAUUAAUUAAGCUUAGUGAGGGCAGCCUGGGUUAAGGAUGAUUCACAAUUUUACAUGACAAAGGAAAGGUUUGAUCCCCUAAAUUCUAAUACUACAAAAACCUAUGAUAUAAAUUUAGAUGCAUUUAAUUACUUUUUUUGUUAUUUGUUUUAUGAAAAAUACAACAUUAGAGGGAGAAGAUUAAUGACAUAUUUGUAAGGUUGAUUUUCAAAAAGAGUACUGACAUGUUUUGAUUUGGUUUUGUUGAAAUGUAUUAUAUAAAGGUGGAAUUGUUUGUAAAUUAAUUUGACCAAACUUUAUCUCAAGGUUGGAUGGAUAUGGAUUUAGAAUUGAAUGAUUCAACCAUAGAAAAGCAUGGGAGUAGUUGAGCUUCAUAAAUAUAUUAUUUUGUUCACUAUAAUUUCAAUGGUUGACCAGGACCUUGUUUUCUCAUAGCCUACUUUUGUUGAUUUCAACAAACAUUUGCUUUCAAUUACUUUCAAUUAAAGAGAAUCAUGGAUGGGAGUGGGUUUAGAAUUGAAAAUACAAAUGAAUUUCUUCUGAUGUUCUUACGUGAUCUUGUUAUUUACCUAUCGGAUUUGAAUGCAAAUAGUUUAUUAUCCUAAUGUAUUUUAUAUUUAUCAUUUUUGUCCAACAAGAAAUCAUAUUAUUUAAAAGUAAACAUAUCUUGCUACAAAAGUUAUCAAUUAGCUUGCUACCGUAAACACUAUUUCAAAAUCCUCAAUUUGAUAUAGUAUUUACUAUUUACUAUAGUUUGUACUAUUUUACGUUCAACAUUUUUUAUUAUUUGCUUCAAUUGUGUAAAAGGACAUUGUUGCCACCAAUCCAAUUGUAGAAUAAUAGUUGUAACUACCCAACUUUUCUAAACUAAGUUGCUUGACAAAACAAAUUUUCAAAAGUAAAAUAUAAUGUCAAGUCCUUCAAUUUAUUAAAUAGAAGUCAAAUCUAAAACAAACUAAGCAAAACCAAUGUUUGCAAAACAAAAGUAGUCAAAAAAAAAUCAUUCAAAGAAAUCAGUUGUUCGGGUCCUAAGUGAAACAAUAAAAACAUGUUCAAAAUAAAAUCAUCUCAGACAUGGCAUAGAUAACAUAAGGAAGUCAUGAAAGAUAGUGGAAGCAAUAUCAUAUUGAUCCCCAUAUGGUCAGUCACGAGUCCUUCUUGUCAUUUGUUUUUCUAUUUACUUUUACCUGAAAAGUUAAAGGUAAAAAGGGUAAGUAUAUAUAAUAUACCUAGUAAGGGACCCACUACUAGGCCCAUUAGAUGAAAAUUAACUUCCUAAUAGUUGUAUACAGUGCCAUAACAAACGUAUGAACACCUUGAAUAGACAUAUGAGUCAUAAAUGUUAACCCACAAGAACACACGUAAUAAUCACAUAGAGUGAACCUGCAUAAACAUGUAAUAAUCACACACAGUGAACCAAUAGGAACACACAUGCAUGCAUAAUAGUCACAUAAGGGCGAGAACCAUAAGGAUACCGUGCACAGGGGUAUACUAUCCUAAUAGAUAAAGCCAACAAUCACUGUCAAUCCAAAGCAUGGCUCAUAACAAACUCAGUAAAUAAUCAUCCUCAUGAUUUUACAGUAAACCACACAUAAAUAUGCAAUUAACUAUAUUCACCAGUAACCAUAGGCUAUGCAAAUGGUUACCUUUCAUAAAGUUUACCGUGACCCAUUGGCUAAGUAAUUGGCUACCCAUAUCAAGUACCACAGUAACUCAUACUAAGCCAAUAGUUAUCGGCCAACACAAUCAUACAAUACAACCUAUAGACUAUGCAAAUAACUCCUCAUAACAGUUAUCACAAUAACCGAUAGGCUAUGCAAAUAACUCCCCAUAACAAUUAUCACAAUAACCCAUAGGCUAUGCAUAAAUUUCAUAAAUAAAAUAUUCAUAGUAAACCGUCACAGUCUAAUUCACAUCAUGCCCUAUCAACAAUCCAUAAUACGCAUGUAAGUAGUCAUCACACUUUUUACACCAAUUAAGCAAGGGGAUUAUGUAAGCAUAUGCAAAUAAUUAUCAACAUUCCACACUAACCCUAACCUAACCGAAUGGCUACCCUUCACAAUUAAUAGCAACCUUAGACUAUACAGAUAAUUGACCAUCAUAACUAUCAUAUGUUAUUGCAUAUAAUUUUAUCACAAUUAUCACAGUAAUCAACCCUCAAUUGGAGGGAAUCCAGUAGUAGAACUUUUACCUUAUGUUAUGUGAAAUUCCUUGCAACCUAAUUCCCAAAUUCAACCUAUACAAAAAGCAAGAAAUUUAAUAAUGUUUCUUAAAAAAUUACUAAUUGAAUUACCUUAGCUUAUCAUACUUACCCAAAUGGGGGUUGAAAAAUUGUACUCAACUCUUAUGGAAAAAUUCACCACUUAAAUCUUCAAGCUUUGCCACAUAAAUAUUCCCAAAAAAAACAUGCAUCCAAAAUCAAUUUCAAUAACAAACUUAAUUUAGAGUCUCAAUUAACAUUUAAUGAGUAUUAAAAUAGAAUAAUAUAAAGAGCCAAAACACUCACGUAACUCACAAAUCGUAAUCAAAACUGGUGAGCGACAACGAAAAAUGGCAACACACAACUGACUCGAAUGAGGUUGGACAAAGCAACGUAGAUUGGCGCAUUGAAAAAACAAAAGAGAAAAAGUAAGGGAGAUUGAGCGGCUUGACAGGGAAGAAGAUGAAGAAACAAAUUAAUAAGCGUUAAAUUAUCAAUAAUAAUAACAAUACUUUAUUAUUAUUACUUAUUAUAUUUUCCUUUUCCCCUUUUCUAAAAAAACAAACACACACACAUAUAUGUUAUAAAAUUAUAACGCCUGAAAUGAUGAGAGAGACAUGAAUGAACCGGUAUCACAUCGAAAUAAGGGAGAUCUUGAGAACAUGAAAGUAAUGUUAAGAAAGUCUUAAAAAGAAUUAAACGUCAAUAAUUAUACCAACAAGGUGCACCUUCAUUUUCAGUGGCUCGAUCAUAGGAAUUUUAAAGUAAAGUGUGCUUAAGUUUGGGGCAAUUCUAUGUUAGGUGACCUCAUUGAAAAUUUUCUUAGAUGCAUUGAGUGAGGACAAAGCAUACUGGAAGGAUUCGGUUGGUUUGUAGGGAGAACUUUCACUCUAAUAAACCUUAAAGACAACAAGGAUAAUGUUGUUAGGUCGCACGAGAUGCAUGAAAAUAUUUGAGAUUCGAAUUCCAAAUCGUGAACUUGGGGCAUUACAAAAAUAAAGAACAAAUAAACUAAAUAAAAACAAUGAAAUAACACAAAAGAGGAAUAGAGAAAAGAGAAAGUAGAGAACAAUUGAAGUGGUAUGUAUACAGUGAUCUCUACAACCUCUAUUUAUAGGAUUAUGAGAAUAAUAAUUACAAAAUCAAAUAUAAAUAGGGAUAAAAAAAUUUUAUGAAAAUUGAUGGAAAAGUCAGUGGAUAAAUUUAUAACUCAGGAAGGUUAUAAACAUCUAAAAAUAUUUAUCUUUAAUUAAACACAUAUAUUUAUACAUAUUUUGGAAGGAAAUUUUUAAAAAUAGUAGAUUUUACAAAAUAUUUAUCACCUGUAGUAAAUUAUAUCAUUGUUGAAAUAGUGAUAGAAUCCAAAAUUUUGUUAUAGCUUAUAAAUAUUUUUGAUUUACUUUUCUAUUUUUAAAAGUACCUUCAAAUAAUACUCAAUAACGAAACUUAAAUGAAUUAAGAUAAUUAAAUUAUAAACUAGGGUGUUAUGAAGGGCAAAAUUGCAUAAAAUAUUUCUCUUCUUUAUAUUUUUAUAUAUAAUAUUCAUUAAGAAUCAGGAGAUUCCCAAAUUUGAAAUGUGAGAUCAUGUUUUAUUCUUGGAACAACUACACUAAAACAAAAGAUGAACACAAAAUUCAAUGUGGAAAUCGAGACUACUACACGACCGUAGAAUGAAUCUU
This 196569-nucleotide long non-coding RNA is filed under the name Cucumis sativus (cucumber). RNAcentral's name for it is "long non-coding RNA (CSAT_LNC000418)". The record is from RNAcentral. Lineage: Eukaryota; Viridiplantae; Streptophyta; Magnoliopsida; Cucurbitales; Cucurbitaceae.